This 219307-nucleotide long non-coding RNA is filed under the name Prunus persica (peach). RNAcentral's name for it is "long non-coding RNA (PPER_LNC001496)". The stretch from base 76855 to 76961 matches the Rfam family "Plant small nucleolar RNA R71". Lineage: Eukaryota; Viridiplantae; Streptophyta; Magnoliopsida; Rosales; Rosaceae. The record is from RNAcentral.
UGCCAUCUAGACACAUCAGAAUGGGACCCAGAGCAUUUGUCCUUCCAAAUCCUCAACGUUAAGCCCGGAACCACUCCCAUCUGCCAUUUCCUUACCACUGAUGCUAUUGCCUGGGUUCCAAAACACAAAUCUGCAUGAUCAUCACUUAGCACUGUACGUGUAAUAAGCUUGGUCGGGUUGCACCCUAGGCCUGCAUAAUUAUCUCCCUACUUAUUUCUGCCUCUUCAUCAUGCGGUGUAAGAUAUAUGAUGAGAUGAAGUUUUCUCUUGUAACUAUGUAGACUACUUCAACUUGUACUCAUAAUAAAGCACGCUGUUGGGGGGUUCUACUUAAUUUCGUUCUCUCCAAUGUUUGAGUGUUGAAUUGUUACGUUGGAAUAGGCUGCUAAUGCAUGUAGUUAGAGAAGCCUUCAUUUAUAUCAAAGUCCUCAAACUAUCAAGAAUUAAUGUAUCCAGAAACAUAUACCAAGACGCAAAACAACAUAUUUUCCAUUCUCUGUCUGUAACACCAAAGCAAACUUCCUUUAUCACAUCAUUUAAAGGAUCAAAUUCCAGUACUAAUCUAAUCCAUCAUGUAAAGCAUACAAGUGCCUACCUAAAUUUGUCCAUUGGAUAUAUAUGUCACUUUUUAUUUUUUGAUAGAGAUAUAAAUGUUGAAAAAAUUAGAGUACACAACUCUUAUAGACACUACUACGAUUUACUAUUUGCGCGACGGAAGUUUGCGCGACGAACAUUGUUUCGUCGCGCAAAAAGCACUAUUGCGACGAAAAAAAAAUACCGUAGCGCAAACAACAUAACACAAGCGCGACAAACAGUUUCGUCGCGCAAACAAUCUAUGCGCGACCAAUAUUAAUUUCGUCGCGCAAAGGUAGGGGAAAAAAACCCGGUUUUUUUUUUUUGGCGCCAUAAUCUUGCGCGACAACAACAAUCGUCGCGCAUGACAAUAUUGCGCGACAAUUCAAAGAAUUCGUCAGGUAAAGAUGGACAGAAAAUUGUCUCAUUUUUUUGGCGGUAAAAAACUUUGCGCGACGAAAUUUUUCGUCUCAAAAGACAACUUAGCGCGACGGAAAUAUGUACCGUCGCGUAAAAAAACGAGGGAUACUUAUUUUUGGCGCCAAAAUGCAGGGUGGAUAAAAAAAAUUUUGCGCGACGGAAUUACCUUCGUCGCGUAAAGUGUAAUGCCGGUGCUUUCUUGCGCGACGAAAUAAAUAAUUUGCGCGACGUAAUUUAAACCUUGCGCGACGAAAAGUAUUAUUUGCGCGACGAAAUUUUGUGCGACGAAUAAUAUGUUUCGUCGCACAAAAAAGCAGAUGUCGACAGGUAAUUGCGCGACGGAAAUGUUGUUUUGUGCGAUGGAAAAGUGGGUUUUCGCGACGGCAUUUUGCGCGACGGAUAUUGGUGUUCGUCGCGCAAAGUCCUUCUUCUUCAUAUUAGUAUCUGCCAUUGCAGAGGCAGAAUGCAGAAAUUGCAUUCUGCCUCUCUCUCACUCUCCCUGCCGCUGCUCUGCUGUGAAUUCAAUACGUUCAUUGGGUAUGUAUUUUUUGUCGUUAGUUUAAAUGUAUUAAUGUAAAUUCGUAGUAACGCUAUUAAUUUUGUUAUCGUUAGGGAUAUUUGUGAUUAGUGAUUGGUGGAGAACGAUUGAGAAGGUAUGUUAUUGUAAAAGUUUGUUUGUUAUGUUUGUAAUUUUUUUGUGAAGUUAUAUGUAUAUAAUGUUGUGAAAUUGUGCGUGACAUAGCACAAUGUGUUGUGAUGUACGAAGUUAAUUGAAAUUAACUUCGUACUUUUAUUUUUAUGUUUAGUAACACGUAGUUUCCCGUUCGAGAUUAGUUGGAUUUCGUGCAUGGAUGAGUAAUGCAUGACUGCGGUCCAAUUAAUUCUUGAAUUGUCCCAUUAUUUGGACAGUUUGGUAAUGCAUAGUGUUGUCACAUAAUCUUCGGCUACAGGAUUAGGUUUCGAUUGUGGAGAUUUCGGUGUCAUCUCGGUACGUUCUUCGAGUGGUACGUAGGUAUUUAUACCUAUGCCCACUUCAAGAACUGUGUCGAGAUGCUGCCGAAAUUAAUCCACGUCGAAAUCUAAUCUCAUGUAGCCGUAGGUUACGUGACAGGACUAUGCAUUCCCGAAUGGGAUAGGGCCCUUACCGGAGGCAUAAGGUGACAUUAUAACUUCGUAUGAAGUUGUUGUGAUUGUUGUGUCGUGAUUGUGGUUUCAUGAAUUAUGAGCAGAAGGUGGAUACAUAACCCGAAUAGAUGCGCAGACGAAUACUUGGAUGGAAUCGAGGAUUUUAUUGAGUUUGCACAUAGACACAACCCGGGUGCAAGUAGAAUCCGUUGUCCUUGUAGGAGGUGUAACAACACGUUGUGGGAGACAAUUGAAAAUGUUGGAUUUCAUUUAGUAAGGAAUGGAAUGAUUGAAACAUAUAGCAUUUGGAACCUUCACGGCGAACAUGUAGGCCAUGCUUCGUCUUCAAAUGCCCCAAGAGUGGACAAUGUUGAACCUAUUGUGGAUCCUAAUGAUCAAGUCAUGGGUAUUAUACAGGAUGCUUUUCCAUUCGCAUCGACCAACAUCAAUCAGGAAGGGGAAGAUAACGUGCCUACACCAAUAGACAGUGCGGAGUUUGAACAGUAUGAAAAACUGUUAAAAAAUGCCAACCAAGAGUUAUACCCGGGGUACGAGAGCUUUUCCGUUCUCACUUCUAUUGUGGAGCUAAUGCACGGAAAAAUAAAGUAUCGUAUGUCGAACUUGUGUUUCGAUUACUUUUUGGGGGUUUUCAAGAGAAUGCUUCCGACGGAUAAUUAUUUGCCGAAAGACCAGAAACAUGCACAGAAGGUGUUGCAUGGUCUUGGAUUGGGUUAUGAAAAAAUCCACGCUUGCAAAAACAAUUGCAUGUUAUUCUACAAAGAGCAUGAAACGUUGGAUACAUGCCCUAUAUGCAAUGAGUCGAGGUUCAAAAUGACAUCCCAGAAUAGAACGACUAAGAUACCACAAAAAGUCAUGCGUUAUCUGCCCCUUAAACCUGGGUUGCAGCGAUUGUAUAUGUCGACGCAUACUGCCACAGACAUGAGAUGGCAUAAGGAAAAACGGGUAGACGAUGAUGUGAUGCGGCAUCCUGCAGAUGGGGAGGCAUGGAAAGAGUUCGAUCGAACGUUCCCCGAGUUUGCUGCUGAUCCCCGAAAUGUAAGAUUGGGACUUGCCACUGACGGAUUCAAUCCGUAUGGGGUUCUAAACCAACACCACAGCACUUGGCCGAUUUUCGCAUUCCCAUAUAAUUUGCCGCCUUGGAAAUGCAUGAAAAAAGAAUACAUGAUGAUGACUGUUUUGAUAACUGAGGAUCCUGGCAGGUCAAUUGAUGUGUACUUAAGGCCUCUGGUUGAUGAGCUGAAAGAUUUAUGGACAAACGGUGUUCGCACGUACGAUAAAUCAACUGGGAGGAUGUUCACUUUGCGAGCAGCAAUUAUGUGGACUGUGAAUGAUUUUCCAGCAUAUGCAAUGGUUUCUGGGUGGAGCACAAAAGGUUAUAUGGCAUGUCAUGUAUGCAAGGAAGAUGUAACUUCUGGUUGGCACGCGGGAAAAGUUUGUUACCUUGGUCAUCGGAGAUGGUUGCCAUGGGACCACGAGUGGCGAGAAAAAGAUAAAGAGUUCAACGGGAACACAGAGCGUCGCCUCAGACCUGGAGAAUGGUCCGGUGAUGAGAUCUUGGAACAGCUGAACCGUUUGGAUUUUGGUCCGUUCGGAAAAACAAUUAGUCGGACCAGACCUUCUACACAUUUGAACUGGACGCACAAGCCUAUGUUUUUUGAGCUCCCAUAUUGGUCGAAACUGAAAUUGAGGCACAAUCUAGAUGUGAUGCAUGUUGAGAAAAAUGUAUUCGACACAUUGGUGGGCACGAUUCUAGAUAUCGAGGGGAAGACGAAGGACACGAUCAAAGCUCGUCUUGAUUUGGAAAGAAUGGGCAUACGAAGGGGUUUAUGGAUGAAUAGGGACAGUGAUAAAGCUAGAAGGGAUCUUGCAUUCUUUUCUAUGAAACCGAAUGACAAAAAGGAGUUUCUAAAGUUUGUAUCGUCUGUCAAAUUUCCCGAUGGGUAUGCUUCUAAUAUCGCACGUUGCGUGAAUGUCGAUGGGGGUAAAUUUACUGGACUUAAGAGCCAUGACUGCCAUGUUCCUGUGGGUAUUCGACACCUACUGCCGGAAGAUGUGGUGAAGCCAAUCAUGUUGUUAUCCAGAUUUUUUUCCCAACUGACGGCAAAAACAUUGCGAAGGACAGACAUGUUUCAGUUGCGCCAUGACAUUGUCCAAGUCCUAUGCAAGUUUGAGAUGAUAUUUCCUCCGGCUUUCUUUACAAGUAUGAUGCACGUAAUGGUUCACUUGCCAGAAGAGGCAUUGCUUGCUGGUCCUGUCAACUAUCGCUGGAUGUAUCCAAUAGAAAGGUAUAUAAUCUUUAUCAUUUGUGUAUGCAUCAUUAUCGACACUUUGCUAAUUUGUAUCAUAUCGUUUUAUUUUGGCAGGCUUCUCGGAGAGCUGAAAAAAAGUGUACGCAACAGGGCAAAGCCCGAAGGAUUAAUUAUAGAGGCUUGGGUUCAAUAUGAGUCGCUUACUUUCUGUGGAAUGUAUUUAAAAGAUGUGGAGACGGUUUUCAAUCGUCCUCAACGCAAUAAUGACGGAGGUAUGAGAAAUGAAAAACUUUUUGUUUUUGCCCAAAGCGCAUGACCAUUUGGAGAUCCUGGACGAGGAGAGUCGUUUUCUAGAAAUGACAUGGAGGUAGCGCAUUGGUUCGUACUGAACAAUUGUGAUGAGAUAAUGGCCUACUUAGAUGAGCAUGAACAGAUGAUGAAGCGAGAACAUCCAUCACAUUUGGUUGCCCGGAAACAUCGUGAAUUAUUUCCACAAUGGUUUUUGGAUUCUGUAAGUUAUAACUGUUUUGUAAUUGACAAAUAUAAAUUGUAGUAUUUAAUUUUGUCAGACUAACAUGUAAAUGAUUUUGUAUACUAUUAGGUGAAUAAAUUGAAAUCAUCGAAUUCCCCCACUUACAGUGAUGAGUUAUAUAACUUGGCGUUCGGCCCAAUUCGUGCUGAGUUGUUCUCGGGUUGUAAUGUUAACGGCGUCAAAUUUUUGGGGGCCGCACGAGAUGACAAGUUGUGUAUGCAAAACAGCGGUGUCCAUGUCCCAGGUGGAGGCGAAAGUACGGACAUUGAUUUCUAUGGCAAACUGACAACUGUCGUGCAAUUGCUUUAGAAAGAUCGAUACCAAGUCAUCAUGUUUAAGUGUCGAUGGUUCGAUACCAACCCAAAUAGGGCGGGAAGUGUUAAAAUCGACCAUGGAGUACUGUUUGUGAACAUGGCGUCCCAAAUUGUGUAUCUAGAUGACCCUAAAGCCGGGAGCGGGUGAAAAGUUGUGCAGAAGAUGGAUCAUAGGAACGUGUAUGAUAUACCAGAACUAGACCCAAGUGACAACGACGUCGACAAUGUGGCUGACCAACGUUUAGAAUCUUCAAUGGAAAAUGAUGCGGAAACACUUCGAGAUACAAAUGUUAUACAAGAACCGUUUCAAAUAGAAGGAGUGUCUUCAGUAGAAAUACCGAUUCAGUCAAUUACAAUUGACCUCGGUGAUCUUCCCCGAUACGAUGUUGCAGUGGGUCCUAGCAACGCCGAUGAUGCAGUUAUAGAGGAGGAGGAGGAAGAAGAUUGGGAGACCGAGAGUGAUGAUAGCGAUGAUAACGAAAGUUAUUAUAGUUCAGAUGAUGAAUAAUGAAUUUAUUUGUAAAGUUAUUAUGUUAGUGUAUUCAUUUUGUGUAAUACAAAUCUUUGAAUAUAUGUAGUUGUCCAUAUGUAGUUGUGUAUUCAUUCUCCAUAUUUCAUCACAAACUUCAUUGGAAUGUCAAUACUUUAGUCAAUACUUAUUACGACCCCAUGCUUGUCGAUUGGUUUUUAUUUAUUUAUUUAUUAAUGUCUUUAACUCUUCAAUUAUUAUUUUUUUCUUUUGAGAUAUAGUUAUUUCUUCAUGUUUAAACAAAAAAUAUAAGUUAUUUCUCCAAUAUUAUCUGUGUGCCACUUAUUUUUCUUCACUUUGGUUCAUGAUUAGUGGCAUCAAUCUAGUCAAACCGAUAAAAUCGGUCGAUUCAAAUCUUAAUUAUCAAUUUAGUUUGGUUUUGAUGAAGAAAUACAAAGCCUUUCCAAAAAAUACAGAGCAUAAAAAAUGAUGAAUACAAAACCUUUCCAAAAAAUACAAAGCAUACACAAUUUGAAUUAAAUGAGGAUUUAUGGCGCCAAAUCCUUGCGCAACGAUAAGGAGCCCUUCGUCGCGCAAAUAUAUAUUAGGUAACGUUAUAGUAUAAUAUAUACCCACAUAUAUAUUUAAAAUUGGCGAUCGAAGUAGUUCAUUGUAUUCAUAUGAAGUGUAGGACUGUAGCUGCAAAAAAUCAUCAACAUCGGAGUUAAAAUAACCGUUCAAUCAUCACUUUUUAUUUAGAACCGUCGAAAAGUUUUACCCCGUUACUUAAUCUCUGAAUGUUUUUUUUGUCUGAUUUUUGCUGUCUAUGAUCUCGAAGUAUAACAAAACAAGUUUGACGGCUGGAUGACUGAAGCUAGUUUCGUAGACUGCGUGUGCUAUCAAAAUCAUAUAUUCACCAAAAACUCAAAAAUUUGUUCAUACAUUUGUGAAAAUGUAACUUAAUGUUUAUGUGGUAUCCCCUAGUGUAAAAAUAUGAAAUUGAAGAUCAAAUUCAGUCAUUGUAUUCAUAUAGGGUCAACAAAUGUUGCUGUAAAAAAUGAUCAAAAUCGGAGUUAAAAUAACCGUUAAAUCAUGACUUUUCAUUUAUAACCGUCAAAAUAUUUUGUCCUGUUCCCUGAUAUCUGAAUGUUUGGUCGUUUUGAUUUUUGGCGUAUACGAUCUCCAAGUAUAAACAAAUAAGUUUGCCGGUUGGAUCAUUGAAACUAUUUUAGGGUUUAGGGUUUAGGGCUUAGGGCUUAGGGUUUAGGGUUUACAUUUUAGGGUUUAGGUUUUGCGCGACGAAUAAACAUUCCUUUCGUCGCACAAAGUGAAAGUGACAAAGAUUGCGCGACGGAUAAGUCUUCCAUUCGUCGCGUAAUCUGGGACACACAUUUCACCCCUCCAUACCCUUUGAACACUUAGUGAAAAUUUCAACCGAAUGAAAUUCUUGAACCCGCGCGACGAACAAAGCAAAUACGUCGCGUAAAGUGGACGUGAACAAGAUUGCGCGACGGAUAAAUCUGGUAUUCGUCGCGCAAUCUGGGCCACACUUUCACCCUUCCAUCCCCUUUGAACACUUAGUGAAAAUUUCAACCGAAUGAAAUUUUUGAACUCGCGCGACGAACAAAACAAAUACGUUGCGCAAAGUGGACGUGAACAAGAUUGUGCGACGGAUAAAUCUAAUUUUCGUCGCGCAAUCUGGGCCACGCUUUCACCCUUCCAUCCCCUUUGAACACUUAGUGAAAAUUUCAAGCGAAGCAAAAUCUUCAACUCGCGCGACGAAUAAAAGUAUUCGUCGCGCAAAAGGCACAGGCCUCUGAUUUUUGUUAGCAAACAUUGCGCGACGUUUACUGUCUUCGUCGCGCAAAAGGCACAGACCCUUCAGUUUCAGCCUCCCGCUAAACCCAAAAUUUUCCCAAAAUUUUGGCGGAACGACAGCGUUUUGCGCGACGAACAUAUGACUUUCCGUCGCACAAGGUUAACCUUGCUCGACGUUUACUAUCUUCGUCGCGCAAAAGCACAAACCCUUCAGUUUCAGCCUCCCGCUAAACCCUAAGUCCCAAAAUUUGGGCGGAACGACAUCGUUUUGCGCGACGAAUAUAUGAUUUUCCGUCGCGCAAGGAGAACCUUGCGCAACGUUUACUAUCUUCGUCGCGCAAAAUCACAGUUUCAGCCUCCCGCUAAACCCUAAAUCCCAAAAUUUUGGUGGAACAACAGCGUUUUGCGCGACGAACCAUGUAUUUUUCGUCGCGCAAAAGGCACAGACCCUAAUCCCCAUUCAAAAUUUGGCGUUCUGGGAGACCUUGCGCGACGGAUAUUUCAUCGCGCAAGAUUCAUUAAUACCAUUUUGCACGACGCAUUCUGUUCUUCGUCGCGCAAAGUCGAAUAAAUUUGCAGAAACGGCCCGAUGCCUCCUUCUUCCCCAUUUUCUGGUUUCUCUCCGUUUCUUCCUCUCUCUCCGCCGUCACCUUAGCCCUCUCUCUCUGCCAUCACCUCAGCCACCUCCGCUCGUUCCGUAGCCUCCCUGCCGUCACCGUCGAGCCUGCCGUCGCAAUUUCGUCAGUUUUUCCCGAUUCUUCGCCGGCCGAUUUCUCUCUCCUCCGGCCACCAUUUUCGACGCCUAAGGUAUGAUUUCUCGACUAUUUUUUGUGCUCUAGCUGAUGGUUGGUUAGGAUUUCUUGAAUUUUCGCUAUAGGAAAUAGGAAUUAAAACCCUAGGUUUUGGCCGCUUUGGGAAUUUCAAAUCCGGCCACUUCCGGCCAUUUUUCGGGGUAGGUCCGAGAACAAAAGUGGCUCCAAUUAAUGUUUUCAACCUAGGGUAGGAACCUUGGCCCUUAGUUUUUAGAAUUUUCCGACGAAUGUUAUCGCUUUGGACACCCACGCGCUGCCGGCGCGUGUGGUGGCGCGUGGGAUGUUGUGGCAGUGGGGCAUUGGGUCCCAGAGCAAUCCCCUGUUUGUCACGAGCGCGUAGGUUUGCUCGGAUUUGAAUUUGGUUAUCGUUUGAGUCUUGAUCGGAUUUCGGCUAUUGUGCGAUUUCCAGGUUUGAUAUGUUCGGACCGUUGGAUCGAACUCAAACUCACGUAGUUGUACCUUUGUGUUUCUACGAUCGUUUAGGAUUCGACCGAUCGUUGAUCGGUGUCCCGGAUACUUCGAAAUUCCAAACCCUAGGUGAAGCUAUGCUUUUAAUUAAUUAGUUUAAAUUCUUAAUGAAAUUAUAUGUGCAGAUGUCAGAUUUGAUUAGACGUGGUAGGUCGAUGAUGACUGCACCGAGUUCGGAUCCCCCUGCUCAGUCGGCAUAUGCUGCCACUGCUCCAGCUUUGAUGGAGCACGUGCUGGUUGGUCCCGGGGCGUCCCAGGCGCCUGCGUCAUCUGCGUCAUCCGUCGCGCAGCCAGCUAGUGCUAGGCGGCGGCACCGGCCCGCCGACACGACAUCGACCGACGGUACUGGUGCCUCGGGAUCACAGCCAGAUAUAACUACCAUUUUGUAUUGUUAAUUUUAUAUUGAAAUUUGACAAUGUUGUUUAUUUAACAUUAAUAUCUUUUUUCUUUGCAGCGAAGAAGAACACCUGAGGGCCGUGUCGUCAGCUGAAGACGGCGAAGGUCACCCGGGUGACCAACAGUCGUAUCAGCAUCGGAUACGACGAGCGCCAUCGGGCUGCACCGACGGCGGAGUUGCAUAGCUCCUUGGCCCACGACAUUGGCCACGUCGUGCGGACCCAUUGCCUGAUGCAAUGGAAGUCUUGGAGGGUCAUGCCUGACGAGAUCAAGGUGGAGGUUCGCGGCCAGUUGUCGGUAUGUACCUUACAUUUUCAUUAAUUUUCUUUAAAAUUGUGUAUAUUUCUAUUACUUAACGUAUCUAAUUAAUUGAUUGCAGACGAACUAUAACUUGGAGGAUCUCGACGAAGAGUCGUUGGCGUACGUCAACAGACUCUUCGCUGAGAGGUACAAGCAGUGGAAGAGCGACUUGCACCAUCAUUUUCAGGCCUUUGAUGAUCCGCAAGUCGCUCUUCAGGAGGGUUGCCCGAAGGAGCUUGAGGGGCGGGAGGAUAGUUGGGAGUGGCUCUGCGCUCAUUUUCAAGCGUCCGAAUAUGUGGUAUUUUUUUAAUAAUAUUUGUUUAAUUAUUACUUAUUUCUUAUUAAUGUUUAUUUCAUUUUUUUUAUUUCAUUAUUAUUUAAUUUGUUAUGUUUUAACUAAUACGUUUCAUUUUUUGUAUAACAGAAUAAGGCCCAAGUGAAUAAGGGUAAUAGGAAGAAGAAGACCCUUCUCCACCAUUCCGGCUCCAGGCCCUUUUCGUAUAGGAUGGAUGCCCGGCGACGGGUAAUAAUCACAUAAUUUAUAUUUCAUUUUUAAUGUCAUUUUUAUUAAUUUAUUUUUUUCAUACUAAUAUUUUUCUUCUCUUGUUCAAUUUAGGAGGGGUCCAAGUUCCCAGAGAUCGACGUCUUUGGUGACGUUUAUGUUCGACCCGGGAAUGAGUUGGCCGAGUCCCUUCAUGUAAGUAUUAUUUAAUUUUAAUUCUUAUGUUACGCAUUCAAUUUAUAUGCAUGUUUAAAUUUAUAUUUUAUGUUAUGUUCAACAGACGACGAUGGUGGAGAGGAGCCAGUUGGUUCUUCAGGAGUCCGCCUCCCAGCUUCCUCCCGAGACUCCGAUCGAGUCUGUGGCUCCUCCACAGGAUGCUGGAUUUCAGAUCUUGACGGAGACGUUGGAUCAGACUCUCGGGAGGAGGCCGGGGACAUAUUGUCGAGGGAUGGGGAAUGCCCGGCGGAGGGAACCUAGACCUCGUUCAUCGGCCCAGUCAAACAGUCAGGUGACUGCUUUGACAGCACAGGUGGCCGAGCUUCAGGGUCAGAUGUCGGUGAUUCUACAGUCCCUCGCACAGAGCGGCUUUCCAAUCCCGCAGUUUCGUGCGUCAACCUCCCAGCCCGUCCACCCCGAGUAUGCCCACCAGACCACUGCCCCGGUGGACGCCCAGACCUCCGAGCCGCAUACUGGCGACGACCCGAUUGAUUUUGCUUCAUUAUUUGAUUAGUGUAUUUAUUUUCAUCAUAAACAUUUAUUUUAUUUGUAAUACAUUUAUUUUAUUUUAUAACAAAAUUUUGUUCUAAUUUAUUUUUAUUGCAAUUUCAUUGUUUAAUCAAUAAAAAAACCAAUUUUAUUUAAAAAAAAUAAAAAUAAAUAAAAAACAAAAACAAAAAAAACAAAAAAAAAUUGUAAUAUUAUUUUUGCGCGACGGAAGACAUUUCGUCGCGCAAAACCACAUGUAACAAAAAAAAUUAAAAAAAUCAAUUUUUUAUUACUUUAAUUCUUGCGCGACGAAUACAUACGUCUCGCAAACAUUUUUUGCGCGACGAAAUGUUUCGUCGCGCAACAGCUUUUGCGCGACGACUGAAAUUUUCGUCGCCAAAUAGAUGAGCGACGAAAACUUUCUCAUCGCGCGAAUAGUUCUGCGACGAAUAUAUACGUCUCCCGGACUAGUUUUGCGCGACGAAUUAUUUUCGUCGCGCUAUUCGUUUCGUCGCGCAAAUAUACGUGCGCCGAAUACUUUAUCGUCGCGCAAAUAUUUAUGCGACGAACAGUUGUUUCGUCUCCACACCGUUGGUGCAACGAUGGUUUACCCGUCGCACAAUUAUGCGCGACGAAGUGUUGUACCUCGUCGCGCAAAGGCUUUCUUCACGAUCUUCGCGCGACGGAAGGUGCGCGACGAAUUUUUUGUCGCGCUGAAAUUAGGGCGACUAAAUAAGACUUUGCGCGACGUUUUGUUAUUCGUCGCGCAAAGAGUAAAAUGUAGUAGUGAGACUUGUUGGAGACAAAACAGGUAAACAAAUUACUUGUAUUAGACUCACAAAAUAUUACAACAAGACAACUCUCAAAGAAAAGACAAACUCUCACACUUCUCACAAGGACUACUUAACUUUAUAGCUUAUUGCAUAUAGCAUAUGCAAACACAAUUAGAACAUACCUACGUACACUAUGGGAACACUCGUGUAUAUUUCAACACAAGAAAACAUGUGCACCGUGCACGGUUCACAUGAAGUAAGAAAUGAAGAGGAAAUAAAGAAGAAGAAUACAAAAGAAAAUGGAGAUGAGAAAAAAAAAAAAACCGAAUAAUGAAAAAUGAAUUGACAAUUAUAUAUGGUUGACAUUAGAUCUAAUAUUAUAUGUAACAACUAUUGAUCUAAAAUAAACAUUAAAUCAAACAAUAAUUAAAAGAUUUGACAAUAUAAAAAUUUAUUGAGGACAAAAAAAGGCAAAAACUUAUGAAAAAUGGAAACAAUAAAUAUGAACUGAGUCAUCAACUCACCAUGGUAAGUUUGCUGACGUAUAAAAAUAGUCAAUGGACAUCGAAAAGUAAUUGGCUUACAUCAAAAAUUAAAAUCACGUGGGUUAUUCCUAAGAAACCUUAAUAUUUGCCUUCCAUUUGUUCCAGCAAAAUAAAAGUCAUUGCUACUUAUUGUAACCCCUUUUCCAAGCUUAUUAAUCAAAGUAGACACCUCACUGCUGUCACCUAGCCAAUUUUCAACAAUGUCAUACUUAACAAGCAACUCCACAUCCUUUGAGGUGUUCACAAAACGAUCCAUGAGACUAACAUAAUCACUUAUGUACGUCUCCUCGUAGUGGCAUUGUUCAAAUGCGAUGAGAUUUCUAAUUAAUACCUCUGUAUGAUCGCUUAUUUUCAAUCUUGGAAUUUCAAGAGUCCGGCCAGCAAAUCUAAUAAGGUAUUCAUUGAUCCCUCAUUCAACUUGAACCCUGCCCUGUGUAGCUCUGUGAUGCUGGGUGUGUUUAUAGUUAUGAGUUUCCCGUCAUUAGUUUUUAGGGUUAUUCGUUAUAUGAGUCCCUGAACUUAGACCCGAUUUGCAUUUUAGUCCCUCAAUUUCCAAAAUCGUUCCAGUGGUCCUUCAACUUUAGUUUCGUUAGGACAAAUGGUCCUGCCGUCAAAUGAUUAUAAAGUGGAAAAAACAAGAACAAAAAAGGAAGUGAGUUAAAUUUGCACCUGCUAUGUUCAAACGACAAAGUUCGUUUCCGUUUGGUCGAUUACAAGAGAAGCUCAAUGCAGCUUACUUGGUUCCUCUUGGUAGAUGGAAAUAUAAUUUUUCUCCUAAUAACAAAGGUUUAGUGCAAUCAAUGAUGGGCUGUAUAGAACAACUUUUUUGUUUUAUAUGUUUAUGUGAGACAAGUUUUGCCAGAUUGAAUUAAUGUCUUCUAGCUAUGUACCUUAUCUUUUUGCCGGGCCAUGAGUUGAAUGUAGAGGCAGAGCAUGGCCUUGGGUUUGUAAAAGACAAAAGACUGAACCAGACGUAAUUAUUUAGAUUUUGGAUCCAGUUCCACAUCCCAAAGAGAAAACCACAAGUUUGCAAGCAAGUUUGUCCAUAUUAACACUACGUAGAGUAUAGGCAGUGUGCUACUCAUCUCACUUUCUCAACCUACCCUAUAUUUGUCUAAAAGAGUUUCUAAUUUCGUGUACUGAUUCACUACUACAUUUUACACUUUGUGCGACGAAGAGAAUUUCGUCACGCAAAAUACAUUGGUCGCGCAAAGUUUAAAAAAAAUUUUAAAAAAAUAAAAAAUUCCCGCGUCCAAUUUUUGGUACUUGUCCAAAUUUUUUGAGUUUUGCGCGACGAAUACUAACAUCGCGCAAAUAUUUGCGCGACGAAAUAUUUUUUGUUUUAAAUUUUUUUAAUUUAAAAUAAACUAAUUUAAUAGUUUGCGCUACGAAAUAUUUUGUCGCGCAAGGUUUUUGACUUUUUGUUUUAUUAUUUCUUUAAUAUGAAUUUAUUUAUAUGAAUUUUUUGAAAUUUUUACUUUUUAAAUUUAAUUUAAUUGUAUGAUUUCUUUUUAAAAUUACUUUAAUUUAAAUUGAUAUUAAUUUUUACUUUUUAAAUUUAAUUUAAUUGUAUGAUUUUUUUUAAUUACUUUAAUUUAAAUUGACAUAUUCAAAAUAAAAUUACAUAUGAAAAAUAGUGAUUAAAUUAUCCAAUAAAUAUAUAUAUAUAUAUAAUAUUCAAAAUGUACACAUAAAUUAACAAAGCACAAUAAUAAAAUCCUAAUACAAGCGUAUUGUGGUGGUAGUGUCGGAGGAUAUGUUUUGAUAGCUUCCUAAUCCUCAACUUUAGCCGUCAAAGUCUCGAUGAUUCCCUACAAAAAAAAUAAAUAUGGUCAAAUAACCACAAACAAAAAAAAAAAAAAAAAAAAAGGCAUAAUCUCCCCUAAAAUUGUUAUACCACAAAUCCAACCCAAACUCCAAUCCCUCCCCUUUACUCAACCCCAAAACCCACACAAACUCAAAAUUAACUCCAAAAACACAUAUUAAUGAAAAAAAUUUAAAAUUUGGAGAGAAUAUACCUUUUGGCAAGAUUGAGAGUGAAUGAGAGGGAGAAGUGAGUGUGAGAGAAUUAGAGAAGAUAGUGAUAGAGAGAUGAGAGAGAUGAGAGAGUGAGUGAGAGAGAGUGAGAGAUAGUGAAGAGAGAGAUGAGAGAUUAAGUGAGAGGAGUGAGUGAGAGAAAUGGUGGGAUUUGGGGAGAGGGAAAGAGAAAGGAGAGGUAAGAGUAGAGAAAGGCAUUGAGAAAAUGGUGGAUGAGUUAUUUCGGUUUUAAAAACCGUAUCACUUUGCGUGACGAAAAAUAUUGUUGGUCGCGCAAAGGUUUGCGCGACGAAAAAUAUUGGAAUAUUGAUCGCGCAAACUUUUGAGCGACGAAACAUAUUGGUCGCGCAAAGUCUAAAAAAAUUAUUUAAAAAAAAUAAAAAUCCCCGCGUCCCAUUUUUGGUACCCGCCAAAAUUUUUAAAUUUUUGCGCGACGAAUAUAGGAAUAUUGAUCGCGCAAAGUCUAAAAAAAUUAUUUAAAAAAAUAAAAAUCCCCGCGUCCCAUUUUUGGUACCCGCCAAAAUUUUUAAAUUUUUGCGCGACGAAUAUAGGAAUAUUGGUCGCGCAAAGUCUAAAAAAAUUAUUUAAAAAAAUAAAAAUCCCCGCGUCCCAUUUUUGGUACCCGCCAAAAUUUUUCAAUUUUUGCGCGACGAAAAAUACAUAUUGGUCGCGCAAAGUCUAAAAAAAUUAUUUAAAAAAAUAAAAAUCCCCGCGUCCCAUUUUUGGUACCCGCCAAAAUUUUUAAAUUUUUGCGCGACGAAAAAUACAUACUGGUCGCGCAAAGUCUAAAAAAAUUCCCGCGUCCGAUUUUUGGUACCCGCCCAAAUUUUUGCGAGACGAAAAAUAUAUAUUGGUCGCGCAAAGUUUUGAGCGACAAAAAAUAUUGGUCGCGCAAAGUCUAAAAUUUUUUUAUUUUUUUUUUAAAAUCCAGCGUCCCAUUUUUGGUACCCGUCCAAAUUUUUAGAGUUUUGCGCGACAAACUGUUGGUUGCGCAAACUUUUGAGAGACGAAAAAUUGGUUCGUAACACAAUAUUUAUAAAAAUAAUUGUUAUGAAUAAUAAAAAUAAAAUUAUUUUAUUUUACAAUUUAAAAUAUAAAUAAGGUUAAAGCUGCUUAAGAAAUAUAUAUACUAUUCAAUUUCUUAAGUGUUAUACGUACAAAAUAAAUAAAUUUAAAGGUACUUAAUAAAUAAAUAUAUAUACACACACCAUUCAACGAUCCAACCGUCAGACUUAUUUGUAUAUACUUCAAGAUCGUAUACCCCAAAAAUCACAAAAAACAAACAUUUAGAGAUCUAGUAACGAGACAAAACUUUUCGAUGGUUAUAAAUGAAAAAUUACGAUUUAACGGUUAUUUUAACUCCGAUUUUGAUGAUUUUUUUUUACAGCUACACUCCUUGACCAUAUAUGAAUACAAUGACUGAAUUUGAUCUUCAAUUUAAAAUAUUUACACUAGUGGAUACCACAAAAUCUUAUGUUAUAUCUAACGAACGUAUAAAUAACCUCUUAAUUGUUAGUGAAUAUAUUGUUUUGAUGGCAUAUGCAUUCACCAAAACUAGUUUCAACGAUCCAACCAUCAAACUUGUUUGUUUAUACUUCGAGAUCAUAUACGCCAAAAAUCAGAAAAAAUAAACAUUCAGAGAUCAAGUAAUGGGACAAAAAUUUUCGACGGUUAUAAUGAAAAAUCACGAUUUAACGGUUAUUUUAACUCCGAUUUUGAUGAUUUUUUACAGCUACACUCCUUGACCCUAUAUGAAUACAAUGACUGAAUUUGAUCUUCAAUUUAAAAUAUUUACACUAGUGUAUACCACAAAAUCUUAUGUUAUAUUUAACGAACGUAUAAAUAAACUCUUAAUUGUUAGUGAAUAUAUUGUUUUGAUGGCAUAUGCAUUCACCAAAACUAGUUUCAACGAUCCAACCGUCAAACUUGUUUGUUUAUACUUCGAGAUCAUAUACGCCAAAAAUCGGAAAAAAUAAACAUUCAGAGAUCAAGUAAUGGGACAAAACUUUUCGACGGUUAUAAUGAAAAAUCACGAUUUAACGGUUAUUUUAACUCCGAUUUUGAUGAUUUUUUACAGCUACACUCCUUGAACCUAUAUGAAUACAAUGACUGAAUUUGAUCUUCAAUUUAAAAUAUUUACACUAGUGGAUACCACAAAAUCUUAUGUUAUAUUUAACGAACGUAUAAAUAAACUCUUAAUUGUUAGUGAAUAUAUUGUUUUGAUGGCAUAUGCAUUUACCAAAACUAGUUUCAACGAUCCAACCGUCAACCUUGUUUGUUUAUACUUCGAGAUCAUAUACGCCAAAAAUCGGAAAAAAUAAACAUUCAGAGAUCAAGUAAUGAGACAAAACUUUUCGACGGUUAUAAUGAAAAAUCACGAUUUAACGGUUAUUUUAACUCCGAUUUUGAUGAUUUUUUACAGCUACACUCCUUGACCCUAUAUGAAUACAAUGAACUAAUUCGAUCGUCAAUUUAAAAUAUAUAUUUUCUAACAAAAACCCAAUCUGAACAACAAUAAUAUAUUUUUCUAACAAAAAUCCGAUCCGAUCUAAAAUAAUAAAUUUAAAGCUACUUAAUAAAUAUAUAUACUGUUUAAUUUCUUAAGUGUUAUGCAUACAAAAUAAAAAACAAAAAUAAAUUAGUAUAGGCGACAAAAUGUUUGGAUUACGUCAUGCAAAGAUUUUAAAAUAUAUAUAUAUAUUAUUUUUAUAAGGACUUUGCGCGACGAAGUUCAUUGUUUCGUCGCGCAAAGUCACUUUGAGCGACGAUGUAUUGUUGUCGCGCAAAAGUUUGUCGCGCAAAGUUACUUUGCGCGACGAAUUUUUUUUCAUCGCUCAAAAUUUGGUCGCGCAAGACUUUGAGUGACGAUGUAUUGUCGUCGCGCAAAAGUUUGUCGCGCGAAGUGACUUUGCGCUACGAAUUGUUUUUCGUCACGCAAAAUUUGGUCGCGCAAGACUUUGAGCGACGAAGUUUUGAGUUUCGUCGCGCAAAGUGACUUUGAGCGACGAAUAGUUUUUCGUCGCGCAAAAUUUGGUCGCGCAAGGGGUUUUUUUUUACUAGUAUGAGUUUUAUAUACAAUUUAUAACAAUAUUUUCAGGCAAAAAAAUGUCUUGGCAAGAAAAUGUACAAUUUGUUACGUACUUAACUGGAACGAUUACCUUCAAAUUCCUAUGGCCAAUUACCUUCUUUUUUCUUCCUUUUUUUUUUUUUUUUUUUUUUGGUUGUUGUUGUUCUUUUGAUCAAGUUGCAUAUUCCAAAGAACGAAAACCAGUACAGGCUCUUUUCCAAUGCAAGCUCUUUUCCCAUGUUUCCCUCUGUUUUUCUCCUAUUUUUCUUAUAUGGAAGUGAUUAAAAUACACCUCUAAGCUUGUUUUGCGUUUGGUAACCGACUGUAAAAGCUCAAUGCAGAUAGUUUGAGGUAGAAUUUUCUCCAAUUUUACUAGCACAGUGAUAAGCUAUACUAUAUGUAACAACAAAUUGCUUUAAUAAUGAUAAUGAAAAAAGUGUGAUCCAUCGAAUAUUUGCGGGGUUUUGUUCCAAGUCAACACAUCAAAUUCUUUUACACCAUGAAAUUAAAAAAAAUUUAUUCAACCAUCUCGACCUUAUGCUCGAUCAUUUUGCACAAGCAACCGUCCACGUACCCCAAUAAUUUAAAAGGGCUGAUGAUCUUUAAUUUGGCGAAAGCUUCUAUCUACUUCUACCGCGCUAUAUAUGAGCUAUGCAAUUGUGACGGUGUUACAUGACGUCACAAUGUCGUAGGGAUAAAAAAAUAAUAGUCAUGGUUUCUUAUUAAUGUUAAUACAGGCAUAGCAAAAAGCUUGUAUUUCUAGUGGUUAAGAACAAUUACCCAUGCACUUGAGAUAUUAUGUGCUUAAAUCCCCUCUUCCCCAAUAUUUCUUGUAUAAAAAUAAAAAUAAAAAUAAAAAUAAUAAAGAUAUUGAUAUUGUAUUCUAUAAAGUGUUGGACAUGUUUUAUACCCCUUUACUGCAAAUUACAGUUUGACACAUGUACAAAAAUAAUAGGUAAGUGUUGGACAUCAAGAGUACUUACAUAUAGGUUUAAUAGGUAAGUUUUGAAUAUUUCUGUCUUUAGCUUUAAUUAUUGAAAAUCAACCUAUUAUCAUAUUAAAGACUUAUCCAUGUUCAACGUACAUUCUCUUAUUUUUCUCUCAUUGAAGUAAAUACAAAACUAAGCACAUAGUGGAAAAGUAGGUCACGAUUAGGGGUGGGUUUGGUCUGGGUUGGUUCAGUUUUGGGCUCAACCCGAACACCGAACCGUAGACCUCGAUUUGGCUAUUUUGGAAACCAAAACUAAACCAUAAUUAAUGAAAACCGACCACUUCAAUUACCUUCUGGUCUUCCAACCAGAAGAAAACUCAAAACUUUAACCAUACCAAGUGCAACAGAAUUACACCAGGCUGGAGUCAAGUUUAUGAUGGUUAAAGAUAAAAACUUAUUUGACAUACAAUUUGAGAAUGGAAUCCUCAAAAUUCCACACCUGCGAAUACAGGGUUAAACAGAAAUUUUCUUCCGCAAUUUUAUUGCCUAUGAGCAGUGUGAGCUCCAUGAUCAUUACAUCAACAACUAUGUCUUCGUCAUGGACCGCCUGGUCGACAGUGCCAGGGAUGUGGAAUUGCUUGUGAAGAGUGGAAUUCUUGAAUCCAUGCUACCGGACAGCGAGGCAGCAGGGGAAUUUAUUAAUUCUCUUGACUUGGGGCCUAUUUUAGGCAAGCUUGAAACAAGACUAUUUCAGUUCACCAUGGGCUGGCCUGUCUAUUAUUGUAGCCGCUAUACUAGUUGUGCUCACAUUUAUUCAAACAGUGUGCUCCGUAAUGGCGCUGUAGGUUCUUCAUUUCCUCAAUUUCAUGUUUAGUGGUUGCAGAUUUGUUGCUCAUGUACGUGUUUAUCUAAAGUUAAAUAAGAGUGAUUGACUGAUAGUCUGUUAGUUUGUUUUUCUGGGGUUUUUCCCCUGUUCGUCAAAAAAGAAAAAGAGAAAGAGUGAUUGCUUGUGCCUGUUUGGGCCUAAUUUGACACACCCAAUCCAAAAUCAAAAAGUCCAUGUCAAUUUUGGACAGCCACCAGCAUUCCCUUUGUAAUUAGGCCAAAAACUGCACACCCAACCUAGCACUGGAGCCUAGAACAAACAAGGUAAACUCAGGACCCAAGCAGUUUGAUUUUUUCAUUUAAAUUGGAAUCAAGGGCCCCAAGUCAAAAAAGCCCAAGCCCAAGGCAGAUUUUUUACCAAAAAGACCCAAGGAAGCCCAGUGCAUGCGAAUUGCUUAGCCCACAAUCCCAAAACUCAAAACUAAGUUUGGCAUGAUUAAAUAAAGAUAGAGAGAAGCCCAAAAUUGAAGAAACCCAAAACAGUUUUAUCAAAAUUGUCAGCUCUCUACCCAAGACCUAAAAAGGGUCAAAAAUACCACUAUUGGCAAAAUUGACGCACUCAGCCUUGGAUCACAAAGAAAUCCACGUGACUAUUUGACUUUGAGAAGUCAACAAUUUCAACUAGUCACAAGAGAAGUUGAUUGGAAUUAAUGUAGGCAGGUCAUUACAGAAAAGACUUCUUUGAAACUCUGUAGCCAAAAGAUCAAAAUCCCUUUCUAUAUAAUUCUGCAUCAGAGUAGGUGGUCUUUCCAAGAGAUAAGCAGACUACGUUUUCAAGAGAUAAGUAGAGAAUGAGGGAGUUGUUCAACAAGAAAAGCAAACUAACCAUCAUGAUAGGUUGUGUUCUUUCUCUCUACAAAAAACAAUAGGGAACAAAGAAGAGUUGGUUUUUCUUUCAGAAAAAGGAAGGAAAAGACCUACAUGAAAACUAAUUAUUGAUGGUUCUUCUCUGCCAGAACAGAUAACUUCUCAUUUUCUUUGACAUUUAAAAAUGAAAGGUCUCGCUUUUACAAAAUCUGCCGCCCAUUAUUUAAAGAUUAGAAAACCCACUCCAGCAUUUCCUAUAAAUAUGAGAGGAGGUGAUGUCACAUCACGGGAUUGGCUCUGCCGUAGCACGAUAUUGUCCACUUUGCGCCCCCCUCUCUACCCUCACGGUUUUAUUUUUGGGAACUCACGAGCAACUUCCCAGUGGGUCACUCAUCUUGGGAUUGCUCUAGCCCCCAGCUCGCUUAACUUCGGAGUUCCCAUGACUCCGAAGCCAAUGAGCUCCCAAAAGGCCUCGUGUUAGAUGGAGGCGGGCAUGUACAUAUAAGGCACAUCACCUCCUCUCCGUUGGUCGAUGUGGGAUGUUACAGGUGAACAUAUCAAAGGACAGCCAAAAAAUCAAUCAAAGACAAAAACUCAAAAUGAUCACUUGAUCUCAAAAGCCUUCAAAACACUGAAGCAAGCAAAGCUCAUUGAGCCACAACGAACAAGUCAGCUAGAAUUCAGAAUCUUUAGAGUCAGUUCAGUUUCAGAGAAAUAAUCAAAGAAAGCGAGAUCUCUCUCGUUACAAAUUUGGUUCAGCUUAAAGCCAAAACAAGCAGAGUUCAGGUUCUUACAAAUAUGAAAACCUCAAUAAAUUUAUGGAGAGCCCUGAUCAAGCAAAACAGGUACUACAGUGCAGUUCUAGCUUAGUAAUAAUCAAAUCCACCCACUUCUGCCCCUUCCAGAUUGAGAAGGUCCCAAUUCUGCCCAUUCAAAAAGCCUUCCAAGACUUGAAAUAGAUUAAAGCUCUGCCAAACUCAAAUGUUGGAAUCAAUUCGCAGCUGAAACAUGACAGUUGAAGGUGUUGAUAGUCCAGUCCAGCACAGACAUACCCAGUCUAGCCCAGAUCAGAAGCAUUCACCGAGGCAGAAAUUGAAGUCCAAAGCUCUUUUUGUCUUUUUAGAGUUGGUCUUCCUUUUCUGAGCUUUGUAAAAGGCAAUUCUGCCUAAAACAGUUCACUUUCUUAUCAUUUAUUCUGGCCAGAACUACCAGUUUUGUACUGUGAAAAAUUAUGAAGUCCUCACCAGUCUAAGGCAAGAAAAGAACUUACUUGGGAGAUAUUCCUCACCAAAUUCACAACCGUUUGUUUAGAAAUCAGUAACUUGGUGUAACGACCCGGUCCUAAAUAAAUUGGUAAUUAUUAAUUUAUUCAGAUAAAAGACCAUUUUGCCCAUAGAAUAUUUUAAUAGGUUUACAUGUUGACCCGGGAGGCUUCGGUGAAAUUGUUACAUCUCGGUCCGAAAAAGUGUUAAAAUAAUUAAAGUAGAGUGCUGCUAAAAGAACCCUAAAAUUAACUGAGUACACCCUAUGAUCUAAGUACACCCUAAUAUUUUAAUUAAAAUAUAAAAUUAACUAAGUACACCCUAUAAAACUAUCAAAAAUAACACUGAUACACCCUAAUACUUGUAGCAUUAUUUUAUAGUUGAUUAUUUUAAUAGUGUUUAUAAAUCUUUGACUUUUCAUAUGGAUUUAUGCUUCUACUAAAAUUGUUGCCACUUUUUUUCCAAUUCCAAGUUCUUGCAAUCACCACAUCUUUCGUUAAAAACACAAUAGGACAAGCAAUCUCUUGAUUAGGGUUGAAUAUGGUUAGUAGGGUGUACUUAUUAAUAUUAUAUUUGUUUCACAAUUCCAUAUAUCCUUUUUGGUCAUUUUAUAUUAGGGUAAACCAGUAAUUCAAUAUAUACUUUUAUAGUAGGGUGUACUCAGUUAAUUUUAGGGUUCGUUUAGCAGCACUCUUAAAGUAAGAGAGAAUAAAAUGAAAUAAACAUUAAAAUAAAAUGAUUUGAAUUAAUUAAGGUUUUUGAGAAAUUAAAAUAUUAUUUAAUAUUAUAAGGGGAAAAAGAUCAUUUUAAGUUUGGGAAGGAAUUUGGAAAUUCCAAUUGUACCGUUGUGUAGAGCAUGUCGAAACGAGUCCGUAGACACGUAGUGGACUCGAAUCGUAGUUAUAACGGAGAAAUGGCGAUCAAAAGAAGUUCAGUGGCAUAGCCAUAAAUAUUUCGAAGUUCAGUUUUUUUAAAACCCAAAUUUCUUCUCUCUGGGGAGUGGGAGAGCCAACUUCAAAUGGUGAUUUCUCCCAACUCCGACCACCACACUUCCCUCUUCCUUCAGUUUUGGCAUCAUGAUGGGUUCCAUCCCGGAAUGACACAUUUUCGACGCUAAGGACGUCACAAAUGGUAUUUGAGAUGCUUUGUAAAUUUGUAACCAUGGAAAACACAAUGAACUUUAUGUUCGGAGUUGCAAGAGAACAUUAAGGGGAAUAUGGAGAGUGGGAAAAUAGUAAUAAGUGGAGAUCUGUAUGCUUACUUACUACUGAACUUCCGUCGUGGUGGUUAGUAUGAAAAAGUGUUAGAGAUUAUAGAUUUUAUGGAGGAACAUGGUUGUACACUGAUAAGUAGUCGGUAGGAGUUGAUUUAAGUUCCAAGAGAAAUUCAUUAUGAACUGGGAUGAAUUACUGCAAGAUUCUUGCUGUUUUGAAGUUAUUGAUUUUAGGGGCAUCACCUCUGAAUGAUCAUAAUAACCAUGCGUGGGCUCUGCAUGAGGUUUCUUUGACAUUGUUUGAUUUUGUGUAUUGAUAAUUACACUUAGGGGUGUCACGUUUCUAGAAACGUGUCUAUCCAAAUUGUUGUAUCUCAAUAUCCUAUGGAAGGAAAGCUGAGAAGCUGAAAAUACUGGAUUUAUGGUGGUGAGAUAAAAAUUGUCAGGAACUUUCAAAAGUCAAAUUAUUUCACAAAGGGAAAUACUGGAGAGAAGUAUUAGAGAAUUUUCUUUGGAUAAGUUAUAUAGGAGUGGAGGAGUUGCGAGUUUAACCAAGGAGGGUUGUGACAAUUUAAAUUGAGAAGUAGUGGUGUUGGGUGAAGUAUUAUUUCAUUCGCGUGGGCUUGAAUGCCGCGAUUGACAGGAAUGGAACAUUAGGGUUCUUCUUCCUUGCUCUCUCACGCGAGCUCGCCAUAGAGAGUAUUUCUUGGCGUGGUACUGGCUUCGUCCGACCUCCGAUUACUGUGAUUUUUGAAAGGACCCGGCCCAAAUUUCUCAAAAUCCGAGGCGAAUCCUGUGAAAUUCCCGACAUCACUCCGAUGCCAGGCCCACUUACUAAAGACCGAGACUUUCUGCCGAACUUUCGGCAGAGUCUCCCCUAUAAAUUGGACAUUUUCCAAAACUACCACCUGCAUAAAACACAAUUUAUAUCCCCAACUGGCAGCAUGCACAAGAUAAUUUCAUGCAAAUCACAUAAUCGGCCUGCGGCCUUCAAAUAAUUCAAAACGAAACCACCAAGCACACUAUCAAAUUAAUUCCUACCUUAAACAAGGCAAACAAUAAAUUUAAAUAUGAAUUAUGACUACUAAAUUUCAACAUACGAGGUUUUAACCUCCUAACACAAUCACAUCUAUGUCCGCGGCUGCACCUAAUAACCUUAGGCUGCCUACGUACCUUCACUGAGGGAUCAAGCCACACGUAGUUCUUCCGUAAAACCCAAUUCCACACAUAGGCAAUACCUUUAUUCAUUUCUCUGUAUUUCACAUAAUCUCCCCAUACGCCAGUACUACCAUUGCCACGUAUGGGACUUGUCAACAAGCCGGAUAACCUACACCACGUGCGAUCUCAACAUAAUAUCACAUAAUCUCCUCAUACGCCGGUACAACCAGCGCCACGUAUGGGGCCUGUCAACACGCCGGAUAACCUACGCCACGUGCGACCUCAUCAUACUAUCACAUGAUCUCCCCAUACGCAGGUACAACCAACACCACGUAUGGGGCCUGUCUCAACGCCGGAUAACCUACGCCACGUGAGACCUGAACAUAAUAUCACAUAUCUCCUCAUACGCCGGUACAACCAAUGCCACGUAUGGGGCCUGUCAACACGCCGGAUAACCUACGCCACAUGCGACCUCAAUAUACUAUCACAAUAUCUCCCCAUACGCCGGUGCAACCAACGCCACAUAUAGGGUCUGUCUCAAAUUGGAUAACCUACGCCACGCUAGACCUCAACAUCAUAUCACAAUAUCUCCUCAUACGCCGGUACAACCAACGUCACGUAUGGGGUCUGUCCGCAUGCCGGAUAACCUACGCCAUGUGGGACCUAACUUUCACAGAGUGGUACUUGUAGUGUAACCAAAAUCUGGGGAGGUGCCUAAGGUAGUGCAUAUAGCACUUCAAACUGACAUUCUCUCACUUAUCUAAACUAAUACUAGAGGUCUUCCCAUUUUAAUGGUACCAGUCUAUAGUAGAUUGUAACGUAAUUUAAUCAUAAAAAUAAUAUUAUUUCUAGACCAACGAUUAUUCACAUAAACAUGAAUUUCAUAAUUUCACUAUUUAAAAUAAUAUCUAAAAGUUUCCUAUAAUACAAAUAAACACUCUAAAGAUCCCAACUUAGUCAACACAGCUCAACAAUGCUCAAGACCUGUCAUUAGGGUCAUUAUGAUCCUUCUAGGAAGGUAAAACUACCUCGAAAGACUCAAGGUCAACCAAGGGUCAAACCACCCACAAUUGGUCAAACGGGCCCACGGGGCCCACGACCUCCAAAUUCCAAUCCGAAGGUUCCUAUGGGAUCUACAAGGUAUAGGACACUCGUCUUGCAAGUUAAGCCUAGAUCGGAUGGUCAGAUCGCUCACGAUCGCACAAUCUGAUGGUUAAUAUAAAACAUAAACUUUAAAUUAUUUAAUCGGAACAUCCGGGGCUCCCGAUUCACGAUCUGUUCCUACACGAUCCUAGAAAUACAUAGAUUAACAUAUAUUAAAUUUGAGACCAUCCAACGGUCCUAACCUAUCGAACCCGGAUAACGCGCAAUAGGCGAUAUUCGUUCGAUAGUCAAACGACGUCCGAAUUGAGAUUUACGAAAUCCUACGCACUCGUGACAACCUAAGGAUCUCAUUGAGACAUAUUGCUAUCCCAAAACCGACCGAAAUCCAAUUCGAAAAUCGAGUUACUUACGUUAAGAAUCGACCGAAUCCUACCCAACAGGCAGCUAGAGCAUGAAAAGUAUGUGAGAAACCAUACCUCACUCGUCGAAAUCAGUGGCCAAAGGAGGGAGAUCGACGAUAGAGAAGUUCGGACGAACUGACCGCUUCUUCUCCAUUUUUCAGCGAAACCACGGUAGCUGGUGGCGGGACCUAGCUGGGGUUGGAAGAGGAUGACGCCCCGGUCAUUUUGGUAUCGGCCUCGUGGUCAUCGGUGGCCGGAUGAGAAAACAGCCGGCGAAAAUGUGACCGGCUGCCGUUGCGCACGCGAGAGAGACCACGAGAGAGAGAGAGAGAGAGAGAGAGAGAGAAAUCUGAUUGUGCCACUGAGAUUCUUUUGACCAUAUCUCUCUCGUUACAACUCCGAUUCAAGCCCACCACGUGUCUACGGACUCAUCUCGGUACGACCUAUCCAAAAAUACCAAUCACUACCCCAAAUACUUUUUGGAUCAGAAAGUGACCAAAUUACCCCUACCUCAAUGGUAACUUUGUAAUUUCACUUAAAUAAUUUAAAUAAGGGAUUAAAUUUGGAGUCGGGGUGUUACAAUUUUUGUUGCUAAAUGUUGUCAUCAUUUCUCCUCUACAUCACUCAGUGAUCAUUCACUCCCAUUUCUCUAGUUUACACGGUGAAUUUUAUUUCUAAAAUUUCUUAAAAUUCCGGCCACUGUGAGUUUGACCAGCGACUUGGGUUACUUUUGCCCAUCUUUUUGGAAAUGGAACCGAUUUGAGGAAGAUUAGGAGGAAAGAUACAUAGGCCGCUGAGGCAGAAGUAAAGCCGGAGCUUUACCAUAGACAGAAGUUGUUUUAGAAGUCCUGGAAGAUUGUGAACAGGAAUUGGAAGUUUGCAUGGGGUGAUAGGAUUUUUAGUACUUGUGCAAACAGUGUUAAAAAUCACAUAAAAUACUUGCAAGAAUACAAGGCUAUUGUAGUCUAGAUGCUCAUGCAAGGUCGUUUUCCUCAAGGACUAAUUAGCAAUUUAUGUAAAAAUAAAUUCCAAUUACUACUUAAAAUAAAAAGUCAAGAAAGAUGAUUAUAAAUUUGGUUGAUUCUAAAAAACAAAUAUUAAACAAAAACAAAUACGAUUGAAAGAAAGAGUUUUGAAUAUCAAUUUAUAAAAACACUAGGGUUUCACCAUCACCUAGCAAUCCUAUGAACUUUUACCAAUUACUUAUGAUUUGCACAUGCCACUUUGAAGGUUAGGUUUUCCUAAUGUAUAUUCUACUUAGAACCUCCAACACAGAAUGUAUAUCCAACAUGCAACCCGUCCGGACGUUCGGAUCAAAUCUGAACAUGAAAGACUCAUUAAGUUUUGUGAAAACCCUUUGAAAAACCAUGCAACCCUUAAGACGUGGUGUUCAUCUUAAGUGAAAUUACAAUUAUUAAUCAGAAGAAGCUAGCAUCAAUUUCAGGGAACCUUCCGACCAAAAUUGCAUCCAAUUACUUUUCUAAAGAUCCUAAUGGUGAUCAGGCAUUAAGACAAUUAGAUAGUUUAAAACAGUGAUUAACAAUUCAAAAUACGCAUGCACUCAUCAUAAGCAAUUAAAUAAAAAUCACAUAUUCAUGCUAAGGUUCAAGGCUUCACCCUAGCAAAAGAAAUUUAGUUACGCAUACUCAUAAUUGAAAUCCAAGAAAAUAUCAUUAAGAAGAAAAGAACGAAAACACCUGAAAGUUGUGAAAACCCAAAACCCUAGCAAUUGCUCUCCACAAUGCAAAGUUCAAAAGUGAAAAGGGAGUCCUCCAUUCCUUGUGAGAAAGAGCUUAAAUACCCCUUAAAACCUAGCUGCCAAUGUACAGCUUUUCUAUCCCCACAAGGAAACUAAUUAAAAUAAAAUAAUACUAGGAAAUAAAGUCCAAAUUGGAAUAGGAGAAUCUGCUCAAAAUCUGCCCAGCCACGUUUUGGCCCCAAAUCUCCUCCAAAUCUGGCCCAAGAUAGCUUGUUUUAAAGAUAAAAAAUGUUCUGAACACUUCUUUAGAAGGCCACGAACCCAUCCGAGGUCAUCUUGGGCUCCAAAAACGCAAUAAAAGCCCAACACGUCACUAUUCCAGCACCGCGCACUGCUCCUUUAUUUUGUUGCCAGAAAAUAACCGCUUGGAAGAAAAAUCUGAAAUUUUGAUACGAUCAAGCUAAGUGACUCAAGAACGUCCUCCAACUGGAAUUACUCCAAAAUUCCUCAAUUUGAUUAUGUUUUGCUCCAGAGAGAUUCGAAAGUCCUAUAUUGGAAAUAUAAUUCAAAGUAUCAAAAGUCUUCCAAAAUAAUAACCAAAAUAUACUAAGAAUGAGGUUAAAUAUAUAAUAUAAAAUAUGUCCAUCAAAAUACCCCCAAACUUAGCUUUUGCUUGUCCUCAAGUGAAACAAGACUCAAACAAAAAUAAAAACUUAACAGAUUAGACAUCUGGCUAACACUUAACUAGGACAAAAUUUCCACCUUCAAGUUGCAAUCCAUAGAAAAUUUUAAAAACUAGAACAUCCUUUCAAUAGAUCUAAGUAAUCCCACCACAAAGUCUAAGCUAUUUAGACUCAAUUAGAAAAGAAUUCACAAACUUCUUUCGGUGCAAAGUGAACCAUUAUGGUUAUGGAGACUUGACUAAAACCCUUAACUCUCAUCCCUUUUAUUCAUACUUCACACACUCCACACUUUUUGUUUUUUUUGUUUUUUGUUUUUUGUUUUUUUGUUUUUUUUUCUUUUUGUUUUUAUAGUAACAGUAGUGGUUGUGCAAUGUUGGUUCCCUUAAGCUUUCAAUCCAACCGUGUAGCCAGCUUUAGGUCAAUGUCUCCCAAACCACUCGGGUUUUAGGGCACUAGGUGUAGAACACCCCUAAGGACUUAUUAACUCAAGCUGAAAAGGCUACGAAACCAACUAACCACCCUGCCUCAUGCCAAAACUCUACCUUUUGUCUCGAGAAUCACUGCUGAUUAGGCAGGAUUGACCCGGUUACUAGCAAAGCUUCGGGUGAGGUAAUUAUUACUUUAUAACACAAACUAACUUUAUUUAUAUUGAACAUAAAUUAAAACACAUUUGGACAAAAAGUAAGUAUUCCAAUCUCACUCCCCAAAAACCAUGUUGGUGUGAUGUGCAAAUUUCAAAGUAUAAUUCAUGAAUUAAUGUCUAAGCAACAAUAAAUAGAAAAUACUCUACCGUGGGAUUGAUUUUCACCAUGUCCAUUUGUUCUAACGUUUAAAAUAAUCUAUGGAUAUUGACUGAAAAACGAAAAUUUGUAAACAAGACUCAAAAAAUGAAAAAUAAAAAAAAUUACGUUCCCACCCCCUAACUUAAAUCACACAUUGUCCUCAAGGUGGGGUAAAUAAUCAAAAGAAACAAGAGCAGAAACAAAACGACUAAAACUUAGAAAAUGGAAAUCAAAAAUAAAGAAAAUACUCUAAGAAAAGAAAUUAGGAAGGCAAAGGAUGAGAUCCAGAUGGAUCUGGUAAUCCUAUCCGUAGAGAUGGAAAGAUUCUAUACACGCCAUUGAGACUGGAUUUGGAGAUGAGGAUUUGACCCUACCUUGUUCGACGAAUUCCCUCAAGGGGAAUUAUAGCAAUAAAAUACAUAUGCUUCUACAAACAUUUAAUUGCACUGCUACGACGUGGAAAGAGUGCUUUGGGGUCUCAUCUCAUGUGAACCCGUUCGAGUAGAAAUCUUUCAUUAGAAUCAGAAAUGGGUCAUGGUAAAGAGAGGUAGAUGAUGAUUACAGUUCGGUAAAAAUGAUCAUUUCUGACAUUCCUCUCAAAGAACCGUGUUGGCAAUGUCGUUUAUCGAUUCUAAAGAAAGAAGAAAAAUAUCAACAAGUCAAAGAACGUGGAUUUCUUUUAAGGGGAGAGCUAGAACAAAAUCAAAUCACGAAUGGAAGAGUUUAGCUUUCAGAGGAAGAUUGAGCAUUACAGCAGCUAUUAAAGGAUAUUUUUAGUUGAAGAAUGAGAUUUUUCUUCCUCUGAUUGUUUAGCUAGAGCUUUUGGCUUGACUGCCAACGUGGUUGUGGAGGAAGAAACUUGGGAACCCGAGUAGUAGAUGCGAGCCCACUACCCAUACCCCUUUUGAGUGACAGGUAUGAAAUUUCAAGGAUGAAAUUUUUAUAAGAGGGGUAGAUUGUAACGACCCGGUCCUAAAUAAAUUGGUAAUUAUUAAUUUAUUCAUAUAAAAGACCAUUUUGCCCCCAUAAUAUUUUAAUAGGUUUACAUGUUGACUUGUUGACCGGGGAGGCUUUGGUGAAAUUGUUACAUCCCGGUCUGAAAAAGUGUUAAAAUAAUUAAAGUAAGAGAGAAUAAAUUGAAAUAAACAUUAAAAUAAAAUGAUUUGAAUUAAUUAAGGUGUUUGAGAAAUUAAAAUAUUAUUUAAAAUUAUAAGGGGCAAAAAGAUCAUUUUAAGUUUGGGAAGGAAUUUGAAAAUUUUGAUUGUACCGUUGUGUGGAGCACGUCGAAACGAGUCCGUAGACACAUAGUGGACUCGAAUCGGAGUUGUAACGAAAAAAUGGCGAUCAAAAGAAUUUCAGUGGCAUAACCGUAAAUAUUUUGAAGUUCAGUUUUUUUAAAACCCACAUUUAUUCUCUCUGGGGAGUGGGACGUGCCAACUUCAAAUGGUGAUUUCUCCCAACUCCGGCCACCAAUUCAAGUAAGACCGGCCCCGUUAGAACCACCACACUUCCCUCUUCCAGUCCCAGCCCAUCUCAGUCUCGAUCCGCCGUCGUAGUCGCCGAAAAUCGCCACGAAACAAGGUGGUUUGGAUAGUUUUUGUCGAAAUUUCGUGGAGCUCGUUCUCCCUCCUCCGGCCACCGUUUCAGGCGAGUGAGGUAUCAUUUCUCACCUAUUUUCUAUGAUAUAGCUGAUGGUUGGAUAUGAUUUGAUAAAUUUUGAGCGUUGAUAGUUCGAUUUUCGAAUCAAAGUUUGGCCGAAUUUCGGGAUGAAAUUCCGGCCACUUUCGAUCACUUUUUGGGGUAGGCCCAAGAACAAAAGUGUCUUCAAUUGAUGUCCUGAUCCCAGGGUAAGAGCAUUGGUCGAAAAUUUUGAGAUUUUCCUGCUGGUGGUAUCGCUUUGGGCACCCAUGCGCUGAUGGCGCGUGUGGCAGCGUGUGGGCACUGUAGCAGAGGGCCAUUGUGUCCCAAUGCGACCCCCUUGUUGUCACGAGUGCGUAAGGGUGCUCGGAUUCCAAUUUGGUUGAGGUUUGAACCCCGAAUGGAUUUCGUAUAUUGUACAUUAUCCGGGUUUGAUAGGUUUGAACCGUUGGAUAGUCUUGAAUUUAAUAUAUGUUAGUCUAGACAUCCCUAGGAUCAUAUAGGAUUUCGCGGAUCAUGGAUCGGAGCCCCGGAUGUUCUGAUUUAAUAAAUUAAAGUUUGUGUUUUACAAUAACCGUCCGAUCGUGCGAUCGCGAGCAAUCCGACAGUCCGAUCCGAACCAAACUUGCAGGACGGGUAUCCUAAAUCUUGUAGAACCCAUAGGAGCUUUCGGAUAAGAAUUUGGAGGUCGUGGGCCCGGUUGACCAAGAUUAGGUAGUUUGACCCCUCGGUUGACCAUGAGUCUUCCGAGGUAGUUUCACCCUUCGAGGAGUACUAGAAUGACCUUAUUACAUAGUCUCGACCUUUAAUUGAGCUAUGUUGACUAUGUUGAGAUUUUUAGAGUGUUUAUUAUUAUCGUAUGAAAACUCUUGGAUAUUACUUUUAAUAAUUGAAAUUAUGGAUUUGAUGAGCGUGGGUAAAUUGAUUUGAUGAGUGGUGAAAAGAAGUCGUGGGCUUGGCUAUGACUAUUAGGAAGUGAGGGGACAUUUAUGUUGAAUAUGCAUUAAUUUCAACAAUUGAAAGAACAUGCAUGGAAUGGGUAUAUAUAUAUAUAUAGAUAAAUUGGAUUAAAGAUUGAGAAAUUAAUAAGUUGAGAUAUUAGUAAUAUUUAAUUGAGAAAUGGAUUUUGAGGUGGAAAUUGGAAGGUUGAAUUUGGGGAAUUUUGGAAUUGAGAAUUAUGGGUUAAUACUGAAAGAUGUAGGAUUAUACUAUGUAAGUACCAUCCCCUAGUUACUAGGCUUCCCAUACGUGGAGUUGGAAUUUCUGGCGUGUGGGAAGGAUAUAUGAUUAUUAGAUCUCACAUGCCGUUGGAUUUUCCAGCGUGAGACAGACCCCAUACGUGGGGUUGGAUUUUUCGGCGUAUGGGGAGAUUAUGUGAUGGUUAGGUCACACGUAGGGUGGGAUUUUCCAACGUGUUGACAGACCCCAUAAGUGGCGUUGGAUUUUCCGGUGUAUAGGGAGAUUAUGUGAUGGUUAGGUCACACGUGGCAUAGGAUUUUCCAGCGUGUUGACAGACCCCGUACGUGGCGUUGGAUUUUCAGCGUAUGAGGAGAUUAUGUGAUGGUUAGGUCCCAUGUGGCGUAGGAUUUUCCGGCGUGUUGACAGACUCCAUACGUGACGUUGGAUUUUCCGACGUAUGGGGAGAUUAUCUGAUGGUUAGGUCACACGUGGAGUAGGAUUUUUCAGCGUGUUGACAGACCCCAUACGUGACGUUGGAUUUUCCGGCGUAUGGAGAGAUUAUGUGAUGGUUAGGUCACACGUGGCGUAGAAUUUUCUGGCGUGUUGACAGACCCCAUAUGUGGCGUUGGAUUUUCCGGCAUAUGGGGAGAUAAUGAGAUGGUUAGGUCACACGUGGCAUAGGAUUUUCUGGCUUGUUGACAGACCCCAUAUGUGGCGUUGGAUUUUCGCGCGUAUGGGAAGGAUAUGUGAUUAUUAGGUCUCACAGGUGGCGUUGGAAUUUCCGGCGUAUGAGACACUAACAGUGAGAAGAGAAUGAGAUUAUUUUUCUAUAUCAGAGAAAGGUUAGAGUAUAAAAAGAAAUAUGUUUGGUGUGUGGUAAUUUAAAUUAAAACAGGGAAAGAUAACUUACCUGUACUACUGAAACAGUUGUGUAACAUUUGGAGCAUGAUUAUGGAGUGAAAGAACUACGUGUGGCUUGAUCUCUCAGUAAGGGUACGUAGGCAACCUAGGUGCAGUCGUAGACUAAACGUUAUUUAUGUUGUUUUAUUGAGAUUGGUUCUGACCCUGUCGUUGGUCCUGAAAUUCGGUUGAAAACUAGAUGCGAGUAAAUAAUUGUUCAUACUCCCGUUUCGUUGAGGGAGGAUUGUGUAAAUGUGUUCUGGUCAAGACAGGUAUAAGAACUCGUUUAGGAUUGAUGUACGAUUUGGGCUAAGGCCUUAAACUACUUGUUGUUGUAUUAGGAGAUUAAAACCUCGCAUGUGGGAUAAUUGGGAAAGUUAGAUGAUGUAAAGUGCACUUAGGCAUUCAUAUAUAUGUUUAAAUUUAUUAUUUGUCUUGCUUAACGUAAUUGUUUGACUUAUGGGCUUUAUUGGUGAUUUGCUUCAGAUUAUUUAAAGGCCGAAGGCCGUUUAUGUGAAUUGCAUUUUGAUACAUUGUGCAUGCUACUAGUUGUGGAUAUUAAAUGUGUUUUAUGCAGGUUGAAAUUUUUGGGAUUGUUCAAAUUACAGGGGAGACUGCCAAAAUUUUGAUAGAAAGUCUCGGUCAUUAGUAAGUGGGCCCGGCAUCGAGGUGAUGUCGGAAUUUACACAAGAUUCCUCUCGGGUUUUCAGGAAUUCGGGGCGGAUCCUGUUACUUGGGGUGCAAAUUAUCCAUUUGUUCACCCGUUUUCGUGUUUUACUUCUGAGGUGGAAGGGCGAAGUUUCCCACUGGCUUGGAGACCACUUGUUGGUCGACAAGUCAGCUUUCUUUGGUGUGUGUGAGCGUGCCACUGCUAGCAAUGUAAAUUCUAGCAGACUUAUUUUUUAGAGUGGAUAACUUGCGCCUCAAGUUACUGACUUCUAAAACAAAUGAUUGUGAAUUUGGGUGAGGAAUAUCUCCCAAGUAAGUUCUUUUCUUGCCUCAAACUGGUGAGGACUUUCACAAUUUAUCUCAGUAUCAAAUGGUUGUUCUGGCCAGAAUAGAUAAUAAUAAAGUAGACUGUUUCAGGCAGAACUGCCUUUUACAAAAUUAAGAAGGGAGAAAUCAACUCUAGAAAGGAAAAAAGAUGGCUGGAAUCCCAUUUCUGCCUGGGUAGAAACUUCUGAUCCGGGCUGGACUGGGUAUGUCUAUGCUGGACGGUGCUGUCAACAACUUUAGCUUGCUCGGCUUUAGUUGUAAAUCGAUACCAAAGUUCAAUUUUGGCAGAGCUUCAAUCUACUUCAAGCCUUGGGAGACUUUUGAGUGGGCAGAACUGCAGCUUCUUCAGUUUGAAGGGACAGAAGUGGCUAUUCUCGAGGAUUUAGCAAGCUGGAACUAUGCUAUAAAAUUUGUUGAGGUUUUCAUAUUUGUGAAAACUCAAACUAUGUUUGUCUUGGCUUUUGCUGAACCAAAUUUGUAACGAGAGGGAUCUUGUUUUCAGAAGACUUAUUUUCUAAGUCUGAACUUUGGAAUUCUGAUCUAAAGCUGUUUUCUUGUUUGUUUUUUUUUGAUUGACUGAUGAAUUGAGUGUCCUUUGUUUCUUUGCCUUCUUUCGCUUUUAUAAGAGAUCCUCCUAAGGAGGUCAUUUUUAAUCCUAAACAAUGGGCGGCAAAAAGAUCUCUUAUAAUGUAAAGUAAGAAGGGUUUCUUAUCAAUCAAGGCAGAUAGGUUCUGAGCAGUCACCUCCUAAAAACAGUCCAUUCCCUGGUUUCCUGGGUGGCAGCUUUCUAAUUCAACCAACGCCACCGUCUGUGUGGGCUUUUUAUGGCAGUUUUGGCUCUUUUCUUUUGUAUUUUCUGAGUGGUUCCCUGUUUCCCGUUCUAAUUUAGAAAGCGUGAUUCGUGAAUUCCUUGGGAGAUGGUGUAUUGAUUUGGAGCAAAAUCUUGAACACAGAUGGGUUUUUGAUCUUCAAUUGGCAGUGUUUCAGAGACGUCCCUCUCACAUUUUUAAACUUUAGUUGGAAUUGCUGACUUUUCCAAAGUUGAGGCAAUCACGUGGGUGUGUCUUUGAUCCCUUGGUUUUGAAUCUAUCGAAAAUUACGGGCUGAUCUUUGAAGCCCAUUUCGAAAGUUUCCACAUCUGGGCUUUCUUUGGGCUGAGGCUUUAUUUCCAACAUUCUUGGUGUGAAGCCCAAACUGUCUGGGUCUUAUUUUCGUUUUUCUCAAGUCUCUGGGCUGGGCAGGCAAUUUUAUCAUGGGCCUGUCUUCUGGUCUUGGGCGUGCCGAAUUUGGGCCCAAACAAUGCCCCCUAAGUCUGAAUCGUUUUGGAAUGGUUUCAGACUUAAUGUUUUGCCAUUUAAUUCACGUGCCAGUUUCUUCCGUGUUUUCGCCCACGUCUGCCACGUUUGCCUGCUACGAACUAGAGUUCGUGGGAAAACGGCUAGUUAUUAUCUAGUUACUAGCUAAUAAUCAUCAGGUGCCGUCCCAUCUUCUUCUUCCCACGUUUUCGAGCCCCUCUUUAAAAGAAAUUCAAAUUCAUAGCUUCUGAAAAAAGAAACCCUAAACCUUCCAGCUCUUGUUCCUGCGAGUUCUUUCUUCGAGAUUUCCAAAGCCUUCUUUAGACCUUCCUUUCUUCUGCUUCUUCCCUUGAAUCAGAAAUGUCUUCCCCAAGGUCCCGCGCUCAGUCUUCUUCCGCUUCAGUUCCUCCCGAUUAUAUCACUGGGAGCGGGAUUGAUGCUCACGCGAUAGAAAUCAGGAGCAAGCUUCAUCCCUUUGCCCAGAAGAAUCUGGACGAGAAUGUCCUCCAUUUGUUUGAGAACACCCUGGUGUUAGGGCCUCACUGGUUUGGUCCUGUUCCAGCUGAGAUGGCAGAAUUGCUAAAAAAGGAUGCCGAGGCUCCUUUGUGUUUUGAGAGCUCUUCUGCCCUGGCUUCUUAUUCUUGGGUUAGCAAGAAUUUGAGCCGGUCCUUCCCGUCCAGCGAGGUGAGGAAUAGUCUGGUCAAAUGGGCAGACUGGAUUGAUAGACUUCUCCCGAGAUAUGGGGGUCACUGGAGGAGAGCUGGGAUUUAUGACGCCAUUUUUCUGUCCAAACAAUCGAUUAACAGAGAUGAGAAUCUGCUUGCUGCUGCUUUAUGCUUCUGGAAUUCUGCCAGCAAUACAUUUGACUUCCGCGUGGGUCCUAUGGCGCCAACCUUGCUGGAUAUGGCUCAGAUUUUUGGGUUCAGGCCCCAUGGUAGGCCUGUUGAUGCCAUUGGAGAUUAUCACAGGCGAAGGAAUCAAGAGAAAGUGGCCACCCCUUUUACUAUCCCUCCAGCCGUGAUCAACCAGAACUGCUCUUUCUCCAACUAUCUGAAGAAGUUCAGUGCUGAUAAGGACAAGGAUCAGCAACAUAUGUUGUUCCUUCUGUAUUGGCUGAAUUGGUUCGUUCUCCCCAAUCGGUCUUCUGCAGUUCUGCUAGAGUACAGACACUUGGCAGAAGCACUCCACAAUCACACUGAUGUGGGGCUCGGGCCUACAGUUCUGGCUCACCUUUUCAAGAAUCUGCAUACUUCCACCCUGGAGAACCCAUUGAACCUGUCAGCCCCUGGCGCAUUCUGGAUGAUCCAGAUCUGGCUGCAGGUUUAUUUUCCAGAACUAAGGUUCCCAGACAUAGUUCUGCCUGAAGAUCAAGUCCUGGCUCUUCCUCUGAUGUCGGCAGAAGUGCCCAAGCAUUCUAUUGAGGAGUAUUUGAUGCUCUUCAGGCAUUGUACAAAGAGGUCGGCAGCUCAGUGGCAAGUGGUGAUCAGGAGGACCUAUCCUUGGUUCCAGACCGGAUUUCGGUUGUUUGAGAAGGAGCCAGAAGAUGAAGCUGCCAGAACAGAUUUCAGGAGGAAAUUUCUGAGCAUUACUCUGCCCAGAGAUCUACCCCAUGGUGGGGGCAAACCUCCAAACUAUCAUCUGGGGGCAGAAGUCUACCAUCCCAACUUCUGCGCGAGGCAGCUUGGUUGUCCCCAACUCAUUCCGCUGAAAUCAUAUCGGAGUUGUAACCGGGCCUCUUCUUGGAGGGAUGCAGAUGAUCUGGAGGUGCACAAGGAUGCCCGGUGUGCAGUGAACAAAAUCAACAACAGCACGGAUGCCCUCUAUCCCUCGUGGGAGCUGAAUUCCUGCAGUUCUGCCGACUUUGACGCAUGGUGGAAAGCCAGAUUCCAAAGUCUGCCUGCUUCUGUCACUGCCCUCAAGGUGCUGUUUGAUGGUUGGGAAAACUGGGUCGUUUUUGCGAAUGGGGAUGCCAAGACGCAUAUGAUCCAGACCAUCAAGGAUAUUAACGCGCAAAUUAUAGAAGGUAGAUUUCUGAUUCUGUAUGGGGUUCGUUCUGUCCUGAUGAUUGAUUUCUAAUGUCUAUUCUGCCUGUAUCAGAUCCUUCUUUGACCAGCGUAGGUGGGCAGUCUGUUCAUGCUGGGGAAGUGAUUGGUAAGUCUUUUCUUUUAAUUCUAUUCUGUCUUUUCCUGCUGGAUUGGUCUCUAAUGUCUAAUGCCUUGGUGCAGUCUCUUCCGUUAUUGCUGCCGGGGACUUGGAGCUCCCUUCUGCGGAUGAAGGAGAUGAGGUCCAGACAGAACAAACACCUACCGAGGCCGCUCUUUCUGGCAGAAGAAAAAGGAAAGGACCUGCCCCUCCUUCGGAUAAUCCCACGCGGCCUGGUAUUUCAGGUAAGCUCGUGAUGUUCCAACCAUUCUCUUUAAAUUUAUUAUGUCUUGCCUUCUUUUCCCUAAUACUGCUUUUUGUUCUGUGCAGCUGGAAGUCCUUCCCCUCCUCCUACCAAGUUGAAAAAACUUAAAAAGAGGAGUGAGGAGGAGUAUGUCGCCGCGGAAGAGACGGCAGCAAUUCCCACCACUACCUCCGGGACGGAUGAAGAGCUGCGAGAGGCUUUUGAGGAGGUGGAGCAGGAAAAAGAAUUGGAAGAGCUGGAAGAAACGCCUCAGGAAAAAACGGCAGUGGCGGAAGGAGAGGUAAGUUUUAUUUCUGUGAUUCGCAUCAGUUCCCUUCUCGCCCUGUUUCUUCCGUUCUGACCCUUAUUUUGUAGGAGAAGAUCCCUGCUGAGGUGAUUGCAGAGAGCAUUGCCUUGGCGCAGAAGCAACAAGGGGGUCCAAGGGCUGAGCGGACUAGCUCAGAACUAGCCCUAUUUGAGGAUGCUGAGGCAGAGCAUUCUACUGCCGUUCCAGCGGCUGAGGAUCAGGCGGAACGGUCUGCAUCAGAGCCUGUGGAUCAGGCAGAGCUGUCUGUUGUGGUUCCGGAGGCUGAAGUGGAAACAACCGCCGCUGCCCCUGUGGUUGUGGUAACUUUCUUUCUUUAUCUGUCCACACUCUCCUGCAUUUCUGCCUUGUUCUUUAUUUUUAACUGUUGUAGCCUUUUCAGGUAGAAGUGCCUAAAGCUGUUGGCGUCCUGGCAGCGGUUACCAGUCCCCAGAAGCCUCCCAUUGUUGCUGUAAGUUUUCAUAACUUUUGGGCCUUUAUUUUCCACUUUCUGCCUGGUCUUACCUUAUGCUUUCUUCUUGCAGAUGCCAAUUCAUUCCCUUCCAGGAUCAUCUGCCACGGCUUCUUUUGCUGAUCCAGAACUCGAAGAGUUUGAAGCCAUGGAUCUGGAUGCCCAAUUGGACAGAUUGGAGAAACUCAGCUCUCCUCCAGGCAAGGCAAAAUCUAGGGCAGUGGAGGAGGCCAUGGAGAGGUUGAAAAUCUGGCAGUCUAAUGAGCUGGAGUUUGAUCAAGACAAUGAAGCCUUAAAUCAGCUGAUGAAGGACCUGGACCUGCUUCACAGACAGAACAUGGCUCCAAAACCUAUCCUUGAGAUGGGCCUAAGCUUGGCCAGAGAUGUGCUCAAUCUGCAUGAUCGCUAUGAGGAUCUCAGGCCUACUUUCAAGACUUCUGAAUUCUGCAAGGCCACUCAUGAAGCCAACCUGGCUGAUUUUGCAAAGCAGAAAGCAGAACUGGAUCAGAUGGUGGCCGGAUAUAAGGAAGCCAGGGCCACUGCGGACAAGCUGGAGAAGCCGAUGGAAGAGCUCCAAAAACAACUGGCAGAAUGCAGGGAGGUGCAGAGCAGGCUUGGGGCUGGACUGAGUUCUAAAACUAAGGCCACUUUCCUUGUGCAAAGUAUGGUUGCAGCUUCCAGGACAGCCUUGGAGAUUGCAGAGGCUUCAAUUCACCAGGGGGUGCUGCUCCAGAAAGAGCUUUCUGUCAAGAAAGCGAACCUGCAGGAGACUCUUAGAAAACUAGGAUUUUAGCUUCUUCUUUCCUUUUAUUGUUCGAAUAAUUUGCCGCAAAGGUGGCUAUUUUUAUAUAAGCUUUCAAAGCAUUUUACUGCUUUUCAUUUAUUCUUGAUGCAAUAACUGGAUACGGCUUUGAAAGUAAAAAACAGAACAACUUUAAAGCAAAAAUAAAUCUAAACAAAAUUCUUUUCAAGAAACAAAAAGGUCAAACUUGUUCCUCUUCUAUCCCGGGAUCUGUUUAUACAGCCUGCGAAUCCCACGUGGUUGGAUAGAACUUCUUUAACCAUUUACCAUUGAUUGGGGCAAAAUGAACAACUCCAUCUCGGUCCUGCAACCUGUAUGCCCCCAUUCCGAGGAUUUGGUUAAUUAUAAAAGGGCCUUCCCAUGUAGGUGACCAUUUCCCAUAUCCAGCUAUGUGUGCUCCAAGGGGCAGAAUUGCCUUCCAGACUAUCUCUCCCUCUUCAAAACUCUUGUUUUUGACUCUUUUGUUGUAGGCCCUUGAUACAGCCUGUUUUCCUGCUAAGAGUUUGUUGAGGGUGUCAAUUCUGCUUGCAUCCAAUUCUUCCAAUUCCAGCAACAUGGCUUGAGAGUAAUCCUCCCCAGUGAGACCAUGCUGGUGAGCAAUUCUAAGAGACUGGACCGCUAUCUCCAUGGGAAGAAUUGCAUCGUGGCCGUAGGUUAGAGCAUAGGGGGUCAUGCCAGUUGCUUCUCUCUUUGAAGUUCUGUAUGCCCACAAAGUUUCUGAUAACUUCUCAUGCCAUUACUUUGGAUUCUUCUCUAGCAUCUUUUUGAUGAUAUUGAUAAUCACCUUGUUACUUGAUUCCACCUGUCCAUUAGCUUGAGCAUAGUAAGGAGUAGAUUGAAGCAGUUUGAACUUGAACGUUUCUGCCAUAUCUAGCAUGUCCCUAGAUAUGAAAGAAGAACCCCUAUCGGUUGUGAUUGAUUCUGGAAUGCCAAACCUUUGUAUGAUCUGUUCUUCUAUAAAGGUGAUGAUCUCUUGAGAUGUUGUGGUUUUUACUGGCUUGGCCUCUACCCACUUGGUGAAGUAAUCUGUGGCAACGAUAAUGAAACAGUGCUGCUGGUUGCUGGCUGGAUAGAUUUUGCCAAUGAGAUCCAUUGCCCAUCCCCUGAAAGGCCAUGGUUUUACUACUGGAUUCAUGGGAACCGAAGGAGCCUGCUGGAUUGGGCCGUGCCUUUGACAGGCUUCACAUCCUUUGGAGUAGUUGAUGCAAUCCUUCAUCAUGGUUGGCCAGAAGUAGCCAUACCUUCUGAUUAACCAGCACAUCUUUCUUCCCCCUUGGUGAGCUCCACAGAUCCCCUCAUGGGUUUCUCCCAUGGCUUUCAUAUAUUCUGUCUUCCCGAGGCACCUUAAUAGUACCUCAUCCUUACUUUUUCGGACCAAAUCUUCAUUCCACAUGAGGUAGUUUGUAGCCAUGAUUCUGACUCUUUUCUUAGAGGGCAGAGUGGGAUAUCGUAAGUAAGUCAUGAUAGGCUCCCUCCAAUCAUCUUCAGUGAUCAAGGCAGAAUUGACUUCUAUCUCCAUUCCUCUCGUCAAAACAGAUGGUAGACUUUUCCUUCCUAUCUUGAUGAUCCUUUGGACGCAGUCUUCGGGCAUUUGUAUGCCUGAUGCCACCUGAGCCAGUUCAUUGGCUGCAAAGUUUUCCUCCCUUGGGAUGUUCUCCCAAGUAGCUUCUCUAAAUUCUGUUAGCAGAUUUCUAGCUGCUACUAGAUAUACAGCCAGAGAAGGAUUCAGACACUUAUAUUCUCCAGCAAUCUGUUUUAGGACAAGCAUGGAAUCUCCCAAGAUCUCCACGGACUGGACUCAUAAUUCUACCAACAUCUCGAGCCCUAUAAUCAAAGCCUCAUACUCGGCCAUGUUGUUGGUGCAUUGGAAAUCUAGCUGGAAGGAAUAGCAAUGUCUGACCCCUAAUGGUUCUUCCAGAACAAUCCCUGCUCCUGAAGCCUUGUCUGUCUUUGAUCCAUCAAAAUAUAACUUCCAAGGUGUGAGAUGAAUCGAGUAGAUUGGAUUGUUAAGGCAAACAUGAGCUCUAGUUAGCAGAUCUGCAUUUGCUAUGUCCAAAGAAUCCAUGUUUUCAAUUUCCUCUCCCGAGUGAUCUACCAAGAAGUCUGCCACAGCUUGCCCUUUGACAGCUUUCUGGGGGACAUACCUGAAGGUGAAUUCUGUCAAAGCCAAAGUCCAUUUCCCAAUUCUGCCCCUCAGCAUUGGUCUUGUUAGCAUGUAUUUGAUUAAGUCUGUUUUGGCAAUGAUGUAGAUAGUAUGUGGCAGCAUGUAGUGCCUGAGCUUUACAGCAGUGAAAUAUAAGGCCAGGCAAAGCCUUUCUAUUGCGGAAUACCUUCUUUCCACUUCUGUCAAUGUUCUGCUUAGAUAGUAGGCUGCCUGUUCUUUUCCUUCUUUGUUAUCUUGAACUAUUAGACUUCCAAUGGAUACUUCUGAUGCAGAUACAUAAAGCUUGAGGGGUCUGCCCCUUUUUGGUGGGGACAGAACUGGUGGAUUUGAGAGGUAAUGCUUUAUUUCCUGGAAAGCCUGUUGGUGCUGUUCUUCCCAUUUGAAUGUCUGUUCCUGCUUCAGUCUUAACAGGGAAGAAAAAGGUUGGAUUUUUCCUGCAGAAUUGGAUAUGAAUCUCCUUAGAAAAUUGAUUUUUCCUAAGAGACUUUGAAGUUCCUUCUUGUUCUGAGGUGGUAGAGCUUCUAUGAUGGAUGUUGCUUUAUUUCUGUCAACCUCUAUACCUCUCUGGUGGACCAAGAAUCCUAAGAAAUUCCCUGCUUGGACUCCAAAAACACAUUUUUUGGGGUUCAUUUUCAGUUUGUGCUGCCUCAUUCUUAGGAAUGCCCUUCUCAGGCUUGCUACGUGAUUUCCUUCCUCAGGGGAUUUAAUCACCACGUCAUCUAUGUAUACUUCCAAGGAAUGUCCUAUCAUAUCAUGAAAAAUAGAAUUCAUUGCCUUUGGUAGGUGGCUCCCGCAUUUCUCAAACCGAAAGGCAUUACAGUAUACUCGAAAGCACCUAUAUGUCCUGGACACAUAAAGGCUGUCUUGUGGAUGUCCUGUUCUGCCAUCAUGAUCUGGUUAUAACCUGCAUUGCCGUCCAUGAAAGAUAGCAUCUGGUUAUGAGUGGCUCCAUCCACUAGCAUGUCUGCCAUUGGCAUAGGAUAUUCGUCUUUAGGAGAUGCCUCAUUCAGAUUUCUGUACAAUAUUUGCUAACCAAUCGGAAUAGACGGCUGGCCUGAUGAAUCCUGCCUUGAGCAGCCUUUCUAUCUCUUCUUUGACCUUUAGUUCUGUGUCCAUAGACAUUCUUCUUCUGGCCUGUUUGACUGGAAGGUAGCCAUCUUUAAUUGGCAGCUUGUGCUCCACUCACUGCCUGUCCAAUCCUGGCAUUUCGUGGUAAUGCCAGGCAAAACAAUCUCUGAACUCCUGUAAAAGUGCCAUGAGUUCAGUCUUGAGUGGUUCCUUCAAAAGUGUGCUGAUGAAAGUAGGCCUUGGAUCUUCUUCUGUUCCUAAGUUUAUCUCCUGUAGAGGAUCCUCUACUUCUGGCAGGGAGUCAUCCAGUGCUGCUGGUGCAAAAUCUAAUACUUCCUCCUGUAAAAUUUCCUCCUCUUGCUCUUUUGUGCUUUCAUGGGUGAAUUCUGCCAUAUUGAUGGCUGGAUUCUGUAUGAAAAGCCUCCUUUCUCCCCAGUAUAUCAACAAUCUUUUUGUGAUGGAUCGGAUUGUUGCAGCUCGAUCCUUGUCUAGUUGAUUCGGACUAAACAUCAGAGUUCUGGAAGUUCAGCACAAAAAGGUCUAUUCCAGUCCUCUAGAGAACUGGCUAAACCUUCUUCAAUGAGUCUUUGGGCCGUGACACCAUGUGGACGGCCGUUCUGAUUGACUCCAAGGAAAGUGAAAGGACCGAGGUCAUCAUGAUAAUACCUUGUUUCAAAGCACAUGGCAGAGGGCAGGAAUGGCCGUGGAUCAGCCUCUAUAAUCUCCAUGCAGCCUUCUUCAUUCCAUAGUGCUAACUGCGGGUGGAGGGUGGAAGGAAUACAAAGGCUCUGGUGAAUCCAAUCCCUGCCAAGUAGUGCAUUGUAGGUGGUGGAAGUAGUGUCUAUAACAAAGAAUGCUAUUUUCAACUCUUUGCUUCCGAUUAUGACAUCCACAUCUAAGAUGCCAUGUAUUUUGGUGAUGCAACCAGAAGUUGGUGACGGUCAAUCGUGUUGGAAUCAGAUCUUUCUCUGUCCUGCCCAGCUUGGUCAGCAUUCUGUGGGGUAAUAGAUUAAUGGCUGCACCUCCAUUUACCAUGAUCUUGGAAAUAGGAAUACCCCCAAGAUUUGCCGUUAUAAACAAAGGUCUGAGGUGAAACAAGGUUGCUCUGUAGCUGGUUUAUUGGCUGUUCUGCCUGUCUUGGGGUUUUCUGCUUGUGGUUCUGGUGGCUCCUCUGCUUCUGCCAAUCUACAUUCAAAGCUUUCCUGAGAGAAAACAUCCCCUUCCAGAGUGCUUUCUUGUCCUUCGGCUGCCCUGAAUUUACUUGGUAGGAUGAAUACCAUGUUAAUUCCCAGAUCACCCUGUAGGAGGUCUUCUAAUUCUGCGCCAAAAGCUUCUGUUUCUGGGUCCAAUUCUACACCAAAUUCCAUUAAUUCUUCCCCGUAUUCUUCCGUCCAGUCAUCCUGUUCUGCUACUUCGAGGGGCUCUUUCUGAUCAUCUGCGGAAGGUUCAUAGUCCAAUUGCUCUUCUUCAUAUUCCUCAGUGUAGUCGUCUUCUCCUUGUAACGGGGUAGACCCAGAUUUCUCUGGUGUCUGCGUGGUGUCAGGACGGCUGCUGGACGACGAGGCCACAUGGAUAGGAGACCUGGCUGGGGGUUCUGUUUUCAGCAAUUCCCUUGACUGGCAAGCUUUCUGUUCUGUCUGGGGAAGUGUUUCAGGAUUUUUUCCUUUCCUAGCAGAACUGGGUUGUGAACGUACCUGCGUAUUAUCUUGGCUCUUAAGAUAUGUGCAGUAUUGCCUCUGGAUUCUCCUUUUCUGGGUUCUGGUUAGCUCCAGAGUCGGUCUACCGCUUCUUCCUACGGAAUACCAUCUCCCUUCUAUGAUCGUUGCCAAGGAUCUUUCGUUUCUGGGCAUCUUGACUGGUAUUUCCUUUCUGGGUUGCUCCAUCCUCCUCUCGCUGUAUUGUGUAGGCCUAAGACAGCUCUUCUGCCUUGUUUUGUCUCGGGAUGAGGUUCCAAUUCUGUCAAAGACACUAGGUGUGGGCUGAUUUUGUCUGUCUAGAACCACCUCUAGCUCUGUUUCACAUUUGCACCUACUGCAGAGCACUACCCCAGCCGAGAUGGUCGCUCUUGGUAUUUGACUGGUCUCCCUUAUGAUUCUUCUGCCUCUGCUGCAACCAGCAUCUGUGAUUGGCUCGGUUUUCCUCUGUUCUGGCCAAUUUAAGUUGACCAUAUUGACUUGUGGUUGAGGAAAAGGAUCCGUUGUGACGGAUGGUGGUUUUUCUGCCAGUUUCAACCUUCCUGCCGUUAUCCCUUCUUGUAUUACGUCCCUGAAAACAACACAACUAUUGGUAGAAUGGUUCCAAGAGUUGUGCCACCUGCAGUACUGUCUGCCCUUGAGUUCUUCCGGCUUCGGUAUUCUGUGAGGCGUCUCUAUUGCCUUCUACAGUAGCAUUUCGUGGAACAAGGCAUCAACCUUGGUUAAGUCAAAAGAGUAAACCUUGUUUUACGUUGGUUUGUUUGGAACGAAUCCUCCUGUGAAUGGUGGUGGCUUUUGGUCUUUAGGUGGCUUUGUGAGGGCUUUGCAACUAAUGGGAUGUUUUAGUUUUGCCAUUUCUGCCACUGAAACCUCUUUCUCUUCUGAUUCUUCUGCAUCUUCUUGUGAUUCCACCUCGAUCAGGUGGACUGAAGAAGAAGGGGUUUUAUAGUAUGUACCUUUGGAGGAGUUCCUCCUUUGCUGUUCCUCCCUGAGUAACUCCUCAUAUUUGGAUGCCUUAUCAGCCAGUUCUGCCAGAUCUCCGAACAAUAUCCCGUCGAACCUUUUCCUGAGAGAGAUUUUAAGGGCAACUUGGGCCAUCUGGAUGAAGUGUCUUUCUUCCAUCGGGAUUCGGCACUUCAUUUUGAGCUUUCUGAACCUGGUUAUGAAAUCUUGGGCCGGUUCAUCUUCACUUUGCUUGAGGGCAGCUAGAUCACUGAUGGUGACUUCUGGCUGAAUCCUGUAAUAGUAGUCAUGGAAGACAUUUUCCAUCUGUUCCCAGGUUUGAACAGAGUUAGCUGGCAGGCUGGUGUACCAGGUAAAAGCUUGCCCAAAAAGAGAGUUGCCGAAAAGCCUUAAUUUCAGCAGAGGGUUGCUUUCUAUAGCUAUGCAUUGGACGGAGAACCUGCCUAUAUGUUCAACUGAGGAAGAAUGGGGGUCUUCCCCAUUGAACAAAGUGAAGUUUGGCACUUUGAAACCUGGAGACAACAGUAUUUGAUCGAUAUAGGCUGGGUAUGGCUUUCUGUAAGUAGGCCUUUCCCCUAUUCUAGCCUCGGGUUCCAUGAUUUCUCUGAUCAUUCUUUGCAACGCUCCUAUGUCAUUCAAAGCAUUGACUGGGGGAAGAUUUUGUCCCUGUUCUGGCUGAACGUAAUCAAACCUGGGCUCUGCUCUGUGUGGUCUGGGUGGAACUUCCUCCCUGUGUUCUUCCUGCUCUUCGACUUCUGGAUGAUUCCUCCAGUUUGCCCCCGGUCUAUUCCUGUCAUGAUUAGCAAAAAGGUUGUUCCCUCCUCGGCCUCUCCUCCUUCUUGCAAGUGGAGGGAAUGGAUUAGGGUCCAUCCUUCUGGGUCUAUAUGGCAAUACUGCCGGUGGUUCAGGCAGAAGCGCCAAAGGUUGAUCAUGUGGGAGCACAUGAAGUGGAAUGGGCUGAGGUUCUGGCUGGUUCUGAGCCAGUGCCAGGUUAUCUGGUUGAGCUGGGGCUUCAUGUUUUUGAUUAGGAAGGGCUCCUUCCCUCGGACCAGCCUGAAUUUCUCCGUGGUCUGGCACUCCAGCCAUCUGUGCAACUAGGAAAUUUUCCUGGUAUGGCCAUAUUAGUCCUGGCGGAGGGCCAUAAGGGAGAUCCAACUGCUGGAUUACAGGAUCUGGGUUUGGGUUUCUGGCCAUGGCGGAUUCUCGGUCCUUCCGGAACUGUCUGUUUACCUGCCAUUACAUCAUGGCUGUCAUGUUAUUGAGAGUGUCCUGGCUCCUUCGUACUGUGAUCUCUUGUCGGAGUACUGACUCCUGUAUUUGAUUCAUCCUUUUGGAGCCAGUCCUGGAACGUCUACUUCCUGUACUGCCGUGGGCAGAUUGCCUAGCAUCGCUUUUUUCUGAUUCGAGGCCUUCCCUGAGAACCAUCUUGUUUUUCUCCAUAUCUGGUGUGGGUUCUGACUAGAUCUUCCGGUAUUUGUGAAUCUGUGAAUGAUUCUGUCAGAGUAUAUAUACUGAGAAGUCCCACUGGGUGUGCCAAAUUAUUCACCCGUUUUCGUGUUUUACUCCUGAGGUGGAAGGGCGAAGUUCCCCACUAGCUUGGAGACCACUUGUUGGUCGACAAGUCAGCUUUCUUUGGUGUGUGUGAGCGUGCCACUGCUAGCAAUGUAAAUUCUAGCAGACUUAUUUUUUAGAGUGGAUAACUUGCGCCUCAAGUUACUGACUUCUAAAACAAAUGAUUGUGAAUUUGGGUGAGGAAUAUCUCCCAAGUAAGUUCUUUUCUUGCCUCAGACUGGUGAGGACUUUCACAAUUUAUCUCAGUAUCAAAUGGUUGUUCUGGCCAGAAUAGAUAAUAAUAAAGUAGACUGUUUCAGGCAGAACUGCCUUUUACAAAAUUAAGAAGGGAGAAAUCAACUCUAGAAAGGCAAAAAGAUGGCUGGAAUCCCAUUUCUGCCUGGGUAGAAACUUCUGAUCCGGGCUGGACUGGGUAUGUCUAUGCUGGACGGUGCUGUCAACAACUUUAGCUUGCUCGGCUUUAGUUGUAAAUCGAUACCAAAGUUCAAUUUUGGCAGAGCUUCAAUCUACUUCAAGCCUUGGGAGACUUUUGAGUGGGCAGAACUGCAGCUUCUUCAGUUUGAAGGGACAGAAGUGGCUAUUCUCGAGGAUUUAGCAAGCUGGAACUAUGCUAUAAAAUUUGUUGAGGUUUUCAUAUUUGUGAAAACUCAAACUAUGUUUGUCUUGGCUUUUGCUGAACCAAAUUUGUAACGAGAGGGAUCUUGUUUUCAGAAGACUUAUUUUCUAAGUCUGAACUUUGGAAUUCUGAUCUAAAGCUGUUUUCUUGUUUGUUUUUUUUUUAUUGACUGAUGAAUUGAGUGUCCUUUGUUUCUUUGCCUUCUUUCGCUUUUAUAAGAGAUCCUCCUAAGGAGGUCAUUUUUAAUCCUAAACAAUGGGCGGCAAAAAGAUCUCUUAUAAUGUAAAGUAAGAAGGGUUUCUUAUCAAUCAAGGCAGAUAGGUUCUGAGCAGUCACCUCCUAAAAACAGUCCCUUCCCUGGUUUCCUGGGUGGCAGCUUUCUAAUUCAACCAACGCCACCGUCUGUGUGGGCUUUUUAUGGCGGUUUUGGCUCUUUUCUUUUGUAUUUUCUGAGUGGUUCCCUGUUUCCCGUUCUAAUUUAGAAAGCGUGAUCCGUGAAUUCCUUGGGAGAUGGUGUAUUGAUUUGGAGCAAAAUCUUGAACACAGAUGGGUUUUUGAUCUUCAAUUGGCAGUGUUUCAGAGACGUCCCUCUCACAUUUUUAAACUUUAGUUGGAAUUGCUGACUUUUCCAAAGUUGAGGCAAUCACGUGGGUGUGUCUUUGAUCCCUUGGUUUUGAAUCUUUCAAAAAUUACGGGCUGAUCUUUGAAGCCCAUUUCGAAAGUUUCCACAUCUGGGCUUUCUUUGGGCUGAGGCUUUAUUUCCAACAUUCUUGGUGUGAACUGGACUAAACAGUUAGUCGGACCAGACCGUCUACACAUAUGAACUGGACUCACAAGCCUAUGUUUUUUGAGCUCCCAUAUUGGUCGAAACUCAAAUUGAGGCACAAUCUAGAUGUGAUGCAUGUUGAGAAAAAUGUAUUUAACACAUUGGUGGGCACGAUUCUAGAUAUCGAGGGCAAGACAAAGGACACAAUCAAAGCCCGUCUUGAUUUGGAAAGAAUGGGCAUACAAAGGGGUUUAUGGAUGAACAGGGACAGUGAUAAAGCUAGAAGGGAUCUUGCAUUCUUUUCUAUGAAACCGAAUGAUAAAAAAGAGUUUCUAAAGUUUGUAUCGUCUGUAAAGUUUCCUGAUGGGUAUGCUUCUAAUAUCGCACAUUGCGUGAAUGUUGACGAGGGUAAAUUUACUGGACUGAAGAGCCAUGACUGCCAUGUGUUUAUGCAACGCCUACUUCCUGUGGGUAUUCGACAUCUAUUGCCGGAAGAUGUUGUGAAGCCAAUCAUGUUGUUGUCCAGAUUUUUUUCCCAACUGACGGCAAAAACAUUGCGAAAGACAGACAUAUUUCAGUUGCGCCAUGACAUUGUCCAAGUCCUAUGCAAGUUUGAGAUGAUAUUUCCUCCAGCUUUCUUCACAAGUAUGAUGCACGUGAUGGUUCACUUGCCAGAAGAGGCAUUGCUUGCUAGUCCUGUCAACUAUCGCUGGAUGUAUCCAAUAGAAAGGUAUAUAAUCUUUAUCGUUUGUGUAUGCAUCAUUAUCACAGACUUGCUAAUUUGUAUCAUAUCGUUUUAUUUUGACAGGCUUCUCGGAGAGCUGAAAAAAAGUGUACGCAACAGGGCGAAGCCCGAAGGAUCAAUUAUAGAGGCUUGGGUUCAAUAUGAGUCGCUUACUUUCUGUGGAAUGUAUUUAAAAGAUGUGGAGACGGCUUUCAAUCGUCCUCAACGCAAUAACGACGAAGGUAUGAGAAAGGAAAAACUUUCUGUUUUUGCCCAAAGUGCACGACCCUUUGGAGAUCCUGGACGAGGAGAGUCGUUUUCUAGAAAUGACAUGGAGGUAGCGCAUUGGUUCGUACUGAACAAUUGUGAUGAGAUAAUGGCAUACUUAGAUAAGCAUGAAGAGAUGAUGAAGCGAGAACAUCCAUCACAUUUAGUUGCCCAGAAACACCGUGAAUUGUUUCCACAAUGGUUUUUGGAUUCUGUAAGUUAUAAGUGUUUUGUAUUUGACAAAUAUAAAUUGUAGUAUUUAAUUUUGUCAGACUAACAUGUGAAUGGUUUUGUAUUAUAUUAGGUGAAUAAGUUGAAAUCAUCGAAUUCCCCCACUUACAGUGAUGAGUUAUAUAACUUGGCGUUCGGCCCAAUUCGCGCUGAAUUGUUUCGGGUUGUUAUAUUAAUGGCGUCAAAUUUUUGGGAGCCGCACGAGAUGACAAGUUGUGUAUGCAAAACAGCGGUGUCCAUGUCCCAGGUGGAGGCGAAAGUACGAACAUUGAUUUCUAUGGCAAACUCACAACUGUCAUUCAAUUGCUUUACAAAGAUCGAUACUAAGUGAUCAUGUUUAAGUGUCGAUGGUUUGAUAGCAACCCAAAUAGGCCGGGAAGUGUUAAAAUCAACCAUGGCUUACUAUCUGUGAACAUUAACAGAACUUGGUAUGAUGACGACCCUUACAUUUUGGCAAACAUGGCAACACAAAUUGUGUAUCUAGAUGACCCUAAAGCCGGGAGCAGUUGGAAAGUUGUUCAGAAGAUGGAUCAUAGGAACUUGUAUGCUAUACCAGAACUAGACCCAACUGACAAUGACGUCAACAAUGUGGCUGACCAACGUUUAGAAUCUUCAAUGGAAAAUGAUGCGGAAACACUUCGAGAUACACAUGUUAUACAAGAACCGUUUCAAAUACAAGGAGUGUCUUCAAUCGAAAUACCGAUUCAGUCAAUUACAAUUGACCUCGGGGAUCUUCCAAGAUUCGAUGUUGCAGUGAGCCCGAGCAACGAAGAUGAUGUAGUUAUAGAGGAGGAGGAGGAGGAUUGGGAGACUGAAAGUGAUGAUAGCGAAGAUAACGAAAGUUAUUAUAGUUCAGAUGAUGAAUAAUUAAAUUUUUUAUAUUUUUAUUAUGCUAGUGUACAGACUUUGUGUAAAACAAAAGUUUGAAUAUAUGUAGUUGUGAUAUCCAAACCUUAUAUAUGUGGACAACUGAAACAUUAUUAAAAUAAAUUUAGUUAUAAAACAUCGGUAAAUCAAUAUAUCCAAACCCUUUUAAUAUUCAUUUAAAAUUUUUUUUUUUGACAAAAACGUUUACAAAAUGAAAAUGAUAAAAUAUUUGUUAUAAAACAUUGAUAAAUAAAUAUAUCCAAACCAUUUUCAUACAAAGUUUGAAAAUUAUUGACAACAAACAUUUUUCAAAAAUGAAAAUCCUUGCGCGACGAAGUACACCUCGUCACGCAAAGUUUGCGCGACCCAGUAAACAGUCGUUGUGUAAAGUUAAAACAUUGCGAGACAAAUUAUCAUCCGUCACGCGAUAGAAUUUUGCGCGACGAAUAUUUACUCUCGUCGCGCAAAUGUAUAUUCUUUUAUAAUAUAUUUUAUAUACACAUAUAUAUUCGAAAUUGACGAUCGAGUUAGUUCAUUGUAUUCAUAUAGGGUCAUGGAGUGUAGCUGUAAAAAAUCAUCAAAAUCGGAGUUAAAAUAACUGUUAAAUCAUGACUUUUCAUUUAUAACCGUUCAAAAAUUUUGUCCCGAUACUUGAUCUCUGAAUGUUUUUUUUUUCCGAUUUUUGGGGCCUAAGAUCUCGAAGUAUAAACAAACACGUUUGACGGCUGGAUUAUUGAAACUACUUUCGUAGAAUGCGUAUGCCAUCAAAACUAUAUAUUCACCAACAAUGAAUAGUUUACUUAUACUUUCAUUAAAUAUAACAUAAGAUUAUGUGGUAUCACCCUAGUGUAAACAUCUUAAAUUGAAGAUCAAAUUCAGUAAUUGUAUUCAUAUAGGGUCAAGAAAAGUAGCUAUAAAAAAUCAUCAAAAUCGGAGUUAAAAUAACCGUUAAAUCAUGACUUUUCAUUUAGAUUCGUCGAAAAGUUUUGUACUGUUACUUGAUCUCUUAACGUUUUUUUUGUCAGAUUUUCGGCGUAUACGAUCUCGAAAUAUAAAAAAACAAGUUUGCCGGUUAGAUCAUUAAAACUAGUUUCGGGUUUAGGAUUUCUGCAGUUUAGGGUUUAGGGUUUGCGCGACGAAGCCAUUUCGUUGGUCGCACAAAGCCUGCAAAGAACAGUCUUGCGCUACGAAACUAGGAUUCUUUGUCACGCAAUCUCAACCAGCCCUUUCACCCUCUUCCUCCUUGGACACUUAGCCAAAAAAAGUUGCGAGUUUACAGAAAGCGGCUUUGCGCGACGCUGCCGGUAUUCGUCGCGCAAUAUGUAUGCCAAUAAAACCUAAAUCCCAAAUUUUGGCGAAUUACAACUUUGCGCGACGAAUAUGGGAAGCUUCGCGCAAAGUUUUCAAUCUUUCCCGCUAAACCCUAAGUCCCAAAAUUUUGGCGGAUUGACAACAUUGCGCCACGAAAGAAGGUACUGUGCGUCGCACAAAGUUUUCAAUCUCUCCCGCUAAACCCUAAGUCCCAAAAUUUUGGCGGAUUGACAAUAUUGCGCGACGAAAGAAGGUACUGUGCAUCGCGCAAAGUUUUCAAUCUCUCCCACUAAACCCUAAGUCCCAAAAUUUUGGCGGAUUGACAACAUUGCUCGACGAAAUAUGGUACUGUGCGUCGCGCAAAGUUUUCAAUCUCUACCCAAUAUUUUGCCGGAUUGACAACAUUGUGCGACGAAAGACGAUACUGUGUGUCGCGCAAAAACUACCCUGAUACCAAAUUUUGGGAUUAACAAUAUUGCACGACAGAAGUUAUACUUAUGUCGUCGCGCAAGUGUCAAUUAAAAUAUUUUGCGUGACGCUUUUGUUUGUUCGUUGCGCAAAAUCGAAUAAAAUUGCAGAAACGACGCGAUAGCCUCCUUCUUCCCCAGAUUUGUUUUUCUACCCUAACUCUCUCUCUCUCUCUCCGCCUUCAGCUCAGCCCCCUACCCCAGUGGAUUUUGGACGACGGCGCCACAACAGUGGUACCCCGGAGGUUUCCCGCCGUCACCGUCGAGCCAGCCGCCCUAAUUCCUCGAUUUUCACCGAAUCUGCGCCGCCGUCGUUCUCUCUCCUUCGGCGACCAAAUCCGACACCUGAGGUAUGGUUUCUGUCCUAUUUUUGAUGCUUUAACUGAUGGUUGGGUAGGAUUUGUGUAAUUGUUGCAAUAGGGCAGUGGAUUUGAAACCCUAAAUUUCGACCGAUUUUUGAAUUCCAAUUCCGGCCACUUCUGGCCAUUUUUCAGGGUAGGUCCGAGAACAAAAGUGGCUCCAAUUGAUGUUUUGAACCUAGGGUAGGAACCUUGGCCCUUAGUUUUAAGAAAUUUUCGACGAUUGGUAUCGCUUUGGACACCCACGCUCUGCCAGCGCUUGUGGUGGCGCGUGGGGUACUGUAGCAGUCUUGCAUUGGGUCCCAGUGCAAUCCCAUAUUUGUCACGAGCGCGUAGGUGUUUUCGGAUUGGAAUUUGGUUACCGUUUGAGUCUCGAACGGAUUUUGCCUAUUGUGCGAUUUCCGGGUUUGUUAUGUUCGGACCGUUGGAUCGAACUCAAACUCACGUAUGGUGUACCUUGUAUUUCUUGGAUCGUCUAGGAUUCGACGGAUCGUGGAUCGGAGUCCCGAAUACUCCGAACUCGCAAACCCUAGGUCAAGAAUCUUAAUAAAAUUGUAUGUGCUUUCAAAUAUUCGUAUGUUUUAUUAAUUUGUAUGUGUAUUAAUGAAAUUGUGUAGAUGUCAGACCUGAUUAGACGUCGUAGGGCGGUGACGACUACGCAGAGUUCUGAGCCCCCGGCUCAACUGACAUCUGCUGCCACUGCGCCAGCACUGAUGGACCACUUGGCAGUUGGUCCCGCGGGGUCCCAGGCUCCUGCUUCAUCAGCUUCAUUAGUGGCACAACCUGUUAGCGCCAGGAAGCGUCAUCGGCCUGCCAGCACCACCGACACCACAUCCACUGAUGCGUCGGGGUCACAGCCAGGUAUAGAUUUCCUUAAACUCCAGUUAUUUAUAUUUUUGUUUUUGUUUUUAUUUUUGUUUUUGUUUUUGUUUUUGUUUUUAUUUGUGUGUGUAUUUUAUAGUUAAAUUUGUUAUUUAUUUAACAUUAAUGUCAUCUUUCUUUGCAGCCAAGAAGAACACCCGAGGGCCGUGUCGGUAGUUGAAGACGGCGAAGGUCACUCGGGUGACCAACAGUCGUAUCAACAUCGGAUACGACAAGCGACAUCGGGCUGCACCGACGGCGGAGUUGCAUAGCUCCUUGGCCCACGACAUUGGUGAUGUCAUUCCGAGCCAUUGCCCGAUGAAAUGGAAGUCUUGGAAGGUGAUGCCUGACGAGACCAAGAUGGAGGUUCGCGGCCAGUUGUCAGUAUGUAGGCCUUUUAAUUCUUUUUCUUUCAAAUUUUAUAUUUCUAUUAUUUAAAUGUAUUUAAUUAAUUUAUUGCAGACGAACUACAACUUGGAGGACCUGGACGACGAGUCGUUGGCGUACAUCAACAGACUCUUCUCUGAGAGGUACAAAUAGUGGAAGAGCGACUUGCACCACUAUUUUGAGGCGUUUGAUGAUCCAGAAGUCUCUCUUCAGGAGGGUUGCCCGAAGGAGCUUGAGGGGCGGGAGGAUAGUUGGGCGUGGCUCUGCUCUCAUUUUCAGGCGCCCGCUUUUGUGGUAAUUUGUAAUAUGAAUUUCAAAUUUAUUAUAUUUUUCUUACUAAUGUUUUUUUAAUGUUUUAUAUUUAAUUUCAAUUUCAACUAAUACGUUUUAUUUUUUGUAUAACAGAAUAAAGCCAAAGUCAAUAAGGGCAAUAGGAAGAAGAAGACUCUUCUCCAUCAUUCGGGUUCCAGGCCCUUCUCCUAUAGGAUGGAUGCAUGGCGGCAGGUAAUCAUAAAAAAAAUUUUAUUUAAUUUUUAAUAUUUAAUUAUUCUUAAUUUAUUUUUUUGUACUAAUAUUUUUCUUCUCUUGUUCAAUUUAGGGGGGUCCAAAUUCCCAGAGAUCGACGUCUUUGGCGACGUUUAUGUUCGACCUGGGAAUGAGUUGGGCGAGUCCCUUCAUGUAAGUAUUAUUUAAUUUUAAUUAUUAUGUUACGCAUUCAAGUUUAAAGGUUAUUAUAUGAAUGUUUUAAUUUAUAUUUUAUGUUAUGCUAAACAGAUGACGAUGGUGGAGAGGAGCCAGUUGGUUCUUCAAGAGUCCGCCUCCCAACUUCCUUCCGAUACUCCGAUCGAGUCUGUGGAUCCUCCACAGGAUGCUGGGUUUCAGAUCUUGACGGAGACAUUGGAUCAGACUCUAGGGAGGAGACCGGGGAUAUAUUGUCGAGGGAUGGAGAAUGCCAGGCGGAGGGAAGCCAGACCCCGUUCAUUAGCGCAGUCAAGCAGUCAGGUCACUGCUUUGACAGCACAGGUGGCCACUCUUCAGAGUCAGAUGUCGGACAUUCUGCAGUCCCUCGCACAGUUCGGCAUUCCAGUCCCGCAUUUUGAUGCGCCGACCUCUGAGCCCGUCCAUCCUGAGCAUCCCCACCAGACGACGGCCCUUGUAGACCCCCAGACCUCUGAACCGCAUGUGCCAGACGACAAUGUAGAUUUUGGAACAUUAUGAUUAGUUUUUUUAUUUUCAUAAUUAUUUUUUAAAUAUUUCUCUUGCAGCAUACAUUUAUUUUAUAUAAUAAAUAUGUUCUUUACAAUUCUUUUUUUUAUUGGAAUUUCAUUUUAUUACCCAAAAAAAAAAAACCAAAUUUAUUUUUUUAUAAAAUAAAAUAAAAAGUAAUAUUAAAAUUAAAUAAUAAUUAUAUAUAUUAAUUUUGCGCGACGAAAUCUUUCUCGUCGCGCAAAUUUAUAUAUUACGAAAUAAAAAUGUUUCAUUUUUUUAAAUACAUAUAAUUUAUUCUUGCGCGACGAAUAUUUUCGUCUCUCAAAAAGGAUUUGCGCGACAACAGUUUUUCGUCGCGCAAAAUGUGUUGACACGAAUUGCACGACGAAGAUAUCUUUGUGCCGCAAAUAUCUACGACACGUAUUGCGCGAUGAAAAUGUUCGUCGCGCAAAAAACGUAUGCGCGACAACAAUGUUUCGUCGCGCAAUACGUGUAGACAUGAAUUGCGCGACGAAGAACUCUUGGUGCCGCAAAUGUGUACGAGACGUAUUGUGCGACGAAUAUUAUUCGCCGCGCAUCGUUGUGGCGACGAACCCGCUUUCGUCGCGCAUAAGUUUGUGCGACGAACUAUUGCAUCGUCUCUGAACCUUUUGUGCAACGAAGGGUAACCGUCGCACAAAUUUGCGCGACGAGUGAUACAAUCAGUCGCGCAAAGUCUUUCUUCACCAUCUUUGCACCACAGAUUACGCGCGACGAAUUUUCUGUCGUGCUUGAGUUUGUGCGACCAAAUUUAACUCUGCGCGACGAAAUUGGCUUCGUCGCGCAAAUCGUAAAAUGUAGUAGUGGAAGUUAUCAACAUCUAUAGGAACCCCAAUGAAAAGGCUGUUAACUAAUAAUGAAGUAAACCCCUCAAUGUUUCCGCGUAUCAGAUAUCUCUCAGAAUAUGCGAUUCCAUACUCAAUAAGCAACUCCACAUCCCCUGAGGUUUUCACCAAACCACCCAUUAAGGAAACAUACUGACUCAUGUGUAAUUAUCAUUACUCAUCGGGUAAUGCAAUUGUUCAAAGGCAAGGACAUUUCUCAUUAUUUCUGUAGUGAACCCCAAUGGAAAUGGUGGGAUCUUCAGAACCCCAUUGGUGCUACUGAAUUGUAUGUCAAAUAUGUUUUCACCUUGUCGCGCCUCAAACUUGACUCCAGCGUGCUGUAAUUCUGUCAAGCUGGGUAUGGAUGAUGGGAGUUCCCCUCCAGCUUUUGAUUCCAACGGUUGAUAGAGUUUAAAUAUUUUCCUGUAAAGAUCAACAAUAUGUGCCACUGAUCUAAAAGUCUCCAAAUUGUCUUCCAUUUUGUCAACAGGCAAUAGAUGUUCGAAGAAACUGAAAGAAAGACUAAUUAUUGAAAGCCCCUCAGUAAUGCAGUUAUUGUCAGCAUCAGCAGGGAGUGUAAUUUUCUGUGGGUCGAAAAGAUCCUCGAGAAUGAAGAAUGGCAACUGAUUUUCAAGCAACCACAUAUCUGUCCAUACAUCUUGCAACAUACCUGGUUUGUCAAAUAUGCGGUCAUUUUCAUCCCAAAAUUUGAAGUAGUCCUUCAAUAAGAGCUCAAUAACGAAGGCGGCAUCCACUAGAAUGAUUGUUACAAAUUCAUCACUGCUAAACUUGAUGGGUUCUCCAUAACAACGUCUCAAUCUUGCUUCGUGGUCCUUUAUUUUCUUAAUAUAAUCCUCCAAACUCACAUUGGUCCGACCUAUAAAAUCUUGCAGGUAUCUCUGUUUGUGCUCUUCCUAUACGACAUUCAAGCCUUCCUUUCCAUGGUGAAGUGGGCCUAUAGAGACCACCUGAGGUGUGCAGAGCUUUUCAUUCACACUUCGUAGUCGUUGAGGAACUCUGUAGAUACAGCACUUGGAGGAUGGGGGAGACAAGCUAUUGAACCCUUUUCUCAUCGAAUUUGCUAAUGAAAUGUAUGGGUUUUCUAUGUCAUUUUGAGCAGAUUGAUGGCUUCCUGCCAUUUUCCAGCUCCUGACUAUAUGUGGUGUUCCGAUUGUAACAGAUUACAAUAAUGAUGAGUAUGGAUAACUGAAUUACUGAUAAAACAAUCAAGAAACAUUUCGUUAUUUUCCAUUCCCAAUAACGAAAUCAAAAUGUUCAAGGAAAUAUAAUCAGGAUAUUGCAAUUAUAUAGCCAUUCAUAAGCUGCCUGGCAUGGAAUAAGAGGUGGAAACCAAAUCUACUUAUUGGCCAAAGUUCGAAUUCACUAUAUAUAGAUAUAUAUUUUGCCAAAAUCUAAAACUGACCAACCUUAGAUACAAAAACACGGUACAGCCCGGUUAAAGUAAUUCCAAGUGCGAAGAAAGAAAGGAAUUGAGCGUUUGUACCUCUACAGCUAGCCAAAUUUUCUAUUGAUUCUUUAAAUUUUAGAGAGCAAUUACUCUUAAUUUGGUAGGUGUAGGACUGUGCAACUUCAAGCUUUAAUGAAAGAAGCCAAGUUUAUUCUAAGGGGACAAGUCAGAGACAACGAAAUUUUGCUCAGCUUCAUUUUCAAAUUUGCUGCUUAAGAAGGAAAUUUAAUAUGUUUGUUUCACAAAUUGUAUUGUCAUCAAUGAAACUCGUGCACACCCAACGAAAUUUGCAUGGCUUAUUUUCAAAGGAGUACUGCUAUUUCCAUCCUCUGUCCUAUUUUUCCACUCACCUUAUCUUCAAAAUUUUAAAGACAAAAAUAAACCCCUUUGUAAAAUGCUUAAAAAGAAAUUUAAUAUGUUUGUUUCAAAAAUUGAUAUUGUCAUCAAUGGUUAAAGAAUUGCUGGUGACAACAUAUACUUCUUUUCUACUGUAUUAAUUUCUUUCUUUAUUUUUUCUUCAGUAUAGUUCUGCCUUUCUUUUACAUGUUUAUGCGCAUAUUUGACACGUUCAAGUAUACUUAUAUAACAAAUGCAAUGAGUUUGUAGUCACAAAAAUCAAGGAUUGAAAACAAAAAGUAAUAUUAUGUGCAAGAGAAACUUACCUGCAGAAACUGAAGAACUCCUCUAGUUUCUUCUCUGUCGCUAUGUACUCCCGCGUUCAAGUUAUUAUUCUUACAAUGUACAUACACUAUUAUAUAAUGGCGAGAAGGCUCUGAUUAACCUCCUUUUUGCUUCAUUGGAUGGGGCAAGAAUGGAAUUGUCACCGUGGGUGUGGAGGUGAUCUACCAUUUGAGCAAGAAAUUCCCACAUAUUCUUUAACUAUUUUUCAAGCAUGCAUAUUCCUCCCUAUCAAUCUUUGGUCUCUUCUUUUACUAUUUUUCAAGCAUGCAUACUUUGAUUUUAAAUCAUCUUUUCCGCACUAAUUUGCUUCAAUCAAGAAACAGUUAAUAUAUUUUGUAUCAUCAUUAGAGAACACUUGAAACUGCAUAAGUUAAUUUUGAAGAUGAUGGCAGAACCAAAAUGUGUAUAGCUUAUAACUAUAAUUUCUUGAUUACAACAAGAGGUUUCAAGUUUUCAACAACACAAAUAUGAAUCUCCCAAGCAAAGAUAAACAAUAAAGCAAGCAUACGGAUUGUCAAAUUGCCUUCAAUCACUCUAAAAUACUUCAUACCGUCCGACACUGGCUUCAAUUACUCUACAAUACUUCAAUUCAUAUAUUGUCCUAUUUUCACAUGUACAUCCUGCUUUUACUUAAGGGUUAAUUGUUGAUUUACCCCUUGAACUUGUACUCUACUUUCAAUUUGCACCCUCAACUUUUUUUUUUGAAAAUUAGGUGCAUGAACUAAUUUUUAUUGCCAAUUCCCCCUACCAACAUGUCAUCUAAUAGUCUGUCAAAUCAUUAAAAAAUAUAAUAUUUUUGGAAAAAAUUAAAGAAAAAAAAAUUCCUAAGGACCCACAGACCCAGAACCCACCCUCCGUUGCCCCCGCUUGCUGUUUUCUUCUCCUCCCAGUCCCCCAUGACCACCACCCUCCACUGCCACACCAAUCCCCUACCCAACAGACCCCUCACCCCUUCUUUUUUUUCACCCCCGAACCCAGCAUGAGUUAUUGGUUAAUACCAUUUUCUUAAUUGCCAAAUAAAAAAAAAAAACAGAGUUAACCCUCUGUUAAGCUAGCUGACUAGUGGGGCGAAAUGGAGGAAAAUCAAUAUGGAGACAGCGGAUCCGGUCCCGUGUAAGUGUAUCUGAUGGAAUAAAAGAAUGAUAUUAUUGGUGGUGGGUACGGUUAUGUGGAAGUAAUAAUGGGUAAGAGAAGAAACUUGUUCUCUUGUGAUAAUCAAAAGACAGAAAGUAGUGGGAAAAGACAGAAAGUAGUGGGACACUAUUUUAGAUAUGAUAAUGUUCCUUCCUUGAUUGAUGCAAAUGAAGAGAAAAGGGUGGCUUUAUAUAAUAGCCACUACCGACCUAACACAUUAAAAACACAACUAACACCAAACAUAGUUAAUUCAACUAACUUCUACCACACCAUUAAUUUAACACACAACUACUAACAAACUGCCAACUAUUUCAAAGUUACCAGCCGACUAUUAAUGAAGUCUAGAUUACUUUAACAUCCUCCCUUAAGCUAGACUUCAUUUACGCCAAUUAAUUUUCUCAUCUUGAUGAGCGGCUCUUUCUUCAACGGUUUGGUGAACAAAUCUGCCAGCUGAUCUUGGGACUUGCAAUACAGAACCUCAACUUCUUUAUCUUUGAUUAGCUCUCUGAUGAAAUGGAACUUGAUCUUGAUGUAACACCCCGACCCCAAAUUUUCCCAAAUUUUACCCUUAUUUAAUUAUUUAAUUAUUUAAGGGUAUUUUAGUCAUAUUUUUAACCGGAGAGAGUUUGGGACCGUGACUAGUAUUUUUGGAUAGGUCGAGCUGAGACGAGUUCAUAGACACGUAGUGGGCUCGAAUCGGAGUUGUAACGAGAGAGAUAUGGUCAAAAGAAGCCCAGUGGCACAAUCGUAAAUAUUUCGAAAUGGGAUUUUUUAUAAAAACUCAAAUUUUUCUCUCUCUCUCUCUCUCUCUCUCUCUCUCUCUCUCUCUCUCUCGCGACUCCUCUCUCUCUCUCCCGUCGGCCUCUCCUCUCUCUCUCUUCGUAACUCCGGCCACCGGCCGCGGCUGCGGACGGGGCCGGUGUCAAAAGAACCGGCUCGACCUCGGCAUCACGACCCAGCCCAUCCCCGCCAUCGGCCGCCGCUCCAGCCGCCGGAAAAUGGCGAUUUUCGCCCAGAUGUCGCCGGAACUUCAACGCCGUCGAUCUCCCUCCUCCGGCCACCAAUUCCGUCGACCCAGGUAUGGAUUUUGAACCUCUCGAGCUGCUCUAGCUGAUGGUUGGGUAGGAUUAGAUCGAUUCUUAGCGUAGAUCACUCGAUUUUCGAAUUGAAAAUCGGCCGAAACUUCGGCCGCCGUGAUCGGCCAUUUCCGGCCACUUUUUGGGGUAGGUCCAAGAACAAAAGUGGCUCCAAAUAGGGUGUUAUACCUAGGGUAGGAGUUUGGAGCCGUGGUUUUGAGAUUUUCCGGCGGAGCGUUAUCGCUUUGGGCACCCACGCGCUGCUGGCGCGUGCGGCGGAGCGUGGGCACUGUAUAAAAAGUAGCGAUGUAUUCCGAUGAGAUCCUUAGGUUGUCACGAGUGCGUAGGAUUUUGCGGAUCUCAAUUCGGACGUCGUUUGACUAUCGAACGAAUAAUCGCAUAGUGUGCGUUAUCCGGGUUCGAUAGGUUGGGACCGUUGGAUGGUCCCAAAUUUAAUAUAUGUUAAUCUAGGUAUUUCUAGGAUCGUGUAGGAAUUCACGGAUCGUGAAUCGGAACUCCGGAUGUUCCGAAUAAUAAUUUUAAGUUUAUAUUUUAUAUUAACCAUCAGAUCGUGCGAUCGUGAGCAAUCCGACCGUCCGAUCUGAACCAAACUUGCAGGACAAGUGUCCUACACCUGGUAGAACCCAUAGGGACUUCCGGAUCGGAAAUUGGAGGUCGUGGGUUCUGCAGGUCCGUUUGACCAGGGUUAGAGUAGUUUGACUCUUGGUUGACCGUGAGUCUCCCGGAGUAAUCUCACCCUUCCAGGGGGAAUUAUCGGGAGCUAGACUAUUGUGGAGGGUUACACAAUAUUAGAAUUAUUUAUAUAAAUUAUGUGGUUGUACAAGGGUACAACAGAGUCUAGAAUGUCAGUUUGGAGUGCUAUACGCACUACUCUAGGUACCUCCUCGGACUUUGGAAUUUCUACAAGUACCACCAAGUGAAAGUUAGGUCCCACGUGGCGUAGGUUAUCCGGCGUGUCGACAGACCCCAUACGUGGCGUUGGUUGUACCGGCGUAUGGGGAGAUUUGUGAUAUGAUAUUGAGGUCCCGCGUGGCGUAGGUUAUCCGGCGUUGGGACAGGCCCCAUACGUGGCGUUGGUUGUACCGGCGUAUGGGGAGAUAUUAUGAUAGUAUGGCAUGGUCGCACGUGGCGUAGGUUAUCCGGCGUGUCGACAGACCCCAUACGUGGCGUUGGUUGUACCGGCGUAUGGGGAGAUUUGUGAUAUGAUAUUGAGGUCCUGCGUGGCGUAGGUUAUCCUGCGUUGGGAUAGGCCCCAUACGUGGCGUUAGUUGUACCGGCGUAUGGGGAGAUAUUAUGAUAGUAUGGCAUGGUCGCACGUGGCGUAGGUUAUCCGGCGUGUUGACAGGCCCCAUACGUGGCGUUGGUUGUACCAGCGUAUGGGGAGAAUAUGUGAAAUACAGAGAAAUGAAAUAAGGUAUUGCCCAAGUGUGGAAUUGGGUUUUAGGGAAGAACUACUUAUGGCUUGAUCCCUCAAGGAGGGUACGUAGGCAGCCUAAGGUUAUUAGGUGCAGCCGCAGACUAAAUAUUAGUCAUAAAUUGUAAUUGAACUGUUUGGUAGUCGUUUGAGGAAGUAUUGAAAGGCCGAAGGCCAUUUGUGUGAAUUGCAUGAAAUUAUAUUGUGCAUGCUGCCAGUUGGGAAUAUUAAAUGCGUUUUUAUGCAGGUAUAAAUUUUGGGAAUGUCCAAUUUACAGGGGAGACUCUGCCAAAAUUUCGGCAGGAAGUCUCGGUUUUUAGUAAGUGGGCCUGGCAUCGGGGUGAUGUCAGGAAUUCCAAAGGGUUCGUCUCGGGUUUUGAGAAAAUUCGGGGCGGGUCCUUUCACUUGAUAUGCUUACUCUUGCUGUGAAACAUUGGAUUUUUGGAAAGACAAAUAGCUGAUUUGUUGUUGCAGAACAGCUUUGUAGGUCCUUCUUGAACUUGACCCAUCUCUUCUAAAAUACUUUUCAGCCACCUAGCUUGACAACCUGCUGAUGCAAGAGCAACAUACUCAGAUUCUGUAGUUGAAAGUGCCACUAUAGAUUGCUUUUUGGAGGACCAUGAAAUCGCACUUGAGCCAAUGCUAAAGACAUAACCAGAUGUGCUUUUGCAAGUAUCAACAUCUCCACCCAAGUCACUGUCACUGUAGCCAGUCAAAUUUAGAUUCUGAAUAGGAUAAUAAUGCAAACCAUAAUUGAUAGUUCCAACCACAUAUCUUAGGAUUCUCUUUCCAAGCUCCCAAUGAACAUCUUUUGGUGACUCCACUAAACGGCUGAGGAAGCUUACUGCAUAUGUAAGAUCUGGCCUUGUUGUAGUUAAAUACAAGAGGCCACCCACUAGACUUCGAAACAAAGUUUGAUUUACCAUUGUGCUUCCAUCAUUCUUACCUAUCUUAACACCAACCUCCAUUGGAGUAGCAAUUGACUUUGCAUUUUCCAACCUGAACCUUUUCAACAAUUCCUUUGCGUAUUUCUUUUGAGAAAUAUAGAUACCAUUCUCAUUUUGUUUGACUUCAAUUCCAAGAAAGAAAUGAAGCAAACCAAGGUCUGUCAUUUCAAAUCUUUGUGACAUAAUCAUCUUGAAAUUAUCACACAUUUGAGCAUUACUUCCAGUAAAUAUUAAGUCAUCCACAUAUAAGCAGACAAUCAAAAUCUCACCUUGAGAGUUCUUCUUGGUGUAAAGAGUAUGCUCAUAUGGGCAUUUGUGAAACCCAUACUCUUGGAAGAAUGCAUCAAUCCGACUGUACCAAGCUCUUGGAGCUUGUUUCAAACCAUAUAAAGCCUUCUUCAAUCUACACACUUUUGUUUCUUCAUUUCCCUGCACAUAACCUGGAGGUUGAGCAACAUACACUUCUUCUUCCAAAAAACCUUGCAAGAAUGCUGGUUUAACUUCCAUUUGAAAGACUUUCCAACAAUUUUGGGCAGCAAGAGCUAACACCAUUCGGAUGGUGUCAAAGCGUGCAACUGGAGCAAAAACUUCAUUGUAAUCAAUUCCAUAAUUUUGCUUGUAGCCUUUAGCUACCAAGCGAGCUUUGUAUUUCUCAACUUCUCCUUGAGCAUUCAGCUUGGUCUUAUACACCCAUUUUACUCCUAUAGGCUUCUUUCCUUGAGGAAGAUCAACCAGCUCCCAUGUGUCAUUUUUCUUAAUGGAAUCAAUUUCUUGAUCCAUAGCCUUCACCCAAUUUUCAUCCUUUGAAGCCUCUUCAAACAUAAUUGGGUCUGCAUCUACAAAUAGAGCAAAAUUUGUGCCACCAUUAGUGAUCAAAACAUAAUCACUAGAUGGGUACCUUGUGGAUGGUUGAUGAGCUCUUGUUGAUCUCCUUUGUCCUCUGCAAAUUUCUUCUUCCUCACUGCUAUCACUAGAAGAAGUUGAUGAUGACCCUUGUGAUGAAGAUUCCUAUGAUGAUAGAGUUGUUGGUGGAGUUAAAUCUGGAUUUUCAAGGCCAAUGUCCAACAGUAUUGGACUUUGAUUUUCAGCUUCACUCCAAUUCCAUGCUUCUUCUUCAUUGAACUUGACAUCACGACUAACAAUAAUCUUGUUAGUCAAUGGAUUAAACAACUUAUAUGCCUUGGCCUUUUCACUAUACCCAACAAGAAUGCACUUUUCUGAUUUGUCAUCCAAUUUUCUCCUUGUUUUAUCAGGAAUAUGAGAAUAAGCAAUGCUGCCAAAUAUCCUUAAGUGACUAAUACAUGGCUUGAGGCCACUCUAAGCUUCUUGAGGAGUCUUGCCUUCCACACUAUUGGACGAUGCACGGUUCAAGAGAUAUACAGCACAUGCCACUGCUUCUGCCCAAAAACGAUUAGGCAUUGCUUUUGCCUUCAACAUGCUUCUUGCCAAUUCCAUAACGGUCCUAUUUUUUCUCUCGGCCACACCAUUUUGCUGUGGGGUGUACCGAGCUGUGAACUGAUGCUUAAUCCCAUUUUCUUUUAGAAAAUUUUCGAACACAUUGGAUGAGAAUUCUCCACCUUGAUCAGACCGCAAGGUUUUCAAUGCAAAUCCACUUUGCUUCUCAGCCAAAGCUUUGAAAACUUUAAAGUAAUCAAACACCUCUGAUUUAUAUUUGAGAAAAUAGACCCAUGUCUUUCUGCUAUAAUCAUCAAUGAAUGUAAGAAAGUAGCGGUUACCUCCUGUUGAUGUUGUGUUCAUGGGCCCGCAUACAUCUGAGUGCACCAGCUCAAGAGGAUGGGAUGCUCUCCAAGAAUUUCCUGUAAGAAACGAAUUUCUCUGAUGUUUUCCCAGCACACAUGCUUCACAAACUUGUGUUUGAUGCUGUAUCGUUGGUAGGCCUCGUACCAUAUGUUGUUUCCCCAUCAAUGAUAGUGUAUUGAAACUCAAAUGCCCAUAGCGUAGAAGCCACAACCAUGAGGAAUCCUUGAUAAGUGCACUUAAGCAAGCAAAAGAUUCAUACUUUAUGUUCAGAGAAAACAUAUUGUCUCCUGACAUCUGCACCUUUGUAAUUAGAGAGUUGUACUUGUCUCUAAUUACACACUGGUCUUCCCUGAACUGAAUAUUAUGGCCUUUAUGAAGAAGUUGCCCCACACUAAGGAGAUUGUAAUUUAAAUCUGGAACAUAUAACACAUCAGAGAUUCUUUUUUGUUCUCCAGACUUGGAUAGAAAAAGAAUAUCUCCACAUCCUUUGGCCACUAGCUUUCCACCAUCACCAAUCCUUACUUCUGAGUUGUUGGUAUGCUUGAAAUUGACAAAGGCACUUUUGUUGCCUGUCAUGUGAUUACUACAUCCGCUAUCAAGAUACCAUUUUUCUGCACACACGUUUCCUUCCCUGGCAGCUGCAUAUGCAAGUAGAACCACAUUAUCAUUUUCCCUUUCAGAAGCUUUUUCAUGCACAAAGCUUGAUUCGGCUCCUCCAUUUGUUUUGUUUUUGCAUGUUGACUUGAUGUGCCCAUAUUGCUUGCAAUUGUAGCACUGAAUAUUAGAAAGAGAGGAACCUUGUUCUCUUCCUCUUCCUCUUGAAUAACCACCAUAAUCUCCUCUUCCUCUUGGAUAACCAUAAUCUCCUCUUCUUCUUGAAUAACCAUAAUCUCGUGCAGAGCCUUCAUCAUUAGUUUUUUUUAGGUCAUUUGCAUAGCCACGUCCUUGAUUAUUUCUUCCUCGUCCACGAGUAAAGCCGCCUCUUCCUCUUCUAGAACUUCCUCUGAAUGAGACUUGAGAUUGAAAAGCUUGCUCAACAGGGCCAGAGUCAAACUGCUUCAGUCGUAACUCAUGGGAUUGAAGAGAACCCAUUAAACUGUCAAGAGACAAAGUAGACAGAUCUUUGGAUUCUUCAAUUGCCACCACAAUAUAUUCAAACUUUCGGGGACAUACUUCGAAGAAUUUUUUCAGCAACUCUCUGAUCUUCAAUUUUUUCUCCAUUAAUUCUCAGUUGGUUGACUAGAGAAAUGACACGAUUGAAAUAGUCUUCAACAGAUUCUGACUCCUUCAUACGUAACAUAUCAAACUCACCUCUUAGAGUUUGCAGUCUUGCCAUCUUCACUUUAUCUUCUCCUUUAUAUGAUGCAAAGAGAGUGUCCCACGCCUGUUUUGAUGUAAUGCAUGAUGAGAUUCUUUCAAAGAUAGCUUCAUCCACUGCUUGAAAGAUAAAGAAUAAAGCUUUUUUGUCCUUCUUACGUGUCUCCUUCAGCUCUGUGAGUUGUUGUUGAGUGAGGACUGCUUGAUCAUUUGGCUCCACAAAGCCAUUUUCAACCACCUCCCACAAAUCUUGAGCAGCAUACAACACCUUCAUUUGGAUGCUCCAUUGACUAUAAUUCUUCCCUGUAAACUUUGGAAGCUGGGGCUGUAACAAGUUGUUGUUUGAAGCCAUAUGAUUCUGAGUUUCCAGCUCUGAUACCACUUUGAUGGAAUAAAAGAAUGAUAUUAUUGGUGGUGGGUACGGUUAUGUGGAAGUAAUAAUGGGUAAGAGAAGAAACUUGUUCUCUUGUGAUAAUCAAAAGACAGAAAGUAGUGGGACACUAUUUUAGAUAUGAUAAUGUUCCUUCCUUGAUUGAUGCAAAUGAAGAGAAAAGGGUGGCUUUAUAUAAUAGCCACUACCGACCUAACACAUUAAAAACACAACUAACACCAAACAUAGUUAAUUCAACUAACUUCUACCACACCAUUAAUUUAACACACAACUACUAACAAACUGCCAACUAUUUCAAAGUUACCAGCUGACUAUUAAUGAAGUCUAGAUUACUUUAACAGUAUCGAAUCUAGCUUUAAUAUGUAUUGGGUCCUCUGGACAAGAAUUCUAUCCUUUUCGUCCUAACUAAUAUGUAGGGGAAAAACAAUACAUCAAUUAUCCUUUUCGUCCUAACUAAUAUGUAGGGGAAAAACAAUACAUCAAUUAUGAAUUUUUUUUAUCUGGGUUCGAAAUUAAAUAUGAAUGGAGUUUUGGAGGCUUAAAAGUUAUAAGCUCAAGAAAGGAAGGAAACUAUAUGUACAUUUGGGUCGGAGGCAAAGGUCCAGUCAUCUACCGUCCAGGAUAUACAGUAUCAAAAAAGGCUUAAGAAUUGUAAUAAGGUGACAUACGCCCACAUACGGCCAACGCUAGCAUAUUUCGUAAGUGUAUUAUAUGUCUUCUAAGUAUAUCAUAGUUAUGUGUCAAUUUUAGAUCCAAUUGCACACCCAAAAUACAGAAACAAAAUCAUUGAGAAUACACUUUUUUUCACUUAUAUUUUGAAUAUGCAUUGCCUGUAUUUCAUGUGUAUGAUAUAGGGGCUUCACUUAUAGUUUUUGCACAAAACCUCCCUUGAUGAAGGAUGUCUUAGAUUAAUGACAUCAAUGAUUUGUUACAUUUGGAGUACCCAACAUAACAGCUCUCUGAUUAACAAUAAAGUUAUAAAAUUUCAACAGUUUCAUACCUAACAAGCAUAGAGAAACAAAUAAAACAACCACAUUGCUUCGAUCACUGUACAUGCACACAGCUCACUUUCACUAACUACAGAGGCUAUAUUUUCUACAUAUACACUAACUUUUUCUUUCUCCAGCUCUCUUACACCACCAGGCUGGUGACAAACCCAGCUCGCGUCAUGUGGAGGACCAAAAGGAAAUGACAAGGAGAAAACGGCUAAGGAGAGACUUACUCUCAACACUUAGAAGGCAGAGCAGAGAUAACAGAGCACACUGCUUGUAUAAAAGUGAGUAUGAGGAGAAAAAUAGCGGUAGCAAUUGAAAUAGUUGCCCAAGGUGUGUUGCAAUAGUUUUGUCUCAAGUUUGCCUGCCAUUUGUGCCAAGACGUUCUGCAGUACUUGUUGAGGUCUGCACAAAGAAUAGCAAAAUAGAAGUCAUUAGAGUCCACAAUGACCCCAUCUGCAAGGUUGUUGAUCAGAGUAGACCCUCCACUACUGUCACCGAGCAUAUUUUCGACGAUUCCUUGCUUAACAACCAACUCCACAUCCGUUGCGGUGUUCACAAAGCGAUCCACGAUGACAACAUAAUUGUUUAUGUAAUUCUCCAUGCAAUGGCAUUGUUCAAAGGCAAGGAGGUUUCUGAUUGUAAGCUCUGUCUCAUCACUUAUUGCUAAUUUUGGAAUUUCUAGAAUCCCAUUAGCGAAUUGUAUGUCGAAUAAGUUUUUGGGUGAUCCCACCUUAAACUUGACUCCUGCUCUGUGUAACUCUGUGAUGCUGGAUGUGUUUAAGAGUUUCAAGUCGCCCCUUAGCAGGUGGUUUCAAUGGUAGAGGUAGAUACAAAUUUCUACAAAAAUCUACAAAGUGUUCUACUUUAGAAGUACAUAAUUUCUCCAUAUUGCCAUCCGUUCCCUCUAUGUGCAUUAGAGUUUUGAAGAAAUUGUGGCAAAGGUUAAGCAUCGAAAGCCUCUCAAUAUUGUUAUUGUUAGAAGAGACUUUGAUUUUUUCGGGGUCAAAAAGUUCCUCAAGAAUGAAGAAUGGCAGCUGAUUUUCAAACAACCGCAUGUCAGGCCAUACGUCUGGCAACAGCCAUGGUUUGUUAAAUAUGCGGUCAAUUUCAUCCUGCAAUUCAUCGAAACGAUACCUCAACAAGACCUCAAUGAUGAAGGCGGCAUCCACUAGAAUGAUUCUCACAAAUUCAUCACUGCUAACCUGAAUGGUUUCUGCAUAACAACUGCGCAGUUUUGCUUCUUGGUCUUUUACUUUCUGUACAUAAUCGGCUAGGCUUACCCUGGUCCGACGUAUAUAAUCUUGUAAGUACCUCUUUUUGUGAUCUUCCAUGGCUUUUAGGCCUUCCUCGCCAUGAUGAAGUGGGCCUAUAGAGACUACCUGAGGUGUGUAGGCCUUUUCACUCACACGCCGUAGUCGUUCAGGAACUCUAUAAAUGCAACACAAGGAGGAGAGGGAAGACAAGCCAUCCAACUCCUCACUCAUUGAAGUUACUAAUGGAAUGCAAGGGUUUUCAAUAUCAUGUGGAGCUUGAUCGCUUCCUUCCAUUUUCCGCUGAUGUGUUUGUUGUUGUCAAUCAUAAUGGAUGAUAAUGAAAUGAUAGUCACUGACACAACAAUAAACAAAUUUUUCAAGAUGGCUGAGAAAAUUAAUACAAACAUUGCAAUUAUAAGACCAAACACACAAAGACUUUUGAUCCUUGUAACUCUUACAUACCACACUAGUGCCUUAAGAAUUCGAUUUGAAUGCACCAAAUUCAUUCAAAACUCUUCUGGUCAACUCUGUUUCUUGUAAUUAUUCUUGGAAGAUUCUAAUACAUUUUUGAUUGAAAAAUUCCUACUAAUCAUGUGAAUCAGUACCAAAGUUUAUUUCAAAUUAACAUACAAACCCCACUUUUUUUUUCCUACAUAUAUACUUCUUUAUUUCCCCUCAACUUAUUGGAGCUUCUAAUAAAGCAAAUUCUUUCUGUGAUGAUAUCAGAUAGUAGAUUAUGCUUCCAGUCAAAACAUAGACAAACCAAAAUCCCAUUAGAAGAGAAGAAAAUAAUAUACGACAUUCACAUAACCUUCUGCUCAAUUCCAAUUUCCAACUACAAUGAAACAUAAGACACUUAAAAGCUUCAAGAAAUUGGAUGUGCAAGCAAACAUAGCGAAAUUAUGAAAGACAGAGAAAGGUGUUGGGCAUUGAAAACAUACCUGAUACGUAUUGAAACACAAUUUUUUUUUGCCUUUGGUAGAUGGAGUAGCUAGAAAAGCUCAAUGCACUUGCUCUUCUGCUACAUUUCAAUAUAAGAACAUUGUUUGGAAGUCCGGUCAAUUCCUCAAAGCUUCCUUGCCUUUGUUUUGACAUGCCGAUGCCCGUCUUGGGGAAGUUUGAAUAAUCCAUUGCAGGCCCCAUGAUAGGAUUUUUAGUACUUGUGCAAACAGUGUUAAAAAUCACAUAAAAUACUUGCAAGAAUACAAGGCUAUUGUAGUAUAGAUGCUCAUGCAAGGUCGUUUUCCUCAAGGACUAAUUAGCAAUUUAUGUAAAAACAAAUUCCAAUUACUACUUAAAAUAAAAAGUCAAGAAAGAUGAUUAUAAAUUUGGUGGAUUCUAAAAAACAAAUAUUAAACAAAAACAAAUACGAUUGAAAGAAAGAGUUUUGAAUAUCAAUUUAUAAAAACACUAGGGUUUCACCAUCACCUAGCAAUCCUAUGAACUUUUACCAAUUACUUAUGAUUUGCACAUGCCACUUUGAAGGUUAGGUUUUCCUAAUGUAUAUUCUACUUGGAACCUCCAACACAGAACGUAUAUCCAACAUGCAACCCGUCCGGACGUUCGGAUCAAAUCUGAACAUGAAAGACUCAUUAAGUUUUGUGAAAACCCUUUGAAAAACCAUGCAACCCUUAAGACGUGGUGUUCAUCUUAAGUGAAAUUACAAUUAUUAAUCACAAGAAGCUAGCAUAAAUUUCAGGGAACCUUCCGACCAAAAUUGCAUCCAAUUACUUUUCUAAAGAUCCUAAUGGUGAUCAGGCAUUAAGACAAUUAGAUAGUUUAAAAUAGUGAUUAACAAUUCAAAAUACGCAUGCACUCAUCAUAAGCAAUUAAAUAAAAAUCACAUAUUCAUGCUAAGGUUCAAGGCUUCACCCUAGCAAAAGAAAUUUAGUUACGCAUACUCAUAAUUGAAAUCCAAGAAAAUAUCAUUAAGAAGAAAAGAACGAAAACACCUGAAAGUUGUGAAAACCCAAAACCCUAGCAAUUGCUCUCUACAAUGCAAAGUUCAAAAAUAAUUAAGAAGUCCUAAAUUCCUUGUGAGAAAGAGCUUAAAUAUCCCUUAAAACCUAGCUGCCAAUGUACAGCUUUUCUAUCCCUACAAGGAAACUAAUUAAAGUAAAAUAAUACUAGGAAAUAAAGUCCAAAUUGGAAUAGGAGAAUUUGCCCAAAAUCAGCCCAGCCACGUUUUGGCCCCAAAUCUCCUCCAAAUCUGGCCCAAGAUAGCUUUUUUUAAAGACACUACUACAAAAAGUGAAAAAGACGACCAGAAAACAACGACGGUCUAAGUGAAAACCGUCGUGGUUUUUAAAAAGACGACGGUUCUAAAAACACCGUCGUGUAAUACCACCUUAGACAACUAAAAAAUGGAGAUUCAAAUGGCUGUUCAAAAACAACGACGUACCUAAUUAAACAACCGACGUCUAUUUGAAACAGAUUUCCGCAGUGUAAAAUCAAAGCAAACAAAGAACGGCAGAAGUUAUGAAUAGACCGACGUAGAAAGUAAAGACGACGAUUUCAAUAAAAGCCGCCGUUUUUACUCAUAAAAUAACACGACGAGGUUUUCGUAUAAGACGCCGUAUAAUUACAAACAAAUCCACGGCUUUAAAAUACAAAAUAAUCUUAACAGAUGACACAGAUUUGCAAUCAGAGAGACAAUUUUUUGGAAGUUGAUCAACGUCGUUGAAAAUUUGCAAUCAGAGAGACAAUUUUCAACGACGGUUAUAUUAUACCUAACGACGUUUAAAAACAAAUCAACGUCGCUCAACAAAUAUAUUACGUCGUCUUAGUCUUACUUAAGACGACGAAAAACGACGACAGUAGUAAAAAAACAGUCGUUGUUUUUAUAUUCUUAUUUUAUUUAAAUCUGUCGUGUUAGUUAAAAACGACGGCAUAACAAAAAACCGUCGUUUUGUUUCAAACUGAAUUAAUUUAAAAUUUCUUCAGGAAAGCAAAAUCUAUUUAUAAUUUCCUCGGGUUAGUAAUAUUGUGUCGUGUUAGUUUACAAAUUCUAGAACAUUAAUUUCCCUCAUUUUAAAUUUUCUCGGGAAAGAAAAAUCUAUUUAUCACGCUUUGUAAUUGAAAACUAAAACUGAAAGAAUUCUGGAAAAAAAACUCUAUUUAUAAUUUAAAAAUAAAAUGCACGUCGGUUGUAGUACACUUAACGACGUUUAACAAAAUAAUCUACGUCGGUAAUUAUAAAUCUACCGCCAUCUUACCCUAAUAUAGACGACGAGAAAAGACGACGGUAGAACAGAAAACCGCCGUUGUUUCAGUUUCUUUAACAGUUUGGUCCUUUAUCUUUCUGCAGGACUUGUAUAGUUCAAAGCAUUGACAAUGUCUUCAUCAUAUCUCCCAGCAACUACUGAUUCGAUUGCUCAUGCUUUAGAGGCCAUCUGAAGCCAUUUCUAUUCUUUAUCGCAUUCUUGAAACCCAUCUUCUUCUUCUGAAGCUCUACGGAUAAAGGAANNNNNNNNNNNNNNNNNNNNNNNNNNNNNNNNNNNNNNNNNNNNNNNNNNNNNNNNNNNNNNNNNNNNNNNNNNNNNNNNNNNNNNNNNNNNNNNNNNNNNNNNNNNNNNNNNNNNNNNNNNNNNNNNNNNNNNNNNNNNNNNNNNNNNNNNNNNNNNNUUUUUUUUGGGGUUGGUUUUUUAUAGUAACCAGUUAUAACAGUAGUGGUUGUGCAAUGUUUGGUUCCCUUAAGCUUCGAUCCAACCGUGUAGCCAGCUUUAGGUCAAUGUCUCCCAAACCACUCGGGUUUUAGGGCACUAGGUGUAGAACACCCCUAAGGACUUAUUAACUCAAGCUGAAAAGGCUACGAAACCAACUAACCACCCUGCCUCAUGCCAAAACUCUACCUUUUGUCUCGAAAAUCACUGCUGAUUAGGCAGGACUGGCCCGGUUACUAGCAAAGCUUCGGGUGAGGCAAUUAUUACUUUAUAACACAUACUAACUUUAUUUAAAUUGAACAGAAAUUAAAACACACUUGGACAAAAAGUAAGUAUUCCAAUCUCACUCCCCAAAAACCAUAUUGGUGUGAUGUGCAAAUUUCAAAGUAUAAUUCAUGAAUUAGUGUCUAAGCAACAAUAAAUAGAAAAGACUCUACUGUGGGAUUGAUUUUCACUAUGUCCAUUUAUUCUAACGUUUAAAAUAAUCUAUGGAUAUUGACUGAAAAACGAAAAUUUUAAACAAGACUUAAAAAAAACUAAAAAUCUAAAAUUUACUUUCCCACCCCCUAACUUAAAUCACACAUUGUCCUCAAGGUGUGGUAAAUAAUCAAAAGAAACAAGAGCAGAAACAAAACGACUAAAUCCUAGAAAAUGAAAAUCAAAAAUAAAGAAAAUACUCUAAGAAAAGAAACUAGGAAGGAAAAAUAGAAGAAUAAUAAAAUAAAAUAAAAUAAGAAAGAAAAGGAGAAAAACAACAAUAGAAAAGAAAUAGGAAAGAAAAUACCCAAAAAUGAGACACCUUGGGGAUUCAAAGGCAGGACCAGGCGGAGUGUUGCGAAAAAGCGCUGACCAACUCAACCACGUCCACACUGGCAUCAAAUAGGAGCGACAGCUACAAUAUAACCUGCUGUAGCUGCUGCAUCUGUCAUUUGAAAAAUAUUGGAUUCCCUUCUCCUACCCCGAGCUCAGAGCCGAAAGGCUCUCUUCUGUCCAUUCCCAUUUUGCAGAAGAAAAAAGAAUAUUGCUGGAUAAACCAAAGCCUCCGCUGUGUCCAGAGAAUCAGAAAAGGUCUCUGAUUUCUCUCUUCUCAAGGCCAUCCAUCUCCGCCUUCACUCUUCUUCAUUCUCUCCAACACUCACGAUCCUUUCCUCUCUUUCAACCCAAUUACACCAGCGUUUUCAUCUGCGUGAGGAGGCCACAUUUGCAGCAAACACAACCAGUGAGGUUGAAUUAUCUGAUGCACCUGAAUUUUUGGAUGGUUUUGGAGUCCCUAGAUUCCUCAAAUUCAGAUCUGUCUCCAUCCAUGUCACCAGAUGCUAACUUGUUCCAAGAUGAAAACAAGCUGAAGCCGAACAAGAGUCUAUUCUCCACCAGUAAGGACCCCAGAUCUGUGCAUCCCGUAGGUAAACUUUCGAACCCCAGAACUGGUUUUUUUUUUUUUUUUUUUCCGUUUUUUUUUUGUUUUGAAAAUAAAAGAAGUAAAGAGUUUAGAAAAAUUGGGUUGCCUCCCAAUAAGCGCGCUAUUUUAAGUCUGUAGCUAGACUUUGCAGAAGCCUGGUGGUCAAAUCACUGGUUCCUUCAGAGUCAAAGACUCGGCUGCAAUGUCAAAGGGUGUCUCCACGUAGGGUUUUAGCCUAUGACCAUUCACCUUGAACGUGUUGCCUUUAUCUUCAUUAGUGAUUUGAACUGCUCCAUGAGGAAAAACUUGAGUCACUAGGUAGGGUCCAGUCCAGCGAGAUUUUAAUUUCCCUGGAAACAACUUGAGCCUUGAACUAAAUAACAGAACCUUUUGCCCUGGCUGAAAUUCCUUCCGUAAAAUUUGACUGUCAUGAAAUGCCUUAGUUCUUUCCUUGUAGAUGCGAGAACUAUCAUAAGCACCUUGACGAAUUUCCUCUAGCUCAUUUAACUGCAAUUUCCGCUUUUCCCCAGCUGAGUCAUAUGCAAAAUUUAACUCUUUAAUGGCCCAGUAAGCUUUAUGCUCCAGCUCCAUAGGUAGAUGACAGGCUUUCCCAUAAACAAGUCGGAAUGGUGACAUCCCAAUAGGAGUUUUAUAAGCUGUCCUGUAUGCCCACAAAGCAUCAUUUAGUUUGAAACUCCAAUCCUUGCGUGUAGAGCUCACUGUUUUCUCCAAAAUACGCUUUAUUUCUCUGUUUGAAACUUCAACUUGACCAGAUGUCUGUGGGUGGUAUGGUGUAGCCACGCGAUGAUUAAUCCCGUAUUUUGCCAGUAGGUUAGCAAAUGGUUUAUUAAUAAAAUGCUUCCCCCCAUCACUAAGAAUAACACGCGGUAUUCCAAAACGUGGAAAUAUAACCCCCUGGAGGAACUUCAGGACCACUGAUCCUUGAUUAGUUGGUGCUGCAAUGGCCUCGACCCAUUUUGAAACAUAUUCCACAGCCACUAAAAUAUAUUGGUGCCCAUUAGAAGAUGGGAAUGGCCCCAUGAAAUCAAUACCCCAAACAUCAAAUAGUUCAACAAUUAGGAUACUUUGUUGGGGCAUUUCAUUCCUUCUGGAUUGAUUGCCGACCCUUUGACACCGAUCACAUGCCUUGCACCAAUUCUGUGAAUCUCUAAAAAGUGUUGGCCAAAAUAACCCACUCUGUAGGAUUUUCUCUGCUGUCCUUUUCUGCGCAAAAUGUCCUCCUCAAGCAUAGUGAUGAGCAAACUUUAAAACACUUUCUUGUUCAGCCUCCGGAAUACACCUGCGAAUAAUCUGGUCUGCACAAUACUUGUAUAAGUACGGUUCAUCCCAGAAAUAGUGCUUUACAUCAGAUAAAAACUUCUUUUUCUGCUGGUAGGAAAAAUCUGGAUGCACCACACCCUUAGCCAAAUAAUUGACAAUAUCUGCAAACCAAGGUGUGUCAAUUUUGACAGCAAAUAGCUGUUCAUCUGGGAAACUUUCACUCAAUGGUAGAGAAUCUGCCUCUGUAGCUGCUGGAAUAAUUAAUCUAGAUAAAUGAUCAGCCACAACAUUCUCACUGCCCUUCUUGUCUUUAAUCUCUAAGUCAAAUUCUUGAAGUAAGAGAACCCAACGAAUCAAUCUAGGCUUUGCAUCCUUCUUAGACAACAAGUAUUUUAGUGCAGCAUGAUCUGUAUAGACAAUUAUUUUAGCCCCAACCAAAUAAGACCGAAAUUUCUCUAGUGCGAACACAACUGCCAACAAUUCCUUCUCUGUAGUUGCAUAGUUAAGCUGUGCAUCAUUUAGAGUACGACUUGCAUAAUAGAUGACAUGGGGAAGCUUAUCUUUUCGCUGCCCUAAAACUGCCCCGACAGCAUAAUCUGACGCAUCACACAUUAGUUCAAAUGGUAAAUCCCAAUUUGGUGCAGCAAUGAUGGGUGCCGAAGUUAGGAGUGCUUUCAACUUGUUGAAUGCUUCUAAACAGGCCUUAUCAAAAUUAAAUGGUGCAUCCUUAGCCAAUAAAGUGCACAAAGGUCGACUAAUCUUGGAGAAAUCCUUGAUGAACCGACGAUAAAAACCUGCGUGUCCUAAGAAGGACCUCACACCUUUUACUGAUGUAGGAGGUGGCAGCUUUGCAAUAACUUCAAUCUUUGCCUUGUCAACCUCGAUGCCUUUGCUAGAAAUUGAAUGACCCAAGACAAUUCCCUGUUCAACCAUGAAAUGCCACUUUUCCCAGUUUAGCACUAAAUUUGUCGCUUGACAUCUCUGAAGAACUAAUGAUAAAUUCUGUAAGCAUUGAUCAUAUGAAUCCCCAAAAACAGAAAAAUCAUCCAUAAAAACUUCCACAAUAUUUUCGACCAAGCCAGAAAAAAUACUCAUCAUACAACGUUGAAACGUAGCAGGUGCAUCGCAUAAUCCGAAUGGCAUCCUCCGAUAAGCGUAAGUACCAAAUGGACAAGUGAAAGUAGUCUUCUCUUGAUCCUCUGGUGCUAUUGGAAUCUGAUUAUACCCAGAAUACCCAUCAAGAAAACAGUAAAAAGCCCGCCCAACCAACCUUUCUAACAUCUGGUCAAUAAAAGGCAAUGGAAAAUGGUCUUUUCUCGUCCCUGUGUUAAGCUUCCGAUAAUCUACACACAUUCUCCAACCCGUAGUCAAUCGUGUAGGAACUAACUCAUUAUUAUCAUUUUUCACCACUGUAAUACCGGUCCGUUUAGGCACAACUUGAGUCGGGCUAACCCAUUUACUGUCAGAAAUAGGAUAAAUCAUACCUGCAUCAAGUAAUUUCAUAACCUCUGUUCUAACCACCUCUUUCAUAAUUGGGUUAAGGCGGCGUUGAGCAUCAACUGUUAGCUUUACGUCGUCUUCCAUUAAUAUUCUGUGCAUACAUAGUGCUGGGCUGAUUCCCUUGAUAUCCGCAAUUGUCCAUCCCAAUGCAUCUUGAUAUUUUCUCAAUACACGAAGCAAUUUAUCCUCCUCUGUCGGUGUUAAAUCUGCUGCAAUUAUAACUGGCAACGUCUCUGCAGCUCCUAAAUAUGCAUAUUUAAGAUGUUGUGGUAAAGGCUUCAGCUCCAAUUUUGGCGGCUGCUGUCUGGAUGGUUUAAGGGGCUGUUUGGGCUCCCCUAAACUCUCAUACACAUUCCUAAAUUUUGGCAACACUGUGGGCAGACUGUUCAAUGCGUGUAUGUACUCAUGAACACCUUCAUCUUCAAAAUCUGUCUCAAAUGCCCCCUGUAAAACAUGCAACAACUGAUCUGUUUUUGAAUUAGCAUAAAAUCUGUCCUGCACCAUACUGUCUACCAUGUCAAUACGCAUACAAUCUAGCUGUUCAGCAGGACGUUUUGUUGCCGCAAACAAAUUAAACACCACAGAUUGGUCCUGAACCCGUAAAGUCAAUGUUCCAGCUUCCACAUCAAUUAAGGUCCUAGCUGUUGCCAUAAACGGCCUCCCCAAAAUAAUAGGUGUUUGAAGGUCUUCAUCCAUGUCUAAAACCACAAAAUCUGCCGGUAGAUAAAGAUUAUCAACCUUAAUAAUUAGAUCUUCAAUAACACCUCUUGGAUAAGUGAUUGAACGGUCAGCUAGUUGAAGUAUAAUUGAUAUAGGCUUUAAAUCUCCUUGCCCCAAUCGCUGAAAAACAGAAAAAGGCAUCAAAUUAAUACUUGCACCCAAAUCAAUUAAAGCACUCUUAAAAUUAGAAUUUCCAAUAGUGCAAGAAAUAUUAAAACUCCCUGGAUCUUUUUUCUUAGGUGGUAGUUUGUGUAGCAAAACUGCAUUGCACUGUUCUGUCAAAAUAACUUUUUCCAAAUCUGAAAGCUUCUUUUUGCUGCUGCAAACUUCCUUCAAAAAUUUGGCAUAUGAUGGAAUUUUCUUGAUUGCAUCCAGUAAGGGAAUGUUGAUUUGAACCUUGGAUAAUGUCUGCAUAAAGUCCUUGAGUUGCUGAUCUUUUACUUUUGGCUUCAAACGUUCUGGAUAUGGAAUUGGGGCCUCAUAAACACGCUCAGGUACUUGUUUUGGAACAGUUUCUAGAUCUGCCAUAUUAUGUUUUUCUACAGGUUUGGCAGGUUCUGCUGCUGCAAAAUUUUCUGUAUGAUCCUCCACUGCAUGCUGCUCCUUUUCAAUGUUAUUUUCACGAUUGUCAUAGCUUUUUCCACAUCGUAAAGUCCGAACAACUUUGCAAUCUUCACGUCCAUUUGGAUUAGGAAUUGUUUGACUAGGAAAUUUGCCCUUUUAUCUGUCUGAAAUCUGUGUAGCUAGUUGUCCAAAUUGUUGCUCCAAACUUUUAAUAGAUGCUUCAACAUUUUGAAAUCUUUGAUUGUUGCCCUCGAUGAAUGAUUGAGUUGUUGCUGCCAGUUUAGCAAGUUGAUCUUCCAUAGAUGGUUUGGAGGGAACAAAAGGUUUUUGUGCAUGCUGGAAUGGUUUGGCAUUAGUCUGAUUGUCACCCCAUUUGAAAUUAGGGUGAUCCCUCCAUCCAGGAUUGUAAUGAGUUGCAUAUGCAUCAUUCCUAGGCCUUUGAUAGCUGUUCAUCAUAUUGACAUGUUGUUCAACAAGCUCUGGGUAAGAGUCUCUAUGUGGGCAGCCCAUUAUGUCAUGUGUAGCCAUACUGCAUAUAGUGCAAACUGUUGAUGUAGGUGGCUGCUGUGUAGAACUUGCUAUAUGUUGUAGAAGCAUAUCAAACUUUGCAUCAAUUUUCUUAUCCAUUUUUUCCAUUUGUGCAGACAUGUUGGGAGAACCUACUGAUAACUCAAAAAUGCCCCUUUUCUGUGAAUGUUCUGCUGCCCAUUGCUGAGAUUCUGUAGCCAUCAUAUCAAACAGUUCAAAUGCCUCUCUUGCAGAUUUAUUUGAUAAUGAUCCUCCAGCUGAUGCAUUCACAUGGCUCUUAGAUGUAGGAUUAAGCCCAUCAAAGAAAAUAUUCAUUUGUGUAUCUGAAUCAAUUUUAACAUGUGGACACUUUAUGUACAUCUUUGUAUAUCUCUCCCACGCUUCAUGAAACUCUUCAUUAGGCUUCUGUGUGAAUGUCAAAAUCUCCCUCUUGUAAUUCAAUGUCUUGGAUGCUGGAUAAUAUUUGUUCAGGAAUUUUGUGUGUAACUGCUGCCAAGUAGUAAUGCUAUUAGCUGGUAGAGUGAAUAACCAAGUUUCUGCCUUGUCCUUCAAAGUGAAAGGGAAAAGACGUAACUUAAUAGCCUCAGCAGAAAAACCCCUAAUCAAAAUAUUCUUGCAACCCACAAUAAAUUUUGCAAUAUGUAUGUUUGCAUCUUCAUUAGGCAAUCCCCGAAAAGUAGGUAGAAUUUCAAGCAUAUGGUGCCUGAUCUCGAACGAAUCACCCUCUUCUUGUUCAGGAUACACAAUGCAAUUGGGAACAUCAGUGGCACGGGCUUCCAAUGACUCCCUGAGUGGUCUACCUGCCGCAGGUAAUUCUAACGCCAUGUUACUCUCGUUUGCAAACAGAUCCUGCAGAAAAGUGCCCUGCAGUGAACAGUCCCAAGCCCAAGUAACUUCUCUCCGCUGUCUAUGCAGUGUGCGCUCUGGUUCUGGAUCAAAUUGUACAAUCUGUGUAGUUCCUGAUCUGGUCUGGACCAUGCAGUCUGCAAAAUCUGCAACAGAAACAAAAUUGUUCAAUUUCAAUUUUUUUUUUUGGACGAAAAUUAAAAAUAAAAUAAAAUGAAAUAAAUCAGAAAAAGGUUAAACAAAAAUUGUCUAAAAUAGUCCCCAGCAACGGCGCCAAUUUCUUGAUAGGAUUUUUAGUACUUGUGCAAACAGUGUUAAAAAUCACAUAAAAUACUUGCAAGAAUACAAGGCUAUUGUAGUAUAGAUGCUCAUGCAAGGUCGUUUUCCUCAAGGACUAAUUAGCAAUUUAUGUAAAAACAAAUUUCAAUUACUACUUAAAAUAAAAAGUCAAGAAAGAUGAUUAUAAAUUUGGUGGAUUCUAAAAAACAAAUAUUAAACAAAAACAAAUACGAUUGAAAGAAAGAGUUUUGAAUAUCAAUUUAUAAAACCACUAGGGUUUCACCAUCACCUAGCAAUCCUAUGAACUUUUACCAAUUACUUAUGAUUUGCACAUGCCACUUUGAAGGUUAGGUUUUCCUAUUGUAUAUUCUACUUGGAACCUCCAACACAGAACGUAUAUCCAACAUGCAACCCGUCCGGACGUUCGGAUCAAAUCUGAACAUGAAAGACUCAUUAAGUUUUGUGAAAACCCUUUGAAAAACCAUGCAACCCUUAAGACGUGGUGUUCAUCUUAAGUGAAAUUACAAUUAUUAAUCACAAGAAGCUAGCAUAAAUUUCAGGGAACCUUCCGACCAAAAUUGCAUCCAAUUACUUUUCUAAAGAUCCUAAUGGUGAUCAGGCAUUAAGACAAUUAGAUAGUUUAAAAUAGUGAUUAACAAUUCAAAAUACGCAUGCACUCAUCAUAAGCAAUUAAAUAAAAAUCACAUAUUCAUGCUAAGGUUCAAGGCUUCACCCUAGCAAAAGAAAUUUAGUUACGCAUACUCAUAAUUGAAAUCCAAGAAAAUAUCAUUAAGAAGAAAAGAACGAAAACACCUGAAAGUUGUGAAAACCCAAAACCCUAGCAAUUGCUCUCUACAAUGCAAAGUUCAAAAAUAAUUAAGAAGUCCUAAAUUCCUUGUGAGAAAGAGCUUAAAUAUCCCUUAAAACCUAGCUGCCAAUGUACAGCUUUUCUAUCCCUACAAGGAAACUAAUUAAAGUAAAAUAAUACUAGGAAAUAAAGUCCAAAUUGGAAUAGGAGAAUUUGCCCAAAAUCAGCCCAGCCACGUUUUGGCCCCAAAUCUCCUCCAAAUCUGGCCCAAGAUAGCUUUUUUUAAAGACACUACUACAAAAAGUGAAAAAGACGACCAGAAAACAACGACGGUCUAAGUGAAAACCGUCGUGGUUUUUAAAAAGACGACGGUUCUAAAAACACCGUCGUGUAAUACCACCUUAGACAACUAAAAAAUGGAGAUUCAAAUGGCUGUUCAAAAACAACGACGUACCUAAUUAAACAACCGACGUCUAUUUGAAACAGAUUUCCGCAGUGUAAAAUCAAAGCAAACAAAGAACGGCAGAAGUUAUGAAUAGACCGACGUAGAAAGUAAAGACGACGAUUUCAAUAAAAGCCGCCGUUUUUACUCAUAAAAUAACACGACGAGGUUUUCGUAUAAGACGCCGUAUAAUUACAAACAAAUCCACGGCUUUAAAAUACAAAAAUAAUCUUAACAGAUGACACAGAUUUGCAAUCAGAAGAGACAAUUUUUGAAGUUGAUCAACGUCGUUGAAAAUUGCAAUCAGAAGAGACAUUUUCAACGACGGNNNNNNNNNNNNNNNNNNNNNNNNNNNNNNNNNNNNNNNNNNNNNNNNNNNNNNNNNNNNNNNNNNNNNNNNNNNNNNNNNNNNNNNNNNNNNNNNNNNNGGAAGUUGAUCAACGUCGUUGAAAAUUUGCAAUCAGAGAGACAAUUUUCAACGACGGUUAUAUUAUACCUAACGACGUUUAAAAACAAAUCAACGUCGCUCAACAAAUAUAUUACGUCGUCUUAGUCUUACUUAAGACGACGAAAAACGACGACAGUAGUAAAAAAACAGUCGUUGUUUUUAUAUUCUUAUUUUAUUUAAAUCUGUCGUGUUAGUUAAAAACGACGGCAUAACAAAAAACCGUCGUUUUGUUUCAAACUGAAUUAAUUUAAAAUUUCUUCAGGAAAGCAAAAUCUAUUUAUAAUUUCCUCGGGUUAGUAAUAUUGUGUCGUGUUAGUUUACAAAUUCUAGAACAUUAAUUUCCCUCAUUUUAAAUUUUCUCGGGAAAGAAAAAUCUAUUUAUCACGCUUUGUAAUUGAAAACUAAAACUGAAAGAAUUCUGGAAAAAAAACUCUAUUUAUAAUUUAAAAAUAAAAUGCACGUCGGUUGUAGUACACUUAACGACGUUUAACAAAAUAAUCUACGUCGGUAAUUAUAAAUCUACCGCCAUCUUACCCUAAUAUAGACGACGAGAAAAGACGACGGUAGAACAGAAAACCGCCGUUGUUUCAGUUUCUUUAACAGUUUGGUCCUUUAUCUUUCUGCAGGACUUGUAUAGUUCAAAGCAUUGACAAUGUCUUCAUCAUAUCUCCCAGCAACUACUGAUUCGAUUGCUCAUGCUUUAGAGGCCAUCUGAAGCCAUUUCUAUUCUUUAUCGCAUUCUUGAAACCCAUCUUCUUCUUCUGAAGCUCUACGGAUAAAGGAAGAGGCUAUCACAAAUCUGACGGAUCUUCUUAGUCAAAAAAAUCAAGCAGAGGAUCAGGCACAUCUGAUCUUCAGAUUUCCCUGAGAAGCGAACUUUCCUUCGACAGCGAGUGGAGGCCAGGCUUGCAUCUCUUUUGAUGGAAAGCAAGGAGUAUUCAGAAGCACUAAGUGUCCUAUCAGGCUUGAUCAAGGAAGUGAGAAGGCUAGUUGACAAGCUUCUUCUUGUCAACUAGCCUAAAUGUAAGCUCAAUUUCUCUUUGAGAAAGACCUCCAAAUUAUUGUCUUUGAGAUGUGAGAGACAGUGUCUCUGAGAGAGGAAGAACUUGGAACCCUAAAUGUAAACCGCGAAAAUGAAUGAAAGCGACAAAUUUAUAGAAUAAAUUUUUAAAACCAACGGCGGUACUUACCAAGAAACCGCCGUUUCAAUUGUAAAAUCAACGUCGGUAUUACUGACGUAUAUUACAGAACUCCACGUCGGUACAUUAAUAAUCACGACGUCUUAAAUAAUCUACCAUGACGCGAGUUAUUACUUAUGUACUUUAAUUUUUGAGUUUACUACGACGGUACCUACAACACUACUGUCGUAUUUAUUUACCACGUCCGAAGUUAAAUUUACCGACGUAUUUUGUACUUUAUACGUCGUAGUUAUAUGUAACCGCCGUAUUAUUUUUUUGAAAUGGUUUUAUAUGUAAGCAACUUUUCGUCUACUUGACUUACACAUUAGUUGUUUUUAUAUUCUUAUUUUAUUUAAAUCUGUCAUCCAAAAAAGAAACUUUACAUAUUGCAGAAUAUUAAUUUCCUUCGUUUUAAAUUUCCUCCGGAAAAAAAACUCUAUUUAUAACGCACUGUAAUUGAAAAAUAAACUGAAAGGUCACGGGAAAAAAAAUUCUAUUCAUAAUUUAAAAAUUAAAAUCCACGUCGGUUAUAUUAAACCUAACGACGUUAAAUGAAAUGAUUCCACGUCGAACGAAAAAUAUUUCGUCGUGUUAGUUAAAAACGACGUAGUUAAAUGUAACCGCCGUAUUAUUUUUUUGAAAUGGUUUUAUAUGUAAGCAACUUUUGGACUUACACAUGCACUGUUUCCAAACCCGAUUAAAAAUUUCAAUCUCCAGAGAAACCUUUUCGUCUUUUUUCCUUGUCAGAGCAUUAUCAGAGUUUCUCAUCGUCUUCCUCUCGUCUUCUUCGUCGUCCUUGAACUUAAACAUCGAUCAUCUUCCUCUUGCUUUCAUUGCACGCAAAAGGUAAGCUUUCAUUUUCACUAUUUUGGUUACUGUUUUGCAUGCUCAUACGUUUUUUGUUUGAAAAAUCUUUUUACCUUUUUUCUGGCCAAAAUCAUUUUACUUCUUUCCAAGUUUGAUAAAAUAUACAGACAAAAAGGGAAAGUUUCCAACUUUGAAGACAACUACCUCAACUAAAUGAGACGACGGUAGACCACGACGGUUCGUCAGUUGUUCUAGCGUCGUCUGAAAAUUGACAAAGUUGUUUUUAAAAUAAUAGUCUUUUUUUAUAUGCUUGUUUAAUUGCAGGUUUGAUUUCUCUGAACAAUGGUUUUUGUUUUUCCCUUAUUUGAUAAAAUAUAAAGAAAAAGAAACUAGGGUUGGUAUCUAAUAUAGACGACAAAAUAUCUUAUUGUUUUACGUCGUGUGAAUGUUAAUACCACGACGGUGUAUUACUAUUAACGUCGUAUGAACAUAAAUACCACGACGUUAUAUAAAUAAUAGUUUACCACGACGGUGUAUUACUAUUGACGUCGUGUGAACAUAUAUACCACGACGUUAUAUAAAUAAUGGUUUUAAACAUUUAUUACGUCUGAGAUUAUUUCAUUGCGUCGUCUAAAAUCAUAUCAUACGUCGUAUUUUUUUAAUACCGUCGUUUGUGUUCUUAAUGUUUUCCUGAAAUAUUUUCACUUGCAGUUUUGUCUGUUAAAAUGGUUUCUCAACAACAAACUAAGGAUUCUGGCUCCAAGAAGCUUGGAAUGGUAGCUCCUCAAGACAAGUCUUCGAAGGAGAUGAAGUCUUCGAAGAAGAUGAAGUUUGCUUCAUCAUCUGCUGAGACAGAACCAACCAGCCAGACAACAAUCUCUGAUGAUUCAAAGACUGGUCGAGGCAUGAGCACAAUGCCUCGUGUUGUGAAGAGAAAGCUUCAGAAACUGAGGCCAAUUGUUGAGUACAAUAAAAGGGGGAAAGGUGUUGGCCAAGCACAUAUUGAGAUGCAGUCGUAUAUUGGUGUGUUGGCACGCUCCAGGAUCCCACUUGUGGACAAGAAAUGGUCCCAAAUCCCCAAGGAUAUAAAGGAGCAGAUUUGGGAAGCAGUUGACAUGGCUUUUGUCGUAGGCCAAGGGGGCAAGACCUCUGUUUUAGCUUCUGCUUCCAAGAAAUGGAAGGAUUUCAAGUCUACACUAACGAGGCAUUAUAUCCUUCCAUACACCAAUGACAGGGAGAAAUUAAGCCAACCCCCUGAAACAUAUAAAUUCAUAGAGAAAGCACAAUGGGAUGCCUUUGUAGCUUCAAGGCUAUCCAAAGAUUUUGAGUCUGUGCAUUCUCAACAUGCACAGAUUAGGGAGAAACUCGAGUACAAUCAUCGAUUGUCUCGAAAAGGAUAUGCUGGAUUGGAGGAUCAAUUGGAGGAAACCAUGCCUGGGGUAGAAAUUGAUCGAUCUACCUUAUGGAAGAGAGCUAGACAGGACAAACAUGGUAACAUCCCUGAUCCAAAGGUGGCAGAGAAAGCAAAAUUAAUUGUAAGCCUACUAUCACUCUGUUUUAAAUUUUUAUUAAACUGUGAAUUAUUCUUAUUACGUCGUAUGUUAUAUUUUUCGUCGUGUGAAUGAUAUUACCACGUCGAAAAGUUUUUAAAAACGUCGUUAAAGGUCUAAAUAGGAAUCACUACUAAUUUUCUGUAAUUAUAGCAUAAGACGUCGGUGGUUCAUUUUCGCGUCGUUUGAAUGAUAUUACCACGUCGAAACUUUUUUAAAAACGUCAUUAACGGUCUAAAUAGGAAUCACUACUCUGUUUUCUUUAAUUAUAGCAUAAGACGUCGGUUGUUUAUUCAUUUCGUCGUUUUAAAUAAAUAACCACGUCGGUAUAACUACCGUCGUGAUAAGUUAUAAUAACGUCGGUUUAUACGUUAUUGCGUCGUGUGAAAUUAUAUAAUACGUCGUUUGUACAUAAAUAACCGUCGUGUGUUUUUUUGUUUAUCUUUGUUUUAGGAUGAAUUGCAGAAACAAGUCUCGGAAGGCAAAGUCAGAGUAGAUGGCAGCAAUGAUGUGCUGACCAUGGCUUUGGGCCCCGAGCAUCCAGGCAGAGUGAGGGGAGUUGGUGCUGGUGUUUCCCCAAGGCAAUAUUUCAAUUUGCCCAAACCACAGAGGGUGAGCUUUGACGACCAUUUGAAGGACAGUUUAAGAGUUCUCCUUCAAGAAGAGACUAAAAAGAUGGAGGCUAAGGCAAGGGAAGAGGCCUUAAGAAUGGAGGCUAGGACAAAACAAUUGGUAGAGGCUGAGAGGGAGCAUUUCCUGAGUCAGCUUUCCCAAUUAAUUCCCAAUUUUGAUCCAAGCAUGCUUAAACCAAGAAUUAGCCAAAGCCCCAAAAAUCCAAUGUCUGACAAAGCUAGCUGCUCUGGAGGUGAUGUGAGAUCCCUACAUUUGGAGGAUGAUACUGCCAAAAUGGGGAAACAUCAGCCAGAUGAAGAGAAGGAAGAAGAAAAAAGAGAUGAAGAGAAGGAAGAAGAAAAGGAGAAAGAAGAUGAAGAAAAGCAUGACGACAAGGUAUGUUCACAUAACUUUGCCUUUUUUAUUUGUUUUUCAAAAUUUCAGACGUCGAUAUUUUUAUUUAAUCCGUCGUUUGUUUAAAACUUAGACGGCGGACUUUUUUUAAGACGUAAUAAAAUAUUUAAACGACGGUUUUUGCACCGUCGUUUAAAUGGUUUCAGACGACGCUUUAUUCAUAAAAUCGUCGUCUUUAUUGAAUUACCACGACAGUUUUUUCACCGUCGUUUAAAUACUUUUAAGACGACGUUUUAUUCCUUAAACCGUCGUCUUUGUUGAAUUACCACGUCAUUUUUUUUAUUUCUUUAAACAGGUUAUUGAAGUUGGUGCUUAUUCAAAUAUGGAGGCGCCAUCUUCUUUAAAAACCCUUUGUCGUUUUGUGGAAACGACACUCCUGCCUGAGGAUAAGACACUCCAAUUUACAAUUGAUAAGGAGGUGUUUGGUGGUGAGCGCGAUACCUUCCUCCUGCCUGAAGAUAUUACACAAUUUGCAGGCAUGGAAGAAAUUGGAGCUACUGUAUUGGCUGUAUAUAUGAGGUUUGUACUUCUAAAAUAAUACCUCGUUGGUUUAUAUAUUGCGUCGUCUUAACUAACUAACCACGUCGUCUUAACUAACUACCGUCGUGAUAAAUAUAUUAUAACGUCCUCAUCUAUUUCAGUACGUCGUGUGAAAUAUUAUAAUACGUCGUUUUUUUAUACAUAACCGUCGUGUUUGUUUGUGCUGACUUGUUUAUAUUAUUUUAUGUAUUUAGGUACUUACACGAUGUUUUGAAACAAGCCAAUAUGUGCAGCAUGGUUGGCUUUAUCGACCCUGCUACAGUUAGUGCCAACUCUGGCACAAUAACUGAAAGAUCACGACUGGUAGCAGCUCGACUUCAGAAGACAGACGGUGAACAGAUUUUCAUGAUGCCUUACAAUCCAGGGUUAGUCUCCUUAGGAUUUUGUUUUUAUGAUUUUCAAUAAAUGACAGCUUAUAAACUAACCACGUCGGUGUUUUAUUUUAUUUAGUCGUUUGAAACUACUAACCACGUCGGUAUUUAUUUAUCGUCGUGAUAAAUAUAUAAUGUCGUCGUUAUCUACUUUAUUUCGUCGUGUGAAAUACUAUAAUACGUCGUUUUUGUAAAUAACCGUCGUUUUUAUAUUCAUUUUGUGCAGCCGUCAUUGGAUCUUGCUGAUUGUAAGAGCAAAGAAGGAGACCGUCUAUUUUCUGGAUCCUCUGCCAGGUCAUCGUGUGGUCGACGAAGAGGCGAAAAACAUCGUGAACAGUGCUUUAAAAAUAUAUAAUACCCACAUAGCCCGAGCACGACGUAAAAAUGUAAUUUGGAAAACUCUCUCAGGCACACCAAAGCAACCCAGCAAUGUCGAAUGCGGGUACUAUGUGAUGCGCUUCAUGAGGGACAUCAUCAUGGAUCCUUCCUUGGGGUUUGAGAAUAAGGUAAGAAGAAAUUACCUUCAUACAUUUCACGUCGUUUUUUGUAUUAUCAACGACGGUCAUGUAAAAUUAACGUCGUUGAAUGGAUAUACUACGUCGGUUAUGAAAAAUAUCGUCGUCUGUGAUUGAAUUUCUUUUUAUUUAUAAACCCUAAUAGUCAUUGUUUAUGCAGUAUGCCAAGGGAAACCAGGAAGCUUCAUACCCCCAAGAAGCCAUUGAUGAAGUCCGGAAUGAAUGGGCAGAGUUUGUUUUCCAAAUUAUUAAACAGGGCAAUUAUUGAACACUUGAUAUUUAUGUAUAAUGUACAAAUUUUCUCUAUAAUAUGUAAUGUAAAAAUUUGUUGAGGUUUUCUUAAAUUAAAAAAAAAACAAACAUACAAAUUGCUUAACCGACGUGUAAUACUUUUCCAACGACCUAAUAAAGUCAAAAACCGUCGUAUUUUGUUGUUUCGUGUUUUAAACAAAUACGACGUAAAAAUAUAGUUAGACGACGUUCUUUGAACAAUUGAGUCGUUUAUGGUUUACAACAUCUUCAAUUUCUUAAGGGUUCAGGGUAUCAUCGACGACGUUUAUGUAACGACAGCGGUUAAGUCGUGGAAUAUAUAUUUUACGUCGUAUAGUUAAAUAGCCGCCAUGGUUUCUCAUUUUAACGACGUCAUUUUAACGACUUAGUAGUCUAUUACAAUUUACAACGUCUACAAUUUAUUAACACCGACGUGGUUUGUUGUUGUGGUAAGAAUAUUUUAUUAUUUUUAUAUCAAAAUAUUCAAAAUAAAUUUAAAAUAAAUCAGAAAAUUGAAAAGUCAUCUCCUAUGAAGUCAUUGAUAUAUUUUCUUCCACAUAAACCUUGAAAAAAUUCAUUUUGAAUAACAAAAAUUUAAAAUGACCAUCCAAAACAAAAUUGUUUUGAUGAGUCAUAAAAUCACUUCUAGUUUUAUGGUUUAGGGUUUAGAGUCUAGGGUUUAGAGAUUAGGGUUGUUAUUUGUUGGGGUUUAUUUUUAAAGUAUAAUUUUUGGGUAGUCUAGGGUAUAUGUUAGGCUUUAAAACCAUAAAACCUUUUAUAAACUUAAUUUUUUAAAUUGUAUAAUUUAGUUUUAUGGGUUUAGGGUAUUAAUUUUUAACGACGGUGGUUGCGUCGUGGAAUACAUAUUUUACGUCGUACAGAAAAACAUACGACAUGGUUUACGCUUUAAACGACGUCAUUUUAAUAUGUAAGUCGGUUUAUAUAAUUUACAACGUCUUUAAUUUCUUAACACCGACGUGGUUUUUCAGUCGUCGUUAUAUAAAAAAUUCAAAAUAAAUUUAAAAUUAAUCCGAAAAAUGAAGCUUCAAAAUGAACGGCCUUACGUUCUUAAUCCGAAAAAUGAAGUUUCCGUCGUGGAAUAUUAAAUUUACGUCGGUACUUGUAGAACUUUCGCCUUGGUUUUUCUUUCGACGUUUUAAAACGCGCGAGCUCUAAAAAUUUUCGCGUGACCUAAAUUUUUUUAGAUUUGGCUCUUAUUCUUAUACUUCGAACCCUGAAACCUAAAAUUUUCAGAUUUCGCUCUCUCACUUCUGCUCUAAUUAAAAGUUGCACUCUCCAGGCUUCGUCGAAUCUGUGAGCUCGUCCAACCUGUAAGUACAAACCCUAUCUUCCCCUUGUAAAUUCAUUGAAUGAUAUUAGGUUGUUUUGUUAAAGGGUUUUAUGUGUAUGCUUUGCGAUCUGUUAAUAAUGUGCUUAUAGGUAUGGGUUCAUAGAUUUUCUGUUUAAUGGGUUCAUGGAUUACAUUAUCUGUUAUGUUGAAUUGGGAAUGGAUUUAAUUUUGUCGUAUCUUUUAAUCACCCUAUGUUAUGUUGAAUUGGGAAUGGAUUUAUUGUUUUCAUGCUUGGUUUCAUGUAUAUGUUGGUUUCUUGCUUGGUUUCAUAUAUAUGUUGUGUUCUUAAUGGGUUUUGUGUUCUUGAAAAUAAACUGAGACACGACAAAUUUUAAGGCAUACGACGACGAUUACACGACGGUUUUUUUAAACUACCGUCGUUGUAUUACUUAUACAAGACGGUUUUUUCAUAAACCGUCGUUUGUAUUACUUAUAAUAGACGACGUCUGUUGAAAAUCCGUCGUCUAUAUAUGCCAAAUACGUCUGUUUUUGUUUAAAACCCGUCAUCUCUGUUGUGUAUUACUUGCGAUUAGAUCAUUGUAUAAUCUGCUAUAGUGAUGGUCAUUGCCUGUAUUUUCACUUUAUUAUAGAUAAUAGGUUAUAGUGUCGGAGAUGGAUAAGUCAUGGAUGCACUCGGAUAGAAGAUCGAAGGCAUAUGAAUUUGGGGUGGAAGCAUUUUUGAACUUUGCUUGAGAAGUACUUUCCCCCUUCAUUCUUUGAUAUCAUGGUUCAUCUAGUAGUACAUCUUGUCAGAGAAGUUCGUCUAUGUGGGCCAGUAUAUUUUAGGUGGAUGUAUCCGUUUGAAAGAUAUAUGAAAGUGCUGAAGGGGUAUGUUCAGAAUCGUACUCGUCCCGAAGGUUGCAUUGCUGAGCGGUAUAUAGCUUAAGAAGCGGUAGAGUUUUGUACUCAGCAUUUAUCUGAUGUUAGUACAGUUGGAGUGCCUUCAAGCCAAAAGAUGGGACUUUCAAAGCCAUUAUCAGGUUGCACAGUGAGCGUAGUUGAUCAGGACCUGUUGAAUCAAGCACAUCUAUAUGUCUUGGAGAAUACGGAGGAAGUCCUACCUUAUAUCGAGUACGUAUGAGCUUUAUUCUUUAAGUUUCCAUUUUAAAUUAUUUCUUAUGUUUAUCUUCUAUAUUUGGGACCGUAAUGCUUGAAUUUUUCGUGUCAUGUAGGCAACAUAUGAUCCACAUCAAGAUUGCUUAUCCAAAAUUUAGAAAGAGAACAAAGUGGCUGCAGGAUAAGCACAAUAGCACUUUCAUUCAAUGGCUACGCUUCAAGGUAUAUGUUGUUGAAUAACAUAUUUCUCUUUUAAUUUUCUUCUUAUUUAUAUGUUAGAUUGAAUUAAGAUAUGAUUAAUUUGCAGGUUCAAAGUGAACUUGAGGAAGACAAUCAUGGCGUAUCAGAAAAUUUAAGGUGGCUAGCAGCUGGUCCAAACAUGUCAGUGCCAUUAUAUAGGAGCUAUCUUAUUAAAGGUAUUAAAUUCAAUAUCAAGGCACAAGAUGAUGUGCGGACAACUCAAAAUAGUGGAGUUUAUUUACUUGCACAUACCAUGCAAGUUGCUAGUGCCAAGGAUAAAAACCCAAUUCUCUCAAACAUGGGUUUCUAUGGUGUCAUUCAAGAAAUUUGGGACCUUGACUACCAAAAGUUUACAAUCCCAGUCUUUAGGUGUGAUUGGAUAGAUAGUUCUGGUCUUGUAGUCGACGAACUUGGAUUUACCCUUGUAGAUUUGAGUAAAAUUGGACAUAGGAAUGACCAAUUUGUUUUGGCUUCUCAAGUCAAACAAAUAUUUUUUGUUGACGACCCGAUGCAUCGUGGUUGGUCGGUAGUGUUAUCAAUGCCUAAUAGAGAAUAUAAUGAUGUUAUUGGUGAUGAAGUCUUAGGUGAUGUGAUAAUUGAGUGUGAGCCAUUUACUAGAGGGAUGCCAAAUGUUGACACAUUUGAUGAACUGGUGGGUGAGUUAGGCGGUCAAAAUAUUCGAGAUGGGUGUGAAGAUAUAUGGAUUGAAUGAUGCUUAUGUAAUUGGCAGUGUAUGACAUUAAUUUUGUAAUAUAUUGUAAUGUGAUUUCUUCACUUUCUACGUUCAAAUAAAACACGACGUUAUUGUGAACCAGUUAUUCAGCAUAUUUACCGACGUCUUAAAGCAACGUAACAAUGAAGAACCACGACGCUAUUGUGAAGCAAUUAUUCAGGAUAUCACGUCGGGGAAGGAUUAAGAACCGCCAUGUAAUUCAAAAUAACACGACUCCAAUCCCAUAAUACCGACGUCUAAAAAACGAGAUAUAUAAUCUGAACGUUAAAAAAUACGACGUCAUCAUACAUUUUCCACAUCGCAAGUUCUUUUAUAAACGAAGAGGAACGAAAUGAAUUCCGACGGAAAUUCAUUAUAACCGCCGUCUAAUAACAAUUAAACGACGUUAUUUGUAAUACGGCUCUCAUCAUAAUCAACGCCGUCUAUAUGUUCUGUAAUACGGCUCUCAUUUAUUUGGAACCGACGUUGUUUAGAAGUUCAACGUCGUCUAUAUUAUUAAGUGCGUCGUGAGUAAUGAUGAUAGAUAUAAAUACAACGUCGACUAUAUAAAUGCCACUGACGUUGUUUCGCAUUUCAACGUCAACUGUAUAAAUACAUACGUCGUAAAUAAUGACACUGACAACUAUUUCCACGUCAUCUUUUUUAGAAAAAUCGAAGUGGAAAAUUUAUUUCACGACGGUUGUUUGUAAAUAAGAGACGUAGUAUAUUUCAAUAACGUCGUCUUCUCAUGUAUUUAAAGACGUCAUAUUUUUUCUUGUCGUGUAAAUUAUAUUUAACGGCGUAGUAUUUUAGUUGUCGUCGUUGUAUGUAUAUCUUGCGGCCUUGUUCUUUUAACAUGUGUCAUAUUUUUCCUUUUUAACGACGGUGAUUUGUUUGAGUUGGUCGUCUAUUCUCAUCCUCGACUAUUUUCUAGAACUUUAGCAGACUAAACACGUCUGUUUUUAUUGUUUUCCGACGUUGUUUUAUUUAACAACGUCUAAUAUUUAUCGUCGUUGUUUGUUUCUGAAAAUAUGACGUAUAAAUUUUGUAAUACGACUCUCAUAUAUUUGUAACCGACGUUGUUUCGUUUUUCAACGUCUACUCUAUAAAUACAUACGUCGUAAAUAAUGACACUGACAACUAUUUUCACGUCAUCUUUUAUCGAAAAAUCGAAGUGGAAAAUUAAUUUUACGACGGCUGUUUUUAUAUAUGCGACGUAGUAGGUAUCAAUAACGUCGUCUUCUAAUGUAUUUAAAGACGUCAAAUUUUUUAUUGUCGUGAAAAUGAUAUUUAACGGCGUCGUAUUUUUAUUUUCGUCGUUGUAUGUCUAUCUUGCGGCCUUGUUCUCUUAAUAUGUGUCAUAUUUUUCCUUUUUAACGACGGUUUUUUUAGAGAGUUGGUCGUCUAUUCUCAUCCUCGACUGCUUUUUUAGAUCUUUUUGCAGUACAAAGACGUCGUUUUGUAUUUGUUGAUGACGUUGUAUAUUUUAACAACGACGGUGAUUUUGCGUCGUGGUUUAUGAGGGAAAAGAUGACGGUGGAUUCCACGACCAUUGAAAAACCGAAUACACGACGGUGAUUUACCGUCGUCUUUUUGCUUUUUUGUAGUAGUGAGAUAAAAAUGUUCUGAACACUUCUCUAGAAGGCCACGAACCCAUCCGAGGUCAUCUUGGGCUCCAAAAACACAAUAAAAGCCCAACACGUCACUAUUCCAGCACCGCGCACUGCUCAUUUAUUUUAUUGCCAGAAAAUAACCGCUUGGAAGAAAAAUCUGAAAUUUUGAUACGAUCAAGCUAAGUGACUCAAGAACGUCCUCCAACUGGAAUUACUCCAAAAUUCCUCAAUUUGAUUAUGUUUUGCUCCAGAGAGAGUCGAAAGUCCUAUAUUGGAAAUAUAAUUCAAAGUAUCAAAAUUCUUCCAAAAUAUUAACCAAAAUAUACUAAGAAUGAGGUUAAAUAUAUAAUAUAAAAUAUGUCCAUCACCCCACAACAACUAAAGAACCAACAUUUUGUAGAAGGUUUUGUCUAUACCUUUGACUGUAAGUAAAUCUCUUGUAUCUGCUCCUGUGGUUCGGUGAAGUUUCUUUGUGUCCUUUCUGCGGAGUCUCCCAUGCUUGUUCCAUGAAAAUGUUCUAGGAGAAAAUACGGUUGUUUCUUACUAGAUUCAAAUGAUUAAGAAAAAUAAAAACGCAAGAAAAAAGGUAUUUUCUUGAUGGACUUGGUGAUGAAAAAUAUCACUCUCUUUAUAUGUCGUCUUCCUUGGACUUUGAGACCUUGGGUUUCGAUUCUUCUUGAGGAUUGCAUAGGGUUUCUAGGCCCAAGAAUACUUUGAGUUAGUUUUUGCGUUUUGGGCUUUGAGACUUUGAGACUAUAAUGAGUGGAAAGUUAUAAGGGGUAAGUUAUAAGGGGGUCACUUUAUAGCCAUCAGAUUAAUCCAAGGGCUGGGGAGAAUUGAGAUAAAGUUUCACAAUUGGGUAGGUGAGGAACCCAAACCCGAAUUGAAUAUCCAGCACGUCCAAAAAGAAGAAGAAGAGGGAAACACGUCCGAAAAAGAAGAAGAAGAGGCAAGUUCGAAGUUUGAACAGAAAGAACUCAUCUCUCUAAAACACAGAGGUCUGAGAUACCCAAUGAAGGCAACGGCUAACGACAGUUGAAGGCAACAAUUCGCCACUCCGUUCUCCAGACCCCGAAAAAGUAUUUAUUUGGAGUAGAAGGGGCAAAGGUGUGGAUUCCAAAUCAGUGAAGGGGCGAAGCAGUGGAAGGGGAAGGGGAGAAGCUGUAUUCGUUGGAAGUGUAGGUUCCAUUUGUGGAGCAAAGAAAUAGAAAGACCCCACACAGACACCUUGCAAUAACCAGCAUUUGGUGAGUAAUUUAUGGAAUUUGAGUUUAGGGUUAGAGUAAUGGUUUUCCCCAAUUUGUACCAUAAAUUUUGUUGGAUUUGGCAUCUCUUCGUUGUGCUUCAGUUGCAUGUUAAUUUUUGCUUAGGUAUAUGUUAAAAAAGGAAUGAAAAUUAAGUCAAUAACAAGUGAAUAACAUGUCAAUAAUGAUAUGAAUAAGAUAAUGGUGUUGAAUUGGAGGAGGCCCUCAAAACCUUCCACAUUUGAAGCAGUGCAUAGUGCAGAUUAAGAAGAGGCGCUAGAAUAUAUAUAUAUAUUUUAUGAAGUAAAUAUGAUUUCCUUUGUUACUAAAUUUGCCUGAGAAACAUUUGAACAGAUAAUAAUAAACUCAUGAAUAGAACUGCAAAGCAUUUGAUGAGCAAUGUAAGGAAUUUAAGUUUAGGGUUAGAGUAAUGGCAUCUCUUAUUUGUGCUUCAAUUGCAUGUUAAUUUUUGCUUGGGUAUAUGUUAAAAAAUGAAUGAAAAUAAAGUCAAUCACAUGUCAAUAACAUCUCAAUAACAUGUCAAUAACAUGUCAGUAAUGAUAUGAAUAAGAUAAUUGUGUUAAAUUGGAGGAGGCGCUCAAAACCUUCACAUUUGAAGCAGUGCAGAGUGAAGAGUACCUCUCUGGCACUAGAAUUUAUAUAUUUUGUGAAAUAAAUAUUAUUUCAUUUGUUACUAAAUUUGCCUAUGAGAAAUGAGAACAGAUAAUAAUAAACUCAUGAAUAAAAGUGCAAAGCAUUUGAAAUGAAGGUUGAUCUAUGACGAUUGUGGGUGACUGAAGAAAAAGGUAGAAAGAAAGAAGGAUGUGGCAAUUGCUUAGCAAGCAGAUAGCAGAGUACAUGCUUUGCUUUGCUUCCUUCCACUAUAUUUCUUAUUUAUUUAUUUUGGGUUGUGUAUGAGAUGACAAUAAUUGUCAUGUGUGUGAAGUGCAGAACUUGCCUACAUUGCACUCACACGAGUAUGGAUGCAUAAAUAAAACACGUGAAAUUGUUUGUAAUUCACAUAAUCAUUGCAUUAACAGGUAUUUGCACAAAAAUUGUCAUAUUGCUUUGAUGAUGUUAAAGGCUGUGAUGAGUAAUCCCUAUGCUCAUGUACUUUGUAAAAGUUGUAAUGUGCCUGGUUGACUAGUUGUGAUUGUGCAAAUACGUGGUAGUAUAUAUGUUCACGUUAUUUCACAUUGUAUUUGAGGAAAUGGGAUCCAACGUGGAGCUGGUAUGGCCAGAGGCAGAGGUAUAUUCGUCACGGGUGAACAACUGCUCACAUGCAAAUUCAUCUCUAGCUGCAAUUCGAGCGAAGUUGAGUGCGGAACAAUUAGAACAAUUCAAGACAUCAUGCUUUGGCCAUCUUCUGAAUAUAGAUAAGAUUCAGUUUAGCGGGCAGAUUGUGCAUGGGGUUGUGUUGCGUAGAGUAGCGGGGCAGGGUGUGAAAGACUUGGAUGGACUGAGUUUCUUAUUAGGGUGUGACGUUGCUCAGUUCACUCGUCAGGAUUUCUGUUUGAUCACAGGGCUUCGUUUUGGGGAAGUGCCUGAAGUUUCCAGUGGAGAGAGUGAUGAAAUCAGACUUCAGAAAAGAUAUUUUAUAGACGAAGGAAUUACAUGCAAUGCUUUAGAAGAAGCAUUUGUGAGGUGCACAGAGGAAGAUGACAUCUACAAGCAAGCUCUUGUUUACUUUGCUGAGUUAGUGGUUUUGGGAAGGGACAAACAUUUGAACAUCAAUCUAAAUUACCUGACCCUUGUAGAGGACUUGGAUGCGUUCAACAGGUAUCCGUGGGGUUCGGUGUCCUUUGACAAAACCCAAGACAGUCUAUUUUCUGCACCAACAAAGUAUGUGAAAAGCUUGGAAAAUGAAGAGGGAAGAGGGAAGGGGAAAAGUAAGGUAACGGGAACAAGCCGGAGAAAUGAGAAGGGCAAGAAGGAUAAGCAUGGUGAAGCGCAAAUGAGUGGCUGGAGUUUUAAAGGUUUCACGUAUGCUUUCCAGGUACAUGGUAAUAAUGUUCAUGUCAGUUAUGUUUUGUUUUUCUUUAAAACAUAAAUAAUGACUUUUGUCCUGUGAAUUGUGUAGAUUUGGGUAUAUGAAUUAAUUCCUAGAAUGGCGGACCUGAAUUACUGCAAGGUUGUUGAUCCGACCGUUGUCCCGCGUAUUUUGCGAUGGAGAACUACUACGUCUGUUCCAGAGAUGAGAAAGUUGAACAAUUAUUUUUUCCAGAGCAAAGAGGUUUGGUUUGCAGCCCUUGGAACUAUUGAUAAGAUUGAAUGAAAUUAUGAAGUAGAAUGAUUUGAUAUGACUCUUGUCUGUAUUCUGAAACAGUCAGUUCAGUUGCGGGCGCUAUGUCCGAGUGAAGAGGAAAUGAGACAGCCAUAUUGGAGUUGGCCACAGGAUCGCCCUGCUGUUGUCUCAGCAGAGUCAAUUCCUUCUUCAUGUGGUGAUCUUGAUGAGUUGAACAAGGUGGUAAGUUGGUUGAGGUCCGAGUUGUUUCAAGUAAAGCGGGAAAAAGACGUCCUUCACUUAAAGGUCAUACGGAUGGAAAAACUGUUGGACCAAUGUUUAGGUCCUCAGUUUGAGCAGGAAGUAAGGAGGGACCUAGCUUUACUGAAACAGAGGACGAAUCGUUGUGUCAUCUCACAUCUAUUUAAGGGAUAUGGGGAAAUGGAUGACAUUCAAUGGGAUGAAGGGCCAAGUAACAGAAAUGAGGGAGAGGAAAAGGAAGAUGAAGGGAUUGAAGGGGGUGAAGGGCCAAAUAAUAGAAAUGAGGGAGCACAUAAGGAAAAGGAGGGGAUUGACGGAGAGGAAAAGGAAGAGGAGGGGAUUGAAGGGGGUGAAGUGCAAGGAAAACCAAGUGAGGUAGAGGAAGGGCAAAGGAAAAGAAGUGAAGGAGAGCAAGUGCAAGUAAAAAGUAGCAAAGGAGAGGAAGCCCAGAGACAGAGCAGUGAGGGAGAGGAAGUGAAAAGAAAAAGCAGUAAGGGAGAGAAACUGCAAAGGAAAAAAAGGGAGGGCAAGGAAGUGAAAACACAAACAAGUGAGGAAAAGGAAGUGCAAAGAAACCAAUGUGAGAAAGAAGAUAAUGAAGUUAUGUUGCUUGGGGGUGACAUUGGCGAGAGCACGGAGGGGACACUGCUUGAGUUUACUGUCGGGGACAUUGAUUUGGAUGAACCUACAGCUGUGCUAUCUCAGUUGAACGUGUGGUUGAAUGAUAAAGGUAAAGCUCUGGCACAAGGGGUCCAAUUACGGAAAAGGAAGAGGAUCAUUCCUUUGUGGAAGAUCAUUGAAGGCAGUGAAUUGGUUCCAAAAAUUGGGGCACAGACAACCGGACUGAAGAUGUUAGACCCAAUGAAGGCGAUUUCGCAUGAUGAUCUGGUGAAAUUGCUGAAACUUUGUUGGGAAUGGCGCCAGGACCCAAAGUAAGUCCCUUGCAAUUAUAAGAUACAAGCAUGACUGUAUAUAAUUUUUUAUAUACAGUGUUCUAAAACUGUUUUAUAUUCAUAGUUUGGUGAUGCAAUUUGGCAACGUGGAAGCUGAGAUUGAAUUCUUCGCUUCCCUCGUGAAAGCUGAUGGUUGGCUGAAAGGAGAUGUAAGUGUAAUUGAUUAUGCAUUUGUUUUAAUGUACAUACAUUAUGAGAUUGACAAGAAAAACAUGUUGCAGCACAUUGAUUUGGGGUUGUAUCUCAUCCGGAAGCGACAACAACAGUUGGAGACAGAUUCGGUAGAAGUAGCGGACUGGACAACGACCGAUGUUUUUUUUAUGGUAUGUCAUCGGCCUUGACCAAGUGCCGUUAAUAAUUACACAUUUUCCAUACACACACUAGUGGAGGUGUUUAACCAUUGAUUGUUUUGUAUUUCACAGAAUCACAUUCGUACUUGCUUUGCGGAUAAUAAAAGAAAAAAACAGCAGCUUGGGUGGAAAAUCAGGAAAAGUUUACUAACCGUUGUAAAUGGGAAGGUUCCUCCGUGUGGGUUGGAUUGGCAGACCGUCUAUAAGGUGUAUACCCCAUUUAUGUUGACGAAGUACAAGCAUUGGGUGGCUGUAAUGAUUGAUCUGGUAUUGUGUGAAAUCAAAGUGUACGAUUCAAAGGUUUCACUAAUUCCAGAUGACAUCGUAAAGGAAGAACUCGGCCCGCUAUCAAUUACGCUUCCAAAUCUUCUCAACACCAUCGACUUUUAUGAAAAAGGUGUUUAUGCAAACAAUUGCAGCCAAGAUUAGUGGUGUCCGUGGCCAAUAGAGCGUGUGGAUGUUCCACAACAGUCUAAUGAGUAAGCACAACUUGCAAUUUAAUUUUAUUACUUUCAAUUGUCAAUUACGUUAGAAUGUCAUUAGUUGAAUUGAUCGAGUUCUUGUUUUGCUUCAGAGGCGAUUGUGGCAUGUUUGUGUUAAAGUACAUUGAGCUUUUCAGCGCUGAGCUUCCGUUAGCUACUUGCACCUCGCACAACAUGCCUUUUUUUCGGUUGAAAUUGGCUGCGGAGAUAACAAGGGGAGAUGCUUACUUCCCAUGAUAUUGGUUGAAGAUGACAAAUGGUACAUGAGAAGGUUUUGGGAAUGUCCAUUCUCAAACUAAUGUAAAUACACAAUAGAGAAGUACGGGUCCUUAUCGAAUUCUACCGCUAACUCCUUCAUGACAUUUACAUGUUUGUUAACCAAACUGCAUUGAAUUGGAAUUUUAAGACUGCAUAUGUGAAUUGGGAUUUGAAGAUGGCUUUUUAAGUGUAUUACAUCAUUGCAAAGUGAUAUGUCAUUGUUGAUGCAAGCCACCAUUAAUCGCAAUGUGUUGCAUCAUAAUAGGUGUCUAAACAUGCGAAAGGUUUUCCGCAGCUCAGUAGCAUAAAAGUAGAAACAAAGACAAUAUACACAAAAUGAACAACAAUUCACAAAUGCACCGACAAGCAAUACACACACAACAGACAAACAAUAUACACAAACUUGGCCUGCCAUAUACAGAGAAUAGACAUGCAAUAUACACACAGUAGACAUGCAAUAUACACACAAUAGACAUGCAAUAUACACACAAUACUCCCUUAACACACACAAUAGACAUGCCCUUGCCCACAAUAAUGAUGCAAUAUACUUCAGUCCCCAAGUACACCAACCAUAGGGAAGUCGUAUUGAAUAGGAUAUUAAACUUAACAGUUGUUCUUCCUACUAAAAGAAAGAAUAAGGUUCGUUUCCCCCCUUCAUUCUUACUUGAGUGAUACUUGUGGCCCCAAUAAACAUCCAAUUUUGGGGCAAUGAUAUUCCAUAUACAUGCAGCAAACUAUCAAUAAACCUUCAAUAAACCUUCAAUAAACAUUCAAUAUCGUUUCUAUAACAUGCGAAAUACAUGCAGUUACCAAAUAUUACAAAAUGGGUUUAGGGUCUCAUUGGUGGUGCGUGCAACAUGUCUUGUGCGGGAGAACUUUCACAAUCUUUUAAACCGUGCAGUUAAAUGAUCAUUAAAAGAACAAAUAAAAUGACAAUUGAUACAACUAAUAAAACUAAUACCAAGUCCUUAAUGGACUUCAGCAUGUUCAGCACUCUAGCAUCAUACGUGUCAUCUUGAUGUUCUGCUUCAGCGGAGGUUACAUCAACCCAUUCGAAUCCAUUGCAACUGGUGGCUCCCUAAUUGCAGGCAUCAUAUAUGGAAUAUAAUUCUGUCAGAGUUAGACAUAGGUUUUUUUUCACCCACAUACAUAUUCUUUAAAUUAAAACUUACAUAGGAGGUUAGACACUUCCAGAAUGGCUUCCCUCGAUUUUUGUCAGAUUUUGAAACCCGAAGCACCAUUGUAGCUCCACAAUACUGACACCUCUUUGUUUGAGCGGGAGAUGAAGAUGAAGACAUGUUUAAUCUUCUCAGUUGUACCUCUUCUCACUCAGAUCUUCUCACUGAAACCUCUUCGGACUCAUACCUUCUCACUCAUAGUUGUCAUUCAUACCACUUCACUCAUAACCCUAAACUUGUCACUCAGCUCUCUCUCAUCUCUGCCCAAAUCGAGUUAUAUUUCUUUUUUUUGGGAUCAUUUGGUGGGUUGGUCACGAUGUCGACACCUGUACCGUCAGCAUUGUGACAUCUUUUAGCCCGAAAAGCAAUAUAAACUACUUCACUACCAAAUAUAUUUUCUGAAUAAUGACGGGACACUGCUUCAAUUUUAUUAAUUUAUUUAUAUUUCAUUAAGGCAACUAGUUGGAUAAGAAUCCGUCAUUAUUGGUUCCAUUUUAAUAACAUUACUAGGGGUAAUUGGGUGUGGGAAAAUGAAAAAGUAUAUGAUGGGACCUUCUGUCACUAGUCAGUAAUCCAUCACAUUUGUAUCAAUGAAUUUGAUAGUGGGAUAAACCCAAAAAUGGCUAUGCAAAUAGCCAUUUAAUUAACUUUUUGACUGUCUGACUCUGUAUGCACCGUUAUGACGUUUUCCCUUCUUUUGUCUUAAGUUUUAAUUCACUGGGGUUCAGUUUCUUUCAAAAGGGUCAACUUGGAAAAACCCCAACUGGAAACACCUUUUCAAAACACUAUAAACAGAGGCUAAAACAAAACGUGUACCCCAAAUAUUAUCAUUUAUCCCCUCUGCCACUCCUCAAAUCGUUCCAUUCCAAAAACUUUUCAAUGAAUUCGAAACACUUCACUACAGUCGGAGGAAAGAGAAGGAAGCAUGUCCAUUUCGAUAUGCCCGAAGCCUUCAUCCCGGAGUCCGCUUGGUUUCAAGUCAUGUUAUACGUGGCAACCGAAUCAUCGGAAGAUCUCUUCCGUAUGGCAUCUGUGUGACGAUUGUUCCGAACUUUGGCAAACAGUUCACAAGUGUGGAACACCAUUUCAAUGGCAAAGUACCCAGACCAUCCUAUAUGGUACCGUGCCAGACCUGCGGUCCAGCAUUUCUUGCAACAAUGCAGGGCUUGCGAUAACCCUGAGUCCAUAUUUAGAGAAGCAUUCGAAGGUUUUUUCAGGCACGGUAAGGUGGAAGCGUUGUAUGGGAUGCGCAUUGCAGCCACGGCAGGCCAUAUGGAAGCGGCAUAUGUAGUUGGACUACUUGGUAUGUCCGGAAUUGGUCAGUCAAAAGAGGAUGCAUUACAAUUCUUGUGUUCUUUGAAUCAACGUAACAACAUUGAUAUGAAAGGAACCAGGGAUGCUUUGACAGGAAGAUUUCACGGAGCAUUUGUUGCAAGACAUAUCGUAGAUAUGUUUGACUAUGGGAAGAUUAAGUUCAAUCGGUGCAGCGCUUGUAACAACAAUGAAUGGUAUUUUGUUAUUCCAGGCUGGCCUAGUGAAGACAAGAUAAAUCCUGCGUUGUGGACUUGUUGCAAUCGAUGCAAAUGGCACCGUGAGAGUAUUUUUUGGUGCAAACUGAUGCGUGAGUAUGUUGUGCGAGGGAAUCACGUAUUUUUGCAUUAGUUUUAGUACGAAUUUACGGUUUUGAUGCAUUGUGGACUUGCUUCUCUUCACUUCUAGGUUGGCUGGCUACGUUAUACCUAUCUCAGUUUAAAUGUUGUUCAAAUGUUGGUAUUUUGUCAUAAACCGUUUUAUAUAUAAAUGUAUAAUAUUUAUUAUAUAGCGGAAUUAUUACUUACAUCAUAGACGGCUAGGAAUGACAUUUUACUGACACAGAUAUUUUGCUCACCGACCCCAAUCUUCAUAUUUGAUAAACGAAAAGUUAUGCAUGGAGUAAAUAGGUGUCUUUUCACCAGUGCUUGGGAAUGACAUUUUCCCACUUAGCAUAUCCGAAAGGAUUUGGUUACACGUUUCUUAACCUAGGGGGUUGAACAGUGAAUGACGUAGACUAUUUUUUGUGUGUGGAAGGAGUACAAUGGAUGACUUGUAUAUUUCCAUAUUAUGUUUCAAAACAUCCCUUCAACCUAAAAAAUAAAAAAAUUAACAAAUUGAAGAACAGAGAAACCGAUGAGCACUACAAAUGGCCUAUUCGCACGGAAAAUAAAAUUGUUUUCAACAAGUUGGACUAAAUAUAAUUAACAAAUGGACAGCCUAAAAAGUAAUAUCAUAAUAAUUAUAAUAAUUGUGGAUAAAUAAUAAUAAAAUACUAAUGUAACAUAACCAUUAAACAGGGAAUGCAGUAGGAAGAUGAAAUCGCAAUAAGUUCGUAGAAAUUUUGGGAUCGUUUUUCUAAUUUUUGUGUAUUUAGUUAUGAAUUUUCCAAGAAAAAAGGUAAUAAAAUAAUAAUUUAGGGUAAAAUGGGAGGAUGUGGCCAUGUUCGGUAACGUACACUUGUGCAAGUAGUCAAAAGUGACGGGCUGAGAUCGCGCCAGGUGUCAUAUUCUUGUUAAUUUUGGAUUCUUUUGUUAAAAAAUCUUUGAAACUAGGUAAUAAAUAGUAGGAAAAUCGUAAAAAUGGCCCAAAAAUUACUCCGGCCUCCUUUUGACGUCCUAAAACUAGGAGAACCUAUAAAUCAUUCGUCUCGCAAUGAAAUAAUCCAAAUUGUGUUACAUAACUCACUUUCCUCUUAACCCUAAGUAUUGAUGUUUGUUAACUUCAACUUGAAUAACCUACUUCAACAAGCAUCUCCCGUUAAUAUUGGGAAUUAAUUUUACAAAUGCGUAACAAUGAAUCGGAGAAUUCAGCAACGGAGAUGGAGUGUCAAUGAGUUCGUAGCAAUUUUCGGAUAAUUUUUUUAUUUUGUGUGUAAUUAGUUCUGAUUUUUGUAAGGAAAAGUAAUAAAAUAAUAAUUUAGGGUAAAAUGGGAGGGUGUGGCCAUGUUGACUGACGUACACUUGUGCAAGUAGUCAUCAGUGACGGGCUGAGAUCGCGCCAGGUGUCCUUUUGCUAUUAUUUUGGCUUUUUUAGUGCAACAAUCUGUGGACAUAGGUAAUAAAUUCUACGAAAAUCCAAAAAAUGCCCGGAAAAUGAGAAAAUGAAAAUUAUUUGUACAUAACUCACUUUCCUCUUAACCCAAAUUCACGUUAACACGUAUAUUUCGGAUAAUAUUCGAAAUAUAAUUUCUAAUAAUACAAUAUUUAGUUUCACUAUAUACAAUAAUAUGUUUUUUUUAUAAUAAUGUACAUAAAUAAUAAUUGCACAUGCUUUGAAGCCAUCAUUGCAACUACGCCUAGAGCUUUGAAGACGUCAGUUCGUAUUCAAUAAGUUGUCCACAUGCAACUGCACCUAGAGUUUUCAACACGUCAGAGGUAUUCAAUAAGUUGUCCACAUGCAACUGCACCUAGAGUUAUUAACACGUCACAGGUAUUCAAUAAGUUGUCCAUAUGACGCCGCAUUGGGAAUCAGUAAUAUAUUUUCAAUCAUGUCAAAUCACAUAAAUAAUGCCAUACUUUUUCUCAAUAACCUCACACAAGUGAAGCAAUUUUAAAACCCUUAGUGAAUAUUUAUCCUAGUCUAUAUGAGUGAUUAUAUAAUCAGUUGCAUAAUAUUUUUUUCACAGUAUAUGUUAACUUUGAGAGGGAUUCCACAAACAUAAAAUAUAAAGAAAGCAAGAAAUAGUAGGAAAUGAACCAGUACAAAAAACAAUAUAUAAAGUGUACAUAAUAAUUCCAUAACCUUGUCACAAACGCACUCACAAAAGCUUUUCCAUAAACCUUGUCCUAACAUAUAAUAAAUAAAGGCAACAUUGCAUAUGAUGCAACCAUGUCCAAAUCUGAUAAGUGAUCAAAAACAAAUGGACAUGGCAGCAACAUAUGAUUGAAGUAGAUGGGCUCUUUGCAUCUUCUGUUUUCGUAAUUAAAGACAUCAAAAUAUUAAGGUUUAAAUCUUCCAUAGUAGUUAGCAUCAAAAUAGCUUUGAAGCAGAGUGUAACGAAAAUUCCAAUUCCACUUAUUUGCCUCUGCUCAAACACGAGAACCAAAAUGGUUACUUCCCUUGCUGAGUAUAUUUGGUGACGUCGGAAACGGUAAUAGAUGACCAAUCAAACCCGGGUACGACGAGUUUUGCAUAGGAUCGGAAGUAGUCGAAUCCAGCUUGCAUCACACGCUUCUUUGACUCCACUACAUUAGAUGAGUUCUUGUAUUUUUGAACAGCUACACUCUGAAGUCGUUUGUGUCUACGCUUCAUGCGCUGCAACUUCGCCCUAUCCAGAUUGGCCUGCCUUUUGUCAUCUUCAAUUUGGCCUUCCACAAAUUCCAAACGUGCCCUUGCCCUUUGGAUUUCAUCACCAAGUUGAAGAUGCCUCUCCUUCCAAAAAGCAACAACUCUUUCAGACUCAAAACUUCCAACAAAAUGGUCAUUCUGUCUAGCAAUGUGACAUUGCUUGUCUGGUGACUCACUUGCGUGUCGAAGCCGGUCUUUGUUUGGAGGGGUGUUUAUUAUACUCACAUCAAACUUGGUUGUGCUUAUGCUCAUUCUUUGGGGGGAAUGAGUUUGUUUGCUUGAGAGAGUAUCGGUAGAUGGAGACAGAUUCGGUGGAGGAGUGAGUUUUGUGUGGAAGGAGAUUUUAUAUGAAAGGGGUGAUAGUAAUACCAAGAAAAGGGUUCCCGCCAAAAAAUAUUUGGUUGACAAAGUAGAAAUUAUUUUUUUAGUCUGAUACAAUCUAAGUUUAAUCCUAACUAGUUUGGUUGAGUUAACUAAGUAGAUGUCACUUCCAUUGACUUUCUUUCAACAACUAUCAGUGGUGUAAGGAGAGUGUGAGGUUGACAUGCUUGAAAAGCAAAAGCUGACACCUAUUUUUAAAAAAUUCCCGCCAAAAAGUACAUAUGUUGACUACACACAAGCUUUGGUAUGUUGGUCUAUAAACCUAUGUUCCCUUUCUCAAACGAAAUUGCAUAUGCAAUCCUCAUCCUCCCAAAACAAAGAGGAUUAUUCAAGCAUGUCAACCUCUUCAGGCGCCAACAACACAAUCGAACAUGACAAAUUGGAGUCACAGGUUCUAUUUCCACAUUGUACUCGCCGACCCCUUCCUUUUUCAACAUCAUUUGGGAGUGAGGGGGACUCCGAUGAUCCAUUAGAGGCAAUACAUGCAGUCAGUGGCAAGCUGGAUUAUAAUUCCAGACUGAUCAAUUCAUGGCACGAGAAAUGUGUUGAAGACGAGGCAAUUUUGGCUGAUCUUAACAUUAGGGUGAGCAAAGCGUUAUCCCAAAAGAACAAGUACUUGAAGCUGAGUCAUAGCAGGAAGCUGAAAGCUGAGGAGUUGGAUACAGUAAUGAAUGAUGAAAUGAAAGGUUGUUUGAUGAACCAUAUGCGAUGCGAACAGCACCAUACUGAACUGGAGUUGGCAUUCAACGAAGGAUUCGACAAAUUCCGAGCAUUUGCGGCAACUACUCAUACAAGUUAUGAUUGGAACUAUGUGUCCCCUGAUGCUGUGAGAGAGAUACUAGACGAUGGGGGUGACAUGAAUGAGCAUAAGCACGUCAAAGCUGCUCGGAAGAAGCCGACCGAUACGACUAAGUGAUUGCGGCUACCGCUGUUCAGUUAGUUGAGGGUGACCGUGGUAUUGCACAUAUACUCCCUUAAUGUCAUUAUCUAACUUAAAAUAACACAAAUAUCAGUUUCAUUUGCUUGAUAUAUAAUUAUUGGGACUAUGUAUUGCAAGUCAUCAUGUGUUAUAAUGUCUAACAUUAUAUUUUGCAAAUAUGGAAAUAUUAUUCAAGAAGCAGUCAAUAUCACAGAAAGCCGGGAAUCAGUAAAUGCUCCUUAUCAUGUCCAUUUACAUUAAAGAGCUGGAGUACUAAUGUGUUCAAAAAAAACUGACACGUGAGUCAUAAGUAACAUAACAUGUGCUAUACAUUGUUUACUGAAUGGUUUAUGGUUUAUUUGUAUAUAAUAAAAUUUCAAAUAUUGCUGAAGAUUUAUUUCGUGUAUAUCACUAGGGAUAUGAGUGGCCAUAAGCAUGUGAGACCUGCUAAGAAGAAGCUGACGAGUACGACCCAGUGAUUGGCUACCGUUGUUCAGUUGGUUGGGGAGAUCGUGGUAUUGCUAUGAGGAAGCACACAAUAUGUUUUGCAAUCAAAUGUUCUUUUGUGUGUGGAAUUAUGAGUAUUUAUGUAAGUUAGUGUACCCUUUAAUAUUUUUCACCUAAGUAUCGAAAUGCAGUUUUUGAAUGUUAUGUUUUUUUUUACCCGCUGCUUUCUAUUUGCUCUGUUCCAACAAAGUGCUUCAAGUAUCCUUCACUUACAAAAGUGUACAAAAUCGUGCCCCUAAUAACCAGUCGGAAAAAGUGGCUACUGCUGGAAAUGAUUACUGGUAAUGGAAACAACAGCUGGCUGCUGUAAUUGCUGCAUUACCGUGAGGAUUUGAAAAAUGAAUCUCUGUUAAAACAAAUUUCACCCUAAACUGCCCAUUUUACAUGGUAAAAGUCAUUGCUUCUUCAAAUCUUUUGCAGCUACACGAUGCGUGGUCAGAAUCUUUGACAUAUACGACUUCUGCCACUCUUGUUUCCCAAUUUUUUCUUUCGCUCACGUUGAACACAACUUUACAAGCAUCCUCUGUUUUGAGCUCUAGGAAACAUGCUGUACUUUGUAUUAGUUCUUGCUCAAACUUUUGAAACAUUGUCCUUGUGUACAAGGUAGCCAUUUGUUUGUUCAUUGGCAUCGGUAGAAGACAUUGAGCCACUUCAAAUGCAUCUGCGUGAUCAGCAACUAACUCUUUUUCACGUUGAUGAGAAAGUGCCCUCUCAAAUCGUAUUAUGAAAUCCAUCAACGAAUUUCUCCUUGAUAUGUAUUGCUUGAAAAAACCAUGAGAACCUUCCGCUCUUUGGCUGCUUGACAUUCCAGCGGCAAAAAAUUGUCGUGCGUAGGCUGGAACCCAAGAUUCCCUUAAAUCAAACAUUGAACUUAGCCAUGGAUGGUCAGUCAAACCAGCCUUUGUAACCACAAUAUUCCAUUUUGCAUCAAACUCAUCCUUAUUGUCAGUAUCCCAUAUGGCUUUCUGAAAUUCAGGCCAAUACUCCUUAUAAGCGUCACGUGGUAACUUAACAGAGAACUUUGAUGUGAUGUGCUAUAUGCAAAGUCGAUGAAAUGUACUCGGGAAGGCUAUUGAAAUCGCUAUGGCCAUUGCCGCAUCUUGAUCUGUAAUGAUCGUUUUAGGUUCCCCACCUGGCAUGGCUUUCUUAAACUCCUCAAACAUCCAAACAAACGACUCAGUCGUUUCCUUGCUCAAAAAUGUGCAUGCUAACACAAUUGUCUGACCAUGGUUAUUAACUCCCAACAUUGGUGCAAAUGUCAAGUCGUAUCGAUUCGUGUUGAAUGUGGUAUCAAAUACAACAACAUCUCCAUAAAACCCAUACGCCCGUCUAGAAGUUGCAUCUGCCCAAAAACAUCGACUAAACCUAUCAUGCCCAUCUCCCUCAAUCUUGAAAUAAAAAGCCUCAUUUUUUUUCUGUUCAGCCAUAAAAUACUCGGUCACUAGUUCAACAUCGUGGUUCCUCAGCUUCCCAAUCACACUACAUUCAAGAUUGUAGAUAUCUUUUUUGAUAAAACCGAUUUUAUCCAUUCCUCCGGAUUGCACCUCGAAAAUACUUACCUUCUGAUGAAUGGGAAUAUUAACUGAACCCAACUGUUUUGUGAGUACUUUUGUAGAAUCUGAAAUAUGACGGUGUGAUCUCAAUAAAUGCAUUCUUUCUAAGGGUGUCAUCUUAUGAUUGUGUCCCUCUGCAAAAAGAGAAAUGUUAUACUUGUUGCUCCCAUUUGUCUUCACAACCACAAUCUUUGCUUUGCAAUUGCAUCUACUUAUUCCCCGUUGUCUUUUUCUCUCCCGAGUUUCAUCCUUCCUGUAUGCACCUUGUUUGCAACAUACAAAUUCUUUCCUCAAAAUCUCUUUCUUAUUUUUCCCCCAAAAGCUAGAAUGAAGUCGAAUACCAAAGCCAGCCAAGAAUGCAUAUCUAUUAUAGAAAUUGUAAACGAGGUCAAGCGAGUCAAACUUCAUCCCAACUGCUGGUGUUUCCUCAUUUCUUACUUCAGGAAUAUAAACCCUCCCAUUAGCUGUUGCACAUUCAUCACUCUCUGAGCCCCCAGACAUUUUAUCUACGUAUAUUAUUGAUCCACUUCUAUAUUACUGCAUAGCAAUUAUUCAUUCAUUAAUCAGUCAUUACUGCAUCACAACAUAUCAAUGCAUUCCACUUACACAAAACAUUGCCCAAAUUGACACAAAAUACGCAUAGCCUAACUUCCGAUUACACAAAACACAAGCAAAAUUUCAUAAAAGUUACGUCAUCUCUUGUGAAAUAAUCUGGUCAAAAUAACAUUAGAACCAACAUGUUCAACUAAGAACACAAAUGUAAUUCAAACCACCAAUUACAGAACUUCACCCAAUAUCCUCUCCAACUGCUUACUCCUAAUGUCAUUAAGCCUAAGUUUAGGUUCUUUUACCUACAUUUCAUAAUUUUUCACCCCGACCAACAACAAUGAACUAAGUAUAUUGAAUAUUCACAAGGAAAUGACACAUUAUUGAUGCCACAAAUGACGAAUUUCCCACCCUCACAAAAAAUAAACCUAACCCAAUAAAAUCAAUCCAGCAAGUGAACUUACCUCUCAAAAUCAAUCGAGAGCUCUGAAGUCAGUCAGCUUGAAAGAAUGUGGUGGACAUUAGAGAAGACUCUUUGGUAUUUGAGACUCCAUCUCUAUCAAAAUCGAGGAACAACUGCUGCUGCGGCUUCUAGCUACAAAAACAGAUAUGCUACUUUGCUUUCAUCUAGAAUCUUGUCAGCUGAAUGAAAAAGAGAAGGGGUUUUCACUUGAGCCAUAGAAUCAAAACAGGGCAACAGCUAGGUAAGAGCCAUUCUUCGUAAUACCCAGGAUACCAUAGAUCGCAGGCCUCCCAACGAGCUAAUGACAGUGGAGUGACUAUAAGGUUUGGGAGAUUUGGAUCCUUCUAAUUGUGGGUUUGCUUUACAUUCAAAAAGAAAGGAUUGUGUUCUUCAGUUUUUCACAGAGAGGGAAAGAGGGGAACAACUGAAGUUGGGUUUCUAACGGGUUAGAUUUCAACCCGAUUCUACAUGCACCCUCUUUUAAAAACUCACCGUUGGAUGAAAUCCAACGGCUCUUACAUACCCCUCAAAAACACCCCUUAUAACUUCCCACUCACUAUAGAAGCUCCCCCAACUAAAUCCCAAAAGGGAAACAGAUUUGAACAACAUACAAAUUUGAAGGACACACAAAUAUGAAUCUCAGCACCGGUGAGAAAUUAAUUUUAGUUGAGGUUGGUAGGUAGGCAUUGGAAGUUUUUAUUGUUUUUGCUCCAAGUCCCUCCUCCACUCACUAAUACAGAUUACUCGCAAAUGAACUAAAGUCUGCAGGGAUAUAUGGACUCCCCUGUCCAUACGAAUGUUGGAAGAAAUGUGUGUUAAAUUUUAGAGAGACGGGUCUGUGACCCACCACUAGCAACGUUGAUAUUGUCUCCAACUUAACUACAUGUUUAGUAGAUGUGGGGUUUUAUACAAAAAGUAUUGAUGUUAUUGGGAAUGGAACCACUUAUUAUAAGUUAAAAUUUAUUUAGUCAAGUUUCCUAUGUGGGACUUUCUAUUCUUCAACAAGCCCCUUCAUGUGGGACCACCACAUAGUGGGCCACACGUAGAGCCAAGUCCACAUCGGAGUCAAUCAUUCAAGCCCAAUACCUAAACACCACGUAUUGUGUGAGGGGUAGGGGUAAACAUUCAAGCCCAACAUAUGAACACUGUAACAUCCCAACUCCAAAUUUAAUCCCUUAUUUAAAUUAUUUAAGUGAAAUUACAAAUUUACCCUUGGGGUAGGGAUAUUUUGGUCAUUUUCUUACCCGAAAAGAGUUUGGGGCAGUGACUAGUAUUUUUUGGUAGAUCGUACUGAGAUGAGUCUGUAGACAUGUAGUGGGCUCGAUUCGGAGUUGAAACGAAGAAGUUACGAGCAAAACAUCACCAAUGGCAAAACCGUAAAUAUUUCAAAAUGAAUUUUUAAUAAAAAAAACCUGAAAAACCCUCUCUCUCUCUCUCUCUCUCUCUCUCUCUCUCUCUCUCUCCUGCGCACAGCCCCUUUCCCCCCUUCGUUUUUUCUUUCCGUGGCUUCCAAGAGCCACCAUCGCCACCACGAAUCACCACCGGCCAUGAGGCCGGACUCGUUCGAACUGCCGCCGCAUCCUCUUCCUGUUCCGGUCGCUCCCAGUCGCUGCCAUCCGCUGUGCUGGCCGGAAAUCGAAGAAAACCAGCCGAUUUUUGUCAAACUUUCGGCCGCUCGUUCUCCCACUUCCGGCCACCAUUUUGGCCAUCCAGGUAUAGAUUUUGAACCUCUCGAGCUGUUCUUGCUGCCUGUUGUGUUAGAUUUGGGAGAUUUCCGCGUUUUGAAGGUCGAUUAAACGAUGGAAGUUUGGCUGGUUUUUGGCCUCCGAUUCCGGCCACUUUCGGUCACUUUUUGGGGUAGGUCCAAGAACAAAAGUGGUUCCAAAUAGGGUGUUAUACCUAGGGUAGGAGUCUUGAGCCGUGGUUUUGAGAUUUCUCGGUGAUGCGUAAUCGCUUUGGACACCCAUACGCUACCGGCGCGUGUGGUGGCGCGUGGGCACUGUAGAAAUGGGGUAUUGUGUCCCGAUGCGAUCCCCUUGUUGUCACGAGUGUGUAGUGUGCUCGGAUUCCAAUUUGGUUGACAUUCGAACCCCGAACGAAUUUCUCCUAUUGCACGUUAUCCGCGUUUGAUAGGUUUGAACCGUUGGAUAGUCUUGAAUUUAAUAUAUUUAAUCUAAGCAUUUCUAGGAUCGUGUAGGAAUUCACGGAUCAUGAAUCGGAACCCCGGAUGUUCCGAUUUAAUAAUUUAAAGUUUAUGUUUAUAUUAACUGUCAGAUCGUGCAAUCGUGAGCGAUCCGACCUUCCGAUCCGGACCAAACGUGCAGGACGUAUAUCCUAAACCUUGUGGAACCUAUAGGAACUUUCGAAUCAGAAUUUAGAGGUCGUGGGCCUAGUGGCCCCGUUUGACCAAGUGUGGAUAGUUUGACCCUUGGUUGACCUUGAGUCUUCCAAGGUAGUUUUCCUUCCUAGAAGGAUUAUAAUGACCCUAAUGACAGGUCUUGAGCGUUGUUGAGCCAUGUUGACUAGGUUAAGAUUUUUAGAGUGUUUAUUAUUGUCGUAGGAAACUCUUGGACAUUAUUUUAAUAAUUGGAAUUAUAAAAGUGAGUUUUGGGUUCGGCUAUGACUUUAGUGAAUGGACUUUAUUUUUAAAUGAAUAGCAUGGCUUUGUGAUGGAAUUUUUAGGCAUGUGAAUUUAAUGGUUUAUUGAAAUUCAUUUUUAUAAUUAAUAGUUAAUUUAGCAGUUUUGGUAAAGUAUUAGUGAUGUGUGGGGUACUUGGGAUUUUGUUGAGGUUUAUACAAUAUUAGAGAUUAACUUAUAUAUUUAAAUAUAGGUAUGAAUGUAUGAAAAGAGUUUAGAAUGUCAGUUUGAAGUACUAUACGCACUACCCUAGGUACCUCAUCGGAUUUUGAUUACACUAUAAGUACCACCCUGUGAUUGUCAGGUCACCCAUGGCGUAGGAUUUUCCGGCGGAAUGACAGACCCCAUACGUGACGUUGGAAUUUCCGGCGUAUGGGGAGAUGAUAUUAUGAUUGUUAAGUCACACGUGGCAUAGGUUAUCCGGAGUGCUGACAGACCCCAUAUGUGGCGUUGGAAUUUCCGGCAUAUGAGGAGAUUAUGUGAUUGUUAAGUCCCACGUGGCGUAGGUUAUCCGGCGGGAUGAUAGACCCCAUACGUGGGGUUGGAAUUUUCGGUGUAUGGGGAGAUGAUAUAAUGGUUAGGUCACAUGUGGCGUAGGAUUUUCCGGCUUGAUGACAGACCCCAUACGUGGCAUUGGAAUUUCUGGCAUAUGGGAGAUUAUGUGGUUAUUAGAGAGAUGAAUUAAGAUUAUUAUACUGAGUUGGGAACGAAUGAUGUUUGAAAAAGAUUUUGUUUGGGAUUUCUGCAAUUGAUUGCAUGUUGAUGGACUUGGAAAUUUUGUAUGAAAGAACUACGUGUGGCUUGAUCCCUUAGUAAGGGUACAUAUGCAGCUUAGGGUAGUGCCUAGGUGCAGCCGUGUGCUAAACUUUACUCAUGUUGUGUGAUGGAGAUUCGUUCGGACCUUGUUGUUAGUCCUGAAUUUUAGGUGAAAAUGAGAUGCAGUCUUGUUAGGAGGUUUAAAUUUUCUACGUUUAAUAUUUGGGAAUUUAGAUGAUGGAAAUCGCAUUUGGCGUUCAUAAAUGUGUUUGAGUUUAUAUUUGCAUUGUUUAGAGUUAGUUGGUGGUUUCGUUUCGAAUUAUUUGAAGGCCGAAGGCUGAUUAUGUGAUUUAUAUGAAAUUAUCUUGUGCAUACUGCCAGUUGUGAAUAUCAAAUGUGUUUUAUGCACGUUGAAAUUUUUAGGAUUGUUCAACUUACAGGGGAGACUGCCGAAAUUUCGGCAUAAAAUCUCGUGCCCUUAUUCCUUAUUGGGAAAAAUGAUUUAGUUUUAGAAGUGGGUUCGACAUCGGGGUGAUGUCGGGAAUUUUCACAGGAUUCAUCUCGGGUUUCGGGAAAUUCGGGUCGGGUCCUGUCAAACACCACGUAUUAGGUAAGGGUAAAGGCUCAAUUCAGGCCCAGUCAAUCAACCCAUUAUGAUAUCAUGUUAAAUUUCAGAUAGACGGGCCUGUGGCCCACCACUAGUAACAUUGAUAUUGUCCCCAACUUAACUACAUGUUUAGUAGGUGUGGAGUUCUAUACAAAAGAUCUCGAUGUUUUUAGGAGUGAAACCACUUAUUAUAAGUUGUAAUUUAUUUAGUCAAGUUUCCAGUCAACCUGACUUUGAUACCAUGUUAAGAUUUUAAAGGGACGAACUCUUGGCCCACCAUUAGCAAUAUCGACAUUGUCCCCAACUUAACCACCUGUUUAACAAGUGUGGGGUUUUAUCCUAAAGAACUCGAUCUUAUUAAGAGUGGAGCCAUUUAUUAUAUGAAACUUUCUAUUUUGUUAACUCUGUGUAUUCUUCAUCAAUGUGAACACCCCUAAACCAAUCAUACCUGAUACGGAUUGAAACACAAGUUUGUUUUUUGCCUUUGGUAGAUGAGUAGCUAGAAAAGCUCAAUGCACUUGCUCUUCUUCUGCUACAUUUCAAUAUAAGAACAAGGUUUGGAAGCCAGGUCAACUCCUCAUAGUUUCCUUGCCUUUGCUUUGACAUGUCUAUGCACUUCUUGGGGAAGUUUGAAUAAUCAAUUGCAGGCCCCACGACAACUAAGGAACCAACAUUUUGUAGAAGGUUUUGUCUACACCUUUUGACUAUAAGUAAAAUCUUUUGUAUCUGCUCUUAUGUUUCGGUGAAGUUUCUAUGUGUCCUUUGUUGAACGAAAAAAUGAGGUUGUUUCUUACUAGAUUCAAAUACUUAAAAGAAAAAAAGAAAUUAUUGUUUCUUAAUUGAUUUUAUGGUGAACAAUAUCAAACUCUCCUCUUAUACGUCUUCUUCGUUGGACUUGGGGUUGUUUUCCUUAUAUGUCCCUUAUAUAUAUAGGGCCUUUGGUUGAGCCCACAAAUACCUUCAGUUAGUUUUUGGGUUUAGGGGCCUACAGAACCUGCACUAAACAAUAAAAGAAAAUACCUAAUUAGUUUAGUACGAAUUCUAUAAUGAAGGCUUUAUUAGGUAAGAUUUUAUUUCUUAAUCGUUAGAUCAAAUUUGACAGGACCCGUUCCUGAAUUUCUCGGAAAUCAGAGCGAACCCCGUCCUUGUUUCGACAUCACCCCGAUGCAGGGUCCACUUACUAAAAACCGAGACUUUCUACCAAAAUUUUGAUAGAAUCUCCCUUGUAAAUUGAGCAAACCCAACAAAAAUUUCAGCCUGCAACAUACAUAAAAAUAAUCCCAACCAGCAGCAUGCUUACAACAUACAACAAAACGUACUAAAUGGCCUCCGGCCUCACAAGUAAAAUUUAACAUGGGUAAUCUACUGAUGUAAACGAUUCGGCCUUCGAACACUGCUUGCAACCUUCCUGAAGCGACUACUGGCUAAGGGGCGCAAAACAGAAAACAUGUGAGUGGACAAAAACAAGAUUCAAUUAAAACAACAUAGUAACCCCACCGUGUAAAAAUAAUGCUCAAGACAUGUAGGUUUACAAUUCAUAAUUAAAUAUUCAAAAACAAAUUUCAUUUAAAAUUCUUUAAAACCACAAAUCACUCCAUCCAUAAAACCUCAUGCCCACAAUUUUACUGCUCCUACCAACCCACUGUAUAGACUCUAAUUUCUUCACAAUCACAACUAUAUAUAAAUAUAUAAAUUGUAUCAUACAACAUACUCCUCACACUACUUAGGUACAGGGGAAACAAUCCAACCGGAGGAUCGUUUAACUAGCCCGCAGGAUUUUCAGGUGCUAUCCUGAGUCUAGGAAUGAGUGGUCCAACCAGGGGACGAAACUCUAUAGCUCACACACCGGAACAUCCAACGCCACGUGUAGCUCCAAUACUAAGUCCUACAGGCACAGACUGGAUCACCACACACCGGAACAUCCAAUGCCAUAUGUGAUAAUCCCAAGCAAUAUACAGAGUCUUCCCAUACGUCGGAACAUCCAACGCCGCGUAUGGAAAGUGUUCACACGCCGGAACAUCCAACGCCACGUGUGGGAAGCCUAUUAACUGGGGAAAGUACUUACAUAGUGUAAUCAUACAAUUUCUCUCAACAACUCCUCAUACUCAAGUUCUUCCACAAACUCACCUCAACAAUCCCAAGUACCCCACCUAUAGACAAUAUAUAUAUAACUUCCCCAAAAUCUAUACAAAACAUACUCUCGAUAUCCAAAUAUGCCAAACUCACAAUAUAUUGCCAAAGUGCAAUACAAACAUCAAAAUCAACACAUGAAUAUAAUAUAUAUUCAAUAUACCAUUUAAAACAUUAUGCGUAAAUCUUUCAUCAAUAAAACCAUGCGUAUGAUUGAAAACAAAGUCCACUCACAAGUAUUCCUACGCUGCUUGACCACGAGAGAGUCCUGCCUGCUGAGUACGUGCAGUAGGAGCACCUAUUUUGAGAUACAAACCUUUAAUUAAUAUAAAAUUACUUCAAAACGGAAAACACAAAUUAAAUACUUAAAUCCCCAAGUUCCCAGUACAUGUACGUUGAACGAGGUAUCCUAAGGUCUAGUUACAAGUUUGGGAAUCGCUCACGAUUGGACGGUUAUCGCUAACCCACAAAUUUUGAAUUAUUGAAUCGGAACAUUCGGGGCUCCGAUUCACGAUCCGUGAAGUCCUACGUGAUCCUAGGAAUACCUAAAACAACAUAUUUUAAUUGGAAAACGCACAAUAUGCGAAAAUCCGUUCGAUAGUCAAACGAUGUCCGAAUUGAGAUUCGCAAAAUGCUACGCACUCGUGACAACCUGAGGAUCUCAUCAGGACAAAGUGCAACUUCACCACCCUCACCCACGCGCCGGCAGCGCGUGGGUGUGUAGAGUAAAUUCCGGCGAUGGAAAAACUCCACACCUACUUGAGGUCAGGAUCUCAUCACUCAACUACAGGGAGGUUCAAUUAGGACGGCAACUGGCCGGAAUUUCACUUUGAAAUCCAGCCAAAACUUAGGUUUUCUAAUCGGUUCCUAGACAACAAAUCGAUCUAAACCUAUGCAACAGUCAGCUAGACUAAGGAAAAAGAGGAAGAAACCUCACAUUUUUCACUGGAAUCGGAAGGGAGAGGCGACGGGGCGACGUCGGGAAGACUCGGGUUUGAACCAGUCGAUGCCGUUGACGAUUCUCGCAUUUUUCGGGGGGACUUUGGGUGGUUCGGGUUAGUGGCUUCACGACGAGUCGAACGGGACCGGUCUCGGGGGCUGGGGUGGUCGGGUGUGGUGGCGGUGUGGUGGUUUUCGUCUCGGUGAACAGUAACAGGGGAGGGUUUCGCACGCGCAGAGAGGGACUCGGGAGAGAGAGAGAGAGAGAGAGAGAGAGAGAGAGAGAGAGGAGAGAAAAGAAAAAUUAGAUUUUUACUCUCCUCUUUUCAAAAUAUUUACAAGUUUGCCACUAAUGAUGUUUUGAUCGCCAUUUUCUUGUUACAACUCCGAUUCAAGCCUACCGCAUGUCUAGGAAUUCAUCUCAGUACCACCUACCCAAAAUUACCAGUCAUGGUCCCAAACUCUUCCCGUAACAGAAAAUGACUAAAAUACCCCUACCCCAAGGGUAAAUUCAUAAUUUCACUUAAAUAAAUUAAAAAUAGGAAUCAAAUUUGGAGUCGGGGUGUUACAAAAUUGGUUAGUACGAUCCAACGGUUAAUAGAUAAAACUUUACAUAAAAGUCAUAUAUAAGGCCCUCACUAUAGAAUGACUCGUUAGUUUAGUCUCUUGUUACAUAUCAACUGUUAGAGAUAUUUUUUUAAUAAGGAUCUACCAUACCACAUAGUUGGAUAAGACAUUAUACACAACUUUUGUAAGAGCAUCUCCAGCGAGCCAGGCCAGCCCAAGCAGCAAGGGGCCUUAAGCCCGGUAAGCAGCUCCAGCGCUCAAGAUUCAGCCCAGGCAAGGUGUGGAACCCACAAGGAGAUCUGGCCCGUCACCUUGCCUUUGGGUUUCAGUCAGGCUGAUGUCAACGAAAGAAUUUCAAAAAAAUUUUGCCGUUGCAAUGCACGCGCCAACGAUAAAUUUUCUUUGGAUUUCUUGCGUUGAUCCACAGCUACCAAAAACCAACGGCUACAAGCCACGUGGCUUCUCCAAGAGCCUCUGAUCCAAAAAUCUUGUCAAAUCUAACGGCUGUCCAUUUUUUGGCUAAAAAAAUAUCAAAAAAUUAUGGAAACAUUUUCUAUAAAUACCUACAAAUAUUAUUCACUUCCCACACCAAACCUUCAUACAAAUUCAUAUCCUUUCAAUAUUUUUCACUUUCCACACAAGAUUUUCUACUACUAAAUUUCAUUUGUGUAAAAAUACAAGUGGCCUCUUCUAUCAAAGCCGGAGGCGCGUGGACAACCGUGGAAGAUAUUUUGUUGUGUGAGUGUUGGGUCAAAGUUGGUCAUUGCCCGAUCACCGGCAAUGAGAUGAAGUCCUCUCGUAGGAGUUUCUGACAUCGCAGCGAAAGUAAGAUGUGAUAUGAGAAUGUAAGGAAUUUGAUGAGAGGAAUGGGAUUUGAGGAGUUUGAUGUAGGAAUUGAUGUUGAAUUGGAUUUGGGAGGUAUGUAUAUAUGAUUUGAGAGUAUGUGUUUAGGGAUUUUGAUAGGAGGAUUUGAGGAAUUUAGAUUUGAGGGAUUUGGAUUUGGGGAAUUUAAAUAUGAGGAAUUGAUUUAGGGUUUGGGUUUGAAUAUGAGAAAUUUGAUAUGAGAGUUUAGAGACAACUGAUGAUUGAUUGCUCUAAUACCAUGCUAAAAUAUAAAUAUGGUUUGAAUACUUUAGGUUGAGUUUUAUUCUUUUCCAUAAGGAGGUAUAUAUAGCAGUUUACAUGAGUGUUUUACAAGGAAAUAGAUACAGUAAUCAAUUAGGAUAAUAUCUCCUAAUUAUACAAUAAUUUGUCAACUAUAUAGAAUAGGAAAGUAAAUUCCUUAAUUAAUCAAGAAAAUAAAUCUCAUUGAUUAAUUAAGAGACUAACGUCAACAUUUAUAAGCCAUGGAAGAGCAGAAAAAGAGGUACUUAGGAGAUUUUAUACGUCGGACUAAGGUAAGCUUAAAGGACUAUAUCAAAAAAAUAAGGGACCAAGAAGCAAGACUGAGAAGUUGUUAUGCAAACCCAUUAAGUUUAGCAGUGAUGAAUUUGUAAAAAUCAUUCUAGUGGAUGCUGCCUUCACUAUUGAGUUCUUAUUGAGGUUCUAUCUGAAAGGAUGUAGACAUGAAGGAGACCGCUUAUUAAACAAAUCAGCUCCCAUUCUUUAUUCUUGAGGAUCUUUAUCACACAUACAUAAUAACCGACUCUUUUAGGAAUUAUUACAGUACUCAUGAUCAUGAGAGGCUUUCAAUAAUUAAUAUUUCUAAGAAUUUCGUCACAGCUGGAAUAUUGAAUUUGGAGGGGAAGGGAGACAAAUGGAACAGAAUAUCAUCUUCUUCUAGUGUUGGAAAUUUUAUAUUAUUUAAUAAUAUUUAAUUUCUAUUGUGAAUGAAAAAUAAGUUUCUUUAAGAAACGUGUGUCUUAGGCCAGUUUUUCUAACUGGUCGGCUUCCUUAGAUUUGUGCCUAUUGCUUUUCAAAGUAUAAUGAUGCAAUGGUUGUAUCUCGUUCAGGCAAAUGGAAGGUAUAUAGCAAUUUAUAGAACAAUACAGUAAUCCAGAAGAAAUAUUAUGAAAUGAAAAGAAUAAAAAGUAAAAAAAGAGAAGGAAAGGAAUUCCCACCUGCAAUGUAUAUGUAUGAAAGGAAGGACCAAGUUUGUUUUAAAAUGGUAAGAACAAGUUGAUUUAUAAUUGGGUUCAGAUCAACUCAUGGAUUUCUUGCCUUUUCUAUUCUCCUUCCUUGGACAUGAACUGUUUAAUCUUGGCUCUUCCCCAUCAUGUUGGGCCUAUCUUCUUCUUGAGGAUUGUAUAGGCCCAGGAAAUGCUUCAAGAUAGUUUUUGUGUUUUGGGCAUUGGGACCUAACUUCACAAAAAGAAAACAGAUUUGGCCAAAAAACAAAUUUGAAGGACAUUGAAAUUGUACCUGUAGGAUAGGUUAAAACACUGUAAGGGAGGUAAAUAGUACGUUUACAUAGUUUAAGUGUAAUAAAGGAAUAAAAACAUGCCCAGAGGAUUGAUAAGUGAUAUCAAUUCUUGAAUAUAGAGAACGUAAAAUAAAGGAACACGUAUAAAAUUAUUUUAUGUGGUAAAACCCCAUCUCUAGGGAAAAUCCACGGGACUUCUUAGUCCAAAACAAAUCUAUUAUAGAACGAUGAUUACAAGAAGUACUCACACACUUAUCCUAGACACAUUCUAGAUAAUGUUUACUGACCUCUUCGUAACUCAACUUCUGUCACAGGAUGAUCUUUCGACACUUCUUAUGUUGAACGCAAUACUAGUCACGAUUUCUUUCAAGCUCAUUGGAGAAAAACCGCCACAACAGUCUCGGUGCCCUCAAUCUUAUGAGUCACUGAACAUGCAAAUGAAUACAAUAUGAAUGAUAAAAGUGUUUGAUAAAUCACCAAGUUAUGGAACACUUGAUGAUUUAUUUCAAGUAAAAAUUCAGCUUUCCAAAGUUUAUGAAUUGAAAAUAUGAUCGUUAAAGCUCUCUAAACAAAAAAAACGAAGGUCUUAUUUUAUAGACUUUUUCUUUACAAGAAAGAAAACACGUUGAAAACCAAAUCUCCAAUUUCAAGGCUUGACAGAAAAUCACAAAAGUAUCUUUCCUAUUCUAGAGAUUGGUCACAUGAAGUCCAACCAAUAGGAAAUGAGAUAUUUAAGAAAGGAAGAUUUUGAUCAAUAUCAAUAUCAAAUGAAUUCUUAUAUGCCUAGUCAACUAUUAAGGGUAUCUUAACUACUUGAUAUUAUGAUAUGAUUGAAACAUGAUUUCCACGUUAGAAAAUUAAGGGGAUUUUAAAACAUGAAAGUAAUAGGAGAAUCAAAUUGAUUUGGACCAAAAUUGCCUAAAAAGAAAACACUCCUAAAUAAACUUCAAUUCACUUUUAAAAACAGUAAAACUUGAUUGAAUCGUUCUUUAAAACAAUUCCCUAAUAUACAUGCAUGAUAGUGACAUCACUUACCUCUGAAUCAGAUGCCUUUUACGAGUCAAGCCACAAGUUUGUGUUUUGGGGAUUGCUGAGCUGCAUCAAUCCUGCCAAUGUCAAUUCUGCCCCUAGGCUCUCUCAAAGCACGUUUACAAUCUAUGCUAAUAUAUACUAGAGUUUAUGCUAGUAUCUAGAAAAUGCCAACACUAAUUUCGUAACACGUAGAAAUUGUUAGAGAUUGGAAGUUUUUUUCAUUUUUUUCUUCCAGACUCUCCACCACUCACUAAUACAGUUUACUCAUGUGAUGAAUUUACAAAACCUAUUUCUCUACUCUCACAAAGACUAUACUUAGGGGGGGUGUAUUCAAUUAGGAGUCUAGAGCGUUUAAAAAGAUUUUGUUUAAGUGCCAGCUUUCAUAGAACUUGAUGGAACUUUAUAAUUCGUAUAGAACUUGAUAGACUUUCAGAAGACUUCUGUAUAAUUUGUUAAUAAAACUUUCUUAAGCUUUCAUAGAACUUGAUAGGCUUUUAUUCCAGAAUUAUGUAGACAGUAUAUUUCAUUUUAUCCCCAUCCUUGUCAUUUAAAGAAAGAAACUUGAAUGUUUUCAAUCAAAUUUGUUUUUGUUACCAAAGCAAAAACAAAAAGUACUUGUUUGCGAAGGAAGAACAUAUGCACAGUUCAAAAUGAAAAGAAUAAGAAGCAAAGUACCUAUUGGACCAAUGAAUGCUGUGUCAACUAGAGAAGCAAUUGGAUCGGCUGUCAAAGCCAAUGCUACAGGCAAUGCAUCGAUGGUCCAAAUUGCAAUAAAAAAUAUUUUGUAUAAUGGUUCUUGCAGACAAAGACCACAUAAAUUCUGGACUGGUCCAGCUUGAAUAAUAAGGUUAGAUUAGCCGAUGGAUGAGAGUAAAAGCAAAGAAAGUUGAUGAAUUCAUCACCAAUUAUUUAAUAACUGUAACAUCCCACAUUGACCAACGGAGAGGGGGUGAUGUGCCUUAUAUGUACAUGCCCACUUCCAUCUAGCAUGAGUCCUUUUGAGAGCUCACUGGCUUCGGAGUCAUGGGAACUCUGAAGUUAAGCGAGUUGGGGCUAAAGCAAUCCCAGGAUGGGUGACCCACUGGGAAGUUGCUCAUGAGCUUUAGAAACAAAAAUCAUGAGGGCAUAAAGGGAGGCCCAAAUUGGAUAAUAUCGUGCUACGGCGGAGCCGAUCCCAGGAUGUGACAAUAACCAAUAGAGUAUUUAAACAUAAACAACAAUGUUUGAUAAACAAAACAAAUAGUCCAAAUAUUAUCCAAAAAACAAUUCUAAAACCAAUCAUUCCAAACAAACUAGUCAUUCCCAAAAACUCUCAAAAAACCCACUCAUUCCAAAUUAUAGGAUAUCCAAUUUGAGCGCUCCUCAGGAGACAUUUUCAAAAAUGCAUCCUUUUUUGUGUUACUAUGCAACAAAGAGAGCGCUUUAUAAUGAGCACGUUCAUCCAAAUUUGAGGUCUCCUUAAUGGCAUCCCACAUAUAACUCUGCUGCUCUCGCUCUUUUCCCCUUUUUGCCAAUAGGUUAUGGACCUCCCGGAAGUCGGUGACAAUUGAAUCAAUGCUAAGGCUAAUUCUUCCCAUAGCUUGUUGGGUGGUCACAUUUGAGAUGGCAUUCCCUUCCAAAUCUAUUCUAGUUCGUUUCCUCUAGUAACAAGCAUAAAUCCUAGUAACAAGCAUAAACCCUAAUCCCAACCUAUAACCUAAUAACAAGAAAAACACGAUGAAAAAAAAAUCAUGGAAAAAGAAAACCCAACGAGGUAUUGAUCAAAAAAAAAAAUAGGGAGCAUACCUUCACAGAUGGAGGAAGGAAGCUGUUUGUCUUCACAGAGAGAAAAGCUAGGGAAAGAGAAAAACGUCUGAUGAAAUACUUUGGGGGGAGGUUGGAUUUCUUUUGGUCUUUGAUAUUUAUAACUCUCCCCUUAAAACCUACAAAAAUUUAUCACUUAAUGAAAUCCUUCCAAAUAUAUGACCUUUCGAAUACACCUAGAUUUGAUUCAACUUUUUUAUAAUCCUAAUUGAAUACACCCAUAUUUGAGUGGACUUUUUAAAAGUUCAUAUAAGUCCGAAUUGAAUACACCCAGACUUGUAAAACCUCUUUUAAAGUUUGUAUAAAUCCAAAUUGAAUACACCCGGAUUUUUAAAAUAUUUUUUAAACGCUUUAUAAUCCUAAUUGGUACAUCCCCCUUAUUCUCAAAAGACUAUAUCACUUUACCUCUAUCUCUGUGAAAUGUAAAAAGUUGAAACUUUAAUGUCAAACCUCGACAAAAGAUGAACUUCCAUCAGUUGCGUUGAAUUUGGAUUUGUUGAACUAAAGUGGUUUUACUUUCUCUGUCAGUGUUUGAUGACUUAAUUUGGUAUUUACUUCUUUUUUUCCUUGGAAAUGUGUUCCACCAACGUGAGGAAGAAAAAUGUGCACAAAUUAAUAUAUUUAAUAAAAGCCCAAGAUUUCGGAAGCACAUAAUUUCUACAAAAAUCUAGAAAGUGUUCUACUUUACAAACUUCUUAUGUCUAUCAAUUUCUACUAAAAUUAAUUUCUCUGUGGUGCUCAGAUUCAUCAUAUGUGUGUCCUUAAUUUUAUUGGAAAUUAGAAGUUUCCAUAAUUUUUAUUUUUUGGGAAUUUUCUGAACCAAGAAAAAUCAAGUAAAAUUAAUAAAGCUUAAAUUGGAAAGGGAAAAUAUCUAGAGGACGCAUUGUAGGAUUUCUCAUGCCGAUAAUUGUACCCUCUAAAUAUAUAGGGACAUAUUUUUUUUGUUUUCAUGACAUGUGGUCCUAAAAUUAUUGUUCCUAGCGGGCUCUCCACCCCCUCUCAAAUUUACGUGGUCCAUUAUGAUUAACCAUAUAUUUUAUUGACCAUCCAGCUGUGAGGUUUUAUCCCAAAAACCUUAGGUACAUUUCUCAAUUAUGUCUGAUACAUCACAUCAUGCCACAAUUGUAUAUUCACAAUUAUGUCUGAUACAUCACAUCAUGCCACUUGCCUCAAAUGAAUUUAAGUGAGUGUGGCAGUGGGAAGUAAUUACUUCUAGGUGCCCCUCAUCAUUCGUCUAUAAAAUGGUGAAGCCAGUGGCUAUAAGAGCCAGCUCCAACUUUCUUUUAUUCGUCUAUAAAAUGGUGAAGCCAGUUGCCAAGUUAAUUUCAGUCCUAAUGGGGUUUCAUCUCCCACUCAUCUUUGCUAUUCUCAGUGUAAGCUCUGCAAUUUGAUUAACUUUUCCAUUCUCUCUCAUUGUACUCUAUAUAAACGAAAGUUUUGUGUUCCUAUAAUUCUCUUUGAUUUUAUUUAGUACGUACUUAAGUGUCGUCCACUAAUUAAUUACAGUUUGUGAGAUUUGAUUUUAAUUAGAGUUCGAAUUAAUGUUGCAGCUAGCAGUGGUUGCACUGGCAAACCAUGCUGCUCAACCAGCACCUCAACUUUACUGGAACUCCGUCCUGCCAAACACACAAAUGCCAAGAUCUAUCAGUGAACUUCUGCAUCCUGGUUUGUGUUGAGCUCUUUAGAAUCUUAGAUAUCUCUUCUACCUGCCAUUUUACUAAAAUAUGUUCGACCACAUAUUUAUCAGUUAACUACUGUCAUUACAUGAGUGACACUUAUUCACAAAUCGGCUGAUCACUUAUUUUCCAUUUUACAUGAGUGAUAUAUAAUUUGCAGACUCCACAAAUGAAGAAAAUAUCGUGAAUGCUGUUGGGAAUGGAAAGCGCAAACCUGAAAUUUUCCCAUUGAGAAAUAUAAAUUACGUUCAAAGCCAUUAUGGAGUGUUAAAUAGAAAUUACGUUCAAAGCCAUUAUAAAAAACGUCCUCCUCCACCUGAAAAUAUCCCAUUUGCAAAUCGAAAAAAGUACGCACUAGGUUCUCCUCCAUCUGACAAUCAACUACUCCAUUAUAAAGAGUUAGCUAUUUUCUUCUUCGAGAAGGACAUGCGCCCUGGCGCAACAAUGAAGUUCCAAUUCCCUAGAAAUUCAAACACGGCUACUUUCCUGCCACGCGAAAGUGCUCAAUCGAUCCCCUUCUCCUCUAACAAACUACCAGAAAUUUUCAACCAUUUUUCAGUGAAGCCAACAUCUGUGGAAGCCAAAACAAUUAAGCAAACAAUCGAAGAGUGUGAAGCUCCAGGCACUAAGGGAGAGGAAAAAUAUUGCGCCACAUCUUUAGAAUCAAUGGUUGAUUUUAGCACUUCGAAGCUUGGAACAAGAAACGUUGAAGCAGUCUCGACGGAGGUAUUGGAAAAAGGAGCCACCAUGUCCAUGCACAACUAUACAACAAUGCCGGGACUGAAGAAGUUGGCAGGUGACAAAGUCGUUGUGUGUCAUAAGGAGAACUAUCCCUAUGCUGUGUUUUUCUGCCAUGCAAUAAAACAAACAGCAGCUUAUGUUCUCUCCCUGAAAGGCGAUGAUGGGGAGAAGGUUAAAGCAGUAACCAUCUGCCAUCUAGACACAUCAGAAUGGAACCCAGAGCAUUUGUCCUUCCAAAUCCUCAACGUUAAGCCCGGAACCGUUCCCAUCUGCCAUUUCAUUUCCACUGAUGCUAUUGCCUGGGUUCCAAAACACAAAUUUGCAUGAUCAUCACUUAGCACUGUGGUGUAAGAUAUAUGAUGAGAUAAAGUUUUUGGUAUUAGUGGUCGGGUUGCCUGAAAAACACAGAUUACAGAAACUGCUUGAAAUUAACCCGAUCAUGUUUUCUCUUGUAAGACUUCAACUUGUACUCCUAAAGCAAGUUAUAUUUAUGAAGAGAUAUUAAUCUAUAUAUAUUUUAUGUAUAUAUAUAUAUAUAUAUAUAUGCUUUGGCUUUGUGGUUCUACCCAGUGUUUGAGUGUUGAAUUGUUACGUUGGAAUAGGCUGAUAAUGCGUGUAGUUAGAGAAGCCUUCAUUUAUAUCAAAGUCCUCAAACUAUCAAGAACUAAUGUAUCCAGAAACAUAUACCAAGACGCAAAACAACAUAUUUUCCAUGCUCUGUCUGUAACGCCAAAGCAAACUUCCUUUAUCACAUCAUUUAAAGGAUCAAAUUCCAGUACUAAUCUAAUCCAUCAUGUAAAGCAUACAAGUGCCUCCCUAAAUUUGUCCAUUGGAUAUAAAUGUUGAGAAAAUUAGAGUACACAACUCUAAUAUGAUAGUUGUACACAACUCUAAUAUCAUAAAGCAAACAAAAUUUCUAAGUUAGUUUGCUUUAUGAUAGUUGUUUUUUGAAGGGGUCCUUAGAUCCUAUCUCAAAAAGUUUGGCUUUUAUUAGGUUUAACUCUGGUUUUUAUCUCUACCCACUAACUUUUAUCUCUCAUUUUUAUUACCCAUUUUACCCUUUAAAAUAAAUAGGGCAAUAAACUAAAAAUUCUGAUUUAAUGCAUGUUUUACUCAUAAGAGAACUAAAAACUAAAAAUUCUAUACUCUAACACAAAAAAUGAAAACUAAAAACUAAAAUUGAAAUGGUUUCAAGCAAUUGCAUGUCAGGCGCUAUAUAUAAUGUAUUAGCCAUGGUUUGUUUAAUACGCGGUCAUUCGUCAUUUUCCCAUUCAAAAUAUUGAAAUUACGAACUACAUACCAUGAAAGAUAAGAAACUAAAAGCUUCAAGCAAAUAGAAAUGUGCUACAAACAUAGUAAUGAAGAUGUGGAAGCAUUAUCUCAGACGAAUGAUUCUGAAGUGGAAAAAACAAGAACAAAAAAGGAAGUGAGUUAAAUUUGCACCUGCUAUGUUCAAACGACAAAGUUGGUUUCCCUUUGGUCGAUUACAAGAGAAGCUCAAUGCAGCUUACUUGGUUCCUCUGGUAGAUGAAAAUAUAAUUUUUCUCCUAAUAAUAAGGGUAUAGUGCAAUCAAUGAUGGGCUGUAUAGAACAACUUUUUUGUUUUAUGUGUUUAUGUGAGACAUGUUUUGCCAGAUUGAAUUAAUGUCUUCUAGCCAUGUACCUUAUCUUUUUGCCGGGCCAUGAGUUGAAUGUAGAGGCAAAGUAUGGACUUGGGGUCAAGUUUGACUUGUAAAAUAAUUAGGAAUUGAAUGGCUCCUACGUUCAAUUAUUUUAAUUUUUUUUCCCGAGCCAUUCAAUUCCUAAUUAUUUAGAUUUUCGAUUUAGUGAGCAUCCACAAUCAUGCUCUCUAUUUUUAAGUUAAAUUUUAGUUAAAAACAUAUAAAAGUUAUUUAGGAGCUCUCUAUAAAAUUUAAACUUCAAUCGUUUUCUAUAGUUUAGGGAGUCAUAAAUGUCAUAACUCUUUUUUGAUUGGUCCAUCUCUAUUAAAAAAUAAAAUAAAAAAUAGUUAGCAUGAAAUAAAGGUUUGAAAUACUCAUUAAAUAAAGCAGCAUUAAAUUAUAGGGAGCCACUAAGAGUCCUUUCUCUCUCCUCAAGUUUAGGAGCUCCUAGAGGUCUCCCUAUUUUAAGAGGUGGAUAGGGAGUAUGGUUGGAAUUGUAUUUUUACAAUUCCUCCCUAAAAAUUUUCUAUGGAUAGGUGGUUUUAAGGAACCCAUUGUGGAUGCUCUGAUCUCAAAGAAAGAAAACCUCGAGUUUGCAAGCAAGUUUUCUACGUAUGUAUAUAUGAAAAACUGACAUUUAUGAAAAUAAUAAAUCCAUAUUUUUAUGUAAGCCAACUUUCUAAAUCCAUGUACUAUAUUUAUUAGGGAAAUAUUGGAGAAACUGAUUAUUUUGAAAAAUUAAAUGUGAAAAACUGAACAAAAAUUUGACAGGUUACAUAUUUCAACUCAUUCAGCAGCUUAGGUUGUGAAGACCUCAGAAGAGGCUAUGCAAUGAGCCUAGCUAGUGCACUGUUGAUCACUUCAGUGUUUACCGAUCUGUAAUUUUUCCAGAUUGGUUAUAUUUUCCUUUACAUAUUCUUAUAUUUUUCCCAGUUGGGGAGACUUAUAAAUAAACCCAAAAUGGGUACAAUAUCUAUACAGAAGGACAAAAUUAAAGUGUUUGGACAAUAAUCCCCUAUUCAUUUUGGGAUUGCCUAAGGAAUUCUUUUUCUGAUUUUCAAUGAUGCAAAGGACUGUUGUUUGAUGCUUGCCGUAUGGAGCUAAGAAAACUUGCUUUGAUAGUUUUGGACAGAUGCAAGCUACUGUUGUUGGUAGGGGUGGGCACGGUCCGGAUUGGUUCGGUUUUACUCUCAAACCACAGCUGAACCAAUAAGAAAAUAACGGUUCGGUUUGGUUCGGAUUAGCCUAAAAUCAUAAUGGAAACCGAACCAAUCCAAACCACUUGUAAUCGGUUUGGUUCGGAUUGGUUCGGCCGGUUUGUGCCUAACACAAAACCAUGCAUUUUUCAACCUGCUCUUACAUUAUAAUGCUAACAUUUUGCCAUUAUAUCAUUCCAUUCCAUUCCAUCAAAGGCUAAUACAACAUCAUUCCAUUUAUUCAAAGGUUGUCCAAUGUCUAGCAUGCAUCUAAGUUCACAAUUUCCAUCAAAACAAACAUAUACAUAAUUUGCAUUAACCAAGUAGCAUUACAUUUACUCAUUGCAUUCAUCACAAUUCAUAAGAGAUGAGAACGAAUCAAUUUUACUUUAACAUAUUAAACAAAUGCAUUCUUUGUAAUAGUUAAACAUUCUCACAUCAUGAAUAUCGGCAAGCUUAUAAAGCUGCUGCACCAACUUGCUAAUUGAUUCGUCUGUACCAGGAACAACAGUAGUAAUGCGAGAGAACCCCUCAACUUCUGCAUGGCCAACAGCUAAACUCUGGAAACGAGAAACCAGCUCAAUUAUAACAAAUGCCUAAAACUUCUACCUUAACAGAAGACAAAGGAGGAAAUAACAGCAGAAGGAAACCAAAUUUCUCAAUUUAAUAACUGAUAUUUCCAAAGGAUUCUUAAGUCUAAAAUUCGACCAAGACUUGAUUAACUAUUCCAAUGUCUAGCAUGCAUCUAAGUUUAUAACUUUGUUCCUUCUUUAACAAAAAGAACAAGGAGAAAAAGCUAAUAAUAAGGUAUCCUUCUUUAACAGGCAUCAAGCAUAUCACAUAAGCAACAUUUUAUAUACAUUAUUCUAUGAACAAAACUAAAUCAAAGCAAGGUAUGCUACAGUCUUUUUGUACAAUAAAAUAGAUUAACAUAUUUUAUAACCAUAAAAAUGAAAAAUUAGGCCUCAUAGAAAAUACCAUUUUAUUUUUCAACUCUCUAACUUUUUAUAUAACCAGUUAUUGGAGACAAUACAAAAAAUAAAGUAGUAGACAGAACUAGCAUAUUUUACAAACCCAGCUGAUGAUGACGAUCCACCACCAACAAUAUUCCCAUAAUCAAUCCUUGCAUAACCUGAUGGUCGAUGAUGGAACUUGGGUUUUGUAGAGAUGGAUUUCGCUGAGGACAAAUGGGUGGGUUUCGCCGAGUUCGAAUCAUGUUGGCUUGAGUUAGCGUCGAGGGAGAGGGAGAGGGAGAUGUAGCAGAGAGACAAAGAGAGAGGGAGAGGUAGCAGAGAGAGAUGGAGAAAUAAUGAGAGGGAGUUGCGGCUAGGGUUAAGAGACGAAGGAAGGGAGAUAGGAGAGAGGCUCUUCUGAGGGAGAGAGAAUGGUUAGAUAACUUAGAUGUGUCCGUGAGUUGUAGUUUUGGAGUCCAAUCAAGUGUUGCAGGGUACAUGGUACACUCUUAAAUAACCACUCAAACCUUGCCACAUGUAAACUAAAUUAAAUAAAUAAUAAAUUGAUUUAUAAUCGGUCCGGUUCGGUUUAGGACAGUUUUUAAAACUCUCAAACCACAGCUGAACCAAACCAAACCGGUUCGGUUCGAUUUUUCAAAAUGUUGACUUUUUCUUUGGUCAAAACCAAACCAAACCAAUCCAAUAUAAUCGGUUCGGCUGGAUUGACCUGAUCGGCCAGAUUGAUGCCCACCCCUAGUUGUUGGGAUGAUCUUUUCACGUGAAAUGAGGAUGACGAUACUUCUACACUACACAAUCCAACGAAUUCACAUUUCUAUUUCAGAUACAUGUAUAAACAGACAAGGCUUUAAAAUAUGGGAUGCUGCACUGUUGUUGCUGCUGCUGACACUGUUACUGUGUUGCUGCUACUGUUACUGCGCUGCUACUGGAAGAAGGACAAGGACUUCACAUGUUGCUUUCGUCCUUUGUGGAGGAGAGAGACCUAGGACUUGCAUGUCUUAGAUAUUUAAGAUAAGGGGCUUUCGUGCCAUUUUGAAAAUACUUUGGGUGUUUUUGAAAGCUGCUUGUUUCUUUUGGGUUUCUCACUAAAUUUCGCUAUUAGAAGGGAAAAUAAUAAUAAUAAAAAUACAGCUCUUAUUAGCAACAGGGUUACAAAUUCUUCUACAACACACCAACUGUUGUAAAAGUUUGAAGGUGGAGCCCACAGAGGAAGUUUCCUUGCAUCUUCCAGGAACUUUCCCUUCCCUGUAUUUAUCAAUUCAGGAAGUUUCCUUGCAUCUUCCAGGAACUUUCCCUUCCCUGUAUUUAUCAAUUGAGGAAGUUUCCUUGCAUCUUCCAGGAACUUUCCUUCCAUGUAUUUAUCAAUUCAGGAAGUUUCCUUGCAUCUUCCAGGAACCUUCCCUUCCCUGUAUUUUACCAAAACCUUAGCCUAUAAAUAGGCUUGCUCAUUCACUUGUAAUACACACCAAAAUGAAGAGAAGAAUGAGUGAGGAAAGAAAGAAAGGAAGAGAAGGAAGAAAGAGGGUGAGUAAGUAGAGAGAAAAAUAGAGUGGAGAGAAAUUAGUGAGCCACAUAUAUUGUAAACACUAAAGUUGUAGCCCUAUUAUUUUACAUAGUGGAAAAGUUACUACUGCUGCUCUCCGGGGACGUAGGCAUAGCCGAACCUCGUUAAAUACUGUGUCUCAUUUACUUUACGUGCAGCUCAAUAUUCAUACAUAUUCCAGGUUAUUUUUAUAACACGUUAUCAGCACGAGAAGCUCUCAGGUAUAAUUUUUGUGCUGCACUAUUAUCUAUACUACUAACCACUAACAAAAAUGGACCCUUGGUAAUACUAAACAUAUUAUCAGUGGGAGACCGUUACUAAUACUAACUUUUUCUUAUUUUAUUCGGUGGUGGUUUUAACCCCACAUUUAUUUACUGUAUGGUGUAGGUUUAUUACCCAUACAUGCACCUUUACUUUAUCGCAAAUUUAUUUUACCGCAUAUUUAUUUUAUUUACUGUAUGGUGUAGGUUUAUUACCCAUACAACAGUAUUUAUUUAAAAGGGUGGUGCGAGUUUAUCGUCCACGCCUUUGCUUUUAUUUAAAUGUAUGGAGCAGAAUUAGUGCCCAUACAAGCACAAUUUACUUUACCGCACAUUUAAUUUUAUUUAAAGUAUGGUGCGGGAUUAACGUCCAUACAGCAAGCAAUUUAAUUUAUGAAUUUAAUUUACCGCACAUUUACAUUUAUUUAAAAGGGUGGUGCGGGUUUAUCGUCCACGCCUUUACUUUUAUUUAAAUGUAUGGAGCAGAAUUAAUGCCCAUACAAGCACCUUAACUUUAUGAAUUUAAUUUACUGCACAUUUACAUUUAUUUAAAGUGUGGUGCGGGUUUAUCGUCCAUACCAGUAAUUUAUUUAUCAGCAAUUUAUUUUAUGGAUUAAUUGUUUAUUUAUCAGCAAUUUAUUUUAUGGAUUAAUUGUGCUGUAUGAUGAGUUUUUCCAGUAUGCAGAUCAGGACCAGAAGUUCCUUGAUCCUCAUCAUACAAUUACAUCAGGACUUGAAGAUCCUUGAUGAUGAUAUUAAAAUGAGAGCUGGCAGUCUCACCGGUACUGUAUUUGUAAACAUGUGAUUGGACUUAAAGGUCCUUGAUCCCUGACAUGUAAAUAAGGACCUAGAGUUCCUUAAUGAUGUAACAGUACCGUAUUGGUUCAUAGUGCCGUACACAUUGAUGAUAACUGUACUGGCAGAUGAAUAGAUACGUAUUCAUGACUUGAUGAAUAGUACUAUUCACAUGAAUAGUGACGUAUGCAUAAAUAUUAACCAUUUUGGGUAAACCGUCACUAUAUACAAAAGGGAACCUGCAGUUCCUUAAACUCAUGGAUGAGCAAUUAAAUGAGAUGCCAGAAGUUCCUCAAAAUAUGGACAAUUAUGUAAGGGCUUGAAGUCCCGAAAUAUGUACAGAAAAUUGUAAAAAUGUCCAUACCAUGAGAAUAUGUGGCUUUGGCCUGAAGUUCCAAAUUUAACAGUGUUGAGAACCUGAAGUUCCAACAAUUAAAUGGACAACCCUUGAGGUAUUAUUGCAAAUUGUGGUAUGCCACAUAUUUCUUUGGCAUAAGAAGAUGAUGAAUUUAAUAAAGUUCGAUUUUGUUAUAAUCGACACCUCAAGGAAGAAAUAUAUUUUGUGAAUUCCGGUUGUUAAGAAUACACCGCGAAAUGGAUAAUAUUAAUAUAAACCUCAAAUAAUGAAUUGAGACUCCCCACAUAUUUUGUUAUAUCUGGGCCGGAAGCCCAUGGAUCCAAAUAUAUGAGAGAUCCUAAACUUGAAGUUGUGGGUAUAUAGUAGUUAAUGCUCUUCACUACUAUAUUGCGAUAUUAUCAUGGCUUUUACUCAAUUCAUAUUUCAUGUCCAUUUGAAAAGGGCAAAUAAAUUCUGAGUUUGUGCCCAGGCCAUAAGUUCCGGGCUACCAUACGUUGAAAUAUGAAAUUUGGGAGAGUCGAUGUGGUUAUUUGAACCUAUAAGGCACAAGGUUCCAAAUCGUCAUUUUGAAAAGACGUAAAAACCAAAGGUGCAAGUUUAAGAAUGUGCGCAAUUAUUAUUACAGGAACAUACAACAGAUAGAUUUUUUCCACUUGCAAUGAAGGUGCAGGCCCUGUAAAAUCUAUAAAAUUACAUUAUGUUCUGGAAGCCUCUGAAGGAAGAGGACGGCGCCUCUUAAGCUUAGCCAUGAGCUUCUCAUGGUCUCCCAAAAUUCUUUCAUUGGAGACCUGCAGCAUGUCUAGCCUUCUCAGUGUAUCAACAGAGUACGAACUCACCAGUUUCAACAAGGAAUUAUUCUCUCCUUUAAGUUUCUCAACCUCCUGUUGAGACUCAUGAAGCAUUCUUUGGAGAGACGAAUUUUCAGUUGUUAAAUUCUCAACCUCGUUUGCUCUGGCACGCAAACGAUCAGCCAUGUUAGAAACAGAAACAGCACUCUGAAUGCUAAAAGCCAUUGAGUCAUCAAUAGCCUCUUCCUCUGAUCUCCCCGUCAACAACAUUUCAUCCAUUGGAGUAAUGAAAUUCCUAGCUACUAUGACAGCAGUAGCAUCAUUCAUCAUCACAGAAUCAUUAACUGUGAGAUGACGAUUUUUGGAUACAAAGGAUGGACGCCAAACUUGGGCGUCACUGGUAGUUGUGGGAGUAUCAUUUAAAUUGAAAUAAUUUGGGCAGGAAGAAGAGGAAGCCAUUUUUAAGAAGGUUUCGAAGAAAGCCUUAGGAAAACUAAAGUUUCAUAAAAUGAAGGAAGUUAAGUUGAAACGCAAUUGCUCCAAUCAAGUUUUGCAAAGGCAAUAUCUAUAGACGAAAAUAUGGCAAUAUCUUCAGGAUUCCAAUAUCUUCUCGAAUCCCCAUAUUAUCUUUUUCUUUCCCAGAGUCCAAAACUUCACGUGGCCUCUAAUAAUGCCUGUCGGCACUUUCGGCGUUUUUCAAAGUAUUAUUUUCAAAGCCGAUCUUGCUUUACGGAUUUCACGGAACUACUUUUUCAAAAGUAUCCCGAGAAUCUCGCAAUUUUCCUAUGGUUAAUUUGAAAUUCACCGGUUCUACCUAUUUAUUGUAUUUAUGUAUAAAUGUGUUACUAACGAAAUUUUCUUUGCAAAAGACAUCCAGUUUUCUCCAUACCUAGUGAUGCGAUAUCUACUUAUUUUUCUUAUCAGUGAGCACUUAAUAUGCCUGAGAAGCAAGACUAUCUCUGAUCAUACAUUCAGGAAGCAAGACUAUCCCUGAUCAUGUUUCCGCUACAUUAGGGAACUGUGAAGGUGACCUUAUGCUCCAAUCUCCUGAGGUCUUUCUAGACUAGGAGAAAUGAGAGCUUGUUGUUUGCUCCCACCAGCUUCCUUCCUUGAUUGCUUACCUUACCUUGCAAUCAAUAUCACAAUCUUUUUGCAUUUUUUCUCUUUUUAUAACUCUCUGUUCAUAAGAGAUUUUAUUUCUUUAGAAUGAACAUCUGAAGAAUGAAUCCAUGAAGUAAUCCUAACUAUGAGGGUUAUUUGUUUUGACAGAGGCAAAAGAGUUGUGAUUUUUGCUCUUGCAGGAUAUAACUAGAUCAUCAAGCGCUACAUUAUAUUUACUGGGCUGAUAUGAGCUUGAAUGAUACUUGAGAAAAGUUUCUCCCACCUAAGGAUGUAAGCAAUACUUGUGUUAUUUUAUGCUUAUAUACCUAUUUGAUAUUUUAUCUUGAAAGGUAACUAAAUGGGGAGAUAAGUCCGUUCCAAAAGAAUGACUUGUAUGUAUCCAUGAAUUAUUAAUGCAAAUUUUACAGAUUGCAAGUUGGAUACAUUGAUAAUACACUGCACAGAUUAAAGUCCCAUAAGAACAGAAUAUGGGUAUAGCAGUGAUCAAUAUGAUGCACGCCUAUUGCGUAGCAAAUGAUAUGGAUUGAAGUCCCGAAAGGACAAUCCUUUGACAUUUCAAUAUUGAUAUUAUGCACGCCUAAUGCGUAGCAAAUUAUAUGGGUUAAAGUCCCAUAAUAUGGGUUAAAGUCCCAUAAAUUAAUUGACAUGUAUGUAUUAAUCUGUGGCAUGCCUGCAGCAUGACAGAUAUAUGGGUUCUAAAUGUUCCAACUCCCUAAAUGGAGAUUAUCCACGCCCUACUAUAAAAUAACGCUCCAUUGGAGGUUAUAAUCCACAUUCUCACAUAAUAAAAGCCCCCUGCAGUGGCUUGGGUACCCAAAAGCAAAGAAAUGCUUAUAAUUGAUGCAUGCGCAUGCACAUGAGAAUGGUGGGAUCAUGAAUUGAUGAAUGACAAUUUUUGAUCAUGAAUUGAUGAAUGACAAUUUUUGGUUUUAGAGUAGCUACUCAAAUCAUCAAUGGGCUGUGUUGAUUGGAACCACGUUCAAUUAUUAAAUGUCGACAAUAUCAUUGGCCAAAAUGGAACGAGGUAAUUCCAUUAUAAAUGAGAAUGAACGUGAAAGAACAAACCCACAAUACGAACCCCAAAAUUUGUUAAUACUAAAAGUUAUACUUGGGUGUUCGGAAUAAAAGGAAAUAUAUCUACUUUGUAUGACACACUGUUUCUGGCAGAAACAAGGAAUGUUGGGUUUUCUCCAUAUUUACAGAUUCAAUUGUGCCCCCCUUAUUACACAAUUACGGAGACCAACAUAUUAUCUUUAAGGGUUAUUAAUGCACAGAGCAUAUCGCCAGAAGCGAUUUCCUAAAGAUGUAUAAAUAGCUGGGUAAAAGCUAUAUAAUGUGUCAUAAAGUUUAAUCCCUUUUAACCAAAAUCUGUUGAGAGGAUUGAUAUUGCAUAGAGCAAGUCCCUAAAGAACAUGUGCUUGAAGCACAAAAUUUGUACUCAAUAUUAAUAUGCAUAAAUUACCUCAGUGAGUACAUUGAUUAUAAUGUGAUUGCAACACAUUAAAGCUUCUGCAGAAUUCAUGAAAUAUUUGUCUCGAUCGAGCAUUAUGCCAACGAGAUUCUUGCUUAUACUAAGAAAGUAUUAAAGUAUUUUUAUGAGGAUUAUCCGUUGGACACUUUAAUGAUUUUCCGGAAGUAUAUUGGACCGGACAUCAUAUUUUCCAGAUAGGGCUCAACUCCAUCACCAUCAUUUUGGGAUGAUGUGAGGUAUAUUUGAUGCUAUCUAAGCAUAACACCAUAUAGGGGCAUAUUUUUUUAGUGAACUUAUAAAUAGCCCAAGUGUUCUAAGAUAUGCGGACUCAGGAAAUCUCUAUGGUCGCUUACUGGAAAAAGCUAGUCAUGAAGUUUUCAGGGGGAGAUAUUCAUCAGGGAGAGCAUGGUAUUAAUAAAGACCUUCAUACACUAUUGACUCACAGCAGCAGUGUCAACUAUGAUAUUCAGACAGAUGAUCAACAGUAUGGCUUAAAGAUAUUUUGCCAAGCAUCAGGGGGAGCGUGCUGUCAAUACAGACCCUUACCCACUGUACUCUUUUUCCUUCGUCCAGGUUUUUAUCCCACUGGGUUUUUCCUGGCAAGGUUUUAACGAGGCAGUGUCGCACGCGCGUCAAUAUACACAGAAUUUUAUGUUACACGUGAUUAUGUACUCUUUUUCCCUUCGACCAGUUUUUGUCCCACUGGGUUUUUACUGGCAAGGUUUUUAACGAGGCAUAUUCCAUAUCAUUUGUGGUCUCCAAGGGGGAGUGUUGUAAAAGUUUUAAGGUGGAGCCCACAGAGGAAGUUUCCUUGCAUCUUCCAGGAACUUUCCCUUCCCUGUAUUUAUCAAUUGAGGAAGUUUCCUUGCAUCUUCCAGGAACUUUCCUUCCGUGUAUUUAUCAAUUCAGGAAGUUUCCUUGCAUCUUCCAGGAACCUUCCCUUCCCUGUAUUUUACCAAAACCUUAGCCUAUAAAUAGGCUUGCUCAUUCACUUGUAAUACACACCAAAAUGAAGAGAAGAAUGAGUGAGGAAAGAAAGAAAGGAAGAGAAGGAAGAAAGAGGGUGAGUAAGUAGAGAGAAAAAUAGAGUGGAGAGAAAUUUCUCCAAGAGAGAAAAAUUAGUGAGCCACAUAUAUUGUAAACACUAAAGUUGUAGCCCUAUUAUUUUACAUAGUGGAAAAGUUACUACUGCUGCUCUCCGGGGACGUAGGCAUAGCCGAACCUCGUUAAAUACUGUGUCUCAUUUACUUUACGUGCAGCUCAAUAUUCAUACAUAUUCCAGGUUAUUUUUAUAACACCAACAUCAAUCUAGCCCUGAUCCACUCUUUUACAUACUUGAAAACAAAACAAAACACGAAAAACAAAAAACAACAGGGAGAAAAUGGCUCCGGAGAGACUUACUGCUAAUACUUGAUCAAUAACAGAGAUAAUAGAGCACACUGUUUGUAUGGCAGUGAGUAUCAGAAGAAUAAUAGCUGCCCAAGGUGUGUUGAAAUACUUUUGUCUCAAAUUUGCCUUCCAUAUGUUCGUGGUCUUCUCGCAAUACUCGUUUAGUUUGCCAGCAAGAUCACCAAAAUAGUAGUUUCCCUGGUUAAUCAUAAUGGAAACCUUACUGUUGUCACCUAGCGUGUUUACAACAAUUCCAUUGUCAACAAGCAACUCUACAUCCUUUGGGGUGUUUACAAAUUUAUCCAGGAUGAAAACAUAAUCGCUUAAUUAUUUAUUAACGCAAUGGCAUUGUUCAAAGGCAAUGAGAUUUCUAAGUGUAAGCUCUGUGUAAUCAUGUAUUUCAAUUUUUGGAAUUUCCAAGGUGUUUUUCAAGAACUGUAUAUCGAAUAAGUUCUUGCUUGAUUCAACGUUAAACUUAACUCCGGCCUGGUGUAGUUUUGUCAUGCCGGGUGUACUUUGGAGCCCUACAUUUUCUUUUAGGGUUGGAUCUGGCAGAUGUAAAGUUCUAAUAAAAUCAACAAAUUGUACAGGUUUUUUAGGAUCAGGAGGCAUAAAAGACUUACGGAAGGCUGGUGAGUUCUCCAAGUUUUCUAAACGCAGUGCCUGUUGGAAGAACCUGUAAGAGAGUUCAAUUAUUGAAGGCUCCCCAGUCUGGGCACCUGUAAGAUUGUAAAGAUCCUCGAGAAUGAAAAAUGGCAGCUGAUUUUCUAGCAUAAGCAUGUCAGGCAAUAUAUUUUGUAGCACCCAUGGUUUUUUAAAUAUCCAAGCAUUAUCAUCCGGCAAUUUUUCUUCCUGAAAUUUUUCUUCGGAUUUAUUCCUCAACAAUAGCUCAAUGACAAAGGCGGCAUCAACUAGAAUGAUAUUCACAAAAGCGGCAAUGUUAAACUUCUUAGUGUCUUCAUAAUAAUGACGGAGUUCAACUUCUCUCUCCUUUAGGUACCUGAGUUUGUGAUCUUCCAUGGCUUCUAAGUUUUUGCUGCCAUGGUGAAGUGGGCCUAUUGAGACUACUUGUGGUGUGUAGGCCUUUUGUUUUACGUUCCGUAGUCGCUCAGGCACCCUGUAGAUACUGCAGGCAGGGGACAGGGCACGGAAGUUUGUCAACUGAUUUUCCAUGGAAGUUGCUUGGUUUUCUAUGUCAAAAGAAGCUUCAUUGCUGCUUUCUUCCACUUUCUUCCUCCGCAUUAUGUGUUGUUCUGAUUGUAAGUGACGAGGAUGGUGAUGAUUCUAGACACCAUAAUCAACAAAUGUUUCAAUCAUAAUUGACAUUUCAAGAUGCUCCGACAAAAAAUUAGAAAACAUUCAUCACAAAAUGCGAACUCAUACAACAGAUGGGUUGAGAAGAUCCACACAUUGCAAUCAUACAAUCCAAUUGAACAGGGAUUACUCCCUAUUCUCCUCUCUCUCUAAAAAAGAUUUUCAUAUCGAUAACAUCUUAUUGCAAGGGACUUGUACAUCAAGUGGUGAAGAACAGAAAUUCAUAUUCUUUCAAUCAACAAAUUUCGAAGAAGUUUGUUUGUUUUAUUUUUGGGGGAAAAAAAUCUGAGCAUAUAUAGAUGCAUAUUAUACGUAGACCUAAGGUGAAAACAUACCAGAUUUUUACUCCAUUUUUCAUGAGGUUUAAGUUCUUGAUGUAUAUAUUUAUCUCAAGUGUAACAUCCCACAUUGAUCAACGGAGAGGGGGUGAUGUGCCUUAUAUGUACAUGCCAGCCUUCAUCUAGCACGAGGCUUUUUGGGAGCUUAUUGGCUUUGGAGUCAUAGGAACUCUGAAGUUAAGCGAGUUGGAGCUAGAGCAAUCCCAGGAUGGGUGACUCACUGGGAAGUUGCUUGUGAGUUCCCAGAAACAAAACCGUGAGGGCAGAGAGGAGGGCCCAAAGCGACCAAUAUCAUGCUACGGCGGAGCCGAUUCUGGGAUGUGAUAAUUUGGCAUCAGAGCUACUCUGCCGUGUGGUGUGAGUGUGCCGACGAGGACGCCGAACCCUUGAGGGGGGUGGAUUGUAACAUCCCACAUUGACCAACGAAGAAUGGGUGAUGUGCUUUAUAUGUAUAUGCUUGCCUAUAUCUAGCACGAGGCCUUUUGGCAGCUUACUGGCUUCCGAGUCAUAGGAACUCCGAAGUUAAGUGAGUUGGUGCUAGAGCAAUCCUAGAAUGGAUGACCUACUGGGAAGUUGCUCAUGAAUUCCCAGAAAAAAAAAGCUGUGAGGGCAGAUAGGGGGGCCCAAAACGGGCAAUAUCGUGCUACGGCAGAGCCGAUCUUGGGAUGUGACAUCAAGAAUUUAUAUCCUCCCUUUUCAGAUCUCAUGUUCCAGUCAAUACAUAACGAAACAUAAGAAACUAAAGUCUUGUUUAUACCCAUCCUCCCACCCACCCACGGCCAUCCACCCCUACCCCCUAUCUCCAUUAAAUCUACAAGUAGCUCAUCAAUUUCUCCACCAUCCCAAGUUCAAUAUACCACCCAACAACCAUCUUACCCAUCUUCUCAUUGAUCUUCCACCCAACAUCCAACACUAUCUUCAUAAACUCUUUAGCUUAAUCUCUCUGUUGCUUUUGUUUUUUGUUUUUUAGAAAUUAAAUUUUUUAGUUUAUUUUUUUGUUGGUACAAAUUCAAUGAUAAAGAACAUCGAACUCGUCGCAACAUCCUGUUCUAGAUCCAAGCUCUACCACCAUCACAACCCUCUCUUGACCUCCGACCAACCUUAACACCCAACUUCAAAUCUAGGUUGUUUGAAACCCAGCCCCCAACAACCCCCCCAAGUCAUCCCAUUGCAACUGACUUGUAGAUGAAGUAGUAAAGAACAAAAAGUCAUAUUCUUCCAAUCAAAACGUAUCAAGUCAAACAAAAUUUCUAGUUAGUUUGCUUUAUGAUAGUUGUUUUUUGAAGGGGUCCUUAGAUCCAAUCUCAAAAAGUUUGACUUUUAUUAUGUUUAACUCUAGUUUUUUGCAAUUUUUUUUUAUCUCUACCCACUAACUUUUAUCUCUCAUUUUUAUUACCCAUUUUACCCUUUAAAAUAAAUAUAGUAAUAAACUAAAAAUUCUGAUUUAAUGCAUGUUUUGCUCAUAAGAGAACUAAAACCUAAAAAUUCUAUACUCUUACACAAAAAAUAAAAAAUAAAAACUAAAAUUAAAAUGGUUAUCAAACAGACCCUUAUAUUACAAAAAACCUUAACUGACCACCUUAUAUGGCAACUGAUNNNNNNNNNNNNNNNNNNNNNNNNNNNNNNNNNNNNNNNNNNNNNNNNNNNNNNNNNNNNNNNNNNNNNNNNNNNNNNNNNNNNNNNNNNNNNNNNNNNNUAGCAUUCUAAAAAAAGUGGCCUCAUGGCAGCAUUCAUUAAUUGACAUGGCAUGACACAUCAGUUGCCACAUAAGGUGGUCAGUUAAGGUGGUCAAUGUUGUGUGUCCAAAUAGCAUUACUAAAAAAAAAUCAAAUAUUGAACUCAUCAUAAGAGAACACAGAAAAACCUCACUGCUUGCAACUCUUACACCACCACUACACGAACAGAACAACUGCUAAUUAAAAUGAGUCACAUGUCACAUGUCACAUGUGGUACUUAACUCUAAAAACUUAUUUAGAUUAUAUAUCCAUAUUUAUAUAUCCUACUCCUCGAUCAAAACAACCAUGAAACAUAAGUGACUUAAACCUCUAGGCAAAUGGACGGUAUAUAGCAAUUUAUAGAACAAUACAGUAAUCCAGAAGAAAUAUUAUGAAAUAAAAAAAAUAAAAAGUAAAAAAAGAGAAGGAAAGGAAUUCCCACCUGAUAUGUAUAUCUAUGAAAGGAAGGACCAAGUUUGUUUUGCCUUUGGUUAAUGACUAGAAAAGCUCACUUGUAUAUUGCUUUCUCCGGCCGUAGAUGCAAGAGAAAUUUUCUCUUAAUAAUAGCACAAUGAUCGGGUAAUCGUAAGAACAAGUUGAUUUAAAAUUCAGGUCAACUCAUAGAUUUCUUGCCUUUUCUAUUCUCCUUCCUUGGACACGAGCUGUUUAAUCUUGGAAUCUUCCCCCAUCAUGUUGGGCCAGUCUUCUUCUUGAGGAUUGUAUAGGCCCAGGAAAUGCUUGGAGGUAGUUUUUGUGUAUUGGGCCUUGAGACCCAACUUCACAAAAAGAAAACAGAUUUGACCAAAAAAACAAAUUUGAAGGACAUUGAAAUUGUACCUGUAUGAUAGGUUAAAACACUGUAAGGGAGGUAAAUAGUACGUUUACAGAGUUUAAGUGUAAUAAAGGAAUAAAAACAUGCCCAGAGCACUACUACAAUUUUUCCCUGUCCUGGCAACCCUUUGUGAUCGGUAAAAACACCAUUAUUGACGGAACUUCGUCAGUAAUUGCUUCUUGACGACUGCAGCGACGAAAAUGAGUAUAGUCAGUAAAAGUCCCGUCAGUGUUACUAUUACUGACCAACUUUUGCAACUUAUUCGUCAGUAGAGGUGUGUCUCUGACACAAGUCAUGAAGUGACUCUAAAUUAUUACUGACAAAACAAAUAGCCACUAUUAAACAAGCUUUUGUCAGGAUUAUUAUUUUAGGAUGGAGUACUAGUGGCAAAGAUUUGUCAAUAUUGUUUUCAACAAAAAAAAAAAUUCAGUCAAUUUGCUUCUGAGCUGAUGCGCCUUUAGAUAUCCUUUUCUGAAAUGUCUUUUGUUUUCUAAUAUAAUGGAUGUUUUUCUUUAAUAAAAAUUUAAUGGAUUCUGAAAAUGUAAUAACAAUUAUAAAUACUCAUAGAUUGAACCAUUCAACCCCCAUCCUUAUAAAUAUAAACUACCAAUGUCGAUUACAAUAGCCAAAUAUUACAAAGUCUGCCUACAUCAGUAGAGUUCAAAAACUUUAGGUGCCCUUACUAUACAAAAGUAUGCAAUUCCAAAUAUUCAACAAAUACACUACAAAAGCAUGCAUACCCCAAUAGGGUCCAAAAUACAACGUCAGCAACUAUAUAUACCAAAAAUGCAUAACACUAAGUAACUGCAUCUAUUCAAGUCCAUGAGUACCUUGAUCUGAUUCUAAAAAGUCUGUCUCACUUGGGUAUGCAUCCCCCCUCAGCAAUCCAGUUAACCCACCAAUAGGAGUAACUGACCUGGCUUGAUAAGGCAUUUGAUGGAACAUCUGCGGCGAGUAAUAUGACAUAUGGAAUGGGUUUGGCAGCUGCUGGUACAAUGGGUGAUGCGAAGCUGACGAGCACGAUAACAUCUGCCUCAUUUCCUCAAUCUCUUGCUGGUUAUGCUUCAGCAACUCUUGCGUCGCCUUCAAUUCAGAACGCCAAUGAUCCUGGUCAUGUUUGUACCUUUCUUGUAACUCUACAUACUGUGACUCAAGGUGAACAUAGUCGUGCCCUCGCAAUCUCUUGGAUGACCCUGCUUUCGUUUGAAUCCAAGGCACCUGAUGGGGUUUCACCCCAAGUCCUUCACCACGAACACUAUUAUUUGUCUCAGGACCCAUUGCCUCAACAUAAGCCCUUCUUCGUGUCUCUAAAUUAUCAGGACAUUCAUCUUCAACCAAUUCCUUCAACUUUUCCUGCAUUUCAGCCUAACAAAAACAAAAUAUAUAUCCUUCUCCAUCAAAUUGUGGUCAUCAUAGAACUAGCCCAAUAAACUCUACAAUGAUGAAUUGCAUUAUGUAAUAAAAAUUUAGGCCAAUUAGUCUUCUGGACCUCUACUGUUUUGUUUUUCAUAUGCUUAAACAAAUAAAAGAACAUAAAGAAUAGUGAACAAGAAAAAAAAACUACCUCCAAACAACUUUCCAUAUGCUUAAAAAAAAAAAAAAAAAAAAGUCAACCAAAACAAAAUAAGAGAAACAUCCUGGACUAUGGCUAACAAUUCCUCAUGAAAAUGAACUUAUAUAUAAUUAUUCCAAUAUAUAGUCCAUAUGCUUACAUAUUUCUGCUCAGCCACCAAGUUAACCCAUGAUCGAUCUUCGUCACGCCGUGUAUGCUUAUCUUGGAAAAACCAAAUAGGAUCGGGGUCUUCACCAUGUUUCUUAUUCUUAGCAUGCAAUCAAUAAAAUAAAAUAAGAUAAUCAAUUAGCUAACACGACCUCAUAUGCUCAAUAUUUGAAUAUAGUAAAGAGUAAACAUUCAAGUGCAUCAUCAAAACUGACAUAUUGUGCUUUGCUGCGAGCAUAAGACUUUGUUCUAGAUGUGUGAUUCAAUGUUUGUUUACUCCGAUUUUCAACAUUUCUUUUAGCUUGCUCCUUUUAUUAGCAAAAACAAAACAUACUUAAUCAUUGCACAGAUUAUAUAUACUGAGUGUUGUGUAAUAAUACGUACUGCAAUCUCAUCUUUUUCCCAAUGUUCAACCAACACCCUCCAUUGAUCUGGGUCUACACGAGAAUCCCCACAUUGCCACCGUCUUUUACUUCCUGUGAAAGGCUUAUAAUAAGCUUUCUUCAAAUCACUCUUGAAACUUCUCCACAAUUUUUCAAUAUUCUUCAUUGUUACAUCCUUGAAGACAUGAAUCAUAGGUUGUUGUUCAGGACGAAAUUCAAUGGUGCCCUGCAUCCACAAUAAGGUAGUCUUACAUCAAGUUGAAAUAUACCUAUUAAACUCAAUUUCAUGCAAUAAGUAUUCAAUAAUUUUAGGAAAACCAAACCCGUAGAGUGUCCCAGACAUCAAGUUUGCAAGAGUCUGGUACUUUUUCCCAUUUUAAAUACUUGAUCGGAAUUAGAUUGGCAUCCCGCGCCAAAAUACCCAUGUAUCUAGAAAAAUGGGGACUAUUGUCACUAAUAACUCUGCCAAAUGGAGAUAAAUCAACUGACUCUUUUUUGUUAUUUAGAAACCAGUUGCAUUUCCCUUGACCUCGACCUUGCUUCGCCUCCUUGCCUACAUGAAAAGUUAAUUUUAACUGAUCAAUACAACAAGAAAAUAAUAAGAAACUGUAAGGUAAUAAGUUUCUCACACAUUAUUCAAAUGAAAAAUUAGCAUAGCUAUUUGGAGAUGAUGUGAUCGUGAAACAUCCCAUAUUCAAUACAUUUGUAUAUGAUUAAAACAUACCAAUUUAUUAAAAGAAAAAGGAAAAGAAAACCAACAUACCAGUAGCACUUAUAGAACCAUCUCCCUCUAGACUAUCCCUAAAGUCAGCGUUGGGCCCUUCUUGUGAACUAUCUUGAGAACUGCUCAUCUAAAAAAUUUGAUAUGCAUAACAGUGAAGGGGUAACAAAUUAAUCAGACAUCAUUGGUAAAAGAAACUAUUACUUCAACAUUCUAAUACAAAACAAUCUACUAAAGAAAUUCUUGUACAAUAUUCUUAAAAUUACGUAGUCCAUUUAAGCUGACAGCUCAUCAAAAUACAUGAAAAAUUCAAUACUCCAUGUCAUCAUAAAGCUCAUCCUCGUUUUCAGUAGAGAGAUCGUCUGAAGACUGUUCAUCUUCUUCAUCCUCAUUUCCGGGCUCAUGCUCAUCUACCAUCUCAUCCAUAUCAACCCUAAUAUGAAAUUCCUCAUUGUCUAGCAGCUGAUCAUCAAGAUUCGGAAUGGCAUAAUUAUCAGUAGCACUUAAAAGGGUUAUCUAUAGUUGGAGCUAGAUCACUAUCUUCUAGCACAUCAAAAAAAUCUCUUGGUUGAGUUUGGGUUGGCACAUGCCAAUGACUGUCUUCUGGAUCUACAACAUAAAACACUUGUGUAGCUUGAGAAGCCAAUAUGAAAGUGUGUCUUUCGUUUGUCGCAACCGAUUGAAACUAACCAAAGGGAAACCAUACCCAUCAAACCUCAUCCCCCUAUCACUAGCAGUAUCAACCCAAUCACAGUUAAAUAAUGUAAUUUUCCGACCAUUAUCAUUCUGUUCUAUUUGACCCCCGUAAUUAAGUUCAUAAAUCUCUUUAAGAACACCAUAAUAAUCAACAUUGCCAAUUACUGGAUUGCGAUCUCUUGCGCUUGAGUAACUAGAUGUCUCUGCACAUUGAAAUACACCACUAUUCUGAUUCUUCUUUUUAUCGUCUACUGAUUUAAUCCGGAACCUACACCCAUGAAUUAUGUGAUUCUUAUACUUGUUCACAAAUCUACUAGGACCAAUUGAUAGCCAACGCAAGUCCUCAGAUAUUGACAGAUCAUGGGCUGUGUACAAUUUAGUAACCUAUAAUUUAAAACAACAACUAAAGUAAAUAACUUUAAUUAAAAAUAUGGUGCAGCAACAUAAAAUGAAUCAUAUUACAACUAAACAUACUUACAUGAUCCUUGAACCAAGUUGGAAAUAUCUUAUUUCUCAUCCCCUCAAUUUCCUGUAUGGUCUUCCGUCGAUUACUUUGUCUCAAUUCUUGGAAGCAUUUUCUGUUUUACAAUAUAAUAUAAUGACUUGUUAGUUAUUAAUUCAUAAUUGAGGAUUGAAAAAAAAAAAUAUCAACAACUUGCUUGUUUUUAUUCAUAAAUAUCUUACUCUAAAAAAGGGGAAACUUCAUCGCAAUUGAACAAGACCACUCUGCGACAUUGGUCCCAAACAUCUUUGUCAAGAUAUAUUUGUUCAGCUGAACCCUUAGAAUGACAUGAAGAGUCAAAAACUUUUAGCUCCCCAAUGACACCACGACCAAUACCAUCAGCAUUUCGACCCUUUCGAUUCCUUCGAGUCUCAACGUUGCUAAGAUACAUGGUACACAUAGCUAAUCCCUCGUCGACAAGAUAUCCUUGUUCCAUACUUCCUUCAGGAUAACUCUUAUUCUGAACAUAUUUCUUUAAUGUUUGUAGGUAUCUAAAGAUAUGGCAAAAUUGAACAUGUUAAUUUACAAUUAAAAUGGAAAACUAGAAAUAAUAAAUAAGAUUUGAACUAAUUACCUUUCAAUGGGAUACAUCCACCGGUAUGGGGCAGGCCCUGCGAUUGCAGCCUCAUCUGCCAAAUGCAUGAUUAAGUGUACCAUCACAACAAAGAAGGAAGGAGGGAAUAUCUUUUCCAUCUGGCAUAAUGUCACUGCAAUCCGAGGUUUUAAAGCCAUGUAUGACGCUUCAUAUUCCUUCUUACUACAUAACCGUCUAAAAAUUGCACUUAGCUCAAGCAAAACAAUGGUAACAGCUUUUGGUAAUACUCGUCGUAUUGCAAGGGGCAGCAGCUGUUGCAUUAUAAUAUGAUAGUCAUGACUUUUCAAUCCGUGUAUUUUUCUCUCAUUCACAUUAACACAUCUAGACAGAUUUGCAGAAUACCCAUCAGGAACUCUCACAUUUGCCAAGACUUCGCAAAACAUUGUUUUUUCCCUUUUCCUCAUGUCAAAAAGUGCUGGAUCAAAAACUUCCUUACCUUUCCCAUUUAUAUAAGGGUGCUGUUUUCUCCUUAUAUUCAAAAUUUGAAGGUCCUUACGAGCUUUUAUUCCAUCCUUUGUCUUCCCAGGAAUAUUUAACAGUGUACCUAAAAUGUUUUCACAAACAUUCUUUUCAAUAUGCAUUAGAUCAAGGUUAUGCCGUAUCAAAAGAUAUUGCCAAUAUGGUAACUCAAAGAAUAUGCUUUUCUUCUUCCACUGAACUUUGUUACUAUUUAUAUUCGUUGUGGGAUAGGUAUUUGUAUUCCUAAUGGGACAAGAACAUUUUUUGGGUUUUCCUUGCCCAACAAAAACAGCUGACUUCUUUUUGGGUUUUCGAAAUGUGAAUGUCAAACUUGACAAUUUUUCUAAACACUGUGAACCUGUCAAGGGAAUAGGUGGAAGAGCAUGUUCUUCCUUACCGUUAAAGGCUGCUUUAUCUCUUCGAAACCUAUGUUGUAUAGGUAGAAAUCUCCGAUGACCCAUAUAACACAUCUUACUACUAUUUGCCAAAUGCAUUGAGACUGUAUCAUCCAUGCAAUGCGGACACGCUUUCUUCCCCUUCGUGCUCCAUCCUGAAAGAAUUGCAUAUGCGGGAAAGUCAUUAAUCGUCCAUAACAAUGCAGCCUUCAUUGUAAAAGUUUGGUUGGCAAACACAUCAAACGUCUUAAUACCAACCUCCCACAACUCUUUCAACUCAUCGAUUAAAGGCUUCAAAUACACGUCAAUAUUAUUGCCAGGCCCAUCAGGACCAGGAAUUAUUAACGAUAACAAUAAAUUUGGUUGCUUCAUACACAUCCAUGGAGGCAAAUUAUAAACUGACAGUACAACAGGCCAUGUACUAUGGGGUUUGUUCAUAUUUGAAAAGGGAUUAAACCCAUCACUUGCAAGCCCCAAUCGCACGUUGCGUAUCUCCGAAGAAAAUUCAGGGUAUAAGGAAUCUAAAUGCUUCCAUGCACGAGAAUCUGAUGGGUGCCUCAUGAAUCCAUCUUUAGGACAUUCGGUUGCAUGCCAUCUCAUAUCUUCAGCGGUAUGCUUCGACAUAAACAAUCUUUGCAACCUUGGUUUUAAUGGAAAAUACCGAAGAACCUUGGUUGGAACCUUAGCUGAUGUGUUCUUACUCAAAGAACCUCCCACAAUAUUGACUUUGUACCUUGAGGCACCACAAAGUGCACACUCAGUCAAGUCUGAUGUAUCUUUCCAAAACAGCAUACAAUCAUUGGGGCAAACAUCAAUCCUCUUGACUGUAAGUCCCAACUCCCUAAUGAUUUUUUUAGCAUCAUAAUUAUUUUUUGGUAAACAAUUCCCCUCUGGCAACAAUUGUUUAACCAAUUGUAACAGCAUUGUAAAGACAUUAUCGCUUCCCUAAACAUUUAAUCUGGAACAGUCUUACAACAGAAUACAAUUUCUUAUAUUUACACCUAGGGUACAACUCCAUAUCUGCUUCUUCAAGUAACUUAUAAAAUAUUUCAGCCUCAGGUGUUUGGCCAUCAAAGAUAGGUGGCUCUGUCGAAGUCCCAACAGUUUCUCCAAUUAUUGGUUGCACAAAGGCUUCAUUGAGAAAAUCAUGAAUGUCAUCUAUACAAACUUCUUCAUUAUGAACUGAUUCUAUAUCCUCUUGGAAUGGUAAAUUUGUCAUGGGCUCCCCAUGAUGCCUCCAAGGGCCAUUCAUAUAUGUGGGAUCCAUUCCUUUUUCUAUAAGAUGAAGCUGGAUGAUGUUUCUUUCAUAGUGAUAACGGUUACAACAUUUUUUGCAAGGACAUAUGACCCUCUCUCCAAAACCCACUUUGGCAAAGACGUCAUCUAAAAACAUUCUCAUUCCGUCUGCGUAUUCCUUACAAUUUCUCCUUAAAUGUACCCAACUUUUAUCCAUAGUUCACCUAUAUUGAGUGCAAGGCACCAAAUACAAUUAUUCAGCACAGAUCAUCCCUCAUACUUAUUGUCUAUAAAUUCCUAUCAGGUGGGUCAAUUUAUUAUCCAUUAGAUGACCCUCAUGACCAUCUACAUCAAUUCACAAGAAAAACCAAAUUAAAAUAACAAAAACCUGAGUCUAAAGAAUAUAUUAACUAAGAAAUUGCACAUUCAUUCAACUGAAGAAAAGAACUAUAACACCAAACAACUAGACCCACUUAAUAGCUAAAGAAACUCACGUCAUAACAACAAAGUAUACAUAUUAAACAACAUAUCAACUCAUAGAUAAAAGCCCGAUAAUCUCAAUACUAUGAACAAUCUUAUUCAAAAAUAAUAAGAUAACAGCAACAUAAUAGAAAAAAGUAAAGGGAAACACACCUGGAUUCUAAGUUUCCAACAACAAUUCAACACUCCUGCAGUAGAUUAAUACAUACAUACCCACAUAUCAAACUUCACCAACAAAUAAUAAAAAAUUAAAACAAGAGCUUUGAAAAAUCAAAGGAUUCGUGUCACAUCCCGGAAUCGGCUCCGCCGUAGCACGAUAUUGUCCGCUUUGGGCCCCCCUCUCUGCCCGCACGGUUUUGUUUCUAGGAGCUCACGAGCAACUUCCCAGUAGGUCACCCAUCCUGGGAUUGCUCUAGCCCCCAACUCGCUUAACUUCGGAGUUCCUACGACUCCGAAGCCAGUGAGCUCCCAAAAGGCCUCGUGCUAGAUGGAUGCGGGCAUGCACAUAUAAGGCACAUCACCCCCUCUCCGUUGGUUGAUGUGGAAUCUUACAAUCCACCCCCCUUAAGGACCCGACGUCCUCGUCGGCACACUCGCACCACACGGCAGAGUGGCUCUGAUACCAAAUUGUCACAUCCCGGAAUCGGCUCCGCCGUAGCACGAUAUUGUCCGUUUUGGGCCCCCCUCUCUGCCCGCACGGUUUUGUUUCUAGGAGCUCACGAGCAACUUCCCAGUAGGUCACCCAUCCUGGGAUUGCUCUAGCCCCCAACUCGCUUAACUUCGGAGUUCCUACGACUCCGAAGCCAGUGAGCUCACCCCCUCUCCAUUGGUUGAUGUGGGAUCUUACAAUUCGUUUAUAUCUUGGAAUAAAAUCAGUAUUCUAAUUUUUAUAUCUAAUUGGAAGGAUUCAUGGGUCAUUACCUACACUAAAAUACUUGAAAAAAUAAAAUAAACAAACAAAAUAAGAACAAAAAUUUCACCAGAACAGAGGCACAAAAAUCUCACCAAAACAGAGGGCCUCUUUAAUGAAGGACAACCAAGUCAGCCCCAAUUGAAAAGAGCAAAGAACCCCCAGAUUUAAUCUCUCUCUCAAUCUGAAUCAGCAACCCCAAUUGAGAAAAGCAAGGAAAACCCCCCAAAUUUAAUCUCUCUCUCUCAAUCUGAAUUAGCAACCCCAAUUGAGAAGAGCAAGGAAAACCCCCCAAAUUUAAUCUCUAUCUCUCUCAAUCUGAAUGAGCAGACACGAAAAUCACUACCACACAUGACUCCAACUCCAUUAGCUAUGAGGAAGAAUACAAUUCAUUCUUCAAUGAAAAGAAGAGGGAAGAGAUGGCCGGUUUGGAGGAAGUAGAAAAGCUCAAGUAAACAAUUGAAGUUUUUUAUAUAUCAAUAGGAAAAUUUUGAAGUUAAAAAUUAUAUUUAAGAAUAGUAUUGGCAAUCGAACUCGUCAGAAAAAAAGUUGGCUUCCUGGUGUCUGAAAAUUUAGGCGCUUAUGUUUUCACUUCCCGCGUUAAAAGAGACUGGCGCAGUGUCUCGUCAGUAAAGGUAGUAAUGACAAAAGACUUUGUCAGUAUUAUUUACUAGUGAAAAAUCACUUUAUUUUGCUAGUAUUUGGUCUCAGUACUGACUAAGCUGCUCUUUCAUCAGUAUUAGUCCGUCAGUAUAAGCUAAAAUUGUAGUAGUGAGAGGAUUGAUAAGUGAUAUUAAUUCUUGAAUAUACAGAAUGUAAAAUAAAGGAACACGUAAAAAAUUAUUUUAUGUGGUAAAACUCCAUCUCUGGGGAAAAUCCACGGGACUUCUUAGUCCAAAACAAAUCCAUUAUAGAAUGAUGAUUACAAGAAGUACUCACACACUUAUCCUAGACACAUUCUAGAUAAUGUUUACUGACCUCUUCGUAACUCAACUUCUGUCUCGAGAUGAUCUUUCAACACUCCUUAUGUUGAACGCAAUAUUGGUCACGAUUUCUUCAAGCUCGUCAGAGUUCUUCCAACUCUCCUAAUAUUGAAUCCGAUACUAGUCACGAUUGAUUCAAGCUCAUCGUAGAAAAACCGUCACAAUGGUCUUGGUGCCCUCAACCGUAUGAGUCAUUAAACAUGCAAAUGAAUACAUAUAUGAAUGAUAAAAGUGUUUGAUAAAUCACUGAGUUAUGGAACACUUGAUGAUUUAUCUCAAAUAAAAACUCAGCUUUAAUGCUUUCUAAACAAAGAAGACGAAGGUCUUACUUUAUAGACUUUUUCUUUACAAGAAAGAAAAUAAGUUGGAAACCAAAUCUCCAAUUUCCAAGGCAAAAUCACAAAAGUAUCUUUCCUAUUCUAGAGAUUGGUCACAUGUAGUCCAACCAAUAGGAAAUGAGAUAUUUAAGAAAGGAAGAUUUUGAUCAAUAUCAAUAUCAAAUGAAUUCUUAUACGCCUAGUCAACUAUUAAGGGUAUCUUGACUCCUUGAUAUUUUGAUAUGAUUGAAACAUGAUUUCCAAGUUAGAAAAUUAAGGGGUUGUUAAAACAUGAAAGUAAUAGGAGAAACAAAUUUAUUUGAACCAAAAUUGCCCAAAAAGAAAACACUCCUAAAUAAACUUCAAUUCACUUUAGUAAAACAUGAUUGAAUCGUUCGUUAAAACAAUUCCCUAAUAUACAUGCAUGAUAAUGACAUCACUUACCCCUGAAUCAAAUUUGUUAAUGUAUGCAUUUUGAGUUUUUUUUUCUUUUGGCUUCCCUUGACAAUUUUGUAAUAGGAAAAUCAUUGUAGUUUCUCAAGCUCUAAGUUUAGAUUAAGAAUUACUUCUCUAGGUGUUCUUAUCUGCCUACAUUCUGAUGGAAAACAAUGCGUUUGACAAAGGUAAAUUCUGCAUUACACUACAUUGCAUUCACUAAAUUUCUUAAGAUUAUGACUAGUCAUCUUUCUUUCGUAUGACUAGUCAUCUUGCAUUCGUAUGACUAGUCAUCUUUCCUUCGUAUGACUAGUCAUCCUUUGUUUCAAUUAGGAUUUCCAGCUCACUGUUUCCAGCUGGGGCUUAAGCAUUUUUUUGUCCUUUUCUACGAAUUUCUCAGCUUCCAUGUGUCUAUUCUGACCUAGGAAUUUUUGGUAAAAGCCAUAGAAUUCCUCAUUUGGCAGCCGUCACUUUUGGGGACAAGUUGUGGAAAGUUUCAUAGCAAACUUUCGCUUCUUCUUCCUCAAGAGUAACCUUCAUAUUUUUCAUCUUUGAGUUCUCUAAAUUGUUUCUUUUUGAAAACUGCAUUUGAAAUAUGAAAACUUCAUCUUGCUAGAUCAAACACUCUAUCAUAUACAUCUAGGUCAGAUUCAAGAUUGAUUUCUUCAAGAGUAUGGUUUCUUGAAGAAAUUGGUCAUUUUCUCCAUGAAUCCAAAUUUCAUUUCUGUCUGAGUUAGAGCUUGCAAGCUGGUGCCAUGGGAUGAAUGAGCUGAAGAAGGAGCUGCCAUUGCCAUGAAGAACUGAGCUUCAAGCUUUGCUAAGUUGGAGAAGAAGAUUGCACAAAGGAGAUAUAGCAUCUUCCUAAAUAGACCUAGGAAUUUCUUGAGCUUGCUAGUGUUCUUUGUAAGAAUCUUUUUGCUUAGUGGAUUGCCUGGUCGGUUGAUGACCCCCAGUUUUUCCCAAUGGUGGGUUUCUGGGUGAACAAUAUCUGGUUUCCAUCUCUGUAGAUUUUUUGGGUUUGUGUUCUUGAUAGUUGACUAGUCAUCUGAAUUUGUGUGGUUGACUAGUCAUCUUUUUCUGCUGUUUGGUGUUUUCUUGAUUAUGUUGUCUUCACACACUUUUACCAUAGUUGUUGCUAGCACAAGGGAUGCCUAGAUUGAUGGGUCCUUCUGAGUGCCUAGGUUGUCACUAGUAAUUCUCUAGGCCUGCAGGUACAUCUUGGUAUGCUUUGUGUAUGUUAUUGUUUGGUUUAAUUCAUAUCUAACAGUUGACUAGUCAUAAGAGUAUUUGGUCAAGGUCUAGAGUGUGUGAAGUUUGUUGCGUUCUUGAUUGAAUAUCUUUUAAAUUUACCCUUCGUCACCUAAUUACCAAUUUGCAGACUCCACAAAUGAAGAAAAGAGCACAAAUAUCGUGAAUGCUAUUGGGAAUGGAAAGGGCAAACCUGUUCAAAAAGGGUAUGGAGGGGGCGUUAGACUUUACGUUCAAAAAGGGUAUGGAAAACGUCCUCCUCCAUCUGACAGUCAACUACUCCAUUAUAAAGACAUAGCUAUUUUCUUCUUCGAGAAAGACAUGCGCCCUGGCUCAACAAUGAAGUUCCAAUUCCCUAGAAAUUCAAACACGGCUACUUUCCUGCCACGCGAAAGUGCUCAAUCGAUCCCCUUCUCCUUUAACAAACUACCAGAAAUUUUCAACCAUUUUUCAGUGAAGCCAACAUCUGUGGAAGCCAAAACAAUUAAGCAAACAAUCGAAGAGUGUGAAGCUCCAGGCAUUAAGGGAGAUGAAAAAUAUUGCGCCACAUCUUUAGAAUCAAUGGUUGAUUUUAGCACUUCGAAGCUUGGAACAAGAAACGUUGAAGCAGUCUCGACGGAGGUAUUGGAAAAAGGAGCCACCAUGUCCAUGCACAACUAUACAACAAUGCCGGGACUGAAGAAGUUGGCAGGUGACAAAGUCGUUGUGUGUCAUAAGGAGAACUAUCCCUAUGCUAUGCUAUGUUUUUCUGCCAUGCAAUAAAACAAACAGCAGCUUAUGUUCUCUCCCUGAAAGCCGAUGAUGGGGAGAAGGUUAAAGCUGUAACCAUCUGCCAUCUAGACACAUCAGAAUGGAACCCAGAGCAUUUGUCCUUCCAAAUCCUCAACGUUAAGCCCGGAACCGUUCCUAUCUGCCAUUUCAUUUCCACUGAUGCUAUUGCCUGGGUUCCAAAACACAAAUCUGCAUGAUCAUCACUUAGCACUGUACGUAUAAUAAGCUUGGUUGGGUUGCACCCCUGUAUAAUUAUCUCCCUACUUAUUUCUGCCUCUUCAUCAUGUGGUGUAAGAUAUAUGAUGAAAUGAAGUUUUUGGGAUUAGUGGUCGGGUUGCCUGAAAAACACAGAUUAUAGAAACUGCUUGAAAUUAACCCGAUCAUGUUUUCUCUUGUAACGAUAUAGACUUCAACUUGUACUCAUAAUAAAGCAUGCUAUAUUUAUGAAGAGAUAUUAAUCUAUAUAUGCUUUGGCUUUGUGGUUUUACCCAGUGUUUGAAUGUUGAAUUGUUACGUUGGAAUAGGCUGCUAAUGCAUGUAGUUAGAGAAGCCUUCAUUUAUAUCAAAGUCCUCAAACUAUCAAGAACUAAUGUAUCCAGAAACACAUACCAAGACGCAAAACAACAUAUUUUCCAUGCUGUCUGUAACACCAAAGCAAACUUCCUUUAUCACAUCAUUUAAAGGAUCAAAUUCCAGUACUAAUCUAAUCCAUUAUGUAAAGCAUCAGGGACAGACUCAAGAUUUCAAAAUGGAGUGGGCUAGAUUUUAGGUCCGGCUAAACUUUAUAGGGAGACUUAUGAAAUUAAUCAUAAUAUUAUAUAAAUUUAAUUUAAAAACAUAUCAUUUUUAUUUUAUUUAUUUAAAGAGUCCAAUUUUACACCAACAAUGUCAUCAACAAUUGAUUAUAUAUGCUUAAAAUUAACAUUAGUUGACAACUCACAACUCAUAUUGCAACUUAUUUAGUAUAUGUGUUUUAUACUAACAAUAACAAAAGAAAAACACUUGACUGGGCUAUAGCCCAGUUUGUACACAUUGCAGGCCCGUCCUUAUAAAGCAUACAAGUGCCUCCCUAAAUUUGUCCGUUGGAUAUAUAUAUGUCACUUUUUAUUUUUUGAUAGAGAUAUAAAUGUUGAGAAAAUUAGAGUACACAACUCUAAUAUCAUAAAGCAAACAAAAUUUCUAAGUUAGUUUGCUUUAUGAUAGUUGUUUUUUGAAGGGGUCCUUAGAUCUAAUCUCAAAAAGUUUGGCUUUUAUUAGGUUUAACUCUGGUUUUUGCAAUUCUUUAUCUCGUAGUGGCAAUGUUCAAAUGCGAUGAGAUUUCUAAUUAAUACCUCUGUAUGAUCGCUUAUUUUCAAUCUUGGAAUUUCAAGAGUCCGGUCAGCAAAUCUAAUAAGGUAUUCGUUGAUCCCUCAUUCAACUUGAUCCCUGCCCUGUGUAGCUCUGUGAUGCUGGGUGUGUUUAUAGUUAUGAGUUUCCUGUCAUCAAUUUUUAGGGCUAUUCGUUAUAUGAGUCCCUGAACUUAGACUCGAUUUGCAUUUUAGUCCCUCAAUUUCCAAAAUCGUUUCAGUGGUCCUUCAACUUCAGUUUCGUUAGGACAAAUGGUCCUGCCAUCAAACGAUUAUAAAGUGGAAAAAACAAGAACAAAAAGGGAAGUGAGUUAAAUUUGCACCUACUAUGUUCAAACGACAAAGUUGGUUUCCCUUUGGUUGAUUACAAGAGAAGUGAAAGGACCCGCCCGAAUUUUCUCAAAAUCCGAGACAAACCCUUUGGAAUUCCUGACAUCACCCUGAUGCCAGGCCCACUUACUAAAAACCGAGACCUCCUGCCGAAAUUUCGGCAGAGUCUCCCCUAUAAAUUGGACGUUUCCCAAAAUUUAUACCUGCAUAAAAACGCAUUUAAUAUUCCCAACUGGCAGCAUGCACAAUAUAAUUUCAUGCAAUUCACACAAAUGGCCUUCGGCCUUUCAAUAAUUCAUAUCCAACUACCAAACCAUUCAAAUACCAAAUAUGACUAACAUUUAGUCUGCGGCUGCACCUAAUAACCCUAGGCUGCCUACGUACCCUCCUUGAGGGAUCAAGCCACACGUAGUUCUUCCCUAAAACCCAAUUCCACACUUGGGCGAUACCUUAUUUCAUUUCUCUGGAUUUCAUAUAAUCUCCCCAUACGCCGGUACAACCAACGCCACGUAUGGGGCCUGUCAACACGCCGGAUAACCUACGCCACGUGCGACCAUGCCAUACUAUCAUAAUAUCUCCCCAUACGCCGGUACAACCAACGCCACGUAUGGGGCUUGUCCCAACGCCGGAUAACCUACGCCACGCGGGACCUCAAUAUUCAUAUCACAAAUCUCCCCAUACACCGGUACAACCAACGCCACGUAUGGGGUCUGUCGACACGCCGGAUAACCUACGCCACGUGCGACCUCACACAAUAUCACAAUAUCUCCCCAUACGCCGUACAACCAACGCCACGUAUGGGGUUUGUCUCAACGCCGGAUAACUACGCCACGUGAGACCUGAAACAUCAUAUUACAAAUCUCCCCAUACGCCGGUACCACCAACGCCACGUAUGGGGCCUGUCCCAACGCCGGAUAACCUACGCCACGUGGGACCUAACUUUCACUUGGUGGUGCUUGUAGUGAAUCCAAAAUCCGGGGAGGUAUCUAAAGUAGUGCGUUUAGCACUCCAAACUGACACUCUAGACUCUGUUGUACCCUUGUACAACCAUAUAUAAUUAUAGUUAUAUAAAUUAAUUCUAAUAUUGUGUAACCCUCCACAAUAGUCUAGCUCCCGAUAAUCCCCCCCUUAGAAAGGUGAGAUUACUCCGGGAGACUCACGGUCAACCAAGGGUCAAACUACUCUAACCCUGGUCAACCGGACCUGCAGAACCCACUACCUCCAAUUUCCGAUCCGAAAGUCUCUAUGGGUUCUACCAGGUAUAGGACACUUGUCCUGCAAGUUUGGUUCAAAUCGGACGGUCGGAUUUCUCACGAUCGCACGAUCUGACGGUUAAUAUAAGAUAUAAAAUUAAAAUUAUUAUUCGGAACAUCCGGGGUUCCGAUUCAUGAUCCGUAAAUUCCUACACGAUCCUAGAAAUACCUAGAUUAACAUAUAUUAAAUUUGGGACCAUCCAACGGUCCCAACCUAUCGAACUCGGAUAACGCACACUAUGCGAUUAUCCGUUCGAUAGUCAAACGACGUCCGAAUUGAGAUCCGCGAAAUCCUACGCACUCGUGACAACCUAAGGAUCUCAUCGGAACACAUCGCUACAUUUUCUACAGUGCCCACGCACCGGCAGUGCGUGGGUGCCCAAAGCGAUAACGCUUCGCCGGAAAAUCUCAAAACCACGGCUCCAAACUCCUACCCUAGGUAUAACACCCUAUUUGGAGCCACUUUUGUUUUGGACCUACCCCAAAAAGUGGCCGGAAAUGGCCAAUCACGGCGGCCGAAGUUUCGGCCGAUUUUCAAUUCGAAAAUUGAGUUGCCUACGCUAAGAAUCGAUCUAAUCCUACCCAACCAUCAGCUAGAGCAGCUCGAGAGGUUCAAAAUCCAUACCUGGGUCGACGGAUUUGGUGGCCGGAGGAGGAGGAUCGACGGCGUUGAAGUUCCGGCGACAUCUGGGCGAAAAUCGCCAUUUUCCGGCGGCUGGAGCGGCGGCCGAUGGCGGGGAUGGGCUGGGUCGUGACGCCGAGGUCGAGCCGGUUCUUUUGACACCGGCCCCGUCCGCAGCCGCGGCCGGUGGCCGGAGUUACGAAGAGAGAGAGAGGAGAGAGAGAGAGGAGAGGCCGACGGGAGAGAGAGAGAGAGGAGUCUCGCAGGAGAGAGAGAGAGAGAGAGAGAGAGAGAGAGAGAGAGAGAGAGAGAGAGAGAGAGAGAGAGAGAGAGAGAGAAACCAGAUUUUAUAAAAAAAAUCCCAUUUCGAAAUAUUUACGAUUAUGCCACUGGACUUCUUUUGACCAUAUCUCUCUCGUUACAACUCCGAUUCGAGCCCACUACGUGUCUGUGAACUCGUCUCAGUACGACCUAUCCAAAAAUAUAAGUCACGGUCCCAAACUCUCUCCGGUUAAAAAUAUGACUAAAAUACCCUCAAAGCAGCUUACUUGGUUCCUCUAGUAGAUGGAAAUAUAAUUUUUCUAGCUAAAUUUCUCAAAUGGUCCUCAAACUUGUACGCGAUUUACAUUUUGGUCCAUCAAUUAAAUUAUUAGUCCAAAUGGUACAUAAACUCUAUUUUAAUCGCCCAUUUGAUCGAACCGUCUAAUUUUCUGUUAGAUUUAACCAAAUUUUAGGGUAAAUAUGACUUUUCAUAAUUAACAAAUAAAAUAGGAUUAAAAUAAUUAAAUACAAAAUUAGAAAAAAAAAAUGAAGAAAAGGAGGAAGAACAGAAGAGGAAGAAACCCAGAAGAAGAGGAAGCGGACAAGGUUAUUGCAAUGGCUUUCUUAAGUAAAAUUGGGAAUAUACUCAGAUGGACUGCAAAGAAGCAUAUCUGAUCUGAAUUAUCUCCUUUCAAACUAUCUAUCCAUCAAGCAGUAAGAUGCAUGUCAAACAUGGUGAGUUCAAAACUCUUAUUGGAGGUAUUUCGUACCAAACAGAUGAGCAGAGUCUGAAGGAAGCUUUUGCAAAAUAUGGUGAAGUUAUUAAUGCAAGAAUCAUCAGUGACCGUGAAACUGGUAGAUCUAGAGGAUUUGGGUUCAUCACUAGCGAGGAGGCAUCCAGUGCAAUCCAGGCCUUGGAUGGGCAUGAACUUCAUGGCCGUCGAGUAAGGGUGAAUUAUGCUACUGAUAGACCUCGCCCUAACUUCGGUGAUGGAGGUGGUUUUGAAACUGCUAGCACUGGAGGUGGUUUUGGCAAUAACAUCAAUUUGGGUGUUGCUGUUGCUGUUGGUGGUGCUCAUAACUUUGUUGGCGGUGCUGACAACAGCUUUGGCAGUGGUGGAGCUCAAUUGGGAGAGAACAAAGGUGGUUUCAGCUUGCAUGAUCCCUUGAAAGGAAAUGAUAAGGAUGAUGAUGAUGAUGCCGGCAACUUUCUCAAGAGGGCUUGAUAAUAUUUAGAUAAGAGGAGCGAUUUAGUUUGCUUCUAUGCAGAGCUACUAGUAGAUUGUCUUUUUGUUACAGCUGCAUGUCCCCCCUCCCCGUCUUUCUAAACUAUUAAUUUCAUUUGGCGGAAUUUUCUGUGAAUUUCAUGCACCUUUUAGUGUGCUUUGUCAACUAAGGACCUGGAUUGUGGGAAAAAAAGAAGCAAAAAAAGAAGAAACCAGGAAGAAGAAGAAGAAACCCAGAAGCAAAAGAAGAAGAAACCCAGAAGAAGAAGAGAGAGAGAGUUGGUGGAUGCAAUGACCAAGUUGCCCUCAUAUUUAACGGAAAUAUUGAUAGAAUGUAACGGUAGGAUCAAUGAAGCGAAUAAUAUAGAGUUGAUGUACCAUUUGGACUAAUAAUUUAAUUGAGGAACCAAAAUGUAAAUCGAGUAUAAGUUUGAGGACCAUUUGAGUAAUUUACCCUAAUUUUUCUCCUAAUAAUAAGGGUUUAGUGCAAUCAAUGAUGGGCUGUAUAGAACAACUUUUUUGUUUUAUAUGUUUAUGUGAGACAAGUUUUGCCAGAUUGAAUUAAUGUCUUCUAGCUAUGUACCUUAUCUUUUUGCCGGGCCAUGAGUUGAAUGUAGAGGCAGAGCAUGGACUUGGGGUCAAGUUUGACUUGUAAAAAAUUAGGAAUUGAAUGGCUAAUACGUUCAAUUAUUUAUUUAUUUAUUUAUUUUUGUCCGAGCCAUUCAAUUCCUAAUUAUUUAGAUUUUCAAUCCAGUGAGCAUCCACAAUCAUGCUCUCUAUUUUUAAGUUAAAUUUUAGCUAAAAACAUAUAAAAGUUAUUUUAGGAGCUCUCUAUAAAAUUUAAACUUCAAUCGUUUUCUCUAGUUUAGGGAGUCAUAAAUGCCAUAACUCUUUUUUGAUUGGUCUAUCUCUAUUAAAAAAUAAAAUAAAAAAUAAUUAGCAUUAAAUAAAGAUUUGAAAUACUCAUUAAAUAAAGCAACAUUAAAUUAUAGGGAGCCACUAGGAGUCCUUUCUCUCUCCUCAAGUUUAGGAGCUCCUAGAGGUCUCCCUAUUUUAAGAGGUGGAUAGGGAGUAUGGUUGGAAUUGUAUUUUUACAAUUCCUCCCUAAAAUUUGUCUAAGGAGGUGGUUUAGGGAACCCAUUGUGGAUGCUCUCAUCUCAAAGAAAGAAAACCUCAAGUUUGCAAGCAAGUUUUCUACGUAUGUAUAUAUGAAAAAAUGAUAUGAAAAUAAUAAAUCCAUAUUUUUAUGUAAGCCAACUUUCUAAAUCCAUGUACUAUAUUUAUUAGGGAAAUAUUGGAGAAACUGAUUAUUUUGAAAAAUUAAAUGUGAAAAACUGAACAAAAAUUUGACAGGUUACAUAUUUCAACUCAUUCAGCAGCUUAGGUUGUGAAGACCUAAGCAACAAAUCUGCUACUGGGGUGUUGGGGUUUUCUACGUCAUGUGGAGCUUCAUUGCUGCAUCCUUCCACUUCCAUUAUGUGUUGUUCUGAUUCUAAGUGAUGAGGGUAUUAUUGGCACCAUAAUAAACAAAUCAUUUCAAGAUGGUUCCUUCAAAAAUUUAGAAAACAUGCAUCACGAAAUUUUUUAGAAAACAUGCAUCAUGAAAAAAUUACGUGAACAAUAUACUUACACCAUGGGAUCACUCCCACAUAUUGUAACACCCCGACUCCAAAUUAAAUGAUUAUUUUAAUCGAUUUUUAUAAAAUUACGAAUUUACCCUUGGGAUAGGGGUAACUUGGUCACUUUCUUCUUCGGAAGGAUUUUUGGACCAUGAGUGGUAUUUCUGGGUAGUUGGUACCGAGACGAAUUCGUAGACAUGCGGUAGGCUUGAAUCGGGGUUGUAACGAAAAAGUUACGGGCAAAAUAGUGUCAGUGGCAAACUUGUAAAUAUUUCGAAAAGGGUUAGGGUAAAAAUCAGAUUUUUCCAGUUUUACCUCACUUUCUCUCUCUUCCUCCCGAUUCUCUCUCUCUCUCCCGCGUCUCUCUUCCUUCUCCGAUCUGCAGAUCGCAGAGCCGCCGCCACAGGCCACGGCUAGCCCCGAGACCGGACCCAAAACGAUCGGCCAAACCUCGCCGACGUCCCCCGACCCAUCUCCAGCCGCCAGCCGCCGCCUCGUCGCCGGAAACCACGGAUUUCAGGCCGAUUCUUGUCUGAGCUUCCAGUCGAUCGUUCUCUCUCCUCCGAGCACUAUUUCAGACGGGUGAGGUAUGGUUUCUCAUCCAAUUUUUGAGUUCUAGCUGAUGAUGGUAUAGGUUUUCAUUGAUUUUGAGUCUAGAAAACCGAUUAGGAAUCUAGGUUUUGGGCCGAAUUUCAAAAUGAAAUUCUGGCCAGUUGCCGGCCGAAUUGGAGCUUCUCGUAGUUGAAUGAAGUGAUCCUGACCUCGAGUAGAAGCUAGAGUAGGAAGGGUGAGCUCGGGUGUGGAGUUUUUCCGUCACCGGAAUUACUCUGCACACCCACGCGCUGCCGGCGCGUGUGGCGGUGCGUGGGCGAGUCUGGUGAGGAUGUAAAUUGACCCGAUGAGAUCCUUAGGUUGUCACGAGCGCAUAGGAAUUCGCGGAUCUCGAUUCGGAUGUCGUUUGGCUAUUGAAACGGAUUUUCGCAUAUUGUGCGUUAUCCGGGUUCGAUAGGUUCCGACCGUUAGAUCUUUCCCAAAUUAAAAUAUGUUGUUCUAGGUAUUCCUAGGACCGUAUGGGACUUCACGAAUUCUGAAUCGGAGCCCCGGAUGUUCCGAUUCAAAAAUGCAAAGUUUGCGGGUUAGCGAUAACCGUAAAAUCGUGAACGCUUCCUAAACCUGUAAUCGGACCUUAGGGUACCAUCUUCGACGUGCACGUAUGGGAAUUUGGGGAGUUAAGCAUUUAAUUUGUAAUUUCCGCUUAGACGUGGUUUUUAUAUUAAUUAACGGUUCGUAUUUCGAAAUAGGUAUUUCGACUGCACGCACGCAGCAAGCAGGACCUUCACGUGGUCAGGCAGCGAGGGAAUACUUGUGAGUGGACUUUGUUUUAAUCAUAUGCCUGGUUUUAAUUAAUGAAAGAUUUUGCAUAAUGUUUUAAUGGCUUCUGGAUUUUAUGUAUUAUAUGCAUGAAUUAAUUUCAAUGGGUGUAUAGCAAUUGGCAAUAUAUUAUGAGUUUGGCCUUUUGGGUUUUGAGAGUGUAUUUCAUGUAUAGAUUGGGGAAGUAUAUUUUGAUAUAUAUAUAUUCUUUUAGAGGAGAUAUUUGGGUUGUUGGAGAGUGAUAUGGAAGAAUGUGAUUAGAGAGGAGUUGUGGGAUUACACUACGUAAGUACCUUCCCCGGUUACUAGUCUCACUCGCGGCGUUGGAUGUUCCGGCGGGUGAGACACUUUCCGUAUGCGGCGCUGGAUGUUCCGGCGUACGGAAAGACUGUGUAUAGAGUUUAGGGUCAUCACCAUGGCGUUGGAUGUUCCGGUGUGUGAUGAUCCAGUCUGCGCGCGUAGGACAUAGUUUGAGAGCUACACAUGGCGUUGGAUGUUCCGGUGUGGGAGCUUUGGAGUUUCGUCCCCCGGUUGGACCGCUCAUCCCUAAACGCAGGAUAGCACCUGGAAAUCCUGCGGACUAGUCAAACGAUCCCCCAGUUGGAUUGUUUUCCCCGGUACCUAAGUGGUGUGAUGAGUAUAUCAUAUAGCUAUUUAUAGUUAUUUAUAUAUAUAUAUUUAUGUGUAUAUUUAUUGAAUAUGUAUAGUUGAGUGUGAAAGGAAUUGGAGUUUGUUUAAUAGUUGAUAGGAGUGGUGAGUUUGAGAGAAUGGGGUUCUUUUUGAAAGAGAUAACUGAUGUUUUUAGAUGAGUUUUACUGAAGCAUAUUUUGAGUAAUUUCUUAUUGAAUUGUGAACCUGCAUGACUUGAGCAUUAUUUUACAUGGUGGGGUUACUAUGUUGUUUUUAACUGCAAACCUGGUUUUUGUCCACUCACAUGUUUUCUGUUUUGCGCCCCCCCAGCCAGUAGUUGCUCUUGGAAGUGCAAGUGGUGUACGAAGCGGAAUCGGUGCAUCUUUCUAAUUAGGAAUUGUGUAAAUUCUUCUACUCAACUGUUCUUGUAAUCUAAAUUCAGUAGAUGCUCUGUAUUUGCCAUGGUAGAUUUUACUUGUGAGGCCGGAGGCCACUCUAGUAUGACUUAUGUAUGUAUGAAAGCAUGCUGCUGGUUGGGAUUAGUAUUACUGUGUGUGCAGGUUGAAUAAAUUUUGUUGGGUUUGUUUAAAUUGCAGGGGAGACUCUGCCAAAAUUUUGGUAGAAAGUCUCGAUUAUUUAGUAGUGGGCCCGGCAUCAGGAUGAUGUCGGGAUCAAGACGGGGUCCGCCUCGGUCAACGGGAAAUUCCGGGGCGGGUCUUGUCACAUAUUUGAACACAUAACACGUGUUCAAGGUUAUAUAUUUCAUUACCUUCACAAUAGGUACCAAACCGUACCAUGGGAACAUUCAUAUACGCACAACAUACUUAUAACAUACUUACACUCGUGUAUAUUUGAACACAAGAAGACGUGUGCACCACCGUGCACGGUUCACAUGAAGUAAGAAGAUGAAGAGGAAAUAAAGAAGAAUACAAAAGAAAAUGGAGAUGAGAAGAAAAAAAAAACACGAAUAAUGAAAAAUGAGUUGACAAUUAUAUAUGGUUGACAUUAGAUGUAAUAUUAUAUGUAAUAACUAAUGAUCUAAAAUAAACAUUUAAUCUAUUCACUCGUUUCGUGUUUACUCCUGUGAUGGAAGGGCAAAGUUCCCCAUUGCCUUGAAAACCAUUGACUGGUCAACAAGACAACUUUCUUUGGUGUGCGAGCGUGCCACUACUAGCAAUAAAAAACAUAGCAGACUUCUUUGAAAUAUAUAACUUGCGUCCUAAGUUACUAAUUUCUAAACAAGCGAUCGUGAAUUUGGGUGAGGAAUAUCUCCCAAGUAAGUUCUUUUCUUGCCUCAGACUGGUGAGGACUUCACAAUUUAUCUUAGUACAAGAUUGGUAGUUUUGGCCAGAAUAAAUGAUAAUAAAGUGGACUUUUUUAGGCAGAACUGCCUUUUACAAAACUAGAAAGGAAAAGAUCAACUCUAGAAAGACAAAAAAAUGGCUGAAAUUCCAUUUCUGCCUGGAUAGAAGCUUCUGAUCCGGGCUGGACUGGGUAUGUUUGUUCUGGACUGAAUUGUCAACAACUUCAACUACUAAGCUUCAGCUGUAAAUCGAUACCAAAGUUUGAGUUUGGCAGAGUUUUAAUAUAUUUCAAGCCCUGGAAGGCUUUUCGAACGGGCAGAACUGCAACUUCUUUGGUCUGAACGGGGCAGAAGUGGCUGGACUUAAGGAUUACUAAGCCGGAACUGCACUAUGGUACCUGUUCUGCUUGAUCCGGGCUCUCUAUAAAUUUGUUGAGGUUUCCAUAUUUGUGAAAACUCAAACUCGGCUUGUCUUGGCUUUUGCUGAACCAAAUUUGUAACGCGAGAAGUCUCGUUUUGAAUGACUUAUUUAUCUGAGUAUGAACUUGGAAGUUCGAUCUAUAGCUGGCUUCUUUUGUGGCUCGAAUGAGUUUUUGGUUGCUCUAGUUUGUUUUGAAGGUUCUCAAUGAUCAAGUGAUCAUUUUGAGUUUUUGCCUUUGGUUGAUUUUUGAUUGUUUGAUUGAUUGUUGAAAAAUGAGUGUGUUUUGCUCUGUUCACCCUCUCCUAUAUUUAUAAGAAAUGCUUUGGAGUAGGGUUUCUAAUUUUUUAGAAAUCGGCGGCAGAUUUUCUCAAAAGAUCUUUCAUUUUUUAAAAUGUAAAGAAAUAGGGGUUUUAUCAAUUCUGGUAGAUAAGCUCUCAAUGGUCAGUUUCUUUAAGUCAAUCACUUCUCUGUUUUUUGAAAGAAAACUUAAUCCCUCUUUAAUUCCAACUGCCCCUUGUGAGAGCUCAAACUGUGAUGGUUAGUUUGAUUUUCCAGUUUAAACAACUUCCUGUUUCAUGCUUUAUCUUUUUUUAGAAAACACAGUCUGCGUAUCCUGAAAGAUGGUGCCUUCUUUGGAGUAUAAACAAUAUCUCUGAAUAUAUAAAAGGGUUUUGAUCUUCUGGUGGCAGAGAUUUCAGAGACAUCCCUUCUUUUCGCCUGCCUCUGUCAACUCUUUAUUAACCUAGUUGAAAUUGUUGACUUUCCUAAAUCAGAGAAAAAGAUUCACUUUGGUAUGUUUCCUUUUGGGCUCCUUCUUCUCUUUUAAUAUGCCCAAACCCUUUUGUUUUUCCUGGAGCCAUGAGCUGAUUGCUCUUUUUUUCUUUUUUCGAGGCCCAAGUUUAUUUGCAGAGUCCAGACUGCUUGGGCCCUGUGGUUUGUCUUUGUUGUUUUUGGGCUGGGUGUGUCAAAUUAGGCCCAAACAAAGUCAAACAAUAAUUAAAAGAUUUGACAAUAUAAAAAUAUAUUGAGAACAAAAAAAGGCAAAAACUUUUGAAAAAUGGAAACAAUAAAUAUGAAUUGAGUCAUCAACUCACCAAGGUAAGUUUGCUGAUGUGUAAAAAUAGUCAAUGGACUACAUCGAAAAAUAAUUGGCUUACAUCAAAAAUUAAAAUCACGUGGUUUAUUCUUAAGAAACCUUAAUAUUUUUGGGUUCAUAUAUUUUUUGUAUUUUAAAAAAAAAGAAAAAAAAAAUCUGACCAUGUAUGUAUGAUGAUGAUAUGCAUGUUAUUUUUAGACCUAAGGUAAAACAAACAAACUUUUUACUCCAUUUUUCGUGAGGUUUAUCAAAAGAAUUAAACUGUUAUAUCCUCCAUUUUAGAUUUCAUGCUUCCAUUUAAAGAAAAGAAUAUCAACAACAAAAAAAGAAUAAAGUUACAACAUUGAUCAAUUCAAAUGUCCAACUAUCGGAUCAUGAGCCUCUGCACUUAGAGACUACGCAUUUACCCGUAUUUCGUUAAAUUUAGACCAUUAUAAUAAUCUAACCCCUUAGAAUGGGACACAUCAUCAAGUUUUUUUUCCUUUCACUAAACAGAAGAGUUAAGUUUUAUUUGUGGGUAACUAAACUCUUGUUUAGAGCAUGUUUUUUAUUUAUUUUUCUUUGUUCUGUGUAAAUUAUAAUAGGUUAGAUUAUUAUUUGUGGGUGACUAAAAUCUUGUUUAACAAUAAUAGUUAACGUUUGUUUAGAGAAGAAAAAAAAUUUGAUGAUGUGUCAUGUUCUAAAGGGUUAGAUUAUUAUAAUGGCCUAGAUUUAGCGAACUGUAGAUAAACGCGCAGUGUCUUAAUGCAGAGGCUCGAGAUCCCCAACUAUCAUUGAAACAUAAGAAACUAAAAUCUUCAAGAAAAUGCUAUCAAUUGAAAAAACAAUAAUUAAAAAACAAAAAAAGGAAGGGAAUUCGCAGCUGCUAUGCAAAAAAGAGCAAGUCGGUUCAAUGAUUUUUUCUUCUUCUUCUUUUUGUUAUGGAAAUGAAAAGCUAAAUGAUGGGCUAUAUAUGGGAAGAAGCUCAAUGAUUGAAUUAAUAUCUUCUAUCUACAUUCUACCCUCUUCCUCGCUACAUACACAAAUGGUGCACGUACAUGGACAUGGGUUGACAUGAAUAAGAACAGCGACGCGUACUUGUUUUUAUUUUUGGUUCUUUAGAUCCAGUUGCACGUACCAAAGAAAGAAAACCACAGGUAUGCAAUGCAAGCUCUUUUCCCAUGUUUUCCUCUGUUUUCUCCUAUUUUUCUCUCUUUUUUAAAAAAAAAAAAAAAGAUAUACGGAAGUGAUUAAAAUACUCCUCUAACUAAGCUUGUUUUGCGUUCGGUGGCCGACUGUAAAAGCUCUGCUCAAACCUAACGUACUAGGUAUUUAUUUUAUUGCUCUGUUCAGACCUAGUGAUUAAAAUGCACUUGCGAUUUUGUGUUUCAAUUCCCUCUCCCCUAAUAUUGCUUGUAUAAAAAUAAAAACUUUUAAAAAGACAUUAAUAUUGUAUUCUAUAUUCUAUAAAGUGUUGGACAUGUUUUAUAUUGUUGACAACCCCCUAAUAUUUUGGUGGUGCCCAGUUAUAUUCAAUUCGUAUGUAUUUAAUUUGCCACUUACAUUCUUGCCUUAAUACAUUUAGGCUUAUUUUUAUACAAAUUUCUCUAACAUAACUUUUGCACAUUCUUUUAGUCUCUAAUAUAUAUAUAUAUAUAUAUAUACAGAGAGCUUCCAUUGAGGGAUCCCUCAAAUAAACUUAUUUGAGGGACACUCCUUGUAGGCCCCACUCCGAAUUGUAUUUCACUAAUACAAACCGUCUAUUUUGUAGAUACUCAUUCAAAGAUCAUCUCUACAAAAAAUCACUUGAAUCCGAUAUCAUUUGACCACUCAAUUAAGUUAUUGAAAUUUUAGCAUUUUCUUGAAGCACCGUGUUCAUUGAUUUUGUAAGACACAAUUGGAUGUCGAAACGGUUUCCGAUUUGUCUAAUUUUUUGUAAGGAUGAUCUAUGAAUGAAAACCUAAAAAAUAGGUAGUUUGGAUCAUUGAGAAAAAAAUUGUAUGGUACCUUAAAGGGCGUCCCUCAAAUAAAAUUAUUUGAGGGAUCCCUCAAUAGAAGGGGACUGUAUAUAUAUAUAUAUAUAUAUUUUCUAAUAAAUAAUCUUACCCAUUUGAGUUAUCAGCUAUUUUCUUUUAGCCCGGAAAAUCGACAUUUUGACAGAGAGUUGAAAAGAACUCCCCAAUUUUAAUGUCAGCCACUUGAAAAAAAAAACAUAAAUUUAAUGACAACAAUUACAUUUAGCAAUGCAACCUAAAAACUCAACCUUUGCGCCCCUUUCACAACGUAGAUAGCAGAGUAAGGAUAUUCGGAUAAGAACCAAGACAUAAGCCAGAGAAACUACGAUAGCCAACCAGGGCCUUCAUUUCUUACCAUCUGAACAAUGCCACCAUUUUGUUUGGUAAGUAUUUAAUAACAUUUCUUGCUCUUCAUAAAGUAAUAUUAAAACGAAAUUUGCCUAAAUUUUUCUUACCAACAAUGCAUACGAAAAAAAAAAAGGAAGAUUCACUAUUAUACUCAAUAUAGGAGCCCAAAUUAUUUAUAAUUAAAAAAAAAACCUUACAUGAAAUGGACUUUAGAAACACACUCAAAACCUAUUUACAACAAAACAAAGACUUUUAACUUCUUUUAAAUUACAAAACUAUCAUUGAUUUCUUAAACAAACCCAACCCCAAUACCUCAUAAAAAAACCCAAAAUACUUGAUAAAGCAUCAAAGUAAUUUAAUAAUCAAAAUUAAAUUCAAUAGGACCAGCAGUUAUUUUUUGGGUUUUUUUUGUUUGUUUAUAGAAAUUAAAUGGUGUAGGAUCUAUCUAUAUUAUUAGUGCUAAGAAUGGAUAUGUGACUAAAUAAUUCCAAAAAAAAAUUAUAAUAAAUCUACAAUUUUUCUUUUUAUAAAAAAAUUCUACAAAAAUUUAUUAGAUUAAUAGGCACUACUAGAAAAUCUCCAUAUAAGCCACUAAUACACCCAUGACAGUUGUCCAAGCGUAGUGUUGUCAUUCAAUAUUCCCCACAGCAACCAGCAUCCAAUAAAGGGUUGCCUCUCUGUAUGUAGCUAUUUGAGAAUAUAAAAGAAAUAUUUUUUAUUCAACAUGGACGCAGAAACUGUUGCUAAACUGCAAACUUCUUAAAAUAUUUAUCUAACUUUCUAGAUCCAUGUACUGAGAUUUAUUAGGGAAAUAUUGUAGAAACUGAUUAUUUUGAAAUAUUAAAUGUGAAAAACUGAACAAAAAUUUGAUGGGUUACAUAUUUCAACUCAUUUCAGCAGCUUAGAUUUUGAAGACCUCAGAAGAGGCUAUGCAAUGAGCCUAGCUAGUGCACUGUUGAUCACUUCAGUGUUUACCGAUCUGUAAUUUUUCCAGAUUGGUUAUAUUUUCCUUUACAUAUUCUUAUAUUUUCCCAGUUGGGGAGACUUAUAAAUAAGGGAAAUAGCCCUAAAUGCCACCAAUUUUAUAAUUUUUUGUCAAAAUACCACCCCUCCCCAAAAUUUUUAAAACUACCACCUAUAAAUACAUCUUUAUUGUAAAUUAAUUGCACCCAUAUCACUUUUUCAGAAAUUGGGUUCUCCCUCAACUCUCUUGGCUCUGUCUCUCUCUUUAGCCUAGCUCUCUCUCUCUCUCCGACAUAGUCAUCUUCCUCCCUCAGCCAUCCAAGCUUAACUCCACAGUUCACAUCCACGAGGUACUGUUCACGUUCCUUUUCUUAGAAAUUUGGGGUUUUUGUGAAUUUGGUUUAUGAUGUAUGGAUUUGUAUGAAAUUGGUUUAGGGGUUUCUUCCAAAUUGGUUUGGUAAGAAGGUGAUGUUGUUGUUGCUGUCACUGACAGACUAUUUUUCCUGGGUUGUGGUUGGUGGGUGUUACUGCGAAUGCUUACAAGGUUGCUGAUUCUCCUUCUAAGGUCUCUCUUUCUCUCUAUUUCUACAAAUUCUAAGGUUUUUUUUUUUUUUUGGGUUACUUUUUUUUUUUUUUUUAUUUCUUUUGCUAAUUGUAAUUGGGCCUUUGUUGCAGAGGUGGAUUUGUUUUGUGCCCAAAAGAUUGUGACUUUGUUGAAAGUUCGUAAAUAGAAAAGGCAGCUGCCCCCUGCGGCUUGGAACGCUCAAUUCGGAGGUAUUAUGCCUUGAAUUUUUACAAAAGAAGAAUUGAAACUACCUUAUAGAAGGCAAAACAAAAAUAUAUAAGAGGAAAAAAGGAGAAAAUUUAUCUAAUUUCCCUUUUUUUAGUUGUAUUUUUNNNNNNNNNNNNNNNNNNNNNNNNNNNNNNNNNNNNNNNNNNNNNNNNNNNNNNNNNNNNNNNNNNNNNNNNNNNNNNNNNNNNNNNNNNNNNNNNNNNNNNNNNNNNNNNNNNNNNNNNNNNNNNNNNNNNNNNNNNNNNNNNNNNNNNNNNNNNNNNNNNNNNNNNNNNNNNNNNNNNNNNNNNNNNNNNNNNNNNNNNNNNNNNNNNNNNNNNNNNNNNNNNNNNNNNNNNNNNNNNNNNNNNNNNNNNNNNNNNNNNNNNNNNNNNNNNNNNNNNNNNGGGGGAAGGGACACCCUAUUUCGUUACAGGGUUUAUUGACUGCAUUCUUCCUUGUUCUAGAAGACCUCCUCAGUUCCAUUGAGCCGACAAACCUUAUGAAGUUGAAUGUGAAGUGUUACCUUGCAUCUACAUGUUUCAUCUUUUAACUUUAUUUUCAUGUUUCACACUGAUGCUUGUAGUUAUUUCUAGUUUUGCAUACAGAUUAGCAAAUAGGUUAUGCAUUUACUGUUUAGUCAUCUAAUGAUUUGAUAUCUAAUAUUUAGGCAUAUGGGAAUUUAUAGAUGUACCGAUUAUGCAUACAUAUAGGUUUUGUGCUUGUAUUAGGAAGUUAGAUUCUUGUGGUUCCUCUUCAAUGGCAUGAAUUUAAAUUGUUGUGCUUCAUGAUUAGGGUCUGAAGAACAACCAUGUAGUAAGAAAGUUGGAGAAACGUCAACAGAUUUGCACCCUUGACCAACAUAUUGAAGAGUAAUUUGGUGGUGGUCGUCUAUUGGCUUGUAUCUCAUCACGACCUAGAUAGUGGCUGUGCUGAUGGGUAUGUGACUUUAUUUGCCUAUGUCUGUUUCUAGUCAGCCGAUAUGUCAUUGGCAUAUUAGUGUAGUUACCAUAUUGCAAGGGCUGAAAUCUGGAUGAUAACAGCUUCUUUUUAUUGUUGUUUUAAAGUGAAGUAUGUAUGGAUCUUAUGAAAUUUUUACAGAAAUAUAUUGGAGGGCAAAUAAUUUUAUUUUAGUUUUUUUAUUCCCAAAUGAUACCCAAAACAUGUAAGCUUCACACUAUGUUAAUUUCUGCAGGAUGGGAAAACAUUGGACAAUGAGUUGGAGGUUGUUAAGGGAAUGAAGCUAGACAUGGGCUACAUAUCCCCUUAUUUCAUCACCAACCAGAACAAUUAGAAAUGUGUAAGUUUUGGUUUGAUUCAGGGAUGACUAUGUCUUGAAACUGUUAGAGGGCUGCUUGUUAAAGUUAGUAGCACCUCAAGUCCCUUUUUUAUUGAUGCUGAUUAUCUUCAAACUUGUGUAUGUGCUGAUAGGAAUUGGAAAAUCCUCUAAUCAUAAUCCAUGAGAAGAAAAUCUCAAGUAUUAAUGCUGUGGUUAAAGUAUUGGAGUUGGUCUUGCAGGUUAUCAUUUCUCUGGUUAGGUUCACUAGUUUCUUCUUUUUUAUCAUGAAUUGGUUGACAAACUUUUGCUCUUUUUCAAAAGCAAAGGUCUUUGCAUUUUGUUAUAUCUUUCAGAACCAAAGUUAUAAAAGAAAAUGGUUUUCCUCUUUGUUAAUUGAGAAUCAUCUGCAGUUAUGAUUUCAGAUCUAUAGAUAACUUGUUGUUGCUGAUAUUGCUACACGGGAGGAGAAUAGAACAGCUUGAAAAAUGUGCAAGAAGAGAGAGCUAACUCAUACACCGAAGAACAAAUUGGUGAAGUUAAGAUCAAAUUAGUAGAAUUUGUGAGCUCUCCAUUAUUUAUAAUUAUAGGUAGGAAGUAUGUAUGUAAUAGAGUAAAGAUUGGUUGACUAUGUAAUAACAAUUGAAUUUUCAAGUUUUAUGAAAGAAAUAAUUUUUGAGCAUAUAUAUUUGUUAAUAAAGCAUUAUAAUUGGUUUUCUAGUUAAAAUCGUUGUAUAGAAUCGUAGGAAACAAAAACCUAAAUAUAACAGCUUGGGAACUUAUUAGACGACAGAUUUAAAGAUAAUAAAAUGUAGUCUGAAUUGUUAGGGUUCGGUGGCGAUUUAUUUUGCAUGUCUAAAUUGUAGUCUGUAAUAUAUGUGUGUGUAUUGUAUGUAGAUUGACUUAAUAUUGCUAUCCUAUUGCAUGCGUAUUGUACUAAUAUUGCCUUUGUAUUGCAUACAUAUUGUAUGCAUAUUGCCACCCUAUUGCAUGUAUAUUGUGAUGUUAUUGCUGUUGUAUUGCCGUUAUAUUGCCCUAAUAUUGCCUCUCUAGUGUAUGUAUAUUGGCCUAAUAUUGCCAUUAUAUUGUAUGUAUAUUGACUAUGACUCAUCAAUGGGUUUACGGUUUAGGCCCUACUUCAUUCAAAAAGAAGACGACGACGAGAAAGAAACAAUGUGCCUUUCAAAAACAAGCAGUCAGGUGCAUUAUAAUUGCACCGUAAGACAUUGUAAGAAAUUAUUUUAAAAGAUAAUAACAACUAAAAAAUAAUUUACCAAAAAAGGAAGGUAUGAAUAAAUAUGCAAAUGCUUCGUCAUGGGUUGAAGAAAAGGAUGAUUACAUUUGGUGGUUUGAUUAUGUUUGGUGAUAUGAUAUGUUGUUCGUCUGAAUCUUCAUAUAUGUAAUUGUUAUGUUAAUACUUGACACAAAUUCAUCUCGUAAUCAUCCAAUUAUUAAAGCUAAGUAAAUGAAAUGAAACAAAAGAAGAAGCCCAAAAUAAACAGAAACAGCAAUUUCUAGCACCCAUUUAUCGCUUCUGUAUUACCACUGUAUCACCAACGUAUCACCAGCUUAGCGUUGAUGACCAUUAGUUCAAACAUUAUGUGAUCUAAUAGGGAUAACUAAUUUUUGGAACAACUAAUGAAUCUUCAAAAAGAUAAAGAACAACUAGUAAACUAAUGUAUGCAGUUUAACUUUGCACGGGUCAUAGUGCUCAACAUGAUAUUUGGCAACCAUCUCUACACUUGGUGUAUAUUGCAGGCUUCUAUGCAUUCCAAACCUUCAUUCUUCUGUGAUAAAACUGUUAAAUUACCAAGAUUUCUAACACAUGGAAGUAAACAAACGAAUCUGCACAUUUAUUUGUACAUACACACUGCGUAUUGCACAUCUGCGCAUCUAUUAAUCACCACACCAAUGUUUCAAAGAUUGAUUCAGAGGGCAAAAUGAUUGAUUACAUAUUUCAAAUUAGUCAUCUGCUCAUAAGAACUUGGCCCUAAAACUGUACUAAUGGUAAAUAUACUGACAUAAUAGCUAUUAAUGAAAAAUUCUAAACAAACGAGGGACUUAUUUUUCUAAUAUUGUAGUGGAAGCAUGUUAAGUGAUUUUCCACAUUUGUUCAUGGGGGUAAAGUAUAUCUUACCCCUUUCUAAACAUUAUGAGGUUUCAAAUUUCAAUAACAACAGAAUGCUAAGCAGAAAAGUAGAAUUGCUACAUAAAUUACUUAGAAGGAACAAAGUCAAAACUAAUUUGACAAAUCUUAAGAAAGCUGUAUGCUUCACUAAGUCAACUAACAGAUUCCCAGUGCAGGAAAUGAAAUAUACCUAUAUCACAUAAAUUGCAAAGAAAACCACAGAGACUAAAUGUUAACAAUGGAUACAAAAAUGAGUAGAAUUCAGUGGAAACGAACACAUCGUUUCAAACAAGUAAAUUGUUAUAUGUCCAUAAAGAGCAACUAUGUUUAUAUAUGGAGGUGUACGAAAUAGUUCAACUUCAAAAUGGAAACAGUUUAUGUGCCAUGUAAGGCAAUGAACAUAUAACAAGGUGAGUCUUCAACAAAUUAAAAGUAGACAAUUAUUUUCAAACAAUCUGACAGCUGCCCGAGAAAACUGAGGGAGUUAAGGCAUGAGAUGCAAACAUGAUAAACACUGUUAAGCACUCGGACGAACCCAUGCUAUAAUACAAGCCAACAGACAAUCACCACCACCAAAUUGCUCUUCAAUAUGUUGGUCAAUGGUGCAAAUCUGUUGAUGCUUCUCCAACUUUCUUACUACAUGGUUGUUCUUCAGACCCUAAUCAUGAAGCACAACAAUUUAAAUUCAUGCCAUUGAAGAGGAACCACAAGAAUCUAACUUCCUAAUACAAGCGCAAAACCUAUAUGUAUGCAUAAUCGGUACAUCUAUAAAUUCCCACAUGCCUAAAUAUUAGAUAUCAAAUCAUUAGAUGACUAAACAGUAAAUGCAUAACCUAUUUGCUAAUCUGUAUGCAAAACUAGAAAUAACUACAAGCAUCAGUGUGAAACAUGAAAAUAAAGUUAAAAGAUGAAACAUGUAGAUGCAAGGUAACACUUCACAUUCAACUUCAUAAGGUUUGUCGGCUCAAUGGAAUUGAGGAGGUCUUCCAGAACAAGGAAGAAUGCAGUCAAUAAACCCUGUAACGAAAUAGGGUGUUCNNNNNNNNNNNNNNNNNNNNNNNNNNNNNNNNNNNNNNNNNNNNNNNNNNNNNNNNNNNNNNNNNNNNNNNNNNNNNNNNNNNNNNNNNNNNNNNNNNNNGAUAUGAAGAAACAAAAUGAAUCUCCCACAAGCCUAACAGGCUAAUACCAUUAACAAGGUCUGAAAUUGACUCUAUAUCAUGUACAUAUAUAUAUAUAUAAACUCCAUCUUUACAUAUUGGAACUACAUCAAUGUAAACCAACUAGAUCGACCCUGCAUCCUGAACACCACCCCCCCUCCCAAAAAAAAGACCGAGAAAAAAAAAAUACAACUAAAAAAAGGGAAAUUAGAUAAAUUUUCUCCUUUUUUCCUCUUAUAUAUUUUUGUUUUGCCUUCUAUAGGGUAGUUCCAAUUCUUCUUUUGUAAAAAUUCAAGGCAUAAUACCUCCGAAUUGAGCGUUCCAAGCCGCAGGGGGCAGCUGCCUUUUCCAUUUACGAACUUUCAACAAAGUCACAAUCUUUUGGGCACAAAACAAAUCCACCUCUGCAACAAAGGCCCAAUUACAAUUAGCAAAAGAAAUCAAAAAAAAGUAACCCAAAAAAAAAAAAAAAAAACCUUAGAAUUUGAAGAAAUAGAGAGAAAGAGAGACCUUAGAAGGAGAAUCAGCAACCUUGUAAGCAUUCGCAGUAACACCCACCAACCACAACCCAGGAAAAAUAGUCUGUCAGCGACAGCAAAAACAACAUCACCUUCCUAUCAAACCAAUUUGGAAGAAACCCCUAAACCAAUUUCAUACAAAUCCAUACACCAUAAACCAAAUUCACAAAAACCCCAAAUUUCUAAGAAAAGGAACGUGAACAGUACCUCGUGGAUGUGAACUGUGGAGUUAAGCUUGGAUGGCUGAGGGAGGAAGAUGACUAUGUCGGAGAGAGAGAGAGAGAGCUAGGCUAAAGAGAGAGACAGAGCCAAGAGAGUUGAGGGAGAACCCAAUUUCUGAAAAAGUGAUAUGGGUGCAAUUAAUUUACAAUAAAGAUGUAUUUAUAGGUGGUAGUUUUAAAAUUUUUGGGGAAGGGUGGUAUUUUGACAAAAAAUUAUAAAAUUGGUGGCUUUUAGGGCUAUUUCCCUAUAAAUAAACCCAAAAUGGGUACAGUAUCUAUACAGAAGGACAAAAUUAAAGUGUUUGGACAAUAAUGCCCCUAUUCAUUUUGGGAUUGCCUAAGGAAUCCUUUUCCUGAUUUUCAAUGAUGCCAAAGGACUGUUGUUUGAUGCUUGCCGUAUGGAGCUAAGAAAACUUGCUUUGUGUUAUAAAAAUAACCUGGAAUAUGUACGAAUAUUGAGCUGCACGAAAAGUAGAUGAAACACAGCAUUUAACGAGGUUCGGCUAUGCCUACGUCCUCGGAGAGCAACAGCAGUAACUUUUUCACUAUAUGAAAUAAUAGGGCUACAACUUUAGAGUUUACAAUAUGUGAGGCUCACUGAAUUUUCUCUCUCUUUCUUCUUCUCUCUUUUCUUUCUUCUUUUUCUCUUCUCCCCUUUCUUUCUUUUCUCCGUUGGUCACACUCCCCUUUACAAUUGGUAUGCCUAUUUAUAGGCUAAUGUUUAGGCAAAAUACAGGGAAGGGAAGGUUCCUGGAAGAUGCAAGGAAACUUCCUGAAUUGAUAAUGUCACACCCCGGACCGACUCCGCCGUAGCACGAUAUUGUCCGCUUUGGGCCCUCCUCUCACUGCCCGCACGGUUUUGUUUCUGGGAGCUCACGAAGCAACUUCCCAGGGUGGUCACCCAUCCUGGGAUUGCUCCAGCCUCCCACUCGCUUAACUUCGGAGUUCUUACAACUCCGAAGCCAAUGAGCUCCCAAAAGGCCUCGUGCUAGAUGGAUGCGGGUGUGCCAUAUAAGGCACAUCACCCCCCUCUCCGUUGGUUUGAUGUGGGAUCUUACAAUCCACCCCCCUUAAGGGUCCGACGUCCUCGUCGGCACACUCGCACCACACGGCAGAGUGGCUCUGAUACCAAAUUGUCACACCCCGGACCGACUCCGCCGUAGCACGAUAUUGUCCGCUUUGGGCCCUCCUCUCACUGCCCGCACGGUUUUGUUUCUGGGAGCUCACGAAGCAACUUCCCAGGGUGGUCACCCAUCCUGGGAUUGCUCCAGCCUCCCACUCGCUUAACUUCGGAGUUCUUACAACUCCGAAGCCAGUGAGCUCCCAAAAGGCCUCGUGCUAGAUGGAUGCGGGUGUGCCAUAUAAGGCACAUCACCCCCCUCUCCGUUGGUUUGAUGUGGGAUCUUACAGAUAAAUACAGGGAAGGAAAGUUCCUGGAAGAUGCAAGGAAACUUCCUGAAUUGAUAAAUACAGGGAAGGGAAAGUUCCUGGAAGAUGCAAGGAAACUUCCUCUGUGGGCUCCACCUUCAAACUUUUACAACACUCCCCCUUGGAGACCACAAAUGAUAUGAAAUAUGCCUCGUUAAAAACCUUGCCAGUAAAAACCCAGUGGGACAAAAACUGGUCGAAGGGAAAAAGAGUACAUAAUCACGUGUAACAUAAAAUUCUGUGUAUAUUGACGCGCGUGCGACACUGCCUCGUUAAAACCUUGCCAGGAAAAAUCUAGUGGGAUAAAAACCUGGACGAAGGAAAAAGAGUACAGUGUGUAAGGGUCUGUAUUGACAGCACGCUCCUCCUGAUGCUUGGCAAAAUAUCUUUAAGCCAUACUGUUGAUCAUCUGUCUGAAUAUCAUAGUUGACACUGCUGCUGUGAGUCAAUAGUGUAUGAAGGUCUUUAUUAAUACCAUGCUCCCCCUGAUGAAUAUCUCCCCCUGAAAACUUCAUGACUAGCUUUUUCCAGUAAGCGACCAUAGAGAUUUCCUGAGUCCGCAUAUCUUAGAACACUUGGGCUAUUUAUAAGUUCACUAAAAAAAUAUGCCCGUAUAUGGUGUUAUGCUUAGAUAGCAUCAAAUAUACCUCACAUCAUCCCAAAAUGAUGGUGAUGGAGUUGAGCCCUAUCUGGAAAAUAUGAUGUCCGGUCCAAUAUACUUCCGGAAAAUCAUUAAAGUGUCCAACGGAUAAUCCUCAUAAAAAUACUUUAAUACUUUCUUAGUAUAAGCAAGAAUCUCGUUGGCAUAAUGCUCGAUCGAGACAAAUAUUUCAUGAAUUCUGCAGAAACUUUAAUGUGUUGCAAUCACAUUAUAAUCAAUGUACUCACUGAGGUAAUUUAUGCAUAUUAAUAUUGAGUACAAAUUUUGUGCUUCAAGCACAUGUCCUUUAAGGACUUGCUUUAUGCAAUAUCAAUCCUCUCAACGGAUUUUGUCUAAAAGGGAUUAAGCUUUAUGACACAUUAUAUAGCUUUUACCCAGCUAUUUAUACAUCUUUAGGAAAUCGCUUCUGGCGAUAUGCUCCGUGCAUUCAAUAACCCUUAAAGAUAAUAUGUUGGUCUCCGUAAUUGUGUAAUAAGGGGGGGCACAAUUGAAUCUGUAAAUAUGGAGAAAACCCAACAUUCCUUGUUUCUGCCAGAAACAGUGUGUCAUACAAAGUAGGUAUAUUCCCUUUUAUUCCGAACACCCAAGUAUAACUUUCAGUAUUAACAAAUUUUGGGGUUCGUAUUGUGGGUUUGUUCUUUCACGUUCAUUCUCAUUUAUAAUGGAAUUACCUCGUUCCAUUUUGGCCAGUGAUAUUGUCGACAUUUAAUAAUUGAACGUGGUUCCAAUCAACACAGCCCAUUGAUGAUUUGAGUAGCUACUCCAAAACCAAAAAUUGUCAUUCAUCAAUUCAUGAUCCCACCAUUCUCAUGUGCAUGCACAUGCAUCAAUUAUAAGCAUUUCUUUGCUUUUUGGUACCCAAGCCACUUCAGGGGGCUUUUAUUAUGUGAGAAUGUGGAUUAUAACCUCCAUCGGAGCGUUAUUUAGUAGUAGGGCGUGGAUAAUCUCCAUUUAGAGAGUUGGAACAUUGAGAACCCAUAUAUCUGUCAUGCUGCAGGCAUGCCACAGAUUAAUACAUACAUGUCAAUUAAUUUCUGGGACUUUAACCCAUAUUAUGGGACUUUAACCCAUAUAAUUUGCUACGCAUUAGGCGUGCAUAAUAUCAAUAUUGACAUGUCAAAGGAUUGUCCUUUCGGGACUUCAAUUCAUAUCAUUUGCUACGCAACAGGCGUGCACCCAUAUUGAUCACUGCUAUACCCAUAUUCUGUUCUUAUGGGACUUUAAUCUGUGCAGUGUAUUAUCAAUGUAUCCAUCUUACAAUCUGUAAAAUUUGCAUUAAUAAUUCAUGGAUACAUACAAGCCAUUCUUUUGGAACAGACUUAUCUCCCAAUUUGGUUACCUUUCAAGAUAAAAUAUCAAAUAGGUAUAUAAGCAUAAAAUAACACAAGUAUUGCUUACAUCCUUAGGUGGGAGAAACUUUUCUCAAGUAUCAUUCAAGCUCAUAUCAGCCCAGUAAAUAUAAUGUAGCGCUUGAUGAUCUAGUUAUAUCCUGCAAGAGCAAAAAUCACAACUCUUUUGCCUCUGUCAAAACAAAUAACCCUCAUAGUUAGGAUUACUUCAUGGAUUCAUUCUUCAUAUGUUCAUUCUAAAGAAAUAAAAUCUCUUAUGAACAGAGAGUUAUAAAAAGAGAAAAAAUGCAAAAAUAAUGUGAUAUUGAUUGCAAGAGAAGGUAAGCAAUCAGGGAAGGAAGCUGGUGGGAGCAGACAAUAAGCUCUCAUAUCUCCUAGUCUAGAAGGACUCCCGGAGAUUAGACCAUAAGAUCGCCUUCACAGUUUCCUGAUGUAGUGGAAACGUGAUCAGGGAUAGUCUUGCUUCCUGAAUGGAUGAUCAGAGAUAGUCUUGCUUCUCAGGCAUAUUGAGUGCUCACUGAUAAGAAAAAUAAGUAGAUAUCUCAUCACUAAGUAUGGAGUAAACUGGAUGUCUUCUGCAAAGGAAAAUUUCGUUUAGUAACACAUUUAUACACAAAUACAAUGAAUAGGUAGAACCGGUAAAUUUCAAAUUAACCAUAGGAAAAUUGCGAGAUUCUCGGGAUACUUUUGAAAAAGUAGCUCCGUGAAAUCCGUAAAGCAAGAUCGGCUUUGAAAAUAAUACUUUGAAAAACGCCGAAAGUGCCGACAUGCAUUAUUAGAGGCCACGUGAAGUUUUGGACUCUGGGAAAGAAAAAGAUAAUAUGGGGAUUCGAGAAGACAUUGGGGUCCUGAAAAGUUGCCACAUUUUCGUCUAUAGAUAUUGCCUUUGCAAACUGCGUUUCAACUCAACUUCCUUCAUUUUCCGAACCUUUAGUUUUUCUAAGACUUUCUUCGAAACCUUCUUAAAAAAAUGGCUUCCUCUUCUUCCUGCCCAAAUUAUUUCAAUUUAAAUGAUGCUCCCACAACAACCAGUGACGCCCAAGUUUGGCGUCCAUCCUUUGUAUCCAAAAAUCGUCAUCUCACAGUUAAUGAUUCUGUGAUGAUGAAUGAUGCUACUGCUGUCAUAGUAGCUAGGAAUUUCAUUACUCCAAUGGAUGAAAUGUUGUUGACAGGGAGAUCAGAGGAAGAGGCUAUUGAUGAAUCAAUGGCUUUUAGCAUUCAGAGUGCUGUUUCUGUUUCUAACAUGGCUGAUCGUUUGCGUGCCAGAGCAAACGAAGUUGAGAAUUUAACAACUGAAAAUUCGUCUCUCCAAAGAAUGCUUCAUGAGUCUCAACAGGAGGUUGAGAAACUUAAAGGAGAGAAUAAUGCCUUGUUGAAACUGGUGAGUUCGUACUCUGUUGAUACAUUGAGAAGGCUAGACAUGCUGCAGGUCUCGAAUGAAAGAAUUUUGGGAGACUAUGAGAAGCUCAUGGCUAAGCUUAAGAGGCGCCGUCAUCUUCCUUCAGAGGCUUCCAGGACAUAAUGUAAUUUUUAUAGAUUUUACAGGGCCUGCACCUUCAUUGCAGGAAAAAAUCUAUCUGUUGUAUGCCCCUUUUCUGUUAUAAUAAUUGCGCAUAUUCUUAAACUUGCACCUGUGGUUUUUACGUCUUUUCAAAAUGACGAUUUGGAACCUUGUGCCUUAUAGGUUCAAAUAACCACAUUGUCUCUCCCAAAUUUCAUAUUUUAUCGCAUGGUAGCCCGGAACUUUUGGCCUGGGCACAAACUCAGAAUUUAUUUGCCCUUUUCAAAUGGACAUGAAAUAUGAAUUGAGUAAAAGCCAUGAUAAUAUCGCAAUAUAGUAGUGAAGAGCAUUAACUACUAUAUACCCACAACUUCAAGUUCAGGAUCUCUCAUAUAUUUGGAUCCAUGGGCUUCCGGCCCAAAUAUAACAAAAUAUGUGGGGAGCCUCAAUUCAUUAUUUGAGGUUUAUAUUAAUAUUAUGCAUUUCGCGGUGUAUUCUUAACAACCGGAAUUCACAAAAUAUAUUUCUUCCUUGAGGUGUCGAUUAUAACAAAAUCGAACUUUAUUAAAUUCAUCAUCUUCUUAUGCCAAAGAAAUAUGUGGCAUACCACAAUUUGCAAUAAUACCUCAAGGGUUGUCCAUUUAAUUGUUGGAACUUCAGGUUCUCAACACUGUUAAAUUUGGAACUUCAGGCCAAAGCCACAUAUUCUCAUGGUAUGGACAUUUUUACAAUUUUCUGUACAUAUUUCGGGACUUCAAGCCCUUACAUAACUGUCCAUAUUUUGAGGAACUUCUGGCAUCUCAUUUAAUUGCUCAUCCAUGAGUUUAAGGAACUGCAGGUUCCCUUUUGUAUAUAGUGACGGUUUACCCAAAAUGGUUAAUAUUUAUGCAUACAUCACUAUUCAUGUGAAUAGUACUAUUCAUCAAGUCAUGAAUACGUAUCUAUUCAUCUGCCAGUACAGUUAUCAUCAAUGUGUACGGCACUAUGAACCAAUACGGUACUGUUACAUCAUUAAGGAACUCUAGGUCCUUAUUUACAUGUCAGGGAUUAAGAACCUUUAAGUCCAAUCACAUGUUUACAAAUACAGUACCGGUGAGACUGCCAGCUCUCAUUUUAAUAUCAUCAUCAAGGAUCUUCAAGUCCUGAUGUAAUUGUAUGAUGAGGAUCAAGGAACUUCUGGUCCUGAUCUGCAUACUGGAAAAACUAAUCAUACAGCACAAUUAAUCCAUAAAAUAAAUUGCUGAUAAAUAAAUUACUGGUAUGGACGAUAAACCCGCACCACACUUUAAAUAAAUGUAAAUGUGCGGUAAAUUAAAUUCAUAAAGUUAAGGUGCUUGUAUGGGCAUUAAUUCUGCUCCAUACAUUUAAAUAAAAGUAAAGGCGUGGACGAUAAACCCGCACCACCCUUUUAAAUAAAUGUAAAUGUGCGGUAAAUUAAAUUCAUAAAUUAAAUUGCUUGCUGUAUGGACGUUAAUCCCGCACCAUACUUUAAAUAAAAUUAAAUGUGCGGUAAAGUAAAUUGUGCUUGUAUGAGCACUAAUUCUGCUCCAUACAUUUAAAUAAAAGCAAUGGCGUGGACGAUAAACCCGCACCACCCUUUUAAAUAAAUACUGUUGUAUGGGUAAUAAACCUACACCAUACAGUAAAUAAAAUAAAUAUGCGGUAAAAUAAAUUUGCGAUAAAGUAAAGGUGCAUGUAUGGGUAAUAAACCUACACCAUACAGUAAAUAAAUGUGGGGUUAAAACCACCACCGAAUAAAAUAAGAAAAAGUUAGUAUUAGUAACGGUCUCCUACUGAUAAUAUGUUUAGUAUUACCAAGGGUCCAUUUUUGUUAGUGGUUAGUAGUAUAGAUAAUAGUGCAGCAUAAAAAUUAUACCUGAGAGCUUCUCGUGCUGAUAACGUGUUAUAAAAAUAACCUGGAAUAUGUACGAAUAUUGAGCUGCACGAAAAGUAGAUGAGACACAACAUUUAACGAGGUUCGGCUAUGCCUACGUCCUCGGAGAGCAACAGCAGUAACUUUUUCACUAUAUGAAAUAAUAGGGCUACAACUUUAGAGUUUACAAUAUGUGAGGCUCACUGAAUUUUCUCUCUCUUUCUUCUUCUCUCUUUUCUUUCUUCUUUUUCUCUUCUUUUCUUUCUUCUUUUCUCUUCUUCUUCUCUCUUCUUUUUCUCUUCUCCCCUUUCUUUCUUUUCUCCGUUGGUCACACUCCCCUUUACAAUUGGUAUGCCUAUUUAUAGGCUAAUGUUUAGGCAAAAUACAGGGAAGGGAAGGUUCCUGGAAGAUGCAAGGAAACUUCCUGAAUUGAUAAAUACAGGGAAGGGAAAGUUCCUGGAAGAUGCAAUGAAACUUCCUCUGUGGGCUCCACCUUCAAACUUUUACAACACUUUGAUAGUUUUGGACAGAUGCAAGCUACUGUUGUUGGGAUGAUCUUUUCACGUGAAAUGAGGAUGACGAUACUUCUACACUACACAAUCCAACGAAUUCACAUUUCUAUUUCAGAUACAUGUAUAAACAGACAAGGCUUUAAAAUAUGGGAUGCUGCACUGUUGUUGCUGCUGCUGACACUGUUACUGUGUUGCUGCUACUGUUACUGCACUGCUGCUUGAAGAAGGACAAGGACUUCACUUGUUGCUUUCGUCCUUUGUGGAGGAGAGAGACCUAGGACUUGCAUGUCUUAGAUAUUUAAGACAAGGGGCUUUCGUGCCAUUUUGAAAAUACUUUGGGUGUUUUUGAAAGCUGCUUGUUUCUUUUGAGUUUCUCACUAAAUUUCGCUUUAGAAGGGAAAAUAAUAAUAAUAUUAAUAGUACAGCACUUAUUAGCAACAGAGUUACAAACUUCUUCUACAACACACACCAACAUGAAUCUAGCCCUGAUCCACUCUUUACAUACUUGAAAACAAAACAAAACACGAAAAACAAAAAACAAGAUAGGGAGAAAAUGGCUACGGAGAGACUUACUGCUAAUAGUUGAUCAAUAACAGAGAUAAUAGCGCACACUAUUUGUAUGACAGUGAGUAUCAGAAGAAUAAUAGCUGCAAAGAGAGAAAUAGCUGCCCAAGGUGUGUUGAAAUACUUUUGUCUCAAAUUUGCCUUCCAUAUGUUCGUGGUCUUCUCUCAGUAACUCGUUUAGUUUGCCAGCAAGAUCACCAAAAUAGUAGUUUCCGUGGUUCAGAGCAACUUUACUGCAAAGCUUGUUAAUCAUAAUGGAAACCUUAUUGUUGUCACCUUGCAUGUUUACAACAAUUCUAUUCUCAACAAGCAACUCUACAUCCUUUGGAGUGUUUACAAAUUUAUCCAGGAUGAAAACAUAAUAGCUUAUGUAUUUAUCCACGCAAUGGCAUUGUUCAAAGGCAAUGAGAUUUCUAAGUGUAAGCUCUGUGUAAUUAUGUAUUUCAAUUUUUGGAAUUUCCAAGGUGUUUUUCUUGAACUGUAUAUCGAAUAAGUUCUUGCUUGAUCCGGCCUGGUGUAGUUUUGUCAUGCUGGGUGUCCUUUGGAGCCCUACAUUUUCUUUUAGGGUCGGAUCUGGCAGAUGUAAAGUUCUAAUAAAAUCAACAAAAUGUAAAGGUUUUUUAGGAUCAGGAGGCAUAAAAGACUUACGGAAGGCUGGUGAGUUCUCCAAGUUUUCUAAACGCAGUGCCUGUUGGAAGAACCUGUAAGAGAGUUCAAUUAUUGAAGGCUCCCCAGUCUGAGCACCUGUGAGAUUGUAAAGAUCCUCGAGAAUGAAAAAUGGCAGCUGAUUUCCAAGCAUAAGCAUGUCAGGCAAUAUAUUUUGUAGCACCCAUGGUUUUUUAAAUAUCCAAGCAUUAUCAUCCUGCAAUUUUUCUUCCUGAAAUUUUUCUUCGGAUUUAUUCCUCAACAAUAGCUCAAUGACAAAGGCGGCAUCAACUCGAAUGAUAUUCACAAAAGCAGCAAUGUUAAACUUCUUAGUGUCUUCAUAAUAAUGACGGAGUUCAACUUCUCUCUCCUUUAUUUUCUCGAAAUAAUCCUUCAAUUUUACAUUAGUCCAAUCAAGAAAACACUUUAGGUACCUGAGUUUGUGAUCUUCCAUGGCUUCUAGGUUUUUGCUGCCAUGGUGAAGUGGGCCUAUUGAGACUACUUGUGGUGUGUAGGCCUUUUGUUUUACGUUCCGUAGUCGCUCAGGCACCCUUUAGAUACAACAGGCAGGGGACAGGGCACGCAAGUUUGUCAACUGAUUUUCCAUGGAAGUUGCUUGGUUUUCUAUGUCAAAAGAAGCUUCAUUGCUGCUUUCUUCCACUUUCUUCCUCCUCAUUAUGUGUUGUUCUGAUUGUAAGUGACGAGGAUGGUGAUGAUUCUAGACAACAUAAUCAACAAAUGUUUCAAUCAUAAUUGACAUUUCAAGAUGCUCCGACAAAGAAUUAGAAAACAUUCAUCACAAAAUGCGAACUCAUACAAUAGAUGGGUUGAUGAUAUAACCAUUAUUUCGUACAUUUUUAUUAUCUUUCUCUUAGAUUCUUGCUAUGGUUCUUGAGUGAGUUUAGUCCAUUUUUACUUAGUUUUGUGUUUUACUAGGUUUGAAGAGUAAAGAUGGAAAAGCAAGCAAAAGGUGCAAUUUUGGUAUUGAAAUAUAAUGUGAAAUCCUAGGAGCAGAAUGUGUUGUGCGGAUCGGACAACUUUACAGAACAUACUGUACUUCCUCAGAGCGAACCAGAUGUUGAACCUUAUAUCAUUGGAAAGAUACGGAUGUUCGCCUUCUGUAGAAUUUCGCGGUUCAUGAUUCGGACGUGUGUGGAGAGAGUUGUGGCCAUUUUAGUACGGACAGUUCGGGCAGAAUGUGUUCUGCGGGUUUUGCAAAAUAAUCCAUUUGAAGUCCAAUCCUUGGAGUUUAAUUUGUGUCAAUUACAUUUGGGAAGUGUCUACAAGGAUGUGGAGUUAUUUUCUGAAGUCUGACCCUUUAUUUAGUAGGAUUAUGGAUGCCAACUCAUCAAAGACAAUGAAGCCAAACUAGGAAAACAUAGUUACCAAGUCAAAAGAGGAUUUGUUCCUUAUUUAAAGAAGACCAGAAAAUAGGGUUCUCUCAUGCUGGAAUUUGAAGGAGAGUUAAAGAGCCGCUGCCAUCGUCAAGUUCUCAAGCAUCGUCAUAAUCCAUAAGUUCUAUUUUAUGUUUUCUAGUUUUUCAAUUAUGUUUUCUUUGAACAUGAGUAACUAAAUCAUUCUCUAGGGCAAGGAUGACGCCCGAGCAUGGAUAGUUAUGAUUUUUAAUGCUAUUUAAUGAAUUCCAAGUUUCUUUUAGAUGAAUGUUUAAUCACUAUUUUAAUUGUUGCUAUUUGUUUAAGUUCUUUGAUUGAUCACCUUAUGACAUGACCCGCCCCGAAUUUUUCGAAACACGAGACGAAUCUUGUGGAAUUCCCGACCACACCCCAAUGCCGGGCCCACUUACUAAAGACCGGGACUUUCUGCCGAAAUUUCGGCAGAGUCUCUCCUGUAAAUUGAACAUUUCCCACAAUUUCAACCUGCAUAAAACACAUUUUAUAUUACCCAACUGGCAGCAUGCACAAUGUAAUAACAUGCAAUUCACAUAAACGGCCUUUCGACCUUCCGAUAAUCCACAACAAACCACCAAGCACGCUAUCAAAUCAAUUCAUACCUUAAACAAGGCAAACAAUAAAUUCAAUCACACUUAAGAAUGUCAAAGCAAUCCACUACAUUUAAUUUUUCUCAACACCCAACAUACGAGGUUUUAACAUCCUAACACAAUCACAUCUAUGUCUGCGGUUGCACCUAAUAACCUUAGGCUGCCUAUGUACCCUCACUGAGAGAUCAAGCCACACGUAGUUCUUCCUACUAAAUUCCGAUUUCCAAACACAUACAAUACCUUUAAUCAUCUCUAUGAUAAUCACAUACUCUCCCCACACGCCGGAAAUUCCAACGCCACGUAUGGGGUCUGUCAUCACGCCGAAAAAUCCUACGCCUCGUGUGACCUAACCAUCAUAUCAUCUCCCCAUACGCCGAAAAUUAUAACGCCACGUACGGGGUCUGUCAUCCUGCCGGAAAAUCCUACGCCAUGGGUGACCUGACAAUCACAUAAUCUCCCCAUAUGCCAGAAAUUCCAACGCCACGUAUGGAGUCUGUCUCAACGCCGGAAAAUCCUACGCCACGCGAGACCUAACAAUCACAUAAUCUCCCCAUAUGCCAGAAAUUCCAACGCCACAUAUGGGGUCUGUCAGCACGCCGGAUAACCUACACCACGUAGGACCUAACAAUCAUAGCAUUUCCCCGUAUGCCAGAAAUUCCAACGCCACGUAUGGGGUUUGUCCUCAUGCCGGAUAACUUACGCCACGUGGGACCUAACAAUCACAUAAUCUUCCCAUAUGCCGGAAAUUCAACACCUCAUAUGGGGUCUGUCAGCACGCUGGAUAACCUACGCCACGUGUGACCUAACAAUCAUAGCAUAUCUCCAUACGCUGGAAAUUUCAACGCCACGUAUGGGGUCUGUCAUCAUGUUGGAUAACCUACGCCACGUAGGACCUAACAAUCACAAGGUGGUACUUAGGGUAGUGCGUAUAGCACUGACAGAAAAUCACAAAAGUAUCUUUCCUAUUCUAGAGAUUGGUCACAUGUAGUCCAACCAAUAGGAAAUGAGAUAUUUAAGAAAUGAAGAGUUUGAUCAAUAUCAAUAUCAAAUGAAUUCUUAUACGCCUAGUCAACUAUUAAGCGUAUCUUGACUUCUUGAUAUUGUGAUAUGAUUGAAACAUGAUUUCCAUGUUAGAAAAUUAAAGGGAUGUUAAAACAUGAAAGUAAUAGGAGAAUCAAAUUGAUUUGGGCCAAAAUUGCCUAAAAAGAAAACACUUCUAAAUACACUCAAUUCACUUUUAAAAACAGUAAAACAUGAUUGAAUCGUUCUUUAAAACAAUUCCCUAAUAUACAUGCAUGAUAAUGACAUCACUUACCUCUGAACCAAAUGCCUUUCACGGGUCAAGCCACAAGUCUGUGUUUUGGGGAUUGCUAAGCUGCAUCAAUCCUGCCAAUGUCAGUUCUGCCCCUAUGCUCUCUCAAAGCAUGUUUACAACCUAUGCUAACAUAUACUAGAGUUUAUGCUAGUAUCGAGAAAAUGCAAACACUAAUUUUGUAACACGUAGAAUUGUUAGAGAUUGGAAGUUUUUAUCAUUUUUUUCUUCCAGUCUCUCCACCACUCACUAAUACAGAUUACUCAUGUGAUAAAUUUACAAAACCUAUUUCUCUACUCUCACAAAGACUAUACUUCUUCUCAAAAGACUAUAUCACUUUACCUCUAUCUCUGUGAAAUGUAAAAAGUUGAAACUUUAAUGUCAAACCUCGACAAAAGAUGAAUUUCCAUCAGUUACGUUGAAUUUGGAUUUGUUGAACUUAAGCGAUUUUACUUUCUCUGUUAGUAUUUGAUGACUUAAUUUGGUAUUUACUUCUUCUUCUUUUUUUCCUUGGAAAUGUGUUCCACCAACGUGAGGAAGAAAAAUAUGCACAAAAUAAUAUAUUUAAUAGAAGCCCAAGAUUUCGGAAGCACAUAAUUUUUUCAAAAAUCUACAAAGUGUUCUACUUUACAAACUUCUUAUGUCUACCAAUUUCUACUAAAAUUAAUUUCUUUGCGGUGCUCAGAUUCAUCAUGUGUGUGUCCUCAAUUUUAGUGGAAAUUGGAAGUUUCCAUCAUUUUUGUUUUCUGGGAAUUUUCUGAACCAAGGAAAAUCAAGCAAAAUUAAUAAAGCAUAAAAUGAAAAGGGAAAAUAUCUAGAGGAUGCAUUGUAGGAUUGCUCAUGCCAAUAAUUGUACCCUCUAAAUAUAUUGGGACAUAUUUUUUUUUGUUUUCAUGACAUAUGGUCCUAAAAUUAUUGUUCCUAGCGGGCUCUCCACCCCUCUCAAUUGAAAACCUAUUGUGUAAAUCUUCAAUCCUGAACGAUGAACGAUGCACCUAAAACACAUGUUGCAAUACACAUCCACCCAUUCUCAGGCCAAUUAUUGUUCCUAGCGGGCUCUCCACCCCCUCUCAAAUUUAAGUGGUCCAUUAUGAUUAAUCAUGUAUUUUAUGGACCAUCCAGCUGUGAGGUUUUAUCUCAAAAACCUUCGGUACCUUUCUCCCACAUGCCACAAUGGUAUAUUCACAAUUACGUCUGAUACCUCACAUCAUGCCACUUGCCUCAAUUGAAUUUAAGUGGGUGGAGUGUUACUUCUGGGUACCCCUCAUCAUUCGUCUAUAAAAUGGUGAAGCCAGUUGCUACUGUUACCAUAAGAGCCAGCUCCGACUUUCUUUAAUUUCUUGUUUCGUAUCCACUAGCUACAUCUGUUGCCAAGUUAAUUUCAGUCCUAAUGGGGUUUCAUCUCCCACUCAUCUUUGCUAUUCUCAGUGUAAGCUCUGCAAUUUGAUUAAGAUUUCCAUUCUCUCUCAUUGUACUCUAUAUAAACGAAAGUUUUGUGUUCCUACAAUUCUCUCCGAUUUUAUUUAGUAUGUACUUAAGUGUCGUACGUCCACUAAUUAAUUACACUUUGUGAGAUUUGAUUUUAAUUAGAGUUCGAAUUAAUGUUGCAGCUAGCAGCAGUGGGAAACCAUGCUGCUCAACCAGCACCUCAACUUUACUGGAACUCCGUCCUGCCAAACACACAGAUGCCAAGAUCUAUCAGUGUACUUCUGCAUCCUGGUUUGUGUUGAGCACUUUAGAAUCUUAGAUAUCUUUUCUACCUGCCAUUUUACUAAAAUUUGUUCGACCACAUAUUUAUCAGUUAACUACUGUCAUUACAAAUCGGCUGAUCACUUAUUUUGCAUUAUGACGUUGAUAUAUAAUUUGCAGACUCCACAAAUGAAGAAAAGAGCACAUAUAUGAAUGCUGUUGGGAAUGGAAAGGGCAAACCUGAAAUUUUCCCAUUGGGCAUUAGACGUUACGUUCAAAAACGGUAUGGAGGGGGCAUUAGACGUUACAAUCAAGAACGGUAUGGAAAAGGUCCUCCUCCAUCUGACAAUCAACUACUCCAUUAUAAAGACUUGGCUAUUUUCUUCUUCGAGAAGGACAUGCGCCCUGGCGCAACAAUGAAGUUCCAAUUCCCUAGAAAUUCAAACACGGCUACUUUCCUGCCACGCGAAAGUGCUCAAUCGAUCCCCUUCUCCUCUAACAAACUAUCAGAAAUUUUCAACCAUUUUUCAGUGAAGCCAACAUCUGUGGAAGCCAAAACAAUUAAGCAAACAAUCCAAGAGUGUGAAGCUCCAGGCCUUAAGGGAGAGGAAAAAUAUUGCGCCACAUCUUUAGAAUCAAUGGUUGAUUUUAGCACUUCGAAGCUUGGAACAAGAAACGUUGAAGCAAUCUCGACGGAGGUAUUGGAAAGAGGAGCCACCAUGUCCAUGCACAACUAUACAACAAUGCCGGGACUGAAGAAGUUGGCAGGUGACAAAGUCGUUGUGUGUCAUAAGGAGAACUAUCCCUAUGCUGUGUUUUUCUGCCAUGCAAUAAAACAAACAGCAGCAUAUGUUCUCUCCCUGAAAGGCGAUGAUGGGGAGAAGGUUAAAGCAGUAACCAUCUGCCAUCUAGACACAUCAGAAUGGAACCCAGAGCAUUUGUCCUUCCAAAUCCUCAACGUUAAGCCCGGAACAAUUCCCAUCUGCCAUUUCAUUUCCACUGAUGGUAUUGUCUGGGUUCCAAAACACAAAUCUGCAUGAUCAUCACUUAGCACUGUACGUAUAAUAAGCUUGGUUGGGUUGCACCCUAGGCCUGUAUAAUUAACUCCCUACUUAUUUCUGCCUCUUUAGCACUGUACAUAUAUAGACUUCAACUUGUACUCGUAUAGCAUGCUGGAAAAAAAAAGGACCAAUAGGGAGAAAAUGGUGAACUAAGGAGAGACUAAUACUUCUGGUUCUUAGAAGGCAUAACAGAAAUAAUAGAGCACACUGCUUGAAUGCAAGUCAAUAUUGUUAGAAAAUUAGGAGAUUUACUUCCUAAUAUAUUAUGAUUCUAUUUAUUUCCUUUUGUAUUGAUAUUAUGUAAUUAGGACUUUAUCUUAGUUUCCUAGUAUAACCCUACUAGGGUUUGUACUCUUGUAUUAUAAAUACCUCCUUUUGGAGAAUGAAGUAUAAUCUGAAAAUAUUCUAUCCACUUUGUUUGACAUGGUAUCAGAGCAAACUUUUCUAGUGACCUGUGUGUUGUGCCAACCCGUAUUCUAGCCCCAUAUUUUUUCUCUACCUAUGCCGUGUGUGCCCCCCCUCUGGGUUUGUGGGUUGUGUUGUCGUGUUGGUGUCAUUCCUAUCUUCGUGCAUCUGCCGUAUUUGAGCCUUUGCUGUGUUCCGCUGUGUACUCUGUUGUGUUCAUACCUCUAUUGUGUUCGUGCCUGUCUUCGUGCAUCUGCUGUAUUUGUGUCUCUAUUGUGUUCCAUUGUACAAUCUGCCGUGAUCUGUUGAAUUUAUGAUGUAAUCAUAGGUGAUAACUCAUUUGUUGGUGUUGUUGUUGCUGUUUCUGGAAAUUUAUGUGAUUCAGACUCUAUUCCAUUUACUGGCUACAAUACUUAGAUAAUUGAUACUGGUACUUAUGAUCAUAUUGACAGGACUCGCCCCGAAUUUCCUGAAACCCGAGACGAAUUCUGUGGAAAUUCCUGACAUCACCCCGAUGUCGGGCCCACUUCUAAAACUAUAUCCUUUUUCCCCAAAAGGAAUAAAGGCAUAAGACUUUCUACCGAAAUUUCGGUAGAGUCUCCUAUGUAAAUUGAACAUUGCCCAAAAUUUUAACCUGCAUAAAACACAUUUUAUAUUACCCAACUGGCAGCAUGCAUAAAGUAAUAACAUGCAAUUCACAUAAACGGCCUUCGGCCUUCCGAUAAUUGGCAACAAACCACCAAGUACGCUAUCAAAUCAAUUUAUACCUUAAACAAGGCAAACAAUAAAUUCAAUCACACUUAAGAAUGUCAAAGCAAUCCACUACAUUUAAUUUUCUCAACAGCCAACAUACGAGGUUUUAACCUCCUAACACAAACACACUUCGUUCUCACUCAAAUAGCAGGACCAACUUCAAGGUCCGCAUCAUACUCAAUAAUACACAAGUAAAGUUUAAACCGCGGCUGCACCUAGGCACUACCCUAGGCUGCCUACGUACCCUUAUUGAGGGAUCAAGCCACACGUAGUUCUUCCUACUAAAUCCUGAUUUCCAAACACAUACAAUAAUACCUUUAUUCAUCUCUCUGUUAAUCACAUAAUCUUCCCAUACGCCGGAAAUUCCAACUCUACGUAUGGGGUCUGUCAUCACGCCGGAAAAUCCUACGCCACGUGUGACCUAACCAUCAUAUCAUCUCCCUAUACGUCAGAAAUUCCAACACCACGUAUGAGGUCUGUCAUCCAGUCGGAAAAUCCUACGCCACGGGUGACUUGACAAUCACAUAAUCUCUCCAUACACCAGAAAUUCCAACGCCACAUAUAGGGUCUGUCUCAAUGUCGGAAAAUCCUAUGCCACGCGAGACCUAACAAUCACAUAAUCUCCCCAUACGCUGGAAAUUCCAACGCCACGAAUGGAGUCUGUCUCAACGCUGGAAAAUCCUAUGCCACUCGAGACCUAACAAUCACAUAAUCUCCCCAUAUGCCGGAAAUUCCAACGCUACAUAUGGGGUCUGUCAGCAUGCCGGAUAACCUACGCCACGUGUGACUUAACAAUGAUAACAUCUCCCCAUACGCCGGAAAUUCCAACGCCACGUAUGAGGUCUGUCCUCACGCCGGAUAACCUACACCAUAUGGAACCUAACAAUCAUAGGGUGGUACUUAGGGUAGUGCGUAUAGCACUUCAAACCGACAUUCAAAACUCUAUUUAUACCUUUAUAAAUUUAUAUAAAAAUAUAUAUAUUAAGUUCUAAAGUUGUAUAAGCCUCAACCACAAUCUAGCAUCCGAUAAUCCCCCCCAAUUUAAAACAAUAAAUUAAUAUCAUAAACCCACAUAAUCAACAUAACUUAACAACGCUCAAGACCUGUCACUAGUGUCAUUGUAAUCCUCCUAGGAAGGUAAAACUACUUCGGAAGAGUCACGGUCAACUAAGGGUCAAACUACCCAAACUUGGUCAAAUGGGCCCACGGGCCCCACGACCUUCAAAUUCCGAUUCCAACCUACCGAAAUUUCUUAUGGGUUCUACAAGGUUUAGGACACUCGUCUUGCAAGUUUGGUCCAGAUCAGACGGUCGGAUCGCUCACGAUCGCACGAUCGGACGGUUACUAUAAACCUAGCCCUAGGGUUGGUAUUUUCGGAGUAUCCAGGACUCCGUUUUACGAUCCGUCGAAUCCUAUACGAUCUUGAGGAUGUCCAAACUAACAUAUAAUAAAUCUAUGACUAUCCAACGGCUCAAACCUAUUGAACCCAGAUAACGCACAAUAUGCGAAAUCUGUUCAAUAGUCAAACGACGUCCGAAUUGAGAUCCGCGAAAACCUACGCACUCGUGACAACUUGAGGACCUCAUUAGGACAAACUGUAGCUUCACCACCUUUGUCCACGCGCCUGCAGCGCAUGGGUGUGUAGAGUAAAUUCCGAUGAUGGAAAAACUCUACACCACCGCUCACCCUUCCUAUCCUAAAUACUACUCGAGGCAAGGAUCACUUCAUUCAACUACGGGGAGGUCCCAUUUGGACGGCAACUGGCCCAAAUUUCACUUUGAAAUCCGGCCAAAACCUAGGUUUUCAAAUCGGUUUUCUAGACAUCAAAUCGAUCCAAUCCUAUCCCAUAGACAGCUAGAGCUCAGAAAAUAGAUGACAAACCAUACCUCACCCGACGGAAUUGGUGGCUGGAGGAGAAAGAUUGAGCGAUGAGAAGUUCUGUCAAAACCGACUCGUUUUCGACUGAUUCCAGCGAGCACAGUUGACGAUGAUGGCUAAGACUAGUCGGGAAAAGACAAGGGAGAGGUGGUGAUUCGAACGGGACCGGUCUCGAGGCCAGUCGUUGACUGUGGAGGCUGCAAUAGCCUUGAAGGGUGGCGGCUGUAAAAACGAAGGGGAGGGGGGCUGUUCACGAUGGAGGAGAGAGAGAGAUAGAUAGAUAGAUAGAGAAAAAUCUGAAUUUUAUAAAAAUUCCAUUUUGAAAUAAUUACGAUUGUGCCACUGAGUUUCUUUUGACCGUAACUUCCUCGUUACAACUCCAAAUCAAGCCCACUAUGUAUCUAUGAACUCAUCUCGUCGAGCUCUACGCAACGGUAGAGCUGAAAUUCUCAAAUUUCUUCCUGAUCAAAAAGUCAACUUUAAACCCAAUAAAAUAUUCUAUGGGUAUAAUGGUCUUUUAUCUACAUAAAUUAAUAAUUUCCAAUUUAUUUAGGACCGGGUCGUUACACAUAUGACUUAUGAUGCUAUAUUUUUUUAUGAGUUGUCUAGUAAUACUCGUGACCCAUACAUAACUAGUGCUAAUGGCUUGCCCUAUCCAAUUACUGGCGAGGGCAUAAUCUCUCACUCCUACUCUGUCCUUGUCUCGUGUGUUACUCGUUCCCAAUAUCCAUUGUAACUUGUUGUUUGUUGGCCGAUUACUUGAUACACUUAAUGCUUAUGCUACUUUCUAUCCUACACAUUGCUCUUUUCAGGAUCUCAAGACUUGCGAGACGAUUGGGCAUAGUAAACGGAUAGGGGGCUUAUAUUAUUUGACAUUGUCUUCUGCACCAAUUCGUGGUUGUGUCAUUCAUACUGUUCAAAGUUGUAGUGUCAAGGACAAAUAACAAAUUUGGUUAUGGCAUCGUCGCUUGGGACACUCGUCGUUCGGCUAUCUUAAGCGUCUGUUUCCAUCUUUAUUCCGCUCUUGUGACGAGUCCAGUUUUAAGUGUGAGACAUGUAUUUUGGCCAAGAGUCAUCGCACUGUGUUUCUUUUAAGUGACAGUAAAGCUGCAAAACCUUUUGAUUUAGUAUAUUCGGAUGUAUAGGGACCUGCUCGUGUGACUUCUAAUGGUUUCUAUUGGUCUAUUACUUUUAUUGAUGACUGCACUCUCCCCAUAGUCCGGAAUUACCAACGCCACGUAUGGAGCCUGUACGCACGCCGAAAAAUCCUACGCCACGUGGGACCUCAUCAUCAUAUCACAUAGUCUCCCCAUACGCCGGAACUACUAAAGCCACGUAUGGGAUUCGUCUCAACGCCGGAAAAUCCUACGCCACGUGAGACCUUACAAUCACAGGAUGGUACUUACACAAUGUAAUCAAACCAUCUUUAUCUCUUUAAUAUAUAUAUAUAUAUUCCCAAUUUCCCCAAGUUUAAAACAAUAAACUAGUUCCUUAAACCCACUAAUUAACAUAACUCAACUAAUGAUCAAGACCUAUUGAAAGGACUCGCCCCGAAUUUUCUCAAAACCUGAGACGAACCCUUUGGAAGUCCUGACAUCACCUCGAUGCCAGGCCCACUUACUAAAAACCGAGACUUCCUGCCGAAAUUUCGGCAGAGUCUCCCCUAUAAUUUGGACAUUUUCCAAAAUUUAUACCUGCAUGAAAAUGCAUUUAAUAUUCCCAAUUGGCAGCAUGCACAAUAUAAUUUCAUGCAAUUCACAUAAAUGGCCUUCGGCUUUCCAAUAAUUCUUAACCAGUUACCAAACAAUUCAAAUACCAAUUAUGACUAACAUUUAGUCUACGGCUGCGCCUAAUAACCUUAGGCUGCCUACGUACCCUCCUUGAGGGAUCAAGCCACACGUAGUUCUUCCAUAAAACUCAAUUCCACACAUAGGUGAUACCUUAUUUCAUCUCUCUGUAUUUCACAUAAUCUCCCCAUACGCCGGUACAACCAACGCCACGUAUAGGGCCUGUCAACACGCCGGAUAACCUACGCCACGUGCGACCAUGCCAUACUAUCAUCAUAUCUCCCCAUACGCCGGUACAACCAAUACCACGUAUGGGGUCUGUCUCAACGCCGGAUAACCUACGCCACGCGAGACCUGCACAUCAUAUCACAUAACUCCCCAUACGCCGGUACAACCAACGCCACGUAUGGGGCCUGUCCCAACGCCGGAUAACCUACGCCACGCGGGACCUCAACAUCAUAUCACAAAUCUCCCUAUACGCCGGUACAACCAACGCCACGUAUGGGGUCUGUCGACACGCCGGAUAACCUACGCCACGUGCGACCUCAACACAAUAUCACAAUAGCUCCCCAUACGCCGGUACAACCAACGCCACGUAUGGGGCCUGUCUCAACGCCGGAUAACCUACGCCACGUGAGACCUAACUUUCACUUGGUGGUGCUUGUAGUGAAUCCAACAUCCAGGGAGGUACCUAAAGUAGUGCGUAUAGCACUCCAAACUGACAUUCUAGACUCUGUUGUACCCAUGUACAACCAUAUAUAAUUAUAGUUAUAUAAAUUAAUUCUAAUAUUGUGUAACCUUCCACAUUCAUCUAGCACCCGAUAAUCCCCCUUAGAAAGGUGAGAUUACUCCGGGAGACUCACGGUCAACCAAGGGUCAAACUACUCUAACUCUGGUCAACCGGACCUGCAGAACCCACGACCCCCAAUUUCCGAUCCGAAAGUCUCUAUGGGUUCUACCAGGUAUAGGACACUUGUCCUGCAAGUUUGGUUCAGAUCGGACGGUCGAAUUUCUCACGAUCGCACGAUCUGACAAUUAAUAUAAAAUAUAAACUUUAAAAUUAUUAAUCGAAACAUCCGGGGCUCCGAUUCACGAUCCGUGAAUUCCUACACGAUCCUAGAAUUACCUAGAUUAACAUAUAUUAAAUUUGGGACCAUCCGACGGUCCCAACCUGUCGAACCCGGAUAACGUACAAUAUACGAUCGUCCGUUCGAUAGUCAAACGACGUCCGAAUUGAGAUCCGCGAAAUCCUAUGCACUCGUGACAACCUAAGGAUCUCAUCGGAAUACAGUGCUACUUUUUCUACAGUGCCCAAAGCGAUAACGCUUCGCCGGAAAAUCUCAACAUCACGGCUCCAAAAUUCCUACUCUAGGUAUAACACCCUAUUUGGAGCCACUUUUGUUCUUGGACCUACCCCAAAAAGUGGCCGAAAAUGGCCGAUCACGGCAGCCGAAGUUUCGGCCGAUUUUCAAUUCGAAAAUCGAGUUGUCUACGCUAAGAAUCGAUCUAAUCCUACCCAACCAUCAGCUAGAGUAGCUCGAGAGGUUCAAAAUCCAUACCUGGGUCGACGGAAUUGGUGGCCGGAGGAGGGAGAUCGGCGGCUUUGAAGUUUGGACGACGUCGGCCGCUUCAUCUCCAGAUUCCGGCGAAUCCGCGGCGGCUGGCGGCGGGAGGUGGCUGGGGUAGGAAGAGGACGACGGCCCGGUCAUUUUGGUACCGGUCCCGUCGUCAUUGGUGGCCGGAGGAGAGCACGGCCGGCCAAAACGUGGCCGGCGGUCGUCGCGCGCGAGAGAGGAGAGAGAGAGAUCGCGCGGAGGAGAGAGAGAGAGAGAGAGAGAGAGAGAGAGAGAAAACCAGAUUUUUAUAAAAAAAAGUCCCAUUUUGAAAUAUUUACGAUGUGCCACUGGGCUUCUUUUGACCAUAUCUCUCUCGUUACAACUCCGAUUCAAGCCCACUACGUGUCUAUGAACUCGUCUCAGUACGACCUAUCCAAAAAUACAAGUCACGGUCCCAAACUCUCUCCGGUUAAAAAUAUGACUAAAAUACCCUUAAAUAAUGAAAUAAUUAAAUAAGGGUUAAAUUUGGGGUCGGGGUGUUACAUCUAUCACCAGGAUCAUUAUAAUCCUCCGAGGGAGGUGAAACUACCUCGGAAGACUCACGGUCAACCAAGGGUCAAACUACCCAAAUUUAGUCAAACGGGCCCACGAGACCCGCGACCUCCCGAUCUGAAAGUUCCUAUGUGUUCUACAAGGUUUAGGACACUCGUCAUGCAAGUUUGGUCCAGAUCGGACGAUCAGAUAGCUCACGAUCGGACGGUUAUUAUAAACAUAAACUUUAAGUUAUUAAAUCGGAACAUCCGGGGCAAAGAUUCACGAUCCGUGAAUUCCUACACGAUCCUAGAAUUGCCUAGAUUAACAUAUAUUAAUUUUAAGACUAUCCAACGGUCUGAACAUGUCAAACCCGGAUAACGCCUAAUAUGCGAUAUGCGAUAUCCGAUCGAUGAUCAAACAAUAAUCAAAUUCAAAUUCGAGCAUACCGUCACGCUCGAGACGACGAGAGGGUUAUUUUAGAACUCUAAGACAAGCCACCACAUGGCCCACGCGCUGACAGCGCGUGGUUGUCUAGAGAAAUUUCCAGCGGCGGGAAAAACUCCAAACCGCCAGCCAAGACUCCCAGGUUAGGUAAAUCACAUGUAGUGGAACAACUUUUGUUCUUGGACCUACCCCAAAAAGUCGACGGAAGUGGCCGUCGGAGGCCGAAACUGGCCUAAACUUCUAUCGCUUAAUUGACAACCAAAAUGCAGCAAUUGAUCCUAAAUAACCCAACCAGCAGCUAGAUCAGAUUGAGGGGAUGGAAAAGCAUACCUAGAUCGCAUGAUUUGGUUACCGAAAACGUCCGAACGAGCUUCCGAAAAAUCCGCAAAAAACCUUUCGGAUUUCUGCAAUUUCCGGCCAGCACCAGCAGUUCCAGCAGCUGAGGUUGGUCGGAAAAGGAAGAGGAGGUGGCAGCGGUUUGAACAGGUCCGGCCUCGUUGCCGGUGGUGAUCCGUGGUGGCAACUGUGGCUCUUGGAAGCCACGGCUGUGCAGAAAAAUGAAGGGGGAGGGGGCUGCGCGCGUGGGGAGAGAGAGAAAGUGAGAGAGAAUCAGAUUUAUCAAACCUUUUUUUGCCAAAAGUACGAGUAUGCCACUAAGGGUAAUUUGAUCGUAUCUUCUUCGUUACAACUCCGAUUCGAGCCCAUUACGUGUCUACGAACUCAUCUCGCUGUGCUUUACACAACGGUACGGUUGAAAUUCCCAAAUUCCUUCCCAGUCAAAAAGUCAACUUUAAACCUAAUAAAAUAUUCUAUGGGCAAAAUGGUAUUUUCUCUGAAUAAAUUAGUGUUUACUAAUUUAUUUAGGACCGGGUCGUUACAAUACCCAAAAAUUUCCUGUGUCAGAAUCAACACAUGGCAGCAGAGAAAGAAAGGGGAAUAGGACAAAAUAGUUGGUUAUCCAGCUGGAAAUCCUACAGAGCAAGGAUGACUAGUUAUACGAGAAACAGAUGACUAGUCAUCAUUUUAUGAAAUCAAUUUAAUGCAAUGUGAUGGAAUGCACAAUUUACCUUUGUCAAUUUGCUUGAACCUCUAUACGAUAGUUGUUAGUUAAGAACACCUAGAGAAACUAUUCUUAAUCUAAACUUGAGCUUGAUAAAAAUAAUAAAAAUCUUAUUACAAGAUUAUCAAGGAAAGUGUUGUGUCUACCCAAGUGCAAGUAGUCACACGUAGUAAUAAUCUUGGAAGUCCAAGUAUCGUAUCCUCAAGGAGCAGGUAGGCAAAUAUCUGCACACAAAGAAAUAAUUAAACAUACCACAAUAAAAGUGACAAGCAAAAUGGAAAAGUUAUUUAUUUGAUUGUUGUGAAAAUUGAAUUUAAAAAUGAAAUAUCAAUAAUGGAAAUGCUAAGGCAUCAAGGUUCAAUUCUUUAAACAAAAUAUGUUUCAUGCUCUUUACUCCAGAUUAUAACUCGAUUAAAAUCAUCAUCGAGAAACUUUAACCGGAAGAUAAAGAAAUUAAAACCAAUUUAAUUUUUCAAUGUAAUCUUUUAUUAAUGAUUGUUCAGAAAAUGGAAUUGCUUAAUAUCUACUCUUUUAAUUUAAAAGCAUGCCAAGUCAGUUCUUAACAAUGAGAAAAAUAAAAUUGAACUCAUGAAAAGGUAAUAGCACUUAACAUCAAUCAAAAUAAAAGGAUAUGAAAAUAUUGAACAACCAAAAAUAAAAGAAUUUAGCAAUUCAUACCGUAUAUUGGAUUAAAGAACAAUUCACAAACUUACUUAAAGAACAUUCCCUUUAGCCUUAGCUAGAGUUCUAGCAACUCAAUUACAAAGGAAAACAUAAACUAAAUGGAUAAAGAAAUCAGUCAUAGUGGUGCCCUUGCCAAAGAAGUUGAUGGGUAAUUUAUAGUGAAUGAGGUGAGUGGGAAGUUAAUACAUGGGUAAUGAAGGGUUUAAGUAAGGGAUUAAUUGGAUUAAACAUUGGUUGAUGGUGGAGAGUUAGUGGAAAAGAAAUAACGGUGAGGUAAAUAGGCGUUAAAUGGCUAUGAAUGACAUGAAAUAGGCUCUUUAGCUUCAACGGUUGUGUCUUCUCUUCUCCCUCUUUACUUCUCUUUAUAAUCACAAUAAUCCAACAAUCAAUUCUUCAAUAAAAUCCGCCAGCAAUUCUCUUCACACCUAGCUUGAACUUGGACAAAUGUAUGUCUUCAUCUUUUGGCUUUCUAACUUCCUACCGAAGAUAAAUUCACCUAAUAAGUUCACCAAAUUAAUAUAGAAAAUUCAUAAAUCCAGUUGAUGAGAAUAAAAUGUAACAAUAAGUGAAAUUAUAUUUAUUAAGUCAAAAUUAUAUCAUAAAGUCUCCAAAAUAAUAUUAAAAAUAUAUAAUUUAAGACUCUCAUCACAAAGCCAAAAGAAAAACUCAAAAUGCAUACAUUAACAGUUUUGCCAUAUUGAAUUAAUGUCUUCUAGCUAUGUACCUUAUCUUUUUGCCGGGCCAUGAGUUGAAUGUAGAGGCAGAGCAUGGACUUGGGUCAAGUUUGACUUGUAAAAUAAUUAGGAAUUGAAUGGCUCCUACGUUCAAUUAUUUUAUUAUUAUUAUUAUUUUUUGUCCGAGCCAUUCAAUUCCUAAUUAUUUAGAUUUUUGAUCUAGUUAGCAUCCACAAUCAUGCUCUCUAUUUUUUUUUUUUGGUCAUAAAUGCCAUAACUCUUUUUUUAUUGGUCCAUCUCUAUUAAAAAAUAAAAUAAAAAAUAGUUAGCAUUAAAUAAAGGUUUGAAAUUCUCAUUAAAUAAAGCAGCAUUAAAUUAUAGGGAGCAACUAGGAGUCAUUUCUCUCUCCUCAAGUUUAGGAGCUCCUACAGGUCUCCCUAUUUUAGGAGGUAGAUAGGGAGCAUUGUUGGAGUUGUAUUUUUACAAUUUCUCCCUAAAAUUUGUCUAAGGAUGUGGUUUAGGGAGCCCAUUGUGGAUGCUCUCAUCUCAAGGAAAGAAAACCCCAAGUUUGCAAGUAAUUUUUCUACGUAUGUAUAUAUGAAAAACUGACAUUUAUGAAAAUAAUAAACCCAUAUUUUUAUGUAAGCCAACUUUCUAAAUUCAUGUACUGAUAUUUAUUAGGGAAAUAUUGGAGAAACUGAUUAUUUUGAAAAAUUAAAUGUGAAAAACUGAACAAAAUUUUGACGGGUUACAUAUGUCAACUCAUUCAGCAGCUUAGGUUGUGAAGACCUAAGCAACAACCCUAGUGCACUGUCGAUCACUUCAGUGUCUACCGAUUUUCCUUUCCAUAUUGUUAGAUUAUUCCCUGCUGUAACACUUGCAUUUAGAAAAUAAUAGUACAGCUCUUAUUAGCAACAGUUUUACACACUUGCAUGAAUCUCACUAUGUUAAAGCAAUCACAUAGCACACCUUUAUUGAAAACAAAGCUAGCCCUGAUCCACUCCUUUACAUACUUAAAAACAAAACAAAACGAAAAAAAGAUAGGGAGAAAAUGGCUACGGACUUACUGCCGACAAAAAGAGAUAAUAGCGAACACUGUUUGUAUGACAGUGAGUAUGAGAAGAGUAACCGCUGCAAAGAGAGAAAAAGCUGCCCAGGCCCAGGGUGAGUUGAAAUACUUUUGGCUCAAAUAUGCCAACCAUCUGUUCCUGCACUUCUUGCAGUACUUGUUUAGAUUGUCAGCAAGACCACCAAAAUAGAAAUUUUGCUGGUCCGGAGCAACCCCCUUGCAAAGUUGGUUAAUCAUAGUAGAAACCUUAUUGUUGUCACCUAGUGUGUUUACAACAAUUUCACUCUCAACAAGUAAAUCUACAUCCCUUUUGGUUUUUACAAAUUUAUCCAGGAGGAAAACAUAAUCGCUUAAGUAAUUGUCUGUGCAAUGGCAUUGUUCAAAGGCAAUGAGAUUUCUGAGUAUAAGCUCUGUGUCAUCACGUAUUUCUAGUUUUGGAAUUUUCAGAGUUCCAUUAUGGAACUGUAUCGCGAAUAAGUCGUUGCUUGACUCCAGACGACUUGAUUCCGGACGAAACUUAACUCUGGCCUGGUGUAGUUUUGUCACGCUGGGUAUACAUGGGAGUUCUCCAGCUUCUGAGGUACCGGUAUCCAAAUAUUGCACAUGUAAAGUUCUAAUAAAAUCAACAAAAUGUAAAGGUGGUUCAGUCCCCUCCACUUCGUCUUCCGACCUCUGUAAACCCACUACCUUUUUGAAGAAAUGGUAAGAGAGCUUAAUCAUUGAAGGCCUCUCAGUCUCAGAAUUCUUAACUCUGACUUUGCUUGCAUCGAAAAGAUCCUCAAGAAUGAAAAAUGGCAGCUAAUUUUCGGGCAAAAGCAUGUCGGGCACUAUAUUUGUUAACAUUUAUGGUUUUUUAAAUAUCCAGUCAUUAUAUCGUCUCGCAAUUCUUGGAAAUGGUACCUCAACAAUAGCUCAAUGACAAAGGCAGCAUCAACUAGAAUGAUACUUACAAACUUGUCGCUACUCUUGAAGUGCUGAGCGUUUCCAUAACGACCACGGAGUUCAUCUUCUUGGGCCUUUAUUUUCUCUGCAUAAUCCUUCAAGCUAACCUUAUUAUUCCGAUGAAGAAAAUUUUGUAGGUACCUCGGUUUGUACUCUUCCAUGGCUUCUAAUUCUUUGUUGUCAUGGUGAAUUGGGCCUAUUGAGACUACUUCCGGGGUGUAAGCGUUAUUUCUGCCCCGUAGUCACGAAGGAACCCUGUAGAUACAGCACUCAUCAGAGGGCCUAUUGAGACAAACUAUCCAACCGCCGCUUCAAAUCUGCUACUGGGGUUUUGUGGUUUUCUACGCCAUGUGGAGCUCCAUUGCUGCAUCCUUCCACUUCUAUUAUGUGUUGUUCUGAUUGUAAGUGAUGAGGGUUAUUGGCACCAGGGGCGGAUCUAGCCCUUUUUUGGCUAGGCAGCCACCCAGUCGAGAAUUUUCAUAAAAACAAAAUAGGUACGUAUUGUUGUAAAUGUAUGAGUUGGUGGAUGACCACCAUACCUCUUAGCAUUCACCUUUUCUAAUUCUAUGUAACUAUACACUAAAUGCCAUAGUUAUGGACUUGUAACUUAUGAGUUGUUAAUGUUUUCUUACGUGUAAGCCUAUAAAUAAGAGGGCUAUCUUGGCAUAUGUGUUCGUCACUAACUAUAUAAUUUAAGUUGUUUUCAGUGACUAAUUUAAAUAAUUGUCAGAAAAUUUGGUCAUUAAAAAUUAAAAAAUAAGGGUCAAUUAUUUUAGUGACCAUGAAGUAUUAUUAGUCAUUAAAUUCAUUGUAUUUGUGACCAUUAUUUAUGUGGAAUUGGUCACUACUGACCUUUUUUCUUGUAGUGUACAUUCUUGCCUUAAUACAGUUAGGCUUAUUUUUAUACUAAUUUCUCUAACAUAACUUUUGCACAUUCUUUUUAUAUUAUAAUAAAUAAUCUUACCCAGUUGAGUUAUAAACCAUUUUCUUUUAGCACGGAAAAUCGACAUUUUGACAGAGAGUUGAAAAGCACUCCCCAAUUUUAAUGUCAACCACUUGGAAAAAAAAAACAUAAAUUUAAUGACAACAAUUACAUUUAGCAAUGCAACCUAAAAACUCAACCUUUGCGCUCCUUUCACCACGCAGAUAGCAGGGUGAGGAUAUUCGAAUAAGAACGAAGACAGAAGCUAAAGGAAUUGCGAUAGCUAACCAUAGUCUGCAUUUCUUACCAUCUGAACAAUGCCACCAUUUUGUUUGGUAAGUAUUUAAUAACAUUUCUUGCUCUACAUAAAGUAAUAUUAAAGCGAAAUUUCCCUAAAUUUUUCUUACCAACAAUCCAUACCCAAGAAAAGGGGAGAUUCACUAUUAUACUCAAUAUAGGAGCCCAACUUAUUUAUAAUAAUUAUAAAAAAAAACCCUCUAUGAAAUGGACUUUAGAAACACACCUAAAACCUAUUUACAACAAAACAAAAAGACUUUUAACUUUUUUUAAAUUACAAAACUGUCAUUGAUUUCUUAAACAAACCCAACCCCAAAACCUCAUAAAAAAGCCCAAAUACUCAAUAAAGCAGCAAAGUAAUUUAAUAAUAAAAAUUAAAUUCAAUAGAGUCAGCUGUUAUUUUUUGGGUUAUUUUUUAUUUGUUUAUAGAAAUUAAAGAGUGCUGCUAAAAGAACCCUAACAUUAACUAAAUACACCAAAUGAUCUAAGUACACCCUAAUAUUUUAAUUAAAAUACAAAAUUAACUAAGUACACCUUAUUUAACUACCAAAAUUACCCGUGUUACACCCUAAUACACUCUAUCACUGUUCACCCGUUUAGUUUUUGCUCCUGUGAUGGAAGGGUAAAGUUCCCCACUGCCUUGGAAACCAUUGACUGGUCAACAAGUCAGCUUUCUUUGCUAUGUGAGCGUGCCACUGUUAGCAAUGAAAAUCCUAACAGACUUCUUAAAAUGGAUACUUGCGCCCAAGUUACUGAUUUCUAAACAGUGAUUGUGAUUUGGGUGAGGAAUAUCUCCAAGUAAGUUCUUUUCCUGCAUCAGGCUGGUGAAGACUUUAUAAUUUUCACAGUAUAAAUUGGUAGUUCUUGCCAGAAUAGAUGAUAUAAAGUGGACGGUUUUUAGGCAGAACUGCGUUUUACAAAAUUAAGAAGGAAAAAUCAACUCUAAAAAGACAAAAAGAUGGCUGGAAUCCCACUUCUGCCUGGGUAGAAACUUCAGAUCCGGGCUGGACCGAAUACAUUCAUGAUGGACUGAGCUGUUAACAACUUCAAUUGCUUAGCUUUAGCUGUAAAUCGAUACCAAAGUUCAAUUUUGGCAGAGCUUUAAUCUACUUCAAGCCUUGGAAGGCUUUUGAGCGGGCAGAACUGCCGUCUCUUCUGGCUAAAAGAGGCAGAAAUGGCUGAAUUUGAGGUUUACUGAGCUGGAACUGCACUGUUGUACCUGUUCUGCUUGGUCAGGGCUUUCCAUAAAUUUGUUGAGGUUUUCAUAUUUGUGAAAAACUCAAACUCUGCUUGUUUUGGCUUUUGCUGAACCAAAUUUGUAACGAGAGAAGUCUUGUUUUGAAUGACUUUUCUCUAAGUUUGAGCUUUUGAAAUUCUAGGAGAGAGAGAGAGAGAGAGCUUUUGAUUGCUCCAGUUUGUUUGAAGGUUCUCAAUGAUCAAGUGAUCAUUUUGAGUUUUUGCCUUUAGCUUAUUUUUGGUUGUUUGUUUGAUUAUCCUUUGCUCUAUUCACCUUCUCCUAUAUUUAUAAGAAAUGCUUUGAAGUAGGGUUUCUUUCUUUUAAUAAUGGGCGGCCAAAAUUCUCAAAAGGUCUUUCAUUUUUUUAAAUACGAAGAAAAAGGGGUUUUCUCAAUUUUGGCAAAUAAGUUCUCAACAGUCAAUUCCAUUGAAAGAGAACCUGACUUUUCUUUAAUUCCCAACUGCCCUUGUGAGAGCUCAAUCGUGAUGGUCAGUUUGCUUCUCCAUUUUGAACAACUUCCUGUUUCCUGUUUAUCUUUUUAGAAAAUACAAUCUGGGUAUCCCUUGAAAGAUGGUGCCUUUUUUGGAGUAGAAACAAUGUCUCUAAAUAUAAAAGGGUUUUUUUUUUAUCUUUUGGUGGCAAAGAUUUCAAAGACGUCCCUUCUUUUCGCCUGCCUCUGUCAACUUUUUAUCAACCCAGUUGAAAUUGUUGACUUUCCUAAAUCAAAAAAAGAGAUUCACGUGGGUCUGUUCCUUUUGGCUCCUUCCUCUCUUUUAAUCAUGCCUAACCUCUUUUGAUUUUACUGGAGCCAUGGGCUGAUUGCUUCUCUUUUCGAGGCCCAAGUUUAUUUGCAGAGCCCAAACUGCUUGGGCCCUGUGGUUUUGUCUUUGUUGUUUUUGGGCUUUUUAGGCUGGACGUGCCAAAAUUAGGCCCAAACAAUGUCCCCUAAGUUUGAAUCGUUUCUAGAACGGUUCGAGAUUUAAUGAUUUUGGCCAUUAAUUCGUGCGCGCCAACUUCUUUCGUUUAAUGCACGUCUGCCUACCACGAGCUAGACUUCAUGGGAAACUGUUUUGUUACUAGCUAGUUACUUAGCUAGUUAUUAUCAUAUGGCGUCUCGUCUUCCUCUUCCCACGAUUUCAAGCCCCUUUUUUAAGAAAUUCGAAACUCCAACUUCUGUUUAUUUCAAAAACUAGCUUCUUUUUAGACCUCGACAAUUCUUAGUUUUCCCCAGAAUUCUCACUUUUUCUUCGACCAGACUCUGCCUUUCUUAUCAUUUCCUUUCCUAGUUCAACACUUCUGAUCAUGUCUUCUCCCAAGACUCGUGCUCAAGGUUGGUCCUCCUCAGUUCCUCCUAAUUACAUCACUGGGACUGGGAUUGACAAUCACGCGAUAGAGGUUAGAAGCAAACUGAUAGGACCCGCCCCGAAUUUUCCAAAACCCAAGGCGAAUCCUGUGAAAUUUCCGACAUCACCCCGAUGCCGGGCCCACUUACUAAACACCGAGACUUUCUGCCGAAAUUUCGGCAGAGUCUCCCCUAUAAAUUGGACAUUUCCCAAAAUUUCAACCUGCAUAAAAACACAUUUAAUAUUCCCAACGGGCAGCAUGCACAAAAUAAUUUCAUCCAAUUCACAUAACGGCCUUCGGCCUUUCAAUAAUUUUCAACAAACUACCAAGCACACUAACAAAUCAAUUCAUGCCUCAAACAAGGCAACCAAUAAAUUCAAAUAUGCAUUAUGACUACCAAAUUUCGACAUGCAUCAUUUUGCUUUUCCAAUCUCAAUAGAUGAGGUUUUAACCUCCUAACACAAUCACAUCUAUGUUCGCGGCUGCACCUAAUAACCUUAGGCUGCCUACGUACCCUCACUGAGGGAUCAAGACACACGUAGUUCUUCCUUAAACCCAAUUCCACACAUAGGCAAUACCUUUAUUCAUUUCUCUGUAUUUCACAUAAUCUCCUCAUACGCCUGUACUACCAACGCCACGUAUGGGGUCUGUCAACACACUGGGUAACCUACGCCACGUGCGACCUCACCAUAUUAUCACAUAAUCUCCCCAUACGCCUGUACUACCAACGCCACGUAUGGGGCCUAUCGACACGUUGGAUAACCUAUGCCACGUGCGACCUCAACAUAAUAUCACAUAAUCUCCCCAUACGUCAAUACAACCAACGCCACGUAUGGGGUCUGUCUCAACGCCGGAUAACCUACGCCACGCGAGACCUGAACAUCAUAUCACAAUAGCUUGCCAUACGCUGGUACAACCAACGCCACAUAUGGGAUCUGUCGACACGCCGGAUAACCUACCCCACGUACGACCUCAAUAUAAUAUCACAUAAUCUCCCCAUACGCCGGUACAACCAACGCCACGUAUGGGGUCUGUGUUAAAGCCGGAUAACCUACGCCACGCGAGACCUGAACAUCAUAUCACAAUAUCUCUCCAUACUCCAGUACAACCAACGCCACGUAUGGGGUAUGUGGACACGCCGGAUAACCUACGCCACGUGCGACCUCGAUAUAUUGUCAGGUAAUCUCCCCAUAUGCCGGUACUAUCAAUGCCACGUAUGGGACCUGUCCGCAAGCCGGAUAACCUACGCCACGUGGGACCUAACUUUCACAGGGUGGUACUUGUAGUGUAACCAAAAUCCGGAAAGGUGCCUAGGGUAGUGCGUAUAGCACUUCAAACUGACAUUCUAGACUCUUUAUACCUUUACAAACAUAUAUAAACAUAUAUAAUUUAAUUCUAAUUGUGUAAACCUCAACAAUAGUCUAGCACCCAAUAAUCCCCCUAGGAAGGUGAGACUACUCCGAAAGACUCACGGUCGACCAAGGGUCAAACUACCCUAACAUUGGUCAAACAGGCCCACGGGGCCCACGACCUCCAAAUUCUGAUCCGAAAGUUCCUAUGAGUUCUCCGAGUUAUAGGACACUCGUCCUGCAAGUUUAGUCCAGAUCGGACGAUCAGAUCGCUCACGAUCGCACGAUCUGACGGUUAAUAUAAAACAUAAACUUUAAAUUAAUAAAUCAAAACAUCCGGCACUCCGAUUCACGAUCCGUGAAUUCCUACACGAUCCUAGAAAUACCUAGAUUAACAUAUAUUAAAUUCAAGACCAUCCAACGGUCCCAACCUAUCGAACCCAGAUAACGCGCAAUAGGCGGUAUCCGUUCGAUAUUUCCCUUUAAUAAUUUAAAUAAGGGAUUUAAUUUGGAGUCGGGGUGUUACAAUCUACCCUCCUUAUAAAAAUUUCAUCCUCGAAAUUUCAUACCUGCUAGAAGAGGAAUCUGCCAGAACUGACUUUAGGAAGAAGUUCCUGAGUGUCACUCUGCCAAGAGAUCUGCCCCACGGAGGUGGGAAGCCUCCAAACUAUCAUUUGGGAGCAGAAGUCUAUCAUCGCAACUUCUGUGCAAGGCAACUUGGCUGCCCCAGCUUAUUCCACUAAAAUCAUACAGAAGCUGCAAUCGGGCCACUUCCUUGAGAGAUGCGGAUGAUCUGGAAGUGCACAAAGAUGCUAGAUGUGCAGUAAACAAGAUAAAUAACAGCGCAGAUGCCCUCUAUCCAGCCUGGGAACUGAACUCCUGCAGUUCUGCCGAUUUUGACGCUUGGUGGAAAUCCAGGUUUCAUGGUCUGCCAGCCUCCAUUGCUGCACUCAAGGUGAUUUUUGAGGGCUGGGACUCCUGGACUGUCUACGCGGAGGUGGAUGCCAAGAACUUCAUGGUGCAGACCAUCAAAGACAUUAAUGCCCAGGGUAUAGAAGGUAACUUUCAAUUCUGUCUGUCUUGCCUAUUCUGUCUCUUAGUGAUGAUGCCUAACAGUUUUGUUCUGUAUAUAUCAGACCCUUAUUUGACAGAAAACAUAGGUGGACAGUCUGUCCAAGCUGGAGAUGUGAUUGGUAAGUUUUUCACUAUUCUGUUCCUUUCAUUAUUUUCUUGCUUGAUUGACUUCUGACUUUGUCUAUUUCUUGUGUAGUCAUUGCUGUCAUUGCUGCUGGGACUUGGAGCUUCCCUCUGGAGAUGAAGAGGAUCUAGCUGCUGAGGCUAUUCCUUUUGGCAGAACAUCCAGCUGCUGAGGCCAUUCUUUCUAGCAGAAGGAAGAGAAAGGAAAUUUCUUCUGCCCAGCACAGUGCUGCUCAGCCUGCGACUUCAGGUAAGUUCUGACAGUUUGAGCUUUUCGUAAUUCUAUUUUGUCCUAUUCUGCCUUAUGUUCUAAUGGUUUAUUGUCUGCUUAUUGUAGCUGAAAGUUCCUCUCCUCCUCCUACUAAGUCAAAAAGACUUAAAAAGAGGACUGUGGUGGAAUAUAUGGCCAUGGAGGAGUCUGCAGCAGUUCCCACCAACACUUCUGGGACGGAUGAAGAGCUGAGAGAGGCCUUCAAGACAGUGGAAUAGGAGAAAGAGCUAGAAGAAACAGAAGAAGAACCUCAAGAAAAGGCAAAAGAAAUGGAAGAAAAUGUGAGUAUUGUUUUCUGGCUAUGUCAGCUUUUCUUUUGUUUCUUCAUUUCCUCUGUUCUGACUUCUGUCUAUGUAUAGAAGGAAAUCCCCGCUGAAGUGAUUGCAUAGAGCAUUGCUUUGGCGCAGAGGCAGCAGGAGAAUCAAAGGGCAGAGCUGACCAGCUCGGAGUUGGCCCUUUUUGAAGACGCAGAGGCAGAACACUCAACUGUUGUUCCAGCAGCUGAGGAGCAGGUGGAGCAGUCUGCAUCAGAGCCUGUGGAGCGAGCAGAACUACCUGUUGCAGUCCCAGCACCUGGAGUGGAAGUGGCUGCUGUUGUUCCCGAAGUUGUGGUAAUUUUUAUUCUACUUCUGUCCACCUGUUUCCUGCAAUUCUGUUCUGUCUGUGCUUCCUUAUCUAUUAGUCUUUUCAGGUAGAAGUGCCUAGGCCUGCUGGGGUUUUGGCAGUGGUGACCAGCCCCUUGAAGCCUCUCAUCGUUGCUGUAAGUGUUAAUGCAUUCCUGGGCUUUUUCUUUUCUGUCUCUGCCUAGUUCCUACUCUUGUUCUUUUCUGCAUAUGCCUAUCCAUUCCCUUCCAAGUUCAUCUGCCACAGCUUCCUAUGCUGAUUCGGAGCUGGCAGAAUUUGAGGCUCUGGAUCUGAACGCCCAGCUAGACAAGCUGAACCCUAAACCCUUGAGAAACUCAGCUCCACUCCUUGCAAGGCAAAGUCCAAGGCAGUGGAGGAGGCUAUGGAGAGACUGAAGAUCUGGCAAUCAACUGAUCUGGAGCUGGAUAAGGACAGGGAAGCUGUUGACCAAUUGAUGAAGGAUCUGGACCUUCUGCACAGACAGAACAUGGCCCCCAAACCCAUACUUGAGAUGAGCCUUGGCUUGGGAAGAGAUGUGCUCAACCUCCACGACCGUUACGAGGAUCUCAAGCCCACCUUCAAGACCUCUGAGUUCUGCAAAGCCACCCAUAAAGCCAACUUGGCUGACUAUGCAAAGCAGAAGGCAGAACUGGACCAGAUGGUUGCAGGAUACAAGGAAGCCAAAGCCACUAUAGACAAGUUGGAGAAGCAGAUUGAAGAGCUUCAAAAACAAUUGGCAGAGUGCAGAGAGGUGCAGAGCAGGCUCGGGGCUAGACUGAGCUCUAAGACCAAGGCCACCUUCCUUGUGUAGAAUAUGGUUUCAGCUUCUAGGCCAGCUUUGGAAAUUGCAGAGGCUUCAAUCCACCAGGGGUGCUACUUCAGAAGGAACUCUCCAUUAAAAAGGCCAACUUGCAAGAAACCCUUAGGAAAUUAGGGUUUUAGAUUCUAGUUUUUUUUUAAAGAAAUGUAAUAAAUAAUUUAGCCAUAAAAAGUGGCUAUAUUUAAAUAAAAGUUCAUUUAUUUUUGUGGGAAUUCCAAAUUCUUUCGACAAAAAGAAAAGAGAGAAAAAGUAAUUUAAAGCAUACUUAACAAAUUACAACGAAAAUGAAAGUGAUCAGAAAUUCAAACAACAGUUUUAUCUUGCUGUCUCUCUAUUCCGGGAUCUGUCUGUACCGCCUGUGAAUCCCACAUAGUUGGAUAGAACUUUUUUAACCAUUUGUCAUUAAUUGGUGCAGUAUGGACAUCUCCAUCUCGAUCAUGUAAUCUGUAUGCCCCCAUUCCAAGGAUCUGAUUAAUUAUGAAAGGACCUUCCCAUGUAGGUGACCAUUUUCCAUAACCAUCUAUAUGCGUUCCAAGGGGCAGAACUGCUUUCUAGACUAUUUCCCCCUCUUCAAAACUCUUGUUCUUGACUCUUUUGUUGUAAGCCCUUGAUACAGCUUCCUUUCCUGCUAAGAGUUUGUUGAGGGUAUCGAUCCUGCUUGUAUCCAAUCCUUCCAGUUCUAGCAUCAUAGCUUGAGAGUAGUCUUCUCCAACCAAACUGUGUUGAUGAGCAAUUCUGAGGGAUUGGACUGCUAUCUCCAUAGGCAGAAUUGCAUCGUGGCCAUAGGUGGUCAUGCCAGUUGCUUCUCUUCUUGAAGUUCUAUAUGCCCACAGAGUUUCUGACAACUUCUCAUGCUACUAUUUUGGAUUUUUCUCAAGCAUUUUUCUGAUAAUGUUGAUGAUCACCUUGUUACUUGAUUCUGCCUGCCCAUUAGCUUGGGCAUAAUAAGGGGUGGAUUGAAGCAGUUUGAAUUUAAAUGCUCCUGCCAUUUCCAACAUUUCUCCAGAUAUGAAAGAAGAUCCCCUAUCAGUUGUGAUUGAUUCUGGAAUGCCAAACCUUUGUAUAAUCUGCUCUUCUAUGAAAGUGAUGAUUUCUUGAGAUGCUGUGGACUUAACAGGCUUGGCUUCCACCCAUUUGGUAAAAUAAUCUGUAGCUACAAUAAUAAAACAGUGUUGUUUGCUACUGGCUGGAUAAAUCUUACCAAUGAGAUCCAUUGCCCAUCCUCUGAAAGGCCAUAGUUUUACUACUAGAUUCAUGGGAACUGAAAGAGCCUGCUGGAUUAGCCGAGCCAUUUCCUUUUAUGCUACCGAUUUCUUUUAUGCUACUGAGCCGGGCAAAACCAAUAAAAUAAAGAAAGGCAACGAAUUUAUUAACCGAGUAUAAAGGAGAGAGAGGGAUUCGAACCCUCGAUAGUUCUUUGUUUCGAACUAUACCGGUUUUCAAGACCGGAGCUAUCAACAACUCGGCCAUCUCUCCGAAAUAAAAUUUAUAUUUUAUUCCACCUAAUAGAACAUGGACAUAUGAGUUGAUACGAUUACUAUCUAUAGAAAGAUAUCAGGUGUGAGUCUAUAGGUCUAUCUAUCUGUAUAUAUAUAUAUAAUAUAGAUGCAUGAUCCAGCAAGCAUGCCCCUGAAGUUGACUUACGCUCAAAUGUAGAAGAAUCAGCCAUGGCAAAUAGGUAGCUGAAUUGCAGCGGAAUAGAUGAGCAACGGUGUCACUCCCCCUCAUAUCCAACGAUGUAUAAGAGUCGAGAUUUGGAGAAAGCAAUACCGAAAAAUAAAGUUGCAGAACUCAAAUAAAGUUGCAUCUAUCUCCCCAUCAAAUCCGACACUGGUAAAGGGUCGAGAUUUGAAAGAGGAGAAAUUGAAAUAAUAGUAAAGAGACUCAAACAUGCAGUCUCAUGGCAGAAACAAAUGCAAGAGGGGAAGAUGGUAGCAUACGGUUGUCCCAUGAAGAAAAAACUUUAGAAAAGGAGAAUAGUAAGGGAGGAAACCCAGCAAAUCAUGAACAGAGACAAAGACAAAGAUAAGGUACUCAAACUGAGAAGCGGAAAGGCAACUCAAGAGAGCAACCGAAGAAGACAGAGGCCCGCAGAACAGUCAAAGGAAAGGCUCGGCGAGUGGUGACGAUGCUCGCGGAGGAAAGCAACGGCUCGGUGAGCAGUGACGAGGCUCACGGAGUAAAGAGACUUGUUAUGAAGUUUCAAAGAUAGAGAAGCUGAGACAUCAAGAAAGACCAUCUGGCAUACAAAGAUGAAAAAUAAAAUUUUUGGAACAGUAGCAAAGAAGCAUGUGAAGGCUAGGUGCGGUGAAAACACAUAUGAAAGGAUGAACAAAAGAAGAUGACUAUACAAGAUGAAGACCCAUGAUGGGUUAGAAAUGAGGAGUGCCAACGACUCUCAAUUUGGCAGAGGCUAUCACAGGUUAGGAACCUGGCUCUGAUACCAUGUCAAACAAAGUAGGGUAAAUAUUCAGUUAUGCUCAGAUAUGCUCAUAUUAUUAUUCUUCUCCAAUAUGGAGAUAUUUAUACAAGUACAAAGAUGUGUUAACCCUAAAUAAAAUAGAAAAUAUAUCUAAAUUACAAUUGGAAGUAAAUCUCUAUUACAAUAUGAGUAAAUAAUAAUUGAUAAGUAACCAAAAUUCUAAUGAAAUAAGGAACUAAAAUCCUAAGUAAGUAAGGACUCGCCAACGAAUAAUAGUACAACUCUUAUUAGCAACAGGUUACAAACUUCUUCUACAACACACCAACAUGAAUCUAGCCCUGAUCAAUUCUUUUACAUACUUGAAAACAAAACAAAACACGAAAAACAAAAAACAAGAAACAAGAUAGGGAGAAAAUGGCUACGGAGAGACUUACCGCUAAUACUUGAUCAAUAACAGAGAUAAUAGAGCACACUGUUUGUAUGACAAUGAGUAUCAGAAGAAUAAUAGCUGCAAAGAGAGAAAUAGCUGCCCAAGGUGUGUUGAAAUACUUUUGUCUCAAAUUUGCCUUCCGUCUGUUCGUGGUCUUCUUGCAGUACUCGUUUAGUUUGCCAGCAAGAUCACCAAAAUAGUAGUUUCCGUGGUUCGGAGCAACUUUACUGCAAAGCUUGUUAAUCAUAAUGGAAACCUUAUUGUUGUCACCUAGCGUGUUUACAACAAUUCCAUUGUCAACAAGCAACUCUACAUCCUUUGGGGUGUUUACAAAUUUAUCCAGGAUGAAAACAUAAUCGCUUAUGUAUUUAUCCACGCAAUUGCCUUGUUCAAAGGCAAUGAGAUUUCUAUGUGUAAGCUGUGUAAUCAUGUAUUUCAAUUUUUGGAAUUUCCAAGGUGUUUUUCUUGAACUGUAUAUCGAAUAAGUUCUUGCUUGAUCCCACGUUAAACUUAACUCCGGCCUGGUGUAGUUUUGUCAUGCUGGGUGUACUUUGGAGCCCUCCAUUUUUUUUUCUUUUGGCAGAUGUAAAGUUCUAAUAAAAUCAACAAAAUGUAAAGGUUUUUUAGGAUCAGGAGGCAUAAAAGACUUACGGAAGGCUGGUGAGUUCUCCAAGUUUUCUAAACGCAGUGCCUGUUGGAAGAACUUGUAAGAGAGUUCAAUUAUUGAAGGCUCCCCAGUCUGAGCACCUGUGAGAUUGUAAAGAUCCUUGAGAAUGAAAAAUGGCAGCUGAUUUACGAGCAUAAGCAUGUCAGGCAAUAUAUUUUGUAGCACCCAUGGUUUUUUAAAUAUCCAAGCAUUAUCAUCCUGCAAUUUUUCUUCCUGAAAUUUUUCUUCGGAUUUAUUCCUCAACAAUAGCUCAAUGACAAAGGCGGCAUCAACUAGACUGAUAUUCACAAAAGCAGCAAUGUUAAACUUCUUAGGGCUAGUUUGGCGUUGCUGUGUUUUAAAAAAAAAUAUGCUUCUGCUGUGCUGUGAAAAUAAUCAGCUGUGAAAAAAAGCUACUAAGCGUUUGGUAAACUGUUUUUGAAAAACUGUUGUGAGUAGUCAAAGUGUUUGGUAAAUUUUUAUCAGAAGUGUUUUUAGUGUGUAUAAUGACCAAAAAGGACAUGAUGAUGAAAUUGUUUGUUAUUUUCUUCAUUCUUUUUCUACUUUUUUUUUUAAAAAAAAAACCCAAUUUCACUACAUAAAUUUUUAUUCUUUUUUAAUUCACACCUUUUUAUCAAAAAAUUUAAUCUACAAUUAACAUACAUAUUUUACCAUAAAUUAUAAAUUACUAUUAUAACAAAAGUAAUUCUAAAUAUUGUUAUAUUAAUAUGGGCUUCGGACAUGACAAAAAUACAAAAAUUGUUCAAUUUUAAAAUGCCCCAAUAGAUCACUACAAUAUAAAAGAAGCUAAUUAGAUGCAUUCAUUAAACUUGUAGCGAUGCUAUUUCUUAAUGCAUUCAUUAGCUUCUUUUUUUGGUUUCCAAUGGUUCUCUAACAAUUUUAACUAAAAAAACAACCAUAAUGCUUUGUGAACAAUAAAUUCAAGUCCAAAUCUACUAAUGCCCACACCAUACAUAUAUACAUAAUUGUUUCUUUCAUAAAACUUGAAGAUUCAAUAGUAAUUACACAGUUUACCAAUCUUGAUUCCAACUAUAUCCAUAAAAUUAAACUAUAAUUAGAAACAGAGGAGCUACAUGUGAUUACUUAUAAAUGUUGCCCACUCUCAUCAUCAUCUUCUUCCUCCUCUGUACUUUGCCUUUCACAAAUGGACAAGACCAGAUGGUAACGUACACGACAUGGUCCACAUAUAGAUAAAUUUUGGGUUCACUGGAGAACAUAAAAGAGUUUUUACACGAAUACAAAGUUAGUUAAGUAGUGAAUAAGGUAAAACUAUUCUGUACAAUUCUAGCUGAUGCAGUCCAAAAAGAAUAUAUGUCUAAUAACUUAAAUAACAAUAAAGAGAAACAAAAACCUCAUGAAAAAUGCUAGAGUAAAAGUUACAUAACUGAAUCGAUGGACAGAGAACUCCACAGGCAGAGAAACAGCAACAAAAAUUGUCAAAACAGUAGCAAGACCAUGUUGGAGUCAAGGCCAAAGAUCAUAUUUCCUGUGUAUCUUCUUCCAUUCUGAAUUAUUCUCGUAUUCAAAUACUGUAACUCUAUUUCAAGUGCACCCCAAAAUACUUAUCUAAGGCCAGUACAUAGGACUUCAUAAAGGGUGCCAUAAAAAAUAUUGCCCCUUAAUUGAUAAACAGAACCAAGAUCCCAAUGGCACACCAAAACUAUACCAACCACACCUACAUAAUAUGGACAGAAAAUCCUGUUGUUCUGACCUCUAACCACACCAAUGACAUUCAUUAGGAAAAUACAAAAGAUGGGUACCCUGCAUUUCUAACAUUUAAGAUAAAAUUCACUGCCAGCUAAUCACAAAUUUGAAAAGAUGGCAAGAAAAUUGGCUAUGCUUUAACAAAAACCAGAGCAGUCCUUGCAUAGACCUGACUUUUUGCUCCAAGCUUUAGCAGAUCACUUACUGGUAGAGAGCAGAGAACAUGUAUGUGAAUAUCUGAAGUUGGAAGGGUAAGCCAUCACAAACACCAAGAGAUCUGAUUCUCAUCUCUUGUUACAACAACAAAUCACAAACACCAAUACAUCUGAUUCAGAAUCUCAUAAACAAUGGAGGAACAAACACAUAUUCACACACAUAUAAAUCCCUAAACCGAAAAAAAAAAAAAAAAAAAAAAAAAAAAAAAAAAAAAAAAACAUGAAAGUAAUAGGAGAAUCAAAUUGAUUUGGGCCAAAAUUGCCUAAAAAGAAAACACUCCUAAAUAAACUUCAAUUCACUUUUAAAAACAGUAAAACGUGAUUGAAUCGUUCUUUAAAACAAUUCCCUAAUAUACAUGCAUGAUAAUGACAUCAUUUACCCCUAAAUCAAAUGCCUUUCACUGGUUAAGCCACAAGUCUGUGUUUUGGGGAUUGCUGAGCUGCAUCAAUCCUGCCAAUGUCAAUUCUGCCCCUAGGCUCUCUCAAAGUGCAUUUACAACCUAUGCUAACAUAUACUAGAGUUUGUGCUAGUAUCUAGAAAAUGCCAACACUAAUUUCGUAACACGUAGAAAUUGUUACAUAUUGGAAGUUUUUAUCAUUUUUUCUUCCAGUCUCUCCACCACUCACUAAUACAGAUUACUCAUGUGAUGAGUUUACAAAACCUAUUUCUCUACUCCCACAAAGACCAUACUUUUUCUCAAAAGACUAUAUCACUUUAUCUCUAUCUUUGUGAAAUGUAAAAAGUUGAAACUUUAAUGUCAAAUCUCGACAAAAGAUGAACUUCCAUCAAUUACAUUGAAUUUGAAUUUGUUGAACUUAAGUGGUUUUACUUUCUCUGUCAGCGUUUGAUGACUUGAUUUGUUAUUUACUUCUUCUUUUUUCCUUGGAAAUGUGUUCCAUCAACGUGAGGAAGAAAAAUAUGCACAAAUUAAUAUAUUUAAUAGAAGCACAAAUUAAUAUUUACAAAAAUAUGCACAAAUCAAGUAAAAUUAAUAAAGCAUAAAUUGGAAAGGGAAAAUAUGUAGAGGAUGCAUUGUAGGAUUGCUCAUGCCAAUAAUUGUACCCUCUAAAUAUAUAGGGACAUAAUUUUUUUUGUUUUCAUGACAUGUGGUCCUCAAAUUAUUGUUCUUAGCGGACUCUCCACCCCUCUCGAUUGAAAGCCUAUUGUGUAAAUCUUCAAUCCUGAAUGAUCCACCUAAAACUCAUGUUGCAAUACACAUCCACCCAUUCUCAGGCCAAUUAUUACUCCUAGUGGGCUCUCCACCCCCUCUCAAAUUUAAGUGGUCCAUUAUUAUUAACCAUAUAUUUUAUGGACCAGCUAGCUGUGAGGUUUUAUCUCAAAAACCUUUCUCUCACAUGCCACAAUUUAUGUCUGAUACAUCACAUCAUGCCAGUUGUCUCAAAUGAAUUUAAGUGAGUGAGGCAGUGUUACUUCUGGGUACCCCUCAUCGUUCGUGUAUAAAAUGGUGAAGCCAGUUGCUACUGUUACCAUAAGAGCCAGCUCCGACUUUCAAAAUAAAAAUUCCAACAAUGAUCUUAGUGCCUUCAAACGCAUGAGUUACUGAACAUGCAAAUAAAUACACUAUGAAUAAUAAAAGUGUUUGAUAAAUCACCAAAUUAUGGAACACUUGAUGAUUUAUCUCAAAUAAAAAUUCCAAGGCUUAUUUUAUAGAAUUUUUCUUUAUUACAAGAAAGAAAACAUGUUGAAAACCAAAUCUCCAAUUUCCAAGGCUUGACAGAAAAUCAAAAAAAUAUCUUUCCUAUUCUAGAGAUUGGUCACAUGUAGUUCAGAAAAUCAAAAAAAUAUCUUUCCUAUUCUAGAGAUUGGUCACAUGUAGUUCAACCAAUAGGAAAUGAGAUAUUUAAGAAAGCAAGAUUUUGAUCAAUAUCAAUAUCAAAUGAAUUCUUAUACGCCUAGUCAACUAUUAAGGGUAUCUUGACUCUUUGAUAUUGUGAUAUGAUUGAAACAUGAUUUCCAUGUUAGAAAAUUAAGGGGAUGUUAAAACAUGAAAGUAAUAGGAGAAUCAAAUUGAUUUGGACUAAAAUUGCCUAAAAAGAAAACACUCCUAAAUAAACUUCAAUUCACUUUUAAAAAUCGUAAAACAUGAUUGAAUCGUUUUUUUAAAACAAUUCCCUAAUAUACAUGCAUGAUAAUGACAUCACUUACCCCUAAAUCAAAUUGUCACGCCCCGGACCUGGGGGUCAGUGGAAAUCCCGCGCCCGGUGCGUGAGAAAAUAAAAAGUAAAAUAAAAUAAAAAGAAAGCCGAAACAAGGGUUUAAAAUAAACUUCUCUUAUAAAAAUAACUCUAAAAUCUUAUAACUUUACAAGAAAUAAAUAAAGCUCUAUCAUUCUUAUCUAAUUCAGACUCAACUGGUUUAGUCCUUGUCUUGCCCACUAAUUCAUCUGAAAAAUUAAGAGUGUUGCUAAACGAACCCUAAAAUUAAUUGAGUACACCAUACUACCAAACAAUUUAUUGAAUUUGUCAAGGUUUUGUUUCUGGGAACUCACGAGCAACUUUCCAGUGGGUUACCCAUCCUAGGAUUGCUCUAGCCCACAACUCGCUUAACUUCGGAGUUCCUACGACUCCGAAGCCAGUGAGCUCCCAAAAGGCCUCGUGCUAGAUGGAUGCGGGUGUGCACAUAUAAGGCACAUCACCACCUCUCCGUUGAUUGAUGUGGGAUCUUACAAAAUUACUAAUUUAUUCUAAUAUAAAAUGAUCAAAAAAGAUAAAAUAAUAUUGGUAUCUAUUGCUUUGAAUCCAUGCCUUCAAACAAAUUGACUUAAUUUUUAACAAACAACACGGAGUCCAGGAGAAGUGUAUUGAUCCAAGUUGAUUUUUGUAUGCAUAAAACUUAAACAAUCAAUAACACAAAGCAGUUCAUGCUGAAAUAUUGGAAACCCACACCCAAAGAGUUCUCCGCUGCGAGGUUGAAGGCAGGAGAGAUGGGUGACAGAUUUUACUUCCACUGCGAAGUUGGAGGCUAGGAGAGUCUGUGACUGCCAUGGUUGAGGGAGAAGAUGCGUUCAAAAUGCCUAUUGAUAUUUUACAUUAUUUUCUAUACAAGUUAACAGUGUUUGUGUAUUGUUAAAGGUGGAGAGACGUGUCAAAAUUUUAGACAAAGGACAGGAGGAGAUAGGGAAUUUGGGGACAGCAGAUCUCAACUCCCUUGAGACCCUAUUCUCUACGCCACCCCUCCCCCUCAACAACCCUAGUCACCAUUUCUCCUUCAACUCCAACGGCAACUCAUUAAAACCCAAUUCUCAAAUGCAACAAUCUAAUCCCAAUCCCAAUUCAGAUGUUUCUAAAAAACCAAUGGUUGUCGUGGUGGAGAACUGCAAUUCCAGGUGGUGGUGGUACCACAUGGGAGAGAGAAAAAAGAAGAAGAAGAAGCAGCAGAGAGAGAGUUUUUUAUUAUAUUAUUAUUUUACUGUAAUUUUUUAAUUUAAAAAAUUAAAAAAAUUAAAAAUUAAAGAGGAUGUACCAUGGGUAUUUUUGGUAGUUAAAUAGGGUGUACUUAGUUAAUUUUCAAUUUAAUUUAAACAUUAGAGUGUACUCAGUUAAUUUUAGGGUUCAUUUAGCAGCACUCAAAAUUAAACAAGGUAAGGGAUGAGCAAGUAGGGACAUGAGACCUUGCCACAGUAGAUUGAUAUAACUAAAUAUUAUCAUAAACAUCGAAAUAUAUAAAUAUUAUUAUGAUAGGAUUCAUAAUAAUUAAUAUAAAAGUAUAACAACAAGAUUUACAUUUAUGUACCAAGAUAAUUACACAUAUAAAUAUAACCAAUAUAUAUUUUUAUAUAUUUUAAAAUACAAGUCUUUACGUAAAUGCCCUUCACGGGUCAAGCCACAAGUCUGUGUUUUGGGGAUUGCUUAGCUGCAUCAAUCCUGCCAAUGUCAAUUUUGCCCCUGGGCUCUCUCAAAGUACGUUUAAAACCUAUGCUAACAUAUACUAGAGUUUAUGCUGUAUCUAGAAAAUGCCAACACUAAUUUCGUAACACGUAGAAAUUGUUAGAGAUUGGAAGUUUUUAUCAUUUUUUCUUCCAGUCUCUCCACCACUUAUUAAUACAGAUUACUCAUGUGAUGAGUUUACAAAACCUAUUUCUCUACUCUAGCAAAGACUAUACUUCUUCUCAAAAGACUAGAUCACUUUACCUCUAUCUCUGUGAAAUGUAAAAAGUUGAAACUUUAAUGUCAAACCUCGACAAAGUGUUCUACUUUACAAACUUCUUGUGUCUACCAAUUUCUACUAAAAUUAAUUUCUCUACGGUGCUCAGAUUCAUCAUAUGUGUGUCCUUAAUUUUAGUGGAAAUUGGAAGUUUCCAUAAUUUUUGCUUUAAGUCACUCUUCUGAAGGAAGUUGAGGUUCCACUCCAUAAUCCAAAAUGUCAGGUUGACUUAUGGCAAACAAUGUAAAUAUGUAGGAGUACUAUGACCUUUUAUAGCAUUUUUAGUUUGAAUUUGGGUUUUAUACAUAGAUUUCGAAAUUAAUAGGUUGAUGCCUAGGAAAUAGAAAUUGUAAGGGCCUAUAUUAGACUAGCCCUCUUAAAAAAUAUAUUAAUUAAUGAAUAUUUGUUCUUCUUGUUGUUUUGAAGUAGUGGUGGGAGGCAUACCAACAAAAAAAAAAAUAUAGUGAAGGCUUAUAAGAGCAUUUACAAUCAUGCUCCCUAUUUUUUAGUUAAAAUUUAGCUAAAAAUAGAAAAAAGUUAUUAUAGGAGCUCUUUAUAAAAUUUGAACUCCAAUCAUACUCCCUAGUUUAGGGAGUCAAAAAUACUAUAGUUAUUUUUUAAUUCAAUUUGAUUUUGGUUAAUCUCUAUAAAUAAAUAAAAAUAUGAAAAAAUAGUUAACAUUAAUUAAAAGUUUAAACUAUGCAUAAAACAAAGAAACAUUAAAUUAUAGGGAGCCACUAUGAGUCGUUACUCUCUCCUCAGAUUUAGGAGCUCCUAGAGGUCUCCCUAUUUUAUGAGGUGGAUAAGGAGCAUGGUUGGAGUUGUAUUUCUUCAAUUUCCUCCCUAAAAUUUGUCUAAGGAUGUGGUUUAGGGAACCCAUUGUGAAUGCUCUAACUCUGGUAAAACACGAGUGACAUGGACAACAUAUGUUACGUCGUACAGAAGAUUUUUGGGUUUCUUUAAUUGGUUAAGUAGCAUCCACAAUGAGCUUCCUAAAUCAUCUCCUUAGACAAAUUUUAGGGAGGAAUUGGAAAAGUACAAUUCCAACUAUGCUCCCUAUCCACCAACUAAAAUAGGGAGACCUCUAAGAGCUCCUAAAUCUGAUGAGAGGGAAAGGACUCUUAAUGACUCCUUAUAAUUUAAUGUUGCUUUACUUUAUGCAUAUUUUGAACUUUUAAUUAAAUCAAAUUAUUAUUUUUAUAUUAUUUUGUAUACAGACGGGUUAAUUAUAUUAAAUUAAAAAAUAAUUAAAAUAUUAAUGACUCUCUAAACUAGGAAGCAUAAUUGUAGAUCAUCUUAUAUACCUUAAUUUGAAGAUUCUUUAUUUGGGUUUCUUUCAAGACUUAUCACCUUAGCCACACCACCUACACGUCUGCAAGCUUCCGUAAUCUAACAAGGAAGGGGAGGCUGCGCAAUACUUAUCACCUUAGCCACACCACCUACACCACAAGACCAAUAUGUGUAGUCCAGCAGGCUUUCCAAUUUUAAUAUAUAUUAUAAAAUAAAAUAAAAAUCAAUCUAUUAUCAUAUAUAUUAUAAAAUAAAGAUUAUUGCUCCAUCCUCCAUGCACUUGCAUGCCCUCUUACAAAGUGUGAAGUAGAUUUUGUGUGCUCCAAGUCAUUGACGAGAGCUGUAACAUGGUUAGCUGGAUUUAUAAGAUCUUUUCUUUUCUGGGAAUUUUCUGAAUUAAGAAAAAUCAAGUAAAAUUAAUAAAGCAUAAAUUAGAAAGGGAAAAUAUCUAGAGGAUGCAUUGUAGGAUUGCACAUGCCAAUAAUUGUAUCCUCUAAAUAUAUAGCGACACAUUUUUUUUGUUUUCAUGACUUGUGGUCCUAAAAUUAUUGUUCCUAGCGGGCUUUUCACCCUCUCUCGAUUGAAAAUCAAUUGUGUAAAUCUUCAAUCUUGAAUGAUGCACCUAAAACUCAAGUGUCCCAGGCCAAUUAUUGCUCUCAUACCACUUGUUGUAAUAAACAUUCACCCAUUCUAAAGGAAAGAUAACCAUCGAUAUUAUCUGAAAUUUAACCACUUAAGUUCAUUAUGAUUAACUAUGUAUCUUAUGGACCAAUCCAAUCGUAAGGUUUUAUACUCAAUUAGAUCGACCAAUACAAAGUUCACACUGGAUUAAAAAGGGCUAUCGGUAGGGGAGUGUUCGGCACCCUUUACUGUGGAGCGCAACACAAGACCCCUUGCAUGCCCUCACUAAGUUGAGCCCAACUAUUUUUGAGCAUUAACAAUAUAUAUAGAUUGAAAAAAUAAAAUAAAAAUCAAUCUAUUAUCAUAUAUAUUAUAAAAUACAUAUUAUUGCUCCAUCCUCCAUACACUUGCAUGCCCUCUUACAAAGUGUGAAGUAGAUUUUUUGUGCUCCAACUCAUUGACUAGGGCUGAAACAUGGUUAGUUGGAUUUAUAAGAUCUUUUGUUUUUUGGGAAUUUUCUGAAGCACGGAAAAUCAAAUAAAAUUAAUAAAGCAGAAACUGUACCCUUUAAUUAUAUAUGGACAUAUGUUUUUUUGUUUUCAAGUCUUAGAUGACAUGGGGACCCCUCUCAAAUUUAAGUGGUCCAUUAUUGUUAACCACAUAUUUUAUGGACCAUCCAGCUUCGGUACAUUUCUCCCACAUGCCACAAUUGUAUAUUCACAAUUACGUCUGAUACAUCACAUCAUGCCACUUGCCUCACAUGCCACAAUUGUAUAUUCACAAUUACUUCUGGGUACCCCUCAUCAGUCGUCUAUAAAAUGGUGAAGCCAGUUGCUACUGUUACCAUAAGAGCCAGCUCCGACUUUCUUUAAUUUCUUGCUACAUCUGUUGCUAAGUUAAUUUCAGUCCUAAUGGGGUUUCAUCUCCCACUCAUCUUUGCUAUUCUCAGUGUAAGCUCUGCAAUUUGAUUAACUUUUCCAUUCUCUCUCAUUGUACUCUAUAUAUAUAAAUGAAAGUUUUGUGUUCCUAUAAUUCUCUCCGAUUUUAUUUAGUACGUACUUAAGUGUCGUCCACUAAUUAAUUACACUUUGUGAGAUUUGAUUUUAAUUAGAGUUCGAAUUAAUGUUGCAGCUAGCAGCGGUUGCACUGGCAAACAAUGCUGCUCAACCAGCACCUCAACUUUACUGGAACUCCGUCCUGCCAAACACACAGAUGCCAAGAUCUAUCAGUGAACUUCUGCAUCCUGGUUUGUGUUCAGCUCUUUAUAAUCUUAGAUAUCUCUUCUACCUGCCAUUUUACUAAACUAUGUUCGACCACAUAUUUAUCAGUUAACUACUGUCAUUACAAGAAUGACACUUAUUUUCCAAUAUAAUUUGCAGACUCCACAAAUGAAGAAAAGAGCAAACCUGAAAUUUUCCCAUUGCAGGGCAAUAGAGUUUACACUCAAAGCCAUUAUAAAAAACGUCCUCCUCCUCCAUCUGACGAGGGCAAACCUGAAAAUUUCCCAUUGCAGGGCAAUAGAGUUUACACUCAAAGCCAUUAUAAAAAACGUCCUCCUCCUCCAUCUGACGAGGGCAAACCUGAAAAUUUCCCAUUGGCCAAUAGCUUUUACACUCAAACCCAUUAUAAAAAACGUCCUCCUCCUCCAUCUGACGAGGGCAAACCUGAAAAUUUCCCAUUGGCCAAUAGCUUUUACACUCAAAGCCAUUAUAAAAAACGUCCUCCUCCUCCAUCUGACGAGGGCAAACCUGAAAAUUUCCCAUUGGGCAAUAGCCAUUACACUCAAAGCCAUUAUAAAAAACGUCCUCCUCCUCCAUCUGACGAGGGCAAACCUGAAAAUAUCCCAUUGGCACGUUCAGGUUACCAACGAAAAAAUUAUGGAGCAAGUCCUCCUCCAUCUGACAGUCAACUAAAGCAUUAUAAAGACUUAGCUAUUUUCUUCUUCGAGAAGGACAUGCGCCCGGGCACAACUAUGAAGUUCCAAUUCCCUAGAAAUUCAAACACGGCUACUUUCCUGCCACGCGAAAGUGCUCAAUCGAUCCCCUUCUCCUCUAAGAAACUACCAGAAAUUUUCAACCAUUUUUCAGUGAAGCCAACAUCUGAGGAAGCCAAAACAAUUAAGCAAACAAUCGAAGAGUGUGAAGCUCCAGGCCUUAAGGGAGAGGAAAAAUAUUGCGCCACAUCUUUAGAAUCAAUGGUUGAUUUUAGCACUUCGAAGCUUGGAACAAGAAACGUUGAAGCAAUCUCAACGCAGGUAUUGGAAGAAGGAGCCACCAAGUACAUGCACAACUAUACAACAAUCCCGGGACUGAAGAAGUUGGUAGGUGACAAAGUCGUUGUGUGUCAUAAGGAGAACUAUCCCUAUGCUGUGUUUCUCUGCCAUGCAAUAAAACAAACAGAAGCUUAUGUUCUCUCCCUGAAAGCCGAUGAUGGGAUGAAGGUGAAAGCAGUAACCAUCUGCCAUCUAGACACAUCAGAAUGGGACCCAGAGCAUUUGUCCUUCCAAAUCCUCAACGUUAAGCCCGGAACCACUCCCAUCUGCCAUUUCCUUUCCACUGAUGCUAUUGCCUGGGUUCCAAAACACAAAUCUGCAUGAUCAUCACUUAGCACUGUACGUAUAAUAAGCUUGGUCGGGUUGCACCCUAGGCCUGCAUAAUUAUCUCCCUACUUAUUUCUGCCUCUUCAUCAUGCGGUGUAAGAUAUAUGAUGAGAUGAAGUUUUCUCUUGUAACUAUGUAGACUACUUCAACUUGUACUCAUAAUAAAGCACGCUGUUGGGGGGUUCUACUUAAUUUCGUUCUCUCCAAUGUUUGAGUGUUGAAUUGUUACGUUGGAAUAGGCUGCUAAUGCAUGUAGUUAGAGAAGCCUUCAUUUAUAUCAAAGUCCUCAAACUAUCAAGAAUUAAUGUAUCCAGAAACAUAUACCAAGACGCAAAACAACAUAUUUUCCAUUCUCUGUCUGUAACACCAAGGCAAACUUCCUUUAUCACAUCAUUUAAAGGAUCAAAUUCCAGUACUAAUCUAAUCCAUCAUGUAAAGCAUACAAGUGCCUACCUAAAUUUGUCCAUUGGAUAUAUAUGUCACUUUUUAUUUUUUGAUAGAGAUAUAAAUGUUGAGAAAAUUAGAGUACACAACUCCAAUAUAGACUUGUUGGAGACAAAACAAGUAAACAAAUUACUUGUAUUAGACUCACAAAAUAUUACAACAAGACAACUCUCAAAGAAAAGACAAACUCUCACACUUCUCACAAGGACUACUUAACUUUAUAGCUUAUUGCAUAUAGCAUAUGCAAACACAAUUAGAACAUACCUACGUACACUAUGGGAACACUCGUGUAUAUUUGAACACAAGAAAACAUGUGCGCACCGUGCACGGUUCACAUGAAGUAAGAAAUGAAGAGGAAAUAAAGAAGAAGAAUACAAAAGAAAAU